This 231539-nucleotide long non-coding RNA is filed under the name Theobroma cacao (cacao). Its description in RNAcentral is "long non-coding RNA (TCAC_LNC005274)". The stretch from base 188474 to 188580 matches the Rfam family "Plant small nucleolar RNA R71". The record is from RNAcentral. Lineage: Eukaryota; Viridiplantae; Streptophyta; Magnoliopsida; Malvales; Malvaceae.
CUUGGCAUUGACUGAGUUCACCCUCACGUGGUGGUUUAGCGUGUAGUGAACUCUAAAGCUUUACCUCAAGAGAUACCCUCCGCGCCUCUCGUACCGAGGUAAAAUAUAACCGAGUUUACCGUUCCCCUCUUUAAUAAGCUGGUCCACGGAAACCCACAACUGCAGUGACUAAUCAAUAUCUCACAAAAUCAAUAAAAGUUUCGACAGUAUGACAUGAAAAUUAUAUUACUACCCAGCCUGUUAAAGCAAAACAAAUAGUUCAUACAAUUUCAACACAAAUUUCAAUUCAGCCAUUCAUGCCAAUAUCACUGUCGUAAAGUGCGGGUCCGAGAACCCGAUCACCAGACGUGAUGUGAAGACUCUAAAAAAAAUUUAAAAUUAGGAGUCUCCACCAAUUUUUUUUACUAGGUGCGAUUGACCACCUAUUGACUCGAUUCUAAUCGAUGAAGCCUUAAAUUAAUUUUAAGCUCACCGAAAAGAACCUUGAACUGGUCUAUGAUUUUUUAAAUCUAGGCUCGGGAGUACGGUUACGUCCGGAGAAGGAUUAGCACCCCUUGAACGGCCGUUCCAUGAACGGUACCAUUUUUAGAUUAUCCUAUUAGGCUUUAAUUUUUAAUUUCACUAUAUUUUCUUAGUUAUUAUUAUCUUAUUUUAUCCUUUAUUUAACCUAAAAUGGAAUGCAAAUGGGAGGCAAGAUGAGAUGCAUGGCGUGAGAUAAAAAAAUGCAGGAUGAAUAACUUUUUAUCGAGGAUAUUUUCCCGAAUCCUCCCAUUAUACUGGUGAGACUUAGGGUAUUCUAUCACCUAGGAAAUUAUCCGAGAAACUCGCCUUCGCAAAUUCAACGAAUGAUUCCCAUCAUCGGGGUCAUCGUACGUUUUUCUUUAAAAAUAAUGUUUUCGUGCAUAAUGAACCUAAUUCGGGCAAAAGCCUUUUAUUAAAUAUGUUUCUCGAGCCUUCCCAUCAUACUGGUGGGACCCGAUGAUACCUUUUCACAUAAGAAACUUUCAGAGGAAUACCCGCCUUCGCGAGAUCCUCUGAAGAUCCCAUCAUCGGGGCUUAAACUCGAAAAUAGAAUUAUUUAUAUGUGAUGAUAUGCAUGAUGCAAUAUAUAUAUAUAUAUAUGCUAUGUUGAUGCAAUUGUCUAUUUUUUAUUUAUUAUUAUUUAAUUAUUAUUUUAAUUUUAUCAUAUUUUUUAUUAUUAUAUUUUCUAUUUUAUUAUUAUUUUUUUUAUAUCUUAUAUUUUUAUCCUAAAUUCUUCCUAUAUUUUCCUUUUAUAAUUAGAUAAAUUAUUUAUGAUUCCAUUUAAUGCUUAAUUUUAAAUUAAUUAUUAUCUUAGAUUUUUAUUAUUUAUUUAUUUUAUUUUUUUAUUGAGUAAUAUCAUGCAUAUUGUAUUUUUACAAAUUAAUUACUUACUAUAUAUUUGAAUCAUUAUUAUUAUUUUUAUCAUCAUUUUUUAUCUAUUGUUAUUUAUUAUUAUUUUUAUUGAAUAAUUUUUGUAUAGUCAAAUUCUUUAUUUAUUAAAAACUUCAGAAUCUUGAAAUCGAGGCCCUCCCAUCGUACUGGUGGAGCCUUGAUUCGGAUUCCAAGCUUACGGAACAUAAGCCCGGGAUUGCGACUUCUCGCAUCCCGACCGAUCAUCCCAUCAUCGGUACAAUUUUGUAUUCUUUCCAUGGUUAAUAUUACGGUACCUUAAGGCUCACUUAAUAUACUAUUAAAACUAUUAAUAUUGUCCAAAAACAAAGGAUUUGUAGUGGUGACUAAAAAAAAUAAUUAAAUCUUUUUUACUACCUUCUACUAUUAAAAUUAUUGUUUCACAUUUUUCUGUCAAUUUAAAUCCUCUGAAAUCCUCUAAAAUAUUUUAAAAGGAUUUUAAAUAUCAUGCUCAAACCAUUUAAUUUUACUAAAUACCAAGCUUAAUAAAAAAAAUGGGCUUGCCCCAAAAUAAUCAGUCCAUCACAGAUCCAUAAAAAAAAUAAAACCCUUUACCUGAUCAGGCUUGGCUAGCCCAGACUACCGCUGGACUUGACCCGUGGUCUACUUCAAAACCCACUGUUUGGUUCCCUGCCCAGUAGCCUCUAGGUGGCAAAACGACGUCAUUUCAAAGCUUUGGAAGGGCUUCGUGAUUAAUUGCAAAACGACGUAGUUGUGAGCCCUUGUACCCUAAAUAUAAAAUCCUUUUUUUUUCAUUUUUCUUCAUUUUCUCCCUUCCUUAUCUCUCUAGUCGACCGGACUCUCUCUUCUCUCUCUAAAAAUCCCACCUUUCUCUCUUACUUUUCCUUUCUUUCGCCGGCCUUCCUCCUUGGCGUCGAUUGGGAGUCUCCCCUCUCUUCUCUGCGUCGAAUCUGGUGGCGCGAUGGUCGGUAGCGAAACUCUCUCUCCUUUCUCCCCUAGGCUUUACCGGCUUCCAACCUUGAGCCCUCAACUCUCUCUCCUAAUUGGUGUCGGUCGAGCUUUCUCUUUCUCACUCUCCUCCUGUAGACAAAAAAUCGAGCCCCCAAAACUCUCUCAAUAUCGACGCUGAUCGGGCUUCCUUUCUCUCACUCCUCUCAUGCCGACGCAAACUCGAGCCCCCAACUCUCUUUCGUAAUCGGUGCCAGUUGAGCUUCCUCUCUCUCACUCUUCUCCUGCAGGCGCAAACCCGAGCCCCUUUUCACUCUCCCUCUCUACCGAUUCGCUUUCCCCUCCUCUCAUUAUGUAUUUUUUUUUAUUUUUUGGUAUCUCUUUUUGAUGUAUUUUUCUUGGUUUUUUUUUUUUGUGUGGAUUGUUGUGGCUGCUAGAGACUUAGGAAUUUUUGGUUGUGCUUGUUUUCUUUGGCUUGCAAGAUCCCCCCCGAUUGCUACAGUGCCCCAUUUCCUUUAUACCCGGUUCUUGGCCUUUGGAGUGGGCACGUUCCACUACCUUGCCAGGCGCGAGUUUUUCGCGUCUGGCACUGUAAUAGUGGUAGUACGGGGUACUGGCAGGGACGUUCACGCCCUGCUAGUACUCCUCUUUUUUAUUAUUAUUAUUUAUAUAUUUUAUAUAUUUUAUAUAUUUUUUAGUGUCUACAAUCACCAUAAGCCAUUCAAUUCAAACCAUAAACUUACAACACAAUCAAACAGUCUCCAAUCACUCAAUUUCUAAAAUCAUCAUUCAAUUUCAAAAUGAUUUAUAAAACUCAUUUCAUUUAAUCACAUUUUACUGAUAAAACAUAAGAAUUUACCAUUUAAACUCAUUUUUCUAUAAAUCACAGAAACGAAUAAAAACUAUUUUAGAUAAUUAAGACGAUAAUAAUGUUACUCACAAUAUCGGGAGUCGAAGUACUCCUAGUCCUGAUCUUUGGGUACAAUCUCCUUACCCAUAUCGAAAGUUUCACCACCUAAACAUAAUGCACAACAAGCAAUUUACUAUAUUUGUACUAAACGUUAUAAAACUAAUUUAGGCUCUAUAUGAAUGCAUGAAAUGGGAUGCGAAAUGUUCGGAUUAUUAUCUAAAUAUGGUGUACUACGUAGCUUCAAUUAUGUAUCGAAAUAAAAUGGUAUUGGCCUAAUUCGAUUUAUACACCGGUCAAUUGGCUAAUACAUCCAAUUCAACUCCAAUUAACUUGAUUCCUCUUCCAACACUCCAAGUCAUCAAUUAUAAGUGAAAUAAUAUGUAAUAUCACAAAAAUCGAUCAUCAAUAUCUUCCUUGUAAAAUUCGACCAUUGAAGGUUUAGUGUAGAACAUGUAAUUUUCAUGCUUGAUUUUUACACCUUACAUCAUAAAACAACUAAAAACACCUAAAUAACAUGAAAUUCAUCAAAGUCCAUUAUCCAAUUUCUCUCUUGAAAAUUUCAGCCAAGAAGUGUGGGUGAAGGGCAUGAAAUUUCUUCCUUGUUUUUCAUGCUAAACAUCACCAAACAACUAAAAACACUAAGAUACUUUGAAAUCUAACCAAAUAAAUCAUUAAAUGUCACGACCCGGAACUCCCAUCGAGCCCGUGACAAUCGCCGCGNNNNNNNNNNNNNNNNNNNNNNNNNNNNNNNNNNNNNNNNNNNNNNNNNNNNNNNNNNNNNNNNNNNNNNNNNNNNNNNNNNNNNNNNNNNNNNNNNNNNNNNNNNNNNNNNNNNNNNNNNNNNNNNNNNNNNNNNNNNNNNNNNNNNNNNNNNNNNNNNNNNNNNNNNNNNNNNNNNNNNNNNNNNNNNNNNNNNNNNNNNNNNNNNNNNNNNNNNNNNNNNNNNNNNNNNNNNNNNNNNNNNNNNNNNNNNNNNNNNNNNNNNNNNNNNNNNNNNNNNNNNNNNNNNNNNNNNNNNNNNNNNNNNNNNNNNNNNNNNNNNNNNNNNNNNNNNNNNNNNNNNNNNNNNNNNNNNNNNNNNNNNNNNNNNNNNNNNNNNNNNNNNNNNNNNNNNNNNNNNNNNNNNNNNNNNNNNNNNNNNNNNNNNNNNNNNNNNNNNNNNNNNNNNNNNNNNNNNNNNNNNNNNNNNNNNNNNNNNNNNNNNNNNNNNNNNNNNNNNNNNNNNNNNNNNNNNNNNNNNNNNNNNNNNNNNNNNNNNNNNNNNNNNNNNNNNNNNNNNNNNNNNNNNNNNNNNNNNNNNNNNNNNNNNNNNNNNNNNNNNNNNNNNNNNNNNNNNNNNNNNNNNNNNNNNNNNNNNNNNNNNNNNNNNNNNNNNNNNNNNNNNNNNNNNNNNNNNNNNNNNNNNNNNNNNNNNNNNNNNNNNNNNNNNNNNNNNNNNNNNNNNNNNNNNNNNNNNNNNNNNNNNNNNNNNNNNNNNNNNNNNNNNNNNNNNNNNNNNNNNNNNNNNNNNNNNNNNNNNNNNNNNNNNNNNNNNNNNNNNNNNNNNNNNNNNNNNNNNNNNNNNNNNNNNNNNNNNNNNNNNNNNNNNNNNNNNNNNNNNNNNNNNNNNNNNNNNNNNNNNNNNNNNNNNNNNNNNNNNNNNNNNNNNNNNNNNNNNNNNNNNNNNNNNNNNNNNNNNNNNNNNNNNNNNNNNNNNNNNNNNNNNNNNNNNNNNNNNNNNNNNNNNNNNNNNNNNNNNNNNNNNNNNNNNNNNNNNNNNNNNNNNNNNNNNNNNNNNNNNNNNNNNNNNNNNNNNNNNNNNNNNNNNNNNNNNNNNNNNNNNNNNNNNNNNNNNNNNNNNNNNNNNNNNNNNNNNNNNNNNNNNNNNNNNNNNNNNNNNNNNNNNNNNNNNNNNNNNNNNNNNNNNNNNNNNNNNNNNNNNNNNNNNNNNNNNNNNNNNNNNNNNNNNNNNNNNNNNNNNNNNNNNNNNNNNNNNNNNNNNNNNNNNNNNNNNNNNNNNNNNNNNNNNNNNNNNNNNNNNNNNNNNNNNNNNNNNNNNNNNNNNNNNNNNNNNNNNNNNNNNNNNNNNNNNNNNNNNNNNNNNNNNNNNNNNNNNNNNNNNNNNNNNNNNNNNNNNNNNNNNNNNNNNNNNNNNNNNNNNNNNNNNNNNNNNNNNNNNNNNNNNNNNNNNNNNNNNNNNNNNNNNNNNNNNNNNNNNNNNNNNNNNNNNNNNNNNNNNNNNNNNNNNNNNNNNNNNNNNNNNNNNNNNNNNNNNNNNNNNNNNNNNNNNNNNNNNNNNNNNNNNNNNNNNNNNNNNNNNNNNNNNNNNNNNNNNNNNNNNNNNNNNNNNNNNNNNNNNNNNNNNNNNNNNNNNNNNNNNNNNNNNNNNNNNNNNNNNNNNNNNNNNNNNNNNNNNNNNNNNNNNNNNNNNNNNNNNNNNNNNNNNNNNNNNNNNNNNNNNNNNNNNNNNNNNNNNNNNNNNNNNNNNNNNNNNNNNNNNNNNNNNNNNNNNNNNNNNNNNNNNNNNNNNNNNNNNNNNNNNNNNNNNNNNNNNNNNNNNNNNNNNNNNNNNNNNNNNNNNNNNNNNNNNNNNNNNNNNNNNNNNNNNNNNNNNNNNNNNNNNNNNNNNNNNNNNNNNNNNNNNNNNNNNNNNNNNNNNNNNNNNNNNNNNNNNNNNNNNNNNNNNNNNNNNNNNNNNNNNNNNNNNNNNNNNNNNNNNNNNNNNNNNNNNNNNNNNNNNNNNNNNNNNNNNNNNNNNNNNNNNNNNNNNNNNNNNNNNNNNNNNNNNNNNNNNNNNNNNNNNNNNNNNNNNNNNNNNNNNNNNNNNNNNNNNNNNNNNNNNNNNNNNNNNNNNNNNNNNNNNNNNNNNNNNNNNNNNNNNNNNNNNNNNNNNNNNNNNNNNNNNNNNNNNNNNNNNNNNNNNNNNNNNNNNNNNNNNNNNNNNNNNNNNNNNNNNNNNNNNNNNNNNNNNNNNNNNNNNNNNNNNNNNNNNNNNNNNNNNNNNNNNNNNNNNNNNNNNNNNNNNNNNNNNNNNNNNNNNNNNNNNNNNNNNNNNNNNNNNNNNNNNNNNNNNNNNNNNNNNNNNNNNNNNNNNNNNNNNNNNNNNNNNNNNNNNNNNNNNNNNNNNNNNNNNNNNNNNNNNNNNNNNNNNNNNNNNNNNNNNNNNNNNNNNNNNNNNNNNNNNNNNNNNNNNNNNNNNNNNNNNNNNNNNNNNNNNNNNNNNNNNNNNNNNNNNNNNNNNNNNNNNNNNNNNNNNNNNNNNNNNNNNNNNNNNNNNNNNNNNNNNNNNNNNNNNNNNNNNNNNNNNNNNNNNNNNNNNNNNNNNNNNNNNNNNNNNNNNNNNNNNNNNNNNNNNNNNNNNNNNNNNNNNNNNNNNNNNNNNNNNNNNNNNNNNNNNNNNNNNNNNNNNNNNNNNNNNNNNNNNNNNNNNNNNNNNNNNNNNNNNNNNNNNNNNNNNNNNNNNNNNNNNNNNNNNNNNNNNNNNNNNNNNNNNNNNNNNNNNNNNNNNNNNNNNNNNNNNNNNNNNNNNNNNNNNNNNNNNNNNNNNNNNNNNNNNNNNNNNNNNNNNNNNNNNNNNNNNNNNNNNNNNNNNNNNNNNNNNNNNNNNNNNNNNNNNNNNNNNNNNNNNNNNNNNNNNNNNNNNNNNNNNNNNNNNNNNNNNNNNNNNNNNNNNNNNNNNNNNNNNNNNNNNNNNNNNNNNNNNNNNNNNNNNNNNNNNNNNNNNNNNNNNNNNNNNNNNNNNNNNNNNNNNNNNNNNNNNNNNNNNNNNNNNNNNNNNNNNNNNNNNNNNNNNNNNNNNNNNNNNNNNNNNNNNNNNNNNNNNNNNNNNNNNNNNNNNNNNNNNNNNNNNNNNNNNNNNNNNNNNNNNNNNNNNNNNNNNNNNNNNNNNNNNNNNNNNNNNNNNNNNNNNNNNNNNNNNNNNNNNNNNNNNNNNNNNNNNNNNNNNNNNNNNNNNNNNNNNNNNNNNNNNNNNNNNNNNNNNNNNNNNNNNNNNNNNNNNNNNNNNNNNNNNNNNNNNNNNNNNNNNNNNNNNNNNNNNNNNNNNNNNNNNNNNNNNNNNNNNNNNNNNNNNNNNNNNNNNNNNNNNNNNNNNNNNNNNNNNNNNNNNNNNNNNNNNNNNNNNNNNNNNNNNNNNNNNNNNNNNNNNNNNNNNNNNNNNNNNNNNNNNNNNNNNNNNNNNNNNNNNNNNNNNNNNNNNNNNNNNNNNNNNNNNNNNNNNNNNNNNNNNNNNNNNNNNNNNNNNNNNNNNNNNNNNNNNNNNNNNNNNNNNNNNNNNNNNNNNNNNNNNNNNNNNNNNNNNNNNNNNNNNNNNNNNNNNNNNNNNNNNNNNNNNNNNNNNNNNNNNNNNNNNNNNNNNNNNNNNNNNNNNNNNNNNNNNNNNNNNNNNNNNNNNNNNNNNNNNNNNNNNNNNNNNNNNNNNNNNNNNNNNNNNNNNNNNNNNNNNNNNNNNNNNNNNNNNNNNNNNNNNNNNNNNNNNNNNNNNNNNNNNNNNNNNNNNNNNNNNNNNNNNNNNNNNNNNNNNNNNNNNNNNNNNNNNNNNNNNNNNNNNNNNNNNNNNNNNNNNNNNNNNNNNNNNNNNNNNNNNNNNNNNNNNNNNNNNNNNNNNNNNNNNNNNNNNNNNNNNNNNNNNNNNNNNNNNNNNNNNNNNNNNNNNNNNNNNNNNNNNNNNNNNNNNNNNNNNNNNNNNNNNNNNNNNNNNNNNNNNNNNNNNNNNNNNNNNNNNNNNNNNNNNNNNNNGAGAAAUGAGAUGGGAGAGUUUUAGUUGUGUUUAUAAAGGAAAAUAUAAUAAUAUUAAAGCUUGACACUUGUCACCAUGUGAUUGGUCCAUACAUAAAACUUAAUAAUUAAGCAUUUCUUCUCCACCACAUAAAAUCCCUCAAUCAUCCAAAGUAUAAAAUGAAUUUCAUGGGUUUGACAAGUGUCAAGGUGGUGUAAAAUUCUAAAAAUUCUAAUUACAUCCUUAUGGACACGUGAAAUGACCGUUUUACCCUUUUGUUCAAAAAAUUGUCUGAAUUAAAAUUUUUCACUUCUCAAGCUCAAAUUAUGUUCCAAAUAGUCAAACUUGAUCAAAAUUUCAUCCACCAUCCCAAAUUUGCCCUCGAGUGGAAAAAUGAUCAUUUUACCCCAACGUUAUGAAAAUUCCAAUUUAACUCCAAAUCAAUCCCUGAACUCCGAAUCACCAUAUUAAGUAAUUCUAAGGUUCAAUAACUCUCAAAUACAUCUUAAAAUCUCUAUUUGAACUAGUCGAGGUUUAAAUCAACUUAGUUGUAUCACUAGGUACACUACCGACUUUUGACUAUUUUUUCGAGGUAUUCAAGUAUGCAGGCAUGUUGUCAAAUACAGGAAUGAUAUGGCAAAUAUAUUAUAGGGCUAGGCUUGACAGUCUUCUUAUAAUUUAUAUUAACUAAUAUUAGUACGUUAAGUAUUAUUAAUUUUGUAUAACUUAUAUAUAUAGUUAUAUAUUUAUAACUACAAUGAUUUCAAUUAUUAUAAUAAGAAACUAAUUACAAAAGAUGACAUACUCAAAGUAGUAUUAUAAUUACCCAAUAUGAAUAUAUGAUCAAUGUAAAGUAUGAUGUUUUAAUGUUAUAUAUAAUUACAAAGUUUGUAUAAUUAAUAACUAAUUGUAAACAAUAUAUAUGUUAUAAAAACUAAGGUAAUAACUUUAUUGCAAAAUUAUUAAGUGUAAUCAUAUAAAUAAAAUUUAUUAUAACUUAUAUUAAUGCUUACAUAUAAAUUAGAUAUAUGUAUAUUAUAAUUAACUAAUACAAAUAUAAUUAUACAGUGAUAUAUAUUUACAUAAUAUUAUCUAUUACAAAAUAUUAUUAUUAUAUAUAUAGGUCUAAUAAUUUUAACAUAUCAAUAUGUAUAUAUAUAAAAUGUUAAUAUAUUAUAUUACUAUGAUUCUAUCAAAACGUCAUUUAUUAUUUUAUCUCAUAAAGUACUGAUGUGAUAUAUUGAUAUGUAAUAAUGGAUAGUGACGUGGUAUGAUGAUAAGACCAUGUUAUAUUUUUCACUCUCCAUCACCCUCCAUUGGGUUGCCAACAUUGGGCAGCCCACUAACCAAACCUAAUUCUUUUUUUUUUUAUUGGGACUAUCUGUCAAGCCCUACUCCAUUAUAUACUCAUCACAACAUCCAUAUACUUGAUGACACAUCUGCAUGUUAGAAUGCCUUAGAAAUAGUUAAAUAAUCGGUAUCGUAACUAGUUAUGCAACUAAGUUAAUUUAAAGCCUCAAACUAGUUCAAAUAGGAAUUUUAAAAUAAAAUUGAGAAUUUUAAAACCCAAGAAUGACUUAAUAUGGUGAUUCGGAGUUCGAGGAUUAAAUUAGAGUCAAUUAGGAAUUUUCAUACCAUAGGGGUAAAAUGGUAAUUUUGCCACUCGAGGGCAAAUUUGGAAAGUUGGAUGAAAAUUUUGAUCAAGUUUGACCAAUUAGAGUAUAAUUUGAGAUUGAGAAGUGAAAAUUUUCAAUUUUGAGCAUAAAGGCAAAAAUGUUAUUUUUCGGGUCCACAAGGGUAAAAUUGGAAUUUUAUGAUUUUAUACCACCAUGACAUAUGUCAAGCUCCAAAAUUUUACCUAUUAUUAUUUUAUGCUAUGGAUAAGUAUUAGAGCAUUUGUGGUGGUGAGAAAAGGCUUAAAAAUUAAGUUAAAACAAGUGGACUAAUAAAAAGGUGACAUGUGUCAAAAAUUAAAUAUUUUUAUAUUGCCAUUUAAAAACCAGCCCAUACUCUUCCACUCAGAAUUUGAAGGCCAACCAGCACCUGCAGAAAAGAGAAGAAAAGAAAAGAAAAACCCUAGGGAGGAAAAACUAAGGAAAAUUUGUUGAAUUUUCAAGAAAUUGAUGAUUAUAGGUAAGAUUUUUAAUCUUAAGCUUGAAAUUCAUCUUGCCCAUGUAUUCUUUUCCAUUUUCCAUGAAUUAAAUUCAAGUUUUCAUGAGGGGCAAUAUGCUGGCCAAAUUUAGAGAGAGAAAGUUGGUGAUAAAUUUAGUUGAAUUUCAAGGUAACUUAGUGUUUUUAGGUGUUUAGUAACAUUUAGUAUAAAAAUUAAGUAAGAAAUCCACAUACCCAUUAUAGAACCUAUCUUGGCCGAAUUUUAUGGGUGAGGUUUGAUGAUGAACUUGGUUGUUUUUCAUGCCCUUUAGAUUGUAUUUGGUGCUUAGGAAUACCGAAAAUCAAAAACGGGUAUUGAAAAAUUUUACUCCCGUUAGUUAGCAAUUUGCACAAUAAUGAGGGAUAUUUUGGUAAUUGCACUUAGAAUAGAUUUUUAUUGAAGUGUGUUGAAUUUUGGGGAGUACUGGAAGUGCAAUAAAUUAAUUGGAACCGAAUUGGACGUUUAGAUCGAUUAAAUAGUGUAUAGUGCGCGAUAGGCCGAACUCCUCCCAUUUCAUUGCAUGCAUUCAUAUAGAACAUAGAAUAGUGUUGUGACAAUUUAGCAUAAGUAUAUUAAAUUUCCUGUUGCACAUUAUGUAUAGGUGGUGAGUCCUCGGAUAAGGGCAAAAGUAUUGCACCCCAGGAUCGAGACUAGGAGUGUUGUAAAUUCCCGUCAAAGUGAGUAACCAUUAUUCAUCUUAUCUAUCUAGAGUAUUUUUACAAUCGUUUUUAAGAUUUUAAGAAUAUUGAACGUAAAUGAAUUUUAUGUUUUAUGACUAAUAAUUGAUUUAAGGAAUAAGGUUUAUGACUUAUUUUACAAUUCAAUAAUAUUUCUGAAAAUGUGAGUAUGUGGAGACCAACCUUUGAUGUUGCUUGUAUAUUUAAGUUUAUGUACCUAUGUUUGGAAUUGAUGAUUUAUGAACUAAUACGUGAUGACAUAUGUGGCUGAGUUUUUGGGUUGUGAAAUAUAUUAAACUGUUUGUUUUCCUUUGACAGGUUGGGUAGUAUUAUGUUAGCCGAGUAAUAGGAGACAAUUAAAAUAAAUCAUCCAAACCCAUAUAAAUAAUUAGAUUUCAUCCAAUUACUCAAAAUGGCUUAUGUACUUUUCAAAACUUGGCCUUGCCAAAAAUUCAUUCUCGGGGAUACCCCGCAAAGGCAUCUUACCGAGACCGCCAAGGCUGUUUAUUGUUACACACACACACAAAUACAUUUCACCUUUGACAACACAACCGUUCCUCGGGGUUGGCUGAGUCCCAGUUUCACGUGGUGGCCAGCGUGGAGUGUACUCAAAUCCUACCUCGAGAGUUAUCCUACGCGCCUUUCCAAUCGAGGUAAGCUCAAUAAAUGGGAACCGUGCCCCUCUAAUUAGGCUGGCCCACAAAACCCCUGUGAUUGCAGUGCCCACUUUAUAAUCCACAAACUAAUAAAAUCACAAUAGUAUGACAUGGCUCACUUAACACAUUCAAGGCAAAUCAAAGCAGUUCACAUAUUCUUUAAAUCAUAAAAAUAACCAGUCAUACUCACAUUUAUCAUAAGCCAUUUAAUGUAAAAUCAUGGAUAAACAACACAAUCAUAGUAUAGGUCUCCAAUUACUCUAUUUUUGAAAUCAUUAUUAAAUUUUCAAAAAUUUUAUAAAAUUAUUUUAUAAAAUCUCAUUUUCCCAUAAAACACAAUAAUUUUCCAAUUAAACCAUUUUUUCAUAAAAUCACACAAUUAAAUAAAUCUACUCUAGAUAAUUAAGACGAUAGUAAGUUUACUCACUGUACUAGGAGUAGAUAUACUCCUAUUCUCGGUCCUCGGGUGUAGUCUUUUACUCGUAUCAGAUAGCUCACCACCUAUCCACAAUACAUGACACAAAAAAUUCAAUAAUUUGUGUCAAAUCAAUAUAUAUUAUUUCAGGCUCUUAUCCAUGCGUAUGCACUAGAUAGGGUGUGAAAUGUUUGGACAAUCGCUUAAUCACAGUGUCCGACCUAACUCGCCUAUACACGGUGUAAAUUUCUAAAAUCUCCAAUUCAACUCCAAUUCCAUCCAUUUCAAUUUCAAUUAUCCAAUUAUAUCCACAAUACCUCAAUGACUGUGAAUGUGGUCCAAUUUAUCAGUUCGGACCACAAAUUACACUUUUACCCCUAGUGGGUAAAAAUUUCAAUUUUUUUGCACAAAAAAUUCCCAUUAAAUUUCCAACCUCAUAAUUCAUCAUUUUUCCAUCUAAUUCUCUUAAAAUAAAGUCAACCUCAUCCUCACACACCAUUGGCUAGAUUCGGCCUAGAGAAAUUCAUGGAGAAAAUGAAUAUUUUUCUUAUUGUUUUACUCAUAAACAUGCUAAACUAACACUAAACACUAACAUAGUUCAAAAUCAAAUUAAUCUAACAACUUUCUCUCUCUAAGCCCAUAUGAUCAGAUUUGAAUCCAUCAUCAAAACACAUAAUUUAACCAUGGAAAAUAAGGAGAAAUGCAUGAAAAUGAUAAAUCUUAAGUUAAGCUUGAAAAAUCAUACCUUUAAACACUUGAUUCCUUCAAAAAUCACACUUUUUCUUUGAAUUUUCUCACUCUAGGGUUUGUUCUUAUUUCUCUCUCUCUCUCCUGCUGAUUUUGGCUGACCCUCCCAAUGAAGAAUUCUGGAAUUUUCAAGACUUUUAAUAGGCUUAAUAAAAUAUUAUUAUUUUAUUUACCUUUUGAAUAUUUUAUUAUUUUAUUUUUCUCUAGCCAUCUUUUUGACUUUCUUUUUCUACCACUCAAUCCUCUUCACUUAUCCAUGUCUUUCAUGAAAUUUCUAGACUUUUCCAAAGUUUUGGUGGAACAAAUUUUUAAAAAUUACACUUUUGCCCCUGUAAAGUGAAAAAUUACAUUUUUACCCCAAAAACUGAAAAAUUGCCCAUAGACAUAUUUUUCAUCCCUUAUACUCAUACCAUUCUCCAAUUUGUCAAAUGUGAUCUAAAUUCUCUCCAAAUCCCAAAUUUUAUCCGUGGGUGGAAAAAUUACGAUUUUGCCCCUAGAUAGUGAAAAUUCCGAUUUAACUCCGAAUUGAUCCUCGAACUCUGAAUUACCAUUUUGAGUCAUCCCUGAACUGUGAAACUCUUAAUUUCACCUUAAAAUUCCUAUUUGAACUAGUUCGAGGCUUAAUCGACUCAAUGGUACCAUUAGGGGUAAUAUCGUCUUUUAACGAUUUCUCGAACUUCCUAAAUAUACAAACAUUCUAUCGAGCAUGUAAAUGACAUUAUAAUUAUUUUACAAAGCAGAGUUUGACAAUAGAGUUCACUUCACGUCGAACCACCACUUGAGGAUGAACUCUACUAACGCUAAGGGAUGGCUAAACUAUGUUUUUAUGAGUAGUUGUUAACUUAAUAACCUUGGCUAAACAUAUUUUUCAUCCCUUAUACUCAUACCAUUCUCCAAUUUGUCAAAUUUGAUCUAAAUUCUCUCAAAAUCUCAAAUUUUGUCUGUGGAUGGUAAAAUUACGAUUUUGCCCCUACACUUCAGAAAUCACCAGAAUUAAACUUUUUCACUUCCUAUCAUUAAAUUAUACUCCAAAUAGUUAAUCUUGGUCAGAAAUUUCACUCCAUGAUCAAAUUAUUAUCUUAGGUGGCAAAAUGACGAUUUUACCCUUGAAUAUCAAAAUUUCCAAUUUUACCCCAAAUGAACCCUUGAACUCCGAACAAUCAUUUUUAGUCAUUCCUGAACUAUAAAAUAUUAAAUUUUAUCCUACAAUUCCUAUUUGAACUAGUUCGAGGUUAAAUCAAUUUAAGUGUACCGUUAGGUACAAUAUCGGGUUUCGUCUAUUCUUAGGUGCUUUUCUAGAGUAAUAACAUGCUACUCAGUGCAUGUAUGUCAUGACAUGUGUUUAUAGGGUCAGGUUUUACAGUAAACCUAUGGAAAUCUAGUACUAAUUUGAAAUUUGUGUUGGCAUAAACUCAUCCAAAUGUCAAAAAAUAAAAAUUAAAAAAAUUAAAAAAACUCAUCUAGAUGUCAUGAUAUUCUUGGUACAAGAUUAUACACACACACGGAAAUCCAUUUGAGAAUAUGCUUGCAUUAGAAUUGAAACAUGAAUUUAAAUGAUGCCUAUAUUUUUCCUUAGGUUAAUGAUUGAUAGAUGCCAGUUAAAAUUCUACUACGCAAGUAUACGUAUCGAACAGACAGUAUAUUAGCAAGCAGAGUAUCAAUUCCACAGAGAAUUGAUCUAAAAUUUUACUAAGUACUAAAAUUAGAACAAAUUAAUCUUAUCCAAACACUCAAAAUUAAUUGAUUAACUAAAACUAAUUAACCAAAAUUUAAACUAAAAAGAAAAACCAAAGUAAUAACAACGUGAGUAAAUAUCAAAUCAAACAAGCCUAGGAUUACAAUAUCCCUCACACUUCAUCUAAAUCUUACCUCUCUUCCUUAACUUAUUUCAUUGGGUUAAAUUGUUAACCUAGAGUCCUAAAUUAUUUAUAAAGGUCUCCCGACUCAUCUUAUAAAAAUAUCUAUAUUAACCAAACCACUAUAUCCCUAUGUGAAUUGAAAUUAAAAUAGACUCAUUAAGUUCAGGCUCUAUUCUACCUACAUAUGGCCUAUAGGUAUAUCCCUAUCCUAUACGCAAAUCAAUUAAUAUGAUCAUAUGAUAUUCUAAUUUUAGUCUACUCUAAAUUCCCUUUCUGAAGUUUGUUUAGGUUCCUAAAUCAAUUUAAUUGGUGAUCAAGCAAUAAAAGCAUUAAGAACAAAUUGAAAUAAACAAUUCAAAUCCCAUUAAAGAUAAGUAAGAAAGAGAUUAAAAAUUUAGAUUACAUGUGAGUUCAAUUGCAAUCCUAGAAAAAUAGUUUAUUUUAUAAUAUCUAAUAAAAACUUCAUCCAAAGAAAAUUAGCCAUUGAUCCAAGUCAAAGAAAAUAAGAAAAACACAGAAGUAGAGAGAGAAAACUAAUAGUUGAAACUUUGUGGUCUUGAUUCUCCCUCCAAUUCUCUUGCUUUUUUGCUUUGUUUUUUGCUCUUCUUCUCUAGAGAAAUUGCUUAUUGCCUCAUCCUAAAACCCUCUGAAAAAGGCCCUUUAAAUAGCUUUCAAAAGCCCUAGCUUCCAAAAUCCCGUAAGCUUGUUAUUUUUGGAAAAUAUGGUGGGGGCCGCAGCUCUCAAAUUUCAGAGUCGCUGCUCUCAAAGGUUUUGCCAAAUUUUGUUCCUCUAGUGCAGUACUUUCACCUCGACAAAUAUUUUCACCACUUUUCGUUUAGAAAUGGCCAAAGUGGUAAACAUUAAAGUUGUAUCCCUGCCUCUUAGCUUUUUAAUGGUCUAAAACUCAUGUCAUUUGGACUUCUUUAGUAGGAGAUAUUCUUGAAAACCUGAAACAUAUGCAAACAGAGCACCAGUCCAUUAUGCACCUUUCUUCACCAAUUGAAAUUAUUUUUAAUCUUACUCCUACAAAAACAUAAAAAUAAAUAUAAAUAACAUAAAACUAACAUUAUUAACUUAAAAUAAACAUUUAAACAUAAAUUAAACUAAACUAAUAAAAAAAUAAAAACACCUAAAUCCGAUCCUAUAUCUAAUCUAACUUAGACUAAUGAAGUAUUUAAUCUCCUGUUAAAUAUAUGUAUUUGAAGCACUCAUCAAUAGACAUACUUUUGAGGAAAUUAUGAGGAAUCAUUGAGUUGUUGCACUUUAUCUCUAGUAGUAGCAGUAGUAGUAGUAGUAACUAUAUUUAUUUUAGUUUUCAUUAACUAAAUUUGAUUUUCGUAAGUUAGGUUCUUUUCUAUGUUUUGCUCGAGGACUAGCAAAAUAUUAAGUUUGGGGGUGUGAUAACUCUAUGAUAUAGAGUUAUUUGGGCUUAAUUUUGAUAGUAAUUUGGCUUAGUUUUUGUAGUAAUGCAUAGCAAUUAGUAGGUUUUAUUUAAUUAUUUUAAAUUAGUUAUUUUAGGCAAGUCUGUUACGACCCGGAACCCCCUCGAGCCCAUGACAAUCGUUGCGGUGCCCCGAUGGGCACUCAUCUCCCUAAAUGCCAACCGGAACCUUACAAGGCUUAAUAUCAGUUUCUCAUUUUCCCCGGUGAGUAACCGUUGCCAAAUUUUAUGUUCUAAAGGAUUUUGAGCUAUUCCCAACUUAAAACUGAUAAAAUAAAAAUUUUUGUCUCAUAGGGGCAUUUUGGUCAUUUUCCACUUAAAAUUUUGAAACCAGUUAAAAAUGUAGUAAACAAGUACCAAUCGCAUAAUUUACAAUUAAAAAUAAGUUUAGGCAUCUAAAACCUUUAUUUAAAAUGAAAUUAUAAUUAUUUGAAUAUAAUAAGAAGAUAAAACAAAAUAUUCAAUAAAAUAUUUUAUUUUCUUAUAAACAGAAAUUUUGGAGUUAUGUGUAAAUACUUUUUGUAACAUAAAAACAAAAUAAAUUCAUCAUAUUGUAGCACAAUAAACUAUUAAAUUUACAAUAAUCAAGUGGGCCCACAAUAACUAGAAUUAAAAAAAUUGUGAACCUACUAUGUGAAGGACGCUAAUCCAAUAGAAGCCCUUGAUGGAAUCAGCUAUCUACAGCCUACUCUGAGCCUGAAAUGUGUGGAAAGGAGGGUGACGAGAUUAUAAAAUCCCAGUGAGUAAACAAACAUAAUUUAAAUCAGCUAAAACUGAGUAAAAGGAGACAAUUAAAAUAUCCCAUCAUAUUAUGUAUUUCCCAAUUUGAAAAUUCAUCCCAACCCAUGCAAACAGUUGUAUUUCAUUUAAUUUCUCAUUAAGGCUUAUGGCUUCCAUAAACAUUUGGCUCAUGCCAUCAAAUAGUACUCGAUGACACCUUGAUCAGAGGCGUACACUCGAGCCCACCAAGGUUAUUAAAAUUUUGUAUACACGUAAAACAUAUCUUUAGUUUGAAAAACACAACCAUUCCUUGGCAUUGGUUGAGUUCCCCAUCACGUGGUGGUUUGGCGUGAAGUGAACCCUAAGCUUUACCCCAGGAGAUACCCUACGCGCCUCUCCGUUUGAGGUAAGAAUAUAAUGGGGUUUCUCGUGCCCCUCUAAAAAACUGAUCCACAGAAAUCCCAUACUGUAGUGAUUAAUUAAUAUAUAAUCCACCAAUCAAUAAAAUUCAUUCUAGCAUGACAUGACAAUUAUUAUAAUUCACAGCCUUUCAAGACUAAAUACAUAUUUCAUAUAUUUCAACACAAAUACCAAUUCAGCCAUUCAUACAAAUACUGUCAUAAGCCAUUAGAUUCAUAAAUUUAAUUCAUAACAAGUGGUCUCCAAUUACUCUAUUUUUCAAAAUCAUCAUUCAAUUUUAAAACAAUUUAUAAAAUCUUUUCAUGUAGACACAUUUUGUUUGUAAAACUCAAGAUUUACCAUUUAAUUUCAUUUUCAUAAAAUUUCAUCAAAAUCGAUUAAAAACAUACUUUAGAUAAUUAAAAUGAUGGUAAGGUUACUCACAGUAUUAGGAGUUCGAUAUACUCCUAUUCCCGAUUUUCGAGCACAAUCUCUUUACCCUUGUUAGAGGGCUCACCACCUAUACAUCAUACGUGACACGAAUUUCAAUAAAUUGUGUCAAUUUAUCAUAAACUAUUUCAGGCUCUUUAAAUCUAAAUGAAUGCAUGCGAUGGGAUGCAAAAUGUUUGAUUAAUCACUUAAAUGUGAUAUUCGACUUAAGUCACACUAUACUCGGUCUAAUCGGCUAAAAUCUCCAAUUUAACUCCAAAUCAAUUCUUUUCACUUUCUACACUCCAAUUAUACUUAAAUUACCUAAGUGACUGUGAAUGAUAUUCAAUUUAUCAGUCCCGGAUUAAUAAUCACACAUGUCUACACAUUAGGUAAAAAUUCAGAUUUUCACACCAAAAUUUCCCAUUUAAUUUCUAGCGUCACCAAACAUCAAAUAUCAGCCAAAUAUCAUAAAAUAUAAUCAAUUUUAGCCUUAAUAUCCUCCCUAGAAAAUUUGGCCAAUAAUGGUGAUGGGGGAAAAUGAAUUCUUUUCUUGUUGUUUUGUUUCUAAAUAUGCUAAACUAACUAAAAACACUAACAUAAUUUAAAAUCAAAUCAAUCUAACUUCAUUCUCUAUCCAUACCCAUUUGGGCAGCCAUGAAUUCACCAUGAAAACAUGAAAUUUAAUCAUGGAAAAUAAGGAGAAAUGCAUGGGAAAGGUAGAUCACAAGUCAAAAUCAAGAAAUUUUACCUUUGAUUGCUUGAUCCUUUGGAAUCCCGCACUUUUUCUUCAAUUUUCCCACCUAGGUCUUGUGUUUUUUUCCUUUCCUCUCUUGUUCUUACCAUGGCUGGCCACAUGAAGAGAAAAUGGGAUAAAUAUGGGCUGAUUUUUAUGGAAAAUAAUAAAGUAUUCUUGCUUGACAUGUGGCAUGUUUCCAUUGGUCCAUUUUUAAAACUUUAAAAAAUUUUAAACCUUUUUAUCUCCACUACAUGAUUAGUCAAUGGUCAAAAUGAGGAUAAGGGAAGACCAUGUGCUGGACAAAUGUCCUGGUGGUAGAAAAUUAUUGUUUUGCCCUUAGGGGUGGCAAAAUUACCAUUUUACCCCUAUGUUCCAAAAAAUACCAAGAAUGAAUUUUUUUCCACUUCUUAACCUCAAAUCAUACUCCAAUAAGUCAAAUGGGGCUAAAAAACUUUUCUAAAAAUUUCUAUUUUAUCCCCAAGUGGCAAAUGACCAUUUUGCCCCUAGAUAGUGAAAAUUUCGGUUUGACUCCAAAUUAAUCCUCGAACUCCAAAUCACCAUAUUAAACCAUUCUGGGACUUUAAUAUUCUUAAUUUCAUCUUAAAUUCUCUAUUUGAUCUAGUUCGAGGCUUAAAUCAACUUUGUUGUACCUUUAGGUACAAUACCGACUUUUGUAAAUUUUUCGGGACUCUCUUAGCAUGCAAACAUGUUAUCCAUCACAUGUAUGUCAUGACAAGUAUUUUAUAGAGUCAGGCUUGACAUCUUUUCCCUUACUUGGAUCAACCAUAUGAUCCUUCUUCAUGACUGAUUUUGACAUCCGGUUAAAUAUUAAUAUUUUAAUAUUAUUUUAUUAAUAAAAUAUUAUUUUAUUCUAAAAAAUUUAUCUUGUCUCUUUGGUUCCCAGAGUUCCUUAUUAUGCCUCAAUUCGCAUCCGACCAACUUUAUUUAUCACCAUAUCAAAGUAUGGGGCAUUUCAAAGUCAAUCUAAUCAUGGUUAAUUUUAUGCUUAAUUUAGUGUUAAUGUAGUUAAGAUAGGUUGUUAUUGAUUUAAUUGUGCUUUUGUAAGUAUUCGAAAGAAGAAUUUUAGUAAAAAAAGGAGAGCAAUUUUAAGGUGUAGACUUUCAAUGCACAUGUUUCGGUAUUUUGGCCAUAACUUUCUCUACAGAGCUCCAAAUGAAGCGAUUCUUGGACCGUUUAAAAGAUAAGAGAAAAAUCUACAAUUUUAUGAACUUCACGCAUUUUGACUUUAGUAUGGUCAAAAAUCUUAUUGAAGUUGACGCACUGCAACAAUCCUAGAGCAAUUACGAUUUUUGUUAAUUAAUUGGGCAAGCCUGCGACUUACAUAGUCUGAUGAGGAAAUCCCAACUAAAAUUGACUUCUUUCUUUACCCAACUUGGCCUAACUUCAAAGCCUAUAAAAACAACCUUUCGAAGAACUUAAAGGAGAACGAAAAAAUGCCAGAUUAACAUCGGAGAGUUAAGUCACAAAGUCAUUAAAGCUAAGAAGAAUUUGAAGGAUUCAAGGAGAUUUGGAGAUUAAGAACAUAAUUAUUGAGUUUUUCUAUAUUUUCUUUUAUUCUCUUAUUAUCUUGGUUGUGCUUUUAAUGUUUAGAUUUUAUUCGUUGAUAAUGUGUGACUUGAUGGGGAACUAAUUUUUUAAUCUAAGAUUAUAAUUGACCUCAAUAUGUAGUUUGAUUUAUUUAUCUCUCUUUUGCUUAUGUUUGAUAGAUUUAAGAUGUUUAUUUUAUUUUAUUCUCAAUGCUUCUAAUUGCUUGAUCACCAAUGAGAUUGAAUUGGAAAUCUAAGUUAAACCUUGAAGAAAGGUGAUUUAGGUAGACCUUGAAUAGAAUAGCGUAUGAUCGAAUGCACUUAGUUGAUUAGGUGAUUUGAUUUGCACAUAGGAUAGACAUACACCUAUAAGCCAUAUGUAGCCAAGAUUAGAGCACAAACUUAAUGAAUCUUUCUUCAAUUUAAUUUGCAUUGACAUAUAGUAAAUUAAUUAAGAGAUAUAUUUUUAUAAGAAACUCGACAGAGACUUAUACAUAAUUUAGGACUCUAGGUUAGGAACUUAAUUCAUUAAACUAAGUUAAAAGCGAGAGACAAUAUUCAGAUGAAGUACUAAGAGAUAUUAUUAUCUUAGGUUUGUUAAUCACUAGAAGUAAAAUUUGUUGAUAUAUUAGUUUUAGUUAUUAUUUUAUUAAUUUAAAAUUUUCUUUUUAAUUUUAAUUGUUUAGAUAAAAUUAAGGUGUGUUAAUUUUAGUAGUUAACAGUAAAAAUUAAUUCAAUUCUUUGUGGGAUCGACACUCUACUCAUCUCAAUAUUAUCUUUGCGAUACGUACACUUGCGUGAGUAGAAAAUUGAACAAGUAAAAUAAUAGAUAUAAUUUUGACUAAUAAGAGUUAGUCAUAAGAGUUUAUUUAGUCCAAAAUAAAAAUUAAGAAGCUUAAUUGAAUGCAAUAGACUAAUAAAAUUUUAUUUGAAAUUUUAAAUAAUUAAAUUUUUUUUAAAUAUUAUACUUUAAUAUAUAAUAUUAAGUCGACCUCCAUAAGUUAAAUGUAUGGAGAUCCAUCAUUGAUUCUAAUAUAUCUAUUAUAUAUGUAAUGACCAAAGUUUAAUCACUAGUCCAAUAGCUUUUCAGACUUAAACCAUAAGGCCUUCAGAAGCUCUAGCUCUAGUUACUAGUAGUGAUGGACUUAGAUUGUUAUAUAAAUUUUAACAAUCACAUUUACAUCUGAUGUGGGGUAUCACAAUCUCACCCAUUCAAAUCCUUGAUGUCCUCAUCAAGACCAUAUAUCACAUCACAAUCAAGGCUUAUUCAACAGGAACAAGAUUUCACCAAAGCAAUGUGGAAGCCCACAUUGGACUAGCGCAGGCUUUGAUACCAUUUAUAACUACCCAAGUCCAAGCAUCGACCCAAUAACUUUUCGCGCCUCAACCACAUGGUCCUUAAAAGUUCAAGUUGCUAGUAGUAAUGGAUUUGGAUUGUUAUAUAGGUUUUAACAAUCACAUUCACAUCAGAUGUGGGAUGUGGGGUAUCACAAUCCCACCCAUUCAAAUCCUUGAUGUUUUCAUCAAGCCCACAAAUCAUCCAUAGGAAAUCAUUCACAAGACCAAUUCAUAGGACCAAGAUCUCACCAGACCAAUGUGGAAGCUCACAUUGGACUGGCACAAGUUUUGAUACCAUUUGUAACAUCUUAAGUCUAAUCACUGGUCCAACAACUUUUUGAGCUUAAACCACGUGACUCUUAAAAGCUCAAGCUCAAGUUGCAAAUAGUGAUGGACUUGGAUUGUUAUAUGGAUCUAAAUAAUUACAUUCACAUCUGAUGUGGGAUGUGGGAAUGCCAUUAGAAAAGUUAGUAGAGUUAUAUAUGGAGAAAUUUUGAGAUUACAUGGGGUGUUAGUGUCCAUUGAAUCUGAUCGAGAUUCUCGAUUUGUGAAAAAAUUUUGAGAAAGUCUACAUAAAGCUUUAGGUACCAAACUUAAUUUUAAUACUAUCUUUCAUCCCUAAAUAAAUGGUCAGUCCAAGAGAACUAAUUAAAUUCUUGAGGACAUGUUGAGAGCUUGUGUCAUGGAUUUUGGAGGUUCUUGGGAUUGACACUUGUCAUGGGCGAAAUUUGCUUAUAAUAAUAGCUAUCAAUCUAGUAUCCAAAUGGCUCCAUUUGAAGCUUUGUAUGGUAAGAAGUGGAGGUCUCCUCUUUUUUGGGAUGAUGUGGGUGAAGGACAAUUACUGGGGCUAGAUCUUAUUCAGUAGACAGUUGAAAAGGUUCAGUUAAUCAAAGAACAUCUUCGUACAGCUCAAAGAAAACAUAAAAGUUAUGCAAACAAUAUAAUAAAGAAGUUAGAAAUUGAGGUUGGAGAUCAUGUAUUCUUGCAAGUUUCCUCUAUUAGAGGAGUAAUGCGAUUAGAGAUUCAAGAAAAACUUAGUCUUUUUUAUGUUCGUUUGAGAUUUUGGAUAGGGUUGGUGAUGUGGCUUAUAGAUUGGUGCUUUCACUUGCUCUAUCGGGAGUGCAUAACGUGUUUCAUGUUCCCUUGAUAAGGAAAUAUAUUCCAGAUCCUAAUCAUGUUGUCACAACCCAGAACUCCCAUCGAGCCCUGACAACUACUGUGACGUCCCGAUAGACAUUCAUUACCCGGAAUGUCAAUCGAAACCUCUCAAGGCUUAACAUCAGUUUUUCUCACUUUCCCUGUGAGUAUUAGUCACUAAAAUUAUGUUUUGAGAGAUUAUAAAUUAUUUCCAAAUCAAAACAAUAGAAAAACAAAUUUUUUUCUCACAGGGGCAUUUUGGUUAUUUUUCCUCAAAAAUCUCGAAAUCCUCUAAAAAUGUAGUAUGCGAGUAUAAAACACAUAAUUCAUAACAAAAAAUAAGUUUAAAUAUCUAAAACCUUCAUUUAAAAUGAAAUUAUGAUUAUUUGGAUAUAAUAAAAAUAAAUAAAAAAAAUAUUCAAUAAAAUAUUCUAUUUUCUUAUAAAACAAUAUUUUUAGGGUUAUACGUAAAUAAUUUUUUGUAGCAGCGUAAAAGUAAAAUAAAUUCAUACAUACUGUAAUACAGUAAGCCAGAGUAUUUAAUUUAAUUUACAAUAAUCAGUGGGCCCUCGAAUAACUAAAAAAUAAGGAAGACUGUGAACCUACAAUUUGGAGGAUGGAAAUCCAAUGGUAGCCUCGAUGAAAUUAGCUAUCUACAGCCUAUUUUGAGUCUGAAAUGGGUGGAAAGGAGGGUGGUGAGAUUAUAUAAUCUCAGUGAGUAAACAAAUACCAUCUAAAAUAUCUAAAGCCGAGUAAAUGGAGACAAAUAAAAUAGUUUAAUAUACUGUGAUUCAUCACCUUUCAAUUCAUUUCAAUCAAAUAAAAUUAAUUCAUAUAAAUCGAGUAAUCAACAUGGCUUAUGAAUUUCUUAAAACUUUGGCUCGCGCUAAAAAAUCAUUUUUAUACCCAGUUAUCAGGGAUGCCUUGAUCGAGGGCUAUCCCAACCGAGUCCACCAAGGUUAUUAAAAGUUAUGUAUGCAUAAAUCAUGUUUUUAUUUAGAAAACAUAGCCGUUCCUUGGCGUUGGCUGAGUUCCCCCUUACGUGGUGGUUUAGCGUGAAGUGAACUCUAAAGUUAUACCUCGGGAGUUAUCCUACUCGCCUCUCCAACCAAGGUAAAAUAUAUCGGGAUUUCGUGCCCCUCUAAUAGGCUGGUCCACAGAAAACCCGCCCCCUGCAGCAGGUUAAAUCCACCAUACAACAAAAUUUUGAUAGCAUGACAUGACUAAUAUAAUACUAUCCAGCCUGUAAAUGUAAAACAGAACAAUUCAUAUAGUUCACCAAAAACACAACCCAGCCAGUCAUGCCAACACAUUAACAUAAGCCAUCAAUUCAAAUCAUAAAUUUACAACACAUCAGGAGUCUCCAAUUACUUUAUUUUCAAAAUCAUCAUUCAAUUUCAAGACAAUUUAUAAAAUCUUUUCAUUUAAACACAUUUUGUUUAUAAACAUAAAGGUUUACCAUUUAAACCCAUUUUUCAUAAAAUCAUAAAAUCGAAUAAAAAUCACUUUAGAUAAUUAAGACGAUAGUAAGGUUACUCACAGUAUCAGGAGUAGAAAUACUCCUAGUCCCGGUCUUUGGUGUAAUCUUUUUAUCCUUAUCAAAUAGCUCACCACCUAUACAUCACACAUGACACAAAAUUCAAUAAUUUGUGUCAAUUUGUCAUAAACUAUUUUAAGCUUUCUAAAUCUAAAUGAAUGCAUGAGAUGGGAUGCAAAAUGUCCGAUUAAUCGCUUAAAUGUGAUAUUCGACCUAAGUCACACUAUACUCGGUCUAAUCGGCUAAAAUCUCCAAUUUAACUCCAAAUCAAUUCUUCUCACUUUCUACAUUCCAAUUAUACCUAAAUUACCUCAGUGACUGUGAAUGAGAUUCAAUUUAUCAGUCUCGGGUCAAUAAUCACACAUGUCUAUACGUUGAGCAAAAAUUCAGAUUUUCACACCAAAAUUUUCCAUUUAAUUUCUAACCUCACCAAACAUCAAAUAUCACCAAAAUAUCAUGAAAUAUCAUCAAUUUCAGCCACAAUAUCCUCCCUAGAAAAUUCGGCCAAUGAAGAACACAUAAGGAAUGGGUGAUUUUCAAGCUUGAUUCUUACACUAAACACCAUAAAUCAUUGAAAACAUCCAUAUAACUUAAAAUCCAACCAAACCAUCACCAAAUUCUCUCUCUCUCUCUAGAAUUCGACCUUCAUGGGUUUCAUCAUGUCAACUCAAUUUUCAGCCAUGGAAAUAAGAAAAUAAAGCAUGGGUAUGCUAGAUCUCAAGCAAAAAUUGAAAAAUCAUACCUUAUCUUGCUUGAUUCCUUGAAAUUUCCACAAUUUUUCUUGAAAUUCUCUUAUCCAGCGUUUGUUCUAGUUUUUCCUUUCUUUCCUUUGUCUUGGCCGAAUAUGGAGAAAAAGAAUGGGAUAAAUAUGGGCUGAUUUUUAUAAAAAAUAAUAAAAUAUUCUUGCUUGACACGUGUCACAUGCUUAUUAGUCCAUUUUUCUUUUUAUACUUUAAUAAUUAUGCUUCCAUUCUCCACCACAUGAUUAGUCAAAGGUCAAAAUGAGGAUAAGGGAAGACCAUGUGCUGGACAAGUGUCCUGGUGGUGGAAAAUUACUAUUUUACUCUUGGGGUGACAAAAUUAUCAUUUUGCCCCUAUGCUUCAAAAAUACCAAAAUUACAACUUUUUCACUUAUCAACCUCAAAUUAUACUCCAAUGAGUCAAAUGUGAUCAAUCUUGAUCAAAAACUUCUUCUAAUAUUCCAAUUUUUUAUCCUCAAGUGGCAAGAUUACCAUUUUGCCCCUAGAUAGUGAAAAUUUCGAUUUGACUCCGAAUUAAUCCUCGAAUUUCGAAUCACCAUUUUAACUCAUUAUUGAACUAUAAAUUUUGAAUUUCACCUUAAAAUCCCUAUUUGACCUAAGUCGAGGCUUAGAUCAACUUUAUUGUACCUCUAGGUACAGACCGACUUUUGUCGAUUUUUUGAGGCUCUCCUAGUAUGUAAACAUGCUAUCCAUCACAUGUAUGUCCUGUUAAGUAUUUUAUAAGGUCGGACUUUACACAUGUGGUUAAGUUAGCUCUUUAAAACUUAAAGAAGAUUUGUCUUAUGAUGAGCAUCCUAUAUGUAUUGUGGAUAGGAAAGAGCAAGUUCUAAGAAGGUGGACUAUUCCUUAUGUUAAAGUGCAAUGGAGUAAUCACACAGAAUGAGAAGCGACUUGGGAUUUGGAAGAAAAUAUCAAAGAGAAGUAUCCUUACCUUUAUGAAGACUAAGGUAAGCGUUUAAGGGACUAAACUCUAUUUAAGGAGGGGAUGAUGUAAUAUCCCUCACAAAAAAAAAAUUAUUUUAUUUGAUAAUUAUAGAUAUGGUCAUGGGGUUAUUAAUAAAAAGAAAAAAAAGAAAAGACUUUUUAGAAAAUAAAGUAGAUAUAUUUUAGUUGGUAUCAAGAUUACGUUAUCAUGUUUAAAAAGAGAAUCAGUUAGUUUUACCUUAUUAUAUUUUAAAAAGAAAAUAAGUCAAUUUUAUCUUAACACAUUUAAAAGAAAAACAAUUAGUUAAUCUUAUCAUGUUUUUUUUAAAAAAAGUAGUCGAUUUUAACUCAGCACGUUUAAAAGAAAAGCAAUCAGUUGAAAAAAAUCAGUAAAAAUUAAUUUAGUCUUAUAUCAUUAGGCUUAAGAGAAAACCAGUCAAAAGAAGGAAGAGAAAAAGAAAGAUAGAGAAAAAAGAAAAGUAUUUAAGGAAUUUUUGAUUAAUGAAUGAUCAGGGUUUUAUGCUCUUAGUUUAGGCACAAAAAUCUUAAAUUAUUUUGUAUUUUUUUAACUUUUAUUCAAAUUCGGUACUGUUCUGAUAACUUUCCAGUGACAUGAUAGGUACCAAUGGAAAAGUCUUGAAAAGAUCUUUCUAAUAGUUUUUGUAGCAUUUUGUUAGACUUUAUGAAUAGAAAGAUACAAAUUUUUGAAAUUGAUUGAAAAUCUGAUUUUAACAAUUUUAAUGGCCCAACUUUGGGUCACCGGUCAAUAACAUUUUGGGUCAUUACAAAUGGUAUCAGAGCCUGCGCAAAUUCGAUGUGCGCUUUCACAUUGUUUUGUUGAGAUUUUGGUCUUGUGAAUGAUUUGUGACAUUAAUGAGAACAUAAAAAAUUUAAAUAGAUGGGAUUGUGAUGCCUUACAUCUGAUGUGAAUAUGAUUGUUAAGACAUAUAUAAUAGUCUAAGUUUAUUACAACUAAUAACUUGAAUUUAAAUUUUUUAAGGUAAUGUGAUUUAUGCUUGAAAAAUUAAUGGAUUAGUACUUAGAUUUGGAUCGUUAUAAUAUAUAUAUAUAUAUAUAUUGAAAAAUGAGUAUGAAAUUUUAAAAAACAGACAAAAAAGAAGAAGAAAAUGUCCUAUUUUGAGAAUGAAAUGGAGAUACGAAAUUGUUGAACUUGGAAAAGUAGGCAUCAGAUAGAUGAAGUGGACGGAGCAUAUCCUUGGAGAUAUGUAUAUCUUAUUCGUGAAACUUGGAUACAGCCAUUACAAUUUGACCACGUGGCAAUCCCCAUAUCAUGAAACAAGAUGAAGAAAAAUCUUAGGAACACUGGCCUACACUAUAUAUACAGUUCAAACUGACAAAAACAGAUGAUUUCCCAGAAUCUAGAACCCAAGUUUUCUUGUAAGGAAGGAAAUAUGUCCAUUACACCAUCUCAACAAAGUUUCCUAACCAACGCUUUUACAUUUACUCACAAACCCAAAACCAAGCGUCUCAGCUCUGCUACUUUCAUCUCAUGCAGAUACCAGUCAGAUGACCACAAAGAUUCUGCCUGGUAGCUAAUUUUCAUGCCAUUUCACUUCUCUUUGCUUCUUGCAAUGCAACUAUGUUCCAUGACGGAGGAUUGUGUUUUGGUGCUGAAUUUUCUACAGGAGAAAUGAGAAGCAGUUGGCAAAGCUAGCAAUAGUGACACUGGCAGCUGGAGUGUUGACUCUGGGCUCAGUUGGUGAUGCAUCAGCUGCCAAGACGGGUGGUAGAGUUGGUGGUCAAGCGUUUCGUUCAUCAGCUCCUCGCUCAGCCCCAAGAGCCAACAGCAAUUCGAGGUAAUUCAUCGGUUAAGUUUUGUUGGUGUUAAUUUUGUUUAGGCCGCUGGUUUUAGCAUCUCCUUUGGAUAUUAAUUAGAUAGAUUCAGUUGUUUGACAAAUAGGAAUUUUUUUUUUUGACGUUAUUGAUCAAUAUUGAGCACAUAAUGUUACUUGGGAACUUGGAUUUCUUAAUUUUUAAUGUGUUGUUGUUUGAAUUUUGAAAGAAUUAAGCUCUGAAUAUAUGCGCAGUGUAGGUGGGUACUAUAGAAAAGCAGUUGAAAAAGCCUCAUUUGUGCUUUUAAUAUACACAUUAUACUAAUUUCAAAGAGAUAGAGGGCUGAUGCGAAGCUUUUAGCUGCAAGUUCAGCUAAAUGGUAGCCUUGUUUGUUCUUUAUAAGGAGAGAUUUGCAUAAGCAGGAAUCAGUCACUAGCUAGAGAAUGGCUUUCUAUUUAAGUACGGAAAACUUUAUCUUUUAGUCACAAUUGGUAUUUCUAAUAGUCAAUAGUUCUCUAGGACUUAUUGAACUAUAUGAAAUGCUAGGAGUACUGUCACUACCUUCUGAUGCUGAUCAGGAAGGAAAAAUUCUACAAGUCUAGAUGGGAGCACUCUUGAAUUUACUGUAUAAUUUUUGCUUUCUUUUAAGUUGGCAUUGCUAUGUACUGGGUCAGAUUGAAAUGAUGCUCAAUAUUGAAAAAAAGUUGAGGAGAAUCUUAAGUAAUAUGCUGAGCCACUUCAAAUUCAGUAAUUGAUGGAAUGGCAUUUGUCGUCCUCAUUGCAAGCUUUUAUUAUUUGAUCAUAAGUCUAAUUCAUUCUGUGACACCUUGAUUUGACCAAAAUUAACUGGUUUCUUGAAAAAAGUCAGGACCCAGAACAUAUUCUUCAUUCUAGAUUGAAAAACAGGAUGAGCAAUGAGAUAGGUUGCUCCAACUUUGCCAUUAUAUAAACGUGGUGGCUAGAGAAAGUAUGUGUAGGUCAGCAAGCAGGAUUUUCACCCAUAUAAGCUCAGCUGCAGUGAAGGCUAUAGCUCUACACCUGGCCUCAGUAGAUGACUUAGCACGACGACAUCCCAAGAUUAGCAUUCCUCCCAAAUACACUAUGUUGGCUUUUGUUGAUUUACAAAUUGCAAUCAUCUAAACGGUUCACCCAGUUAUAAUUAGACUCAGAGAAAGCUGUGGGAGUAAGAGCAGACUGCUUCUUGAAUGAUAGAUGGGAAUGAGUUAAUGACCUUGAGUUAUCACUGGAUUCAUCUGUAAAUGUGAUGAACAUGCAUAAACUGAGACACUUGUUUACUGAAAAUGCGAAAUCAGGCAUCAUUCUAGACAAGUAUUGAAGGAUAAAACCCCAUAGCAACAAAGCGUGCCUUGUAACUUUUAUUAUAACCAUCAAGUGUUCUCCUAAUGCAAAAAACACACUCACUUUUGACAAAUUUUGAGCUUUAGAUGGUGGAACAAGCUGGAAGUUCAAGUGUUCACAAAGCCAUUAAAUUCAGUGCAGUGAUGGCAGCCUUCUGUUGCGGAUCUUUCAUAGCUUGAAGCAUAUUGUAGGUUCAAGAGAAACAGGAAUAGGAUGCAUCACAGUAGUGUAAAUUCUUUGGUCUGAAAGUAUUACUUUGUGAGAAAGUGGCCAUUAGAUGAGUCCAAGGAGGCUGAGAGAGAUUGGAUGCAGAAUUGAGAGAGGGUUGGGAUUGGAAUUUGAAACAGGUUCAGCUGAGGAAAACAGUAGUCAUUGAGUCAUCAGGUUGAAGUGGGUGACUUGCUAAAGAAUUCUAACCUGAGGAUGUCACUACUGCAGACCUUAAUGGAAUAGAGAAAUGGCUGUUGCACUUGAAGAUUGAUUGUCAGAUGAGAAAUUUGUGAGAGGAACUGAAGCAAUUAUAGGAGGAGCAGAUGCUGCAACAAAAGUAUAAGUUCUAAUCUGUUGAGCGGCACAAUAAGCAUUAAUUCUAGGCUGUGAUAAAUAAAGAGAAGAAGACCACUGCAUGUCAUGAAAUGAAUAUUUCUAGGCAGUUGGAUCAAAACACUUAUAUGCACUCUAUGAAUGGACCAUUCAAGAAAAACACAUGGAUGUGAUUUUGGUUGAAGUUUAUGACGAUUGUAAAUCAAGCCAAGGAUAGCACAAACACUGAAACACAUUGAGCUAACAAUAAUUAGGUGUAAUGAGACCUCAAAAGGUGUUUUCUUAUUCAAAGCUGAAGAUGGUUGAAUGCAGUUUGAAAUGAAUAGACCAGAAAGAUAAUGGCUGUGAUGCUUAAUGUAAGAGAGUCAAUUCACUUUCAACAAUGUGUCUGUGCCAUCUUUCAGCAAUGCUGUUAUGUUGUGGUGUGUGGAAGCAUUUGAAAAUGUGAAAGACCGUGAUCUAUAAAAAUUUGACUAAUUUUCCAUUCCCCUCCAUUAUCAGAAUAUGUACUAGAGAGUUCACAGAUAGCCAGAGAGGCAGAAGUUCUAAAAAAAUUUCUUGUGCUACUGGCAGUUAUUAGUGCAAAAUUUUCACCAUCAUUGUUGGAUGAAUGACUGCCCUUGGUUGGCAAAUUACUGCUGGACUCCAAGUCAAAUUAACUUUAGGAAUGAGAGAAACAUCAGUGCCUUCUUCAUGCUUGAGAGAAGUUCCAUCAAUGAGUUUGCCAUGGAGUUCUAUAGCUUUGGUCGCAGUAAUAAUUUCCUUGAAGUCUGGCCCAAUACCUUUGAGAAUAUACAGCUCAAUAAUCAUUGUCUACAGGAUUUUAAAGGAGUACAACCUCAUCAGCUAUGAACUUCAUUGUUUGUAGAUAUUUAUUUCAUUGAUUUUUCAAGUACAAAUAAUUAUAGAUACAAUAAUUAUAGAUAAAACAAGAUCAGGUCUGGUACCACACAAGAUUGAAUCUGUAUGUUUGAAAUAAAAUCAAAGCUUUAGAAUUGAAAUAGUUUGAAUCAUUUAAAUAUUCUGACUUGCUUGACUGCGCUAGCUUCUUCUCUCCUGCCAUUUGGUCAAUUACAUUAAAUCAGACUCUUGUAAUGUUGUAAACUAUUUUAGAUGGCUAGCAAAAGAAGUAGAUUAAAUUCAUUGCUGAACCUAAGGCCAUAGUUUCUGAUUGAAAGUCAUGGUGAUAUGAAACUAUUGUUAUAUUAAUGACCUUCAUAAUUUGUGCUUAAAAUUAAGAACCAUUAAACCAUUUUGUCAGAGAACAGAUGAGGGGUUGGAAAUAUUCAGAAUAGUUUGAAUGUUUUGUUACUUUGAUCCCAUAAGCAUUUUGAUAUUUAGGCCAUUGACAAGAAAACAAAGUUCUACAUUUUACAGAUUCAAAAAAAAUAUAUAUAUAUCAGCAGGUAGAGUUUGGUGUUUUGUCAUGGAAGAACCCUUACUUGAACCAAGUAGAAAGGAGCUAGUAGACGUGCCUAAGAAAUUAGAUUGUCAAGAAUCAAAAUGCUCUAAAUGAAAUGUGAACUGAUUAUUUUUAUUUUGUCUUUAGCUUCUUCAUCAAAUUUUGGUCUUUGACUUCGUUCAUAUUUUCAGUGGACAAAUCUGUUUUGCUAAUGCUUAAGCUAAUGUUUGUCCAGGACCAAUAUUUAUAUCAAUCCACCAGUUGCCCCACCUCUAGUCGGUGGGUAUGGCUAUGGUUUUGGUGUGCCAUUCUAUGGUGGCUGGGGUUGGUCACCAUUUUCCUUCUUUGCUCCAGGUCCCAGUGUUGCAAUUGGUGUUGGAGGUGGAUUUGAAACUAUUGUCUUCUUUUUGUUUCUUGGUGCUGUUGCAGCUGUUGUGAGGAGAUUCCUUGGAUCAAGAGAUGAUGAGGAUGAGUAUUAGUCAAUCGAUGGAAACGAGUAUUUUGAGACUUGGGUGAAGUAAUAAAUAGAGAUGCUCGACUCACAUAUCGGUAGCAACUAUUGUAUUUUGCUGUGAGAAUAUAAUGUAUAUUUUGAUGAAUUUUUAUGGAUGAUGCAGCCUGCUACCACUUUGGAAUUUUCAAAAUGGAAGGAAAAAGAGAACUGUUAGUAUUUAAACAUGUUGCGUUUGACACAUUCAAGACACUAAAUUUUCGUAUCUUAAAUGUGUGACACGAUUAUAACAUAAAACACUAUAAGAAUAAACUUAAAACUCUAACUUUAAAUCUUCUUGUAUCUUGUCUAAAAUUAUCAAGUCUAGUUUAUGUGGUCAAAUAUUAAGAAAAUUAAAAGUGGAUUAAGAAUGAGUUUUGAAACUUGAAGUUUUAGAUCGUGGAUAUCGAUUUAUAUUGUUUUUAUGCAUGGAUUUCAUAGAACAAUGUUUUAAUCGAGGUUUUUAAAAGGUUUAAUUUUGUAAAAAAAUUUAUCAAAAAUUGAGAAAUUAGGGAGAAUGUAAGAAACAGACCCUAAUGGGUUGAGUUUUGACCAAUCAAGUAAGGGUCGACUUUGCUGGAGGUUGAAGAAGAGUUGUAUAAGCGGCGAAACAAGGCCCAAUGCAUGGGGGAAGCACGUGUGACCUACUCGUGUUGAGUGUUUCGACUGUUUAGAUAGUUCUCUUUUACUCGUCAUUUACUACCCAUUUGUACUAUUUUUCUAAUUUUUAAAAUAUGUUUUAAUUAGUUAUUUCGACUAUUUUGGUGAGGUAUUUUUAGAAUGUAUGUGACAAAAAAAAAAUAAUAUGUAUUGUUUUAAGUUUAAUGGUAGUAUGCACCUUCUUAGAUAUUUGUGUAUUUUAUAUACACUCGAAAUAAAGUUAUAUUAAUAAUUAAAUCUUAUAAAGUGAGUUUUUCAAUCCAACAAAUAUAUUUUGGUGAAUGGAAAUAUAAUGAUUGAAUAUCUCAAAAGGUUAUGUUAUAUAUGUCUAUGAUUUUGAGACAUGAUGCCUAUGAUCAUUAAGUUUUUCUUUUUUUUUUAAAGAUAUGUGAUGUUAUUGCUAGUUGCCAUAGUCAAAAUAAACUAUGAAAUUUUAUGAGUACAAGAUGAAAAUAUAGUAUAAAAACUAAAACCCCAAAACAUAUGGAUCUAAUUCGGAGAUAUUGGGUCCAAACUAAACCCAUGGACCAAACUUCUCGCUAAGCCCACCUAACUAGACAAGGAAAAUUUCAUGCAUGUACUCAAUAAAAACUCUUAACUCAUCAACUAUCCAAACAUAUUCGAUCCUCAAUUAAAUUCUUCUUAGCUUAUCUCAAUAGCAGGCUUUCAAGUCAACUCAAAACACUGCUCCACCUCCAUUGCAUAUGUGCCCAAAUCCCUUUAAAUUACUCUUAGUUGCUAUCCAAGAAACAAACCACUAUCCGCAUCUUGCAUACCAAUUAAUUGGUGUCCACACACCACCUUGUUCGAAUAAAUCAAGAAAAAUAUUCGAUCAUCCCACCAACUCUAUCCACAUAUCAACCUAAUCUCUACAAAACCCCCACCUGAGUCAAUAUUUAUUUAAAUAUAGUAGGCAACUUCCUACUCCAAUACAAACUCAACAAUUUAAAAUUGAUUUGGAUUUGUCUAUAAAACUCAGCACAAAAAUAUGGCUCAUACUUUAACUCAACCCAACAAUAUAAAACUGUAUUUUUUAGUUUAAAUGAACUGCUCAACCUACUGUCCAACUUUUCAGACUCCUUCACGUACACUCAUGUUUCAAAUCGAAUUCCAUCCUCAUUUAAAAUUCCUAAACCAUUUCAAACUCUUAUCACUUACUUACUAUCUCCACCUUAUUCAUAUCUCUUUAAGUAAACGUUUGAAAAAGUACGUCUCUUCUUUGAAUAUCAGCUUUUGCCAAUAGAUCAGCUUCUUUAUUAGCUUCCCAUCUUCACACACCAAAAUCAGACCUAUUUAAAGAUCCGGAUCACCUCUCUCUUCCCUUUUCAUUGCAACCACCAUUUGAAUAAAAUCUUCUCUAGAAUUCUCAAAUGCCAAACUAACCACAUUACCAAUAUCCCAUGUUAUUUCAACCUCCAUUAGAUUAAUGUCAGAAGUAAGAUAUUGAUUCGAGUCUUGUACAAAUUCCUCAAUAACUUCCUUCGCCCAUUUAUUGCUUGAUAAUUCUAUUUUAUAAAAUUAUUUGUCUUAUUUUGUUCUUAAAAGCUAGCUAAGUUCUUGACUUUAGAUUAAGAUUUAGUUAUUUUUCUAAUUAGUUUACUUCAUUAUGUUAUUUUAUUUUAUGCUAUUUUUAUGUUUAUUUACUUUAUUUUAAUUAUAAUUUAUUAGUUUUAUACUUUUGUAAGAUUUUAAGGAAUAAGGCAUCAAAUUGGUGAAGAAAGGUGAUUAAAGGACCAAGACUUUGAUCAAAUAUGUUGUGGUAUUUCGAGUAUAACUUCCAUUCUAGAUUUCUAAAUGACAUGAUUUUUAGACCAUUGGAAAGUUAUAAGACAGAGCUACAACUUUUCAUGAAGAUCACUUUGCCCAGUUCUACCUUGAAGAUAGAGUUGGAAGUUGACAGAGUGUAUUAGUCAGUAAGAGAAGACAUAAAGCUAGGCUAAUGCCGCAGCAUCGAAGGGAUGUGCUACGGCGUAAAGAGGAAAAAUAUGAAGAAUGAGUGUGGAAAAGAAAAGUUUGUGGGCUGAUUAAGGUUUUAUGGGUUCUACAAUUAUUCUAAGCUUAUAUUAAAAGUCAAGCAGGUUAAAUUAGGAAGAUUAGAUUAAGUUAGUAGUAUUUAAAGAGAGUUUGAGGAGAAGUUAGCCAUAUAAGUCUACCCUAAAAGAGAUUCAAGAGCUUAGAAAUUAAGGUUGAAGAUUGAAGAUUAAGGCUGCCAAUAUUCAUUUCUUCCUUUUCUUUAGCUUUUAUUAUUUGUAUAACUCUUGAUGACUAAAUUUCAUAUGUUUUUAUUUAUUAUUGAAAUUAUGUGUAUCUAUUUUCUUUCCUUUAGGAUUGCAAUUGAACUCACAUGUAGUUUAAAUUUUUAAUCUCUUUCUUGCUUACUUUCAAUGGAAUUGAAUUAUUUAUUCCAAUUGAUUCUUAAUGCUUUUAAUUGCUUGAUCACCAAUUAAAUUGAUUUGGAAACCUCAACAUAACUUAAGAAAGAAAGUUUAGAAUAGGCUAAAAUUAGAAUAACUUAUGAUCAUAUUUUUUUGUUUGGAUGAAUAAAUUGAUUUGUGUAUAAGAGAGAUAUACCUAUACGUUAUAUGCAGCCAGUAUUAGAGCUUAAACUUAAUGAGUUUGUUUUAAUUUCAAUACACAUAGAGAUAUAACGUUUUAAUUAAAGUAAAUAUUUUUAUAAGAGUUUCUAGAGAGCCUUAUAAAUAAUUGAAGACUUUAGGUUAGCAAUUUAACCCAUUAGAAUAAAUUAAGAGAGAGAGAGGUAAGAUUUAGAUGAAGUGUGAGAGAUAUUGUAAUCUUAAGUGUUUUUUUGGUUGAUUUUUAUCCAAUUUUAUUAUUGCUUUGAUUUUUUUAGUUUAAAUUAUUGUUAAUUAGAUUUAGUUAAUUUAUAAUUUAUUUAGUUACUUAAUUUUGUUUGUUUGGAUAAUACUAAAUUGUGAUAAUUUUAGUACUUAGUAAAAUUUUAGAUCAAUUCUCUAUAGGAUCGACACUGUACUUGCCAUUAUAUUAUUUGUUCAAUACGUAUACUUGCAUGGUUAGAAAAAUAAAACAACAUUGCUUCGCAAACCUUACCUCCUUUACUAUUCGAUAAUUUGUCUUUGUUGCAACCUUUCUUACCUCUAGGUCUUUUGAUUAUACUUCCCUUUCCACCUUACCUCUUAACUUAGCAUCACCUUCAUAAAUUUUACCUUUGACGUGAAUCAUAACUUGCAAUAUAUAGGUUAUAAUUUGGUCCCAUCUUUGUUUUUCAGCUGCAAACAAGUCCACAAUUUCUUCAUUAGCAUUAUUUUCACCUUGAUACUAUUUUUGUGUUAUCAUAUCCACCUCCUCUAAACUGGAUAACCAUGUGGUAUUUGAUGUAGAAUCCUUGUAAAGAGACCUUAGUGCUUCCAACUAUUCAUACUUACUUGGAAAUUCUAAAUUUAAAGAACUCAAAUUUAAAAGACUUGUAACCAAACAAGAACACUCCAUAUAAUUAAAUUCUCUCUCUUCAUUAUAUACCAUAAUAGCAUUAUUUUCCAAACAUUCCUCAUUAUUCGGAUUCGGACUCUUAUUCCCAACAUUGAUCGCCCUCUUUUCACAAGAGUCCAUUCCAACAUUCUCUUCCUUAUUCACACUAUCUGAAUAGUCCUUCCUAAUGACAUUGUUUUCAAUACCACCUUUCAGUAAAUGUGUCUAAAUUUGAACAAUCUUGUUUAAAUUUCGGCUGUCCUUCUCCAUUUUAUUCCCCUGAUCUAAAAAAUGAACAAAUUUAAAAUUUAAAUCUUGUUGCACUCCUAAGUUAGGUUUGAAUUUUGAACCUCCUUCAUUUCUAAAAUCUAUAGAUAAUCGUGUAAAAACAUUUUCCACCGAGAUAUCAUUCUAAUUGCCACCAUUAUCAAAUUUAUGCCGAAUCCCUCUAGAUUGCAUGUGUCCCCGUAAGACUUUGGCAUCUUUUUCCAGCUCUUGAUUUUGAAUUCAAAUUUGAAUUUUGAAUUGCAAUUGGGAUCUUGCAUUCACUAGCCAAACAUGCCCUAUCAUUAGAGCCAAACGUUCCCCUCUUCAUAUCAUCCUACUCCUACUGCCAAUUAUUACUUGAAUAUGGUGCUUUUAACACUUCCAAUACCAAAGUAAGGAUUUUAUAUUGGCUAUCACCUAUAGGUAAUGUUGUGAAAGCCAGAAUGCAACUCACUUUUCUAACUUUAAUAACUAUGCACCCAAAAUUAAAUUUGCUUAAAGCCAUCAUACAAACAUCUAAUCUCACAAAAUCAUCCCAUUUAUCCCUUAAAGCGUUGAAAAGAUUGUAAUGCCAAAUAUGCAAUGGAACAUCUUUUACUUUCAUCCAACAAAAGAAUUCCUAUCGCACUAAUUUUCUAUCAUAGGCCAUUAAAUUACUCAACCAUGGUUGAAAGCAAUUCAAAUAAUCAUCAAUCAACACUUUCAUAACCUCAUUAUCACAGAAGGUAAGUAGUACUUGGAAUUCCCCCAUUGGUCGAACUAUAACCUCAAUCCUUUGCAUCAUGAGGCCUUUUUGCAAGUCACCCAUUGAACAACCAUCCCAAAAGGUCCCAAUAACAUUACAGUUUAGCCACGCAUAGUUAGUUUUUGGAAUAAAUAUCGAGGCCUCUUCCUCUUCUUUAUUUUUCAUAUGAGGUUCCACCUUAGGCUUUCUUUCAACAUGCACCCGCUUUUCACCCUUCCCAACCUCCUUGAAGGUUCUAAAUAGGCCUGAUCUACCAUUGAUUUAUCCAAAAAUGGCACAAGCAUUCUUCUUCCUACUAUAUUUCCAUCUUUAACCAGCAUUCAUCUUCUAACUAUGUACAGCUCAAUACCACCCCUGAUGGCUACCUUCAACUCCCUUUCCUCCCCACACUUAACAAAAACAUCCAAUCACCACCACUAAUUCAUCAAAAACCUCUUUAAUUUCAGCCUAGGAAACUCCCUUUGUGAUAUUAUCCAUGAAAAUUGUAUACAGAGAUUUCCACCAUCACGCCAACUCUGAUUGACCACGAAUCUUUGUGCCCUGAAACCCAUAGCUCUAACAAUCCGUAGCUGCUUCUCCUCCCCACACUUACCAUAAAAAAGCUCUCCUCUCUCUCUCUCUCGCUCUCUCAUUUUUUUAUAUGUGGUCCAAGCCUAUGAUUAUUAAAAAACAUAUCCGAUUAUAAGAGCAGUUUCAUUAUGCUAAUUCAUUUGUAGUCAUUAAAGUGGCAAAUUGACUAGUGUUAUGAAAUUAUUGUUCUCAUAUGUUUUAAGGAUUUUUAUGGUUCUGGUAUGCAUUCAUUCGUCUAAAGGUGGUGUUUAUAUAUUAAAAUUAGAGGAUAACAAAUAAAAGCAUGUGUGUGAGAAUUGACUACCUUCAGUGAUUUAUUCACUUAACGGUGGUAUCUUACAAAUGUUGUGUUAUAUUUGCUUAAUUCUUUUUAUGUGAAAGAGCUCCUAAAUACAUGUCAUGCAUUCAGCUUAAAGCUGUUUAUGCUUGAACCCUUUGGUUAUACUCAUUUAUUAUUUUUUGAGUAUAUAUAAAUCACCCUAUUUAUUCAAAUUCAAUUACAUUAUUUAAAUUUUCAAUCACAUUUUCUAUCAAUAACAAUAUGGCCACUAUUGAGAUUUUUACUAAGUCAAACUUUAAGAAUUGGAAAAGAGAUAUUGAGCUUGCUAGUUAUAUGUCAAAGAUAGAUCUAGCCAUAAAUGUAGAUAGGCCUACAAAACUUACUAUUGAGAGCUUUGAGAAUGAUAAGAAAGCUUUAGAAGUAUAGGAGAGAUUUAAUAGAUUUUGUCUAUUUUUUAUUAAGAGGUCCAUUCAUAAACAACCACUAAGUGGACUUCCUGAUAAAACUAAUGCAAUAGAGUUCUUAGCUACAAUAGUAUAAAGGUAUAGGGCGUUAUCAAAUGUUGAAAUUGACACUUUUUUUAAAAGUUUUAUUCCAUGACUAAUGAUGGGAUAAAAGGAGUUAUGGAGUACAUGAUUAAGGUGGUCGAUUAUCAAACCAAAUUGAAAGGCGUUGAUAUCAUUAUUCCCAUUGCUUGAAUUGCUCACCAUGCCUUGAACACCCUUCCACCUAAAUUUGGGCAUAUAGUCAUUGCUUACUGUUGGUCCCAAAAUAAGUGCUAGAGGGGGAUGAAUAGUAUUUAAAAAUUUUGUAGGGAACUCUUUAAGUUUUAAACACUUUUGGAUGACUUAAGAUGGAAAGUGUGAAGACUUGUUGAGGAGAGAACAGCAAGUAAGGAGAGGAUUAAGAGAAAUGGACAAAACACAAUAUCUAUAGUGGUUUGGUUCCUUUGACCUACAUCCACUACCUUGAUCUUCUCAAUCAAGAAUUUUCAACCCAACUUCAUUGAAACAAGUGGAAUUAAUAGCUUUCACCAAGCUUUUACAAGUUAAGCUUCUAACCCAAGCUCCAAACCCUUACAACAGUCUCUAAGCUUUCCUAAGGUUAGUCUACCUCUUAGAAUGCCUUCCACACUCUAAGUAAACAAGGAACAAAUAUAAGAUGAAGUACAAUUGAGCACCUAGUUGACUUAAGAUGUAUAAGCUUCAGUUUAAACAAUUUUACAAAGGAUAGGAGUGGAAUGCACUUAAAAAGAGAAGCUUUUGGUUCUUCUUGGCUUAAUCUCAUUUUUGGGUGCUUCUCUAAUGCGUUUAUUUCAUUUUGAACCCCUUUUAUACUUGGAGAGUGAAAAUAGACCGUUGAAGAUAGUUUGGAAACAAUUUACCCGUUAAUUUACCUUUCAGAGUUUGAAAUUCAAAUCUGUCUAGCCUUUUAAUCGAAUAAAAUAGAUUUUAACUAAUUAAAAUCUUUCUAUCUAUCUUUCUGUGCUUCAGGUUAAUCGAUUAAAAUUGACUUUAAUCUAUUAAAACUAUUUUGUCUGUCUCCAUUGUUCCAAGUUAAUCGAUUAACCUUGUCUUUGAUCGAUUAAAAGCUCUCUACUUCUUUUUUGAUCGAUCACUAUGAUUUUUGAUCAAUUAAAAUCUCCUUAGGUUCAAAUUUCUUCACUUGAUGCCUUUUAACGGUCAACUCAAAUUUGAAUCUUCAAUUUUUGACACUAAGGUACCUUUUCAUUGAAUUUUAAUUGAUUAAACUCUAUGGUUAAUUGAUUAAAGUUGUUGCAAUAUCCUCUAGUACUGUUUUAAUCGAUUAUACCUUAUGUUAAUCGAUUAAAAUCCCUUUGCUUGUCUUGGUGUGCAUUCCAGUGUUGUUUUAAUUGAUUAAAAUUCUGUGUUAAUCGAUUAAAACCUUUUUGUCCUUAUCAAAGUCCAUUCCAAUGUUAUUUUAAUUGAUUAAAUCAUAAAUUAAUUGAUUAAAAUCUCUCUAUGAAGUUUUAAGUCCUUCUUUUAUAUUGUUUUGAUUGAUUAAGAUGAAAUGAUGAUCGAUUAACCUUCAUGAAACAUCUUCUAUUUUGCUUAAAUCACUUUCUUUGGACUUGAGACUUAUCCUGGGGAAUUUGGGAUGUGAGAUAAACAUUAAUAUACCCAUUCUACCCCUACACAUUUAAGUAACAUAGUUCGAUAUUAAUGAAUGAGGAAUGUUUUGUUAUUAUAAAAAACAUAUGGAGUCAACACUUGCAACUUUGAAGAAGACACUUAGAGUAUUAAUGAUUUUAUGAUCACUAUAUGUGUUGUUGAAGAUAAGAUCAAAAGUGAAAAAGCCAACAAUACUUUUCUUGUUACCAAAACUCAUCACAAUAAAUGUAAGAAAUCUAAACGUAAUGCUCUUAAAAAAGUUCAAGAUAAAAAGAAUGAAUCUAGUCAAUUUGUCAAUGUGGGGGGUCCAAGAGUUAUCCUUAAGAAGGAACUUAAAUUUUUUUUUUCCAAGAAGAAUGGACAUAAGAAACAAUAUUGUCUUAAAUAUUAAACUUGGAUAAAGAAACAUGAGUGUGAAGGUAACUCUUGGCUCUUGUUAUACAUAAAUCCAAUUUAAUUGAAGCCCCAUUUAGUUUUUGGUGGCUAGACAAUAGUGCUAUUAAUGUUGCUUUUACCUUAUAAAGGUUCAUAAGUAAGGGGAAGUCAAACAAGGAAUAAUCCAAACUCAUGAUUAGUAACAAUGUAAAGGUGGAAGUCAAGUUUGUAGGAAAUGCUUGCUUAAAUUUAAGUACUAGAUUUACAACUUUUAUUGGAAGCCAAUUUCUAUAUACUAUCAUUUAAAUGAAAUUUAGUUUUUGCUUUUGUGUCACACAUUAUUAGUUAUGCUUUUUAAAAAAAAUAUUAAAUUAUUAAUAUAAGGCAAAACACUAAAACAAGCCCUUGAACUAGUUAAAAAAAAUUCAAAUAAGUUCUUAUUCUUUUAGUACGUUUAAUUAAGCCCUUGUACUUUUAUUUUGAGUCAAAUAAACCCUUAUAACUAAUGGUUGACUAAUUUUUAUUAGUUAAAAUAUCACUUGUCAAUUUAUAUCCUCGUGACAUUGACAUGGUGUUGAUGUGACCAUGUCAUUAUGUCACAUUAACAUGUUACAUCAUUAUCAAUUAUGACAUUUCAACAUGUCAUGUUAACACCACGAGACAUAGAAUGAUAAAUGGCGUUUUAGCUAAGUCAACCAUUAAUCAUAAGGGUUAAUUUGGCUCCGAACAAAAGUAUAAGGGUUUAUUUGGUUCAAAAUAAAAAUAUAGGAGUUUGAUUGAACGCAAUAAAAGAAUAAGGGCUUGUUUGAAUAUUUUUGAAUAGUUUAGGGUCUUUUUAAGUAUUAUGCAUUAAUAAAAUUACUGAUUAAAAAAUAUUGGCUAACGUACUUUUCCACAAUUAUUAUGUAGAUUGUGUUUUGCUCCUACUAAUAUUUAUACCAUCUCAUACAAUGUGGACACAAUUGCCAAAAAAACUUGCAUAAAGUAAACUUAUUUCGUGUUCUGGCAUAAAAGACUUGGCCACAUUGCCAAGGAAAAAGUAAUAAGGUUCAUAAAUGAUAACAUCCUACCUGCUCUUAUUUCUAAUGACCUGGAGACAUGUGUUGACUAUUAUUGACCAUGAUAAAAGGCAAUGAAUCAAAAACUGAGGUUCUGAUUUAUUCAAACUUAUUCACACUAACAUAAGUGAACUAUUUACCUUUUCUAUCUACAAUCUAAGUAUUUUUUGACAUUUAUUGAUGAUUUUCUCAUUAUGGUUAUCUAUUCUUAAUUGAAGAAAAGUUUGAAGCUUUUGACAAGUUCAAGAUAUUAUAGCAAAAGUUAAGAAACAUUUGGGAAAAACCAUUAAGAAAAUUAUCAAGUCCAAUAAAGGUGGUGAGUAUUAUGGCAAACAUGAUACAAUAGAACAAUAAAAGGGGUUUUUCCCUAAAUACUUAAAAUGUUGUGGAGUAAUGACCAAUACACUAUGUUUAGCAAUCUUGAACAAAAUAGUGUAGUUGAAAGGCAAAAUUGCAUUGUAAAGGAUAUGAUGGGGAGUAUGACGAGUGGACCCAAUUUACCAAAAUUUUUUAAGAGAGAAGAAAUCGAAAAAGUGUUUUAUAUUUGAAAUAAAAUCCCUACCAAAUCUAUGCUUAAAACCCCUUUCGAGGUGUGGAUCAAAUGGAAACCUAAUGUUGAUCACUUAUGUGUUUGGUUAUGUCCUUCGGAAGUGCCUCGUUGUAAUCCAACUAGGAUUAAAAUAUAGUAUAGCUCAUUGCUAUUUUAUUGUGUACCUAGAUCAUUCCAUGGGUUAUAGAUUUUAUUAUUCAAGUGGAGGUGGUAAAAUUGUUGAGGCAAAAACAAAUAAUUUUUUGGAGUUAGAUCUCAUUGAUACUAAUUGCUCUUAAUAUAGAGAUAGAGGGGAGCAUACUGUGAUGAUAAGUAUUCCUAUACCCAUAUAAAAGGAUACCGUGGCACACAAUAGUUAGGGAACAUAAUCCUGUUCAACUAAGAUGGAUACCUAGUGCUGAUCACUUAUGUGUUUGGUUAUGUCUUUUGAAAGUGCAUCUUUGUAAUCCAACUAAGAUUAAGAUAUAGUAUAGCUCGUUGCUAUUUUGUUGUGUUUCGAGAUCAUUCUAUGGGCUAUAGAUUUUAUUAUUCAAGUGAAGGUUGUAAAAUUGUUGAGACAAAAAUAAAUAACUUUUUACAAUUAGAUGUGGCUGAUACUAAUUGUUCUUAAGUUAGAGAUAGAGGAGAGCAUACUAUAACAAUAAAUAUUCUUAUACCCAUACAAAAGGAUAUCGUGGCACAUAUCAGUUUGUGAACAUAAUCUCGUUCAACUAAGAUGGAAACUUAGUGUUGAUCACUUAGGUGUUUAGUUAUGUCUUUCAGAAGUGCAUCUUUGUAAUCCAACUAAGAUUAAGAUAUAGCAUAGCUCGUUGCUAUUUAUUGUGUACGAAGAUCAUUCCAUGGGUUAUAGAUUUUAUUAUUCAAGUGGAGGUGAUAAAAUUGUUGAGGCAAAAACAAAUAAUUUUUUGGAGUUAGAUGUGGCUAAUACUAGUUGCUCUUAAGUUAGAGAUAAAGGGGAGCAUAUUGUGACAAUACAUAUUCGUAUCCCAUGCAAAAGGAUAUCGUGACACACAUCAGUUGAGGAACAUAAUCUCAUUCAACUAGUUCAUGAUGAGGUCAUUUAACACCACAAUGUUGUAGAACAAGUACCAUAAAGAAAAUCCACAUGGAUAAGGAAGCUUGCUCUUUCCUCAAACAUUUACUAAUUCUAUCUUGAAGAAGAUGAAUAUGAUAUUGGCCAUGUAAUUGACCCAAUGAAUUUUUUUUUUAAAGUUGUUUCUAGUCCUUAGUUAGAUUUGUGGUGGGAUGUAAUCUAUGUCACAUAAUGGUGUGUGGGAACUUAUUGAGCUAUCUAAAGGUUGUAGACCCUUUAGUUGUAAAUAGGUGUACAUGACCAAGAAAGAUUUUAAACAAAAGAUUGAGUGGUUUAAAGCUAGAUUGGAAGCCAAGCAUUUUACACAAAGAGAAGUCAUUGAUUACAAUGAAAUCUUUUCUCGUGUAUCCUCUAAAGAUGCUUUUAGAGUGAUUCUGACAUUAAUAGAACAUUAUGUUUUAGAGUUACAUGAAAUGGAUGUUAAGUCUACCUUGUUGACUGGGAAUUUUGUUAAAGAGUUCCAUAUUUGGCAACAUUAAGGAUUUAAAGAGGAUGAUAAAAAUCUUCUUAUGUGUGGACUAAAAAAUUCUAUUUAUGGGCUUAAACAAGCUUCUUGACUAUGGUAUUUUAAAUUUGAUGAAGUGAUCACCUCUUUCAAUUUUGUUGAGAACAAGGUAAACAGAUGUAUACAUCUCAAAUUAAUGAAGUAACUUUAUCUUCUUUAUUUUGUAUGUUGAUGAUAUAUUGUUUGCUAAUGGUGAUUUGGACAUGCUACAAGAAACUAAAGUUAUUGUCUAGUAGGUAGUUUAACGUGAAAGAUAUUAGGGAAAUAUCCUAUGUUCUUGGGAUUGAGAUCCAUAGAGAUUGAUGUCAUCACUUGUUGCGAUUUUCUCAAUGUGCAUACAUUGAUUAUGUGUUGAAUAGAUUUUCAAUGUUUGAUUGCAAAGGUAGAGAUGUGCCCAUUGUCAACGGUGAUAUAUUGAGCUUGGCACAAUAUCUUAAAAAUGAUGCUGAGAGGGAAUCUAUGAAAGUAGUACAAUAUGCUAGUUUAGUAAGGAGCCUAAUGUAUGCUUAAAUGUGGAGAAGGCUUGACAUUGCUUUUUUAGUGGAUCCUUUAGAGAAAUAUUUGUCUAAUCUUGUUAAAGAUCAUUGGGAAAGUUGUAAAAAAGGUGAUGAGAUUUUUGAAAAUGAAAAAGAAUUAUAUGUUAGUUUACCAAAAGGCUAAAGACCUUAAGCUGGUGGGCUAUAUAAAUUUUGAAUUUGCCAAUUGUUAAGAUGAUAGGAAGUCCACAUGAGGAUACAUUUUUAUGUUGGCAAGUGGUGAAAUAUCUUGAAAAGUAUAAAGCAGGCAAUUAUGACUUCAUUCACUAAGCAAGUAGAAAUUGUAACAUGUUAUAGAGUGGCUACAAAGGUUGUCAAGUUGAAAAAUCUCAUUAAUGAAUUGUCUGUGGUUGACUCUAUUACUAAAACCAUACAAUUGUACUAUGAUAAUGUUGCAAAAGUUGUGUUCACUAAUAAUAAUAGAGGUGUCACAAGGGUAAAGUCUACAUAGAUAAAAUAUUUGACAAUUAAAGAACUUGUGAAAAAGGAUAGCAUUUUGGUAGAGCAUAUUACGACUGAUGUCGAUCUUCUCACCAAGGGACUUCGUCUUGACACUCUUAAGAAAUGUGUUUAUGACAAGGGUGUUUUGGGGUCUUUUGAUGUACUUGGUUAGUGGGAGGAUUUGACAUAGUUGUAGUUUUCUGCUUUAUGCUUAAUUUGUUUGGAACACAUAGUUGAUGGUGUAUUUAGUUUUAUUAUUAAUAAUGAUUAUUCAAUGAUAUUCAAUCAUAAAGUUUGUGUGUGUGUGUGAAGAAUUAAGACGGGUGUCAAUCUUAAGCACAGAUUUGGGGUAUAAAUUGAUAGCCUUAAGUUUAUAUCCUUGACACAUAAAAUAUAUUUGAAGAUAUUUAAGAUAGACAUAUAGGUUUAUUAAAUAAAAUAUAAAAUAUUUCUCUUGUAAGCUUGGGUUGCAUAAAAUACAUAAUAAAGUGAUUGACAAAUAAAUAUAACACAUGAAAUAGAUCAUCAAAAAAGUGUUGUUAUUCAUUGCUACAUUACCACAUGUACUUCAUGUCGAUAAGAUUGAGUGCUAUAUGUGAUUAUAAUUGGUUAUGUUUCUUUAUGGAUGUAGUUAUUGUUAUUUUCCUAUAUUACAAAAUUUAAUGGAUAAAAGGACAUUUGCAGUAGUCUCAAGAACAAUCUAUUUUAUAUUAAGCUUAUAAGGUUUUUAGUUGUGUUAGUCUAUGAGUCAUUUUUAAAGAAACUCUGUUUUCAAUUAGAUUUUUCUUUUUAAUAAUGAAAGUGUAGACUUAUAUGAUUUUAAUUUAUUUUGCCUUUUCAAGAUCAGGCUAAGUUAAUCUAUAGUCCUUAAUAUGAUCAAGUGAAAUGGAUUAGUGCCCAAUAUUAUAUGUGGCUAAAUAGUGAGCUUGUAUAGAAAACCUUAAAUCUUAUAAUUAGUAGGACUAAAGAUUCACUAUAUAAAAGGUAAGGUUAGGUCUCCUCUCUUGUUUAUAAAAACAUUGAAAAUCUCAUCCAUUGGAGAGUUGUUGAUAAACAGGAAGAUUUUAGUAUAUUGAAUUUUAGGAGUUAAUCUAACUAGUACUGUUUCCACUUUCAAGUCAUGGAUCAAAAACUAGAUAUGUCUUUUGUGUUCUAAAUUCAAUUAUGAUAAAUCUUGAGUUAAGUAUGAAUUAAUUAUACAUAAAGUAAAUCUUUGGUGAAACAUGAAUUAAUUGUACAUAAAAUUUAUCGGAAGUGUCGUAAGAUUGGUAGAUGAAGGGAUAUUGAAUGGAAAUUCUUUCCUUCAUGUACUUGUCUAUUUUUCUGCAAUGACCAAAGGAGCAGUCUCUUCUUGCGCUUCAACCAUAUACCUCGUUUAGUACAGCUGUAAAAGUAUGCCAAGUAAUAAGGUGGAAGAAGAAACCAUGGUUAUCAUUUGUGUUUCAGGUGGAUGGGCUUCUUCUGCCCAGGAUUGUGAAGUCAAGUUCAUGCAGGAUUGUGACAGUUGGUUACAAAAACGAUGCAUCGCAAUCUUAUCUCUUGCUGCGUUGCUUUGUUAGCAGGAACUACUAUUAAUAGUCCACAUCUUUAAUCUUAAAGCAGACAAGAAAUGUGAAAGAGCAAGCACUGAAAUUAAAUGUAUUAUUAGUAGAACGAAAUUGAUAACAAGUCUUAAGUAAGGCUCUAGGCCAUGACAAUUUGAUGACACUCGUGUCGUACGAGGAUUUAUGUAUCAAUUCUGUUCCCAAUAGGUCAGAACAUGAUAAGAAAUCUGUGCACAAACACCUACUGGUUUUGUAUCAGUAAACGAUAUCUCUUAAAGCAUGAGGAGAACAAAGUCCAUCAAUUCAGAAAACUUGGUAUAUUCAUGUAAGGAUUUAAAGUUGGAUUACACUUGGUCUAAGGAAUAUGGGCAGUGAAUGGUAUUUGAGCUUUACAAAAUAUGAUGUUCCUCAUUGUUUCUUUCAGUCAAGAAGUUGGACUGCUGCAAUAGCAGGUAUUUUUUCCCUCAACUUUUGAGUUAAAGCAACACGGACGGUCAUAACGCCAGCUGCAGGCCCACUAAGCCGAACUUUUACAACGUAGUCAUUUAUCUGAACAAGCUCAAGUUCCCCACCUCCAGUGCCUACCAGGUACGGUCUAAUCUCAUCAAGAACCUGCAACACUAAACUGGCUUGAGCUCUUGUUUACUCGUUUAACUUCUUUCUCCACCACAAAACAUUAUUAGUUAUCAAUAUAUAUAUCUUCACAAAAUAGUUAUGCAGGCAAUCUGAGACUAAUUAUGAGUAUCUGAAUAGCAUACUGAUUGUGGUAGCACGAUUUAGCAGUGAAGUGAAAGGGUUUCAAAGAGAAAAAUAGUUUAUUUUCAGCCAAAAUCCAGAUUUAACCCUUUGUCAUGCUUGUCGCUUUUAUAAAAAACAUUUUGUCAUUGAAGCAAACAGUAGAUCUUACUGUUUUCUGUCCAAAAUCUUUGUUUCAAGCUCUUGACCCCUUGUUGUGAUGAAUGUAUGCUCCAAGGAAACUUUUAAACAAAAAGCAACUAGCAACUCUACAAAAGUUACAGAUUGACAGUUGCUAGUAUACUGAACAAGAGCAUUUAGCUCAUUAGUUAAUGUAUGAUUCCCAAUCUAAAAAGCAAGAUUCGAAUCCCCUUCCUCUAAUUAAAAUAAAAUAAAAAAAAUAAACUAGCAGAGCAUAAAAGUCAUCUGUCAUAUUAUGUCCAUGAGAAAUUCACCAUUACUUGCAAUUUAGAAGCCGCUAUUAGUUCUGAUGAAGUCAUAGAAUUUUUUAUAUGGUAGUUUGCAAUUGGGAGCAUGAAAGGCUUUUUAGGGUGAUUUAUACAUGGUUGCCGUCGUUGCUAUCUUUCAGCAAGAAGAGUAAACAAUUUCUCAGUUCAAGUUGUCCCAUAUUUUUCUUCAAAAGUUCCCGUGUGAAGAAUCAAGACAUGAUUAUGCUAUGAAGAAAUGAGAAACAAUGACUGAAAUACUAAAUCAUUAGAGCUUCACUUAUCUAACCUUUUCAACGUUUUCUUCAUUUAGCUCAAGCCCUGUCUCAGUAUCCAUGAUCUGCUCUACUUCCAGAAUUUCCGGAAUUUUAUCUCGGAGGCGUGUUUCAAUUCCCAUCUUUAGGGUCAUUGUUGAGCUUGGACAUGAGCCACAUGCCCCUUGCAACUUUAAUACCACAACAAGGCCAUCUAUUUCGUGCAAAGCCACAUUCCCUCCAUCAGCCAUUAAGCUAGGCCGUACCUCAUCCAAAAUCUUCUCCACAUUCUCCUCAGUCAGUGGAAGGACACAGCUUGGUGAAACCGCAAGCCCUUUGGCAUUGGACAUACACAACCUCAUUCAGAUUUUGUUAAUUUUAAAGCUUUGUUGCUGAGCAUAUUGCGAAUGGGAAGAAGAACACAAAUUAUACACAAGAUUCAACACUCUUGAGGCCAAAUGGCUACUGGCCAGUAAAGUCGAUCACUUGGUUCCAUAUCAACUGAGAAAACUAAAAAGAUUAUUAUUCUUGAACCUCAUGUUCUAUGUUUCAACACUGCAGAAGGGUUAUUGCCAAUCUGAAUGAAGGUUUUCAGAUGAUUAAAAGCUUUAAAAAUUUCCAUUUCUUUAAAAAUUCCAACAUUUUCCAUCAUGACUAAAAGGAUAAUUCUUUCUUUAUUUCAAAUUAUGUUCACAAAAAAGAAAAAAAAAAAGAUGUAAAGAAACAGAUCUAUGCUAUGGAUUUGUAUACUGGCUAUUCAUUACAUGGCCAGCCAGCACACUCCCCUUAAAGAGGACAUAACUAAUUUACUUCAAAAGCACCCUAGCUGUGAUUGAAUGUACAAAAUUCAUCUAUGAAUUAUACUCAAAUAUUCUCCAUUUGCAGUUCUUACAUUUUUUUUCAGGAAUACCAGGAUUAAAUGAAUUCUCUUAAAAACCCAGUAACAUGGCUCAAAUAUUAACUCCAAAGGAGAGAAAUUGCAUUACAGUUACCUCUUUGUUUCCUCCGAGAACGGCGUGAAUUAUACCAAAGAAAAUGUCUGCUGUGAAAUUGACCUCCGAGGAAAGCAUUGUUCUUUGAGGUGAAACCACGUGAACCUGAAAUGGGGUUCUGAAGUUAAAAACAGCAGCACUGUCAGCCAUGAUCAGUUACAAUAAAAACUCACCAAAGAUUGCGUUAAAGACUUUAUAAGCUUACAAGCAAAGCACCGUCCAUGAAACUGUAAGAAAUUAAGGACUUGAAUAGCACCUUUAGGAGUGAUAAACAUGGAGAUAAGGCUUCUUUAGAUGAAGAGAGGCAUGCUGCGAUUGGUCUUGCUUUGAGUGCUGCUUGUGUCUGUACAAAGAUUGCGCUCAUUUCUGGCUUUUUAUUUAUUCUAUAAUUAAUAGAAAUGAAACCCCAUUUGAAAAGAAGUGGGAAUUCUCCAACAGGGUUUAACAGACCAUAAUAAUAUUUACUUACAUUAAAGUCUAUCUCUGAUGCUUGUGCAGUAGUUUUUGAUUGGCUAUCGAAGAUGAUAAAAGAUAUCAGCCAACAAUGCCCAAAGGCUUCUUUGUGGAUAGGAGUGGUUGUUGGCACUACCGUGCAAUUACCUACAAUACGAAUGCCUCGUGGCAUUGAAAAUCACCAUAAAUUGAAAUUAUUAUUGCCUUCUUUUUUUUUUAAAGUUAAUUAAUUAUAUAUUUGAUAUCGAAAUUGUAAGGAAAUUGUUGAUUUAAUAUUUAAAGAAAAAAUUCUACAAAUUAAGACAUUUAAAAUCAUGAAAAUUUAUUAAUUAAUUGAUAUAUUAUUUAAUUUAUAAAUUAAUAAUUUAUUAAUUUAUACAUUAAUUAAUAAAAAAUUAAUUUAUCAAUGUAUUUUCUUUUUUCAAAACAUUGAAUGCAAUACAUGUAUCAUAAUGUGAUUAUAUGAAUAUUAUCUAAUUAUCGAAUUAUAAAUUAUCAUUAUUCGAGUCGAGUAAUUUAUUGAAAAUGUCGUGAGAAAUGAUAAAGAAGAUAAAUUGAAAACGAUAGUUCUGUACUGGACCCUAUCUCACAUAAAGAUGCGCUCAAAGCAACAAUUAUAUUAUUUAAUUUUCUCUUGGAAUACGAGAACAUUAUACCAAAACUUCUUAAUGCACUCAGAAAAGUUAGAGAUGAGGUCCAAACAGAUAUCAAUUUCAAGAAGAAACAAAUAACACUAGUCAUAUUUUACAAAUGUCUCCUAAUUGAGUCUUGUGUGUGUGUGUGUGUGUAUAUAUUAUUUUGAUGAAUAAGGAGAUUAUUAAUUUAUAUAUCAAGUGAGACCUACGUGUUAUUUUUAAAAUGUAUUAUCUUGUUAAUUUAGUGAAUUAUUAAUUUACUACGUUAGUCUCAAAUUGGGAUCGAUCAAAAAUAUUAUUUAAUUGCGAUAAAUUGAAAUUAUUAUUGCCUUCCAAUUUUCUAAGGUUAAUUAAUUAUAUAUUUGAUAUCGAAAUUGUAACGAAAUUGUUGAUUUAAUAGUUAAAGAAAAAAUUCUACAAAUUAAGACAUUUGAGAUCAUGAAAAUUUAUUAAUUAAUUGAUAUAUUAUUUAAUUUACAAAUUAAUAAUUUAUACAUUAAUUAAUAAAAAAUUAAUUUAUCAAUGUAUUUUCUUUUUUCAAAACAUUGAACGUAAUACAUGUAUCAUGAUGUGAUUAUACGAAUAUUAUCUAAUUAUUGAAUUAUAAAUUAUCAUUAUUCGAGUGGAGCAAAUUAUUGAAAAUGUUGUGGAAAUGACAAAGAAGAUAAGUUGAAAACGAUAGUUCUAUACUGGACCUUAUCUCACACAAAGAUGCAGUCAAAGCAACAAUUACAUUAUUUAAUUUUCUCUUGCAAUACGAGAACACUAUAUCAGAACUUCUUAAUGCACUAAGAAAAGUUAGAGAUGAGGUCUAAAAAGACAUCAAUUUCAAGAAGAAACAAAUAACACUAGAGUCAUAUUUUACAAAUGUCUCCUAAUUGAGUCUUGUGUGCAUGUGUGUAUAUAUUAUUUUGAUGUAUAAGAAGAUUAUUAAUUUAUAUAUCAAGUAAGCCCUAUGUGUUAUUUUUAAAAUAUAGUAUCUUGUUAAUUUAGUGAAUUAUUAAUUUACUAUGUUGGUCUCAAAUUGUGAUCGAUCAAAAAUAUUAUUUAAUCGUGAUAAAUUGAAAUUAUUAUUGCCUUCCUAUUUUCUAAGGUUAAUUAAUUAUAUAUUUGAUAUCGAAAUUGUAACAAAAUUGUUGAUUUAAUAUUUAAAGAAAAAAUUCUACAAAUUAAGACAUUUGAGAUCAUGAAAAUUUAUUAAUCAAUUGAUAUAUUAUUUAAUUUAUAAAUUAAUAAUUUAUACAUUAAUUAUUAAAAAAUUAAUUUAUCAAUGUAUUUUCUUUUUCCAAAACAUUGAACGUAAUACAUGUAUCAUAAUGUGAUUAUACGAGUAUUAUUUAAUUAUCGAAUUAUAAAUUAUCAUUAUUCGAGUCGAGCAAAUUAUUGAAAAUGUCGUGGGAAAUGACAAAGAAGAUAAGUUGAAAACGAUAGUUCUGUACUGGACCCUAUUUCACACAAAGAUGCACUCAAAGCAACAAUCACAUUAUUUAAUUUUCUCUUGCAAUACGAGAACACUAUAUCAGAACUUCUUAAUGCACUAAGAAAAGUUAGAGAUGAGGUCCAAGGAGACAUCAAUUUCAAGAAGAAACAAAUAACACUAGAAUCAUAUUUUACAAAUGUCUCCUAAUUGAGUCUUGUGUGUGUGUGUGUGUAUAUUAUUUUGAUAUAUAAGGAGAUUAUUAAUUUAUAUAUCAAGUGAGACCUAUGUGUUAUUUUUAAAAUGUAUUAUCUUGUUAAUUUAGUGAAUUAUUAAUUUCCUACGUUGGUCUCAAAUUGGCAUCGAUCAAAAAUAUUAUUUAAUGGUGAUAAAUUGAAAUUGUUAUUGCCUUUUUAUUUUCUAAGGUUAAUUAAUUAUAUAUUUGAUAUCGAAAUUGUAACGAAAUUGUUGAUUUAAUAUUUGAAAAAAAAUUCUACAAAUUAAGACAUUUUGGAUCAUGAAAAUUUAUUAAUUAAUCGAUAUAUUGUUUAAUUUAUAAAUUAAUAAAAAAUUAAUUUAUACAUUAAUUAAUAAAAAAUUAAUUUAUCAAUGUAUUUUCUUUUUUCAAAACAUUGAACGUAAUACUUGUAUCAUAUUGUGAUUAUACGAAUAUUAUCUAAUUAUCGAAUUAUAAAUUAUCAUUAUUCGAGACAAGCAAAUUAUUGAGAAUGUUGCGGGAAAUGACAAAGAAAAUGAAGUUGAAAAUGAUAGUUCUAUACUGGACCCUAUCUCACACAAAGAUGCACUCAAAGCAACAAUCACAUUACUUAAUUUUCUCUUGUAAUACGAGAACAGUAUACUAGAACUUCUUAAUGCAUUAAGAAAAGUUAGAGAUGAGGUCCAAGAAGACAUCAAUUUCAAGAAGAAACAAGUAACAUUGGAGUCAUAUUUUACAAAGGUCUUGUAAUUGAGUCAUGUUUGUGUGUGUGUGUGUGUAUUAUUUUGAUGUAUAAGGAGAUUAUUAAUUUAUAUAUAAGAUGGCAUAUAUGUGUUAUUUUUAAAAUGUAUUAUCAUAUAAAUUUAAUGAAUUAUUAAUUUACUACAUUGGUCUCAAAUUUUAUUAAGUAUUAAUUUAUAGAGAUUUUACAAUAUAACCAAAUGUGUGGCUUAGUUAAAUAUAACUAAUAAAUAUGUGUUUCACGUGUUAAAAAAUCACGUCAUUUUAUAUUCUUUUUAAAAUUUAUAAUUUAAAGAAUAAAAAUCUUAGAAAUUAAAUGAAAAAAUAGAGGAAUAAAAAAUUUGACCAAAAAAGAUUCAAAUGUUAUGGAAUAUUGACAUAUCACACCAUAUUAGACCAAUUCAAAUUAGAGCAAAUUUAAUAAAUGAUAAAUGUAUUAUCCACAUUAGAGAUAUUUCAAGAUUCAUCUACGUGUGAAAAUUAUCUACGUGAUAAUAUGAUAUUUAUCAAGAAGAUAAUAUAAUUUAGAGAAAUAUCUUAUUAGGAGAUUGUGAUAGCCAUUGAUCUGUUAAGGGCUUUAACUAUAACUAAGGGGUAACCCCAACCUCAUUUGUAGAACAGUUAUUUUUCAUUCGAAGCAUUGUUUCAAAAAUACAUAAAGAGCAUUCUCUCAAUAUCUCUCUUUUCCUCUUGUUUCUAUUAUUUCUUUUACAACAUGUUAUCAACCACAAUCACCAAAGGAGGUAAUUUUCUUAGGUCUUCAUGAACCAAUUAGAUUUUGAUUUUGUAUACCGUCCAUUGGCUUGAAGUCGACAACGGACCUAGAGCAUCCUUUGGCCCUUAAAGCGGAGGUGGGAAUUCGAGAACCCUUGUAGUUGUCAUAAUUAAUUUAUGGGUUUAUUGUUUUUGCGUAAAAUUAUGGAAAAUAUCGAAAAGCCUAAGUUCCACAUCCUGGAAGUGAAUGGAAGCAAUUAUCUGUCUUGGAGCCCUGAUGUGGAAAUGCAUUUCCAAGGACAAAGCCUUGCUAAUGCAAUUAUUAUAAACGGGAAAGCAAAUGACAAAGAAAGGCGAAUGCAUUGAUCUUUAUUCACUGUCAUUUGCAUGAGAGCUUGAAGACUCAAUAGUUAUUCGUUCGAGACCCUGAGAUCCUGUGGACGAGGUUGAGAAAGAGGUAUAAUCAUACCAAGAUAGUUAUCCUUCCUCAGGCACAGUAUGACUGACAGCAUUUCAAGCUACAAGACUUCAAAUCAAUGUUCGACUACAACUCAACCUUAUUUAAUAUUGUUUCUUGGCUAGAGUUAUACGGUGUUAAGCUCACUAAAUCAGACCUAUUAGAGAAAAAUUUUUCCACCUUCUAUGCUUCAAAUAUUGUAUUGCAAAAUUAAUACCAGUUGUGUCAAUUUAAGACAUACUCAUAGUUGAUUUCUAUCUUCUUGACUGCAAAACAGACUAAUGAACCACUACUUAAGAACCAUGAUCUUAGACCUACUAGCUUAAAAGCAUUGCUUGAAACAAAUGCUAACUCUAGCAAGAGUAUAGGCCAAUUUAAAGGUUGUGAACAUAGGCAAAGGCAUAACCCACGUAGAGGUGGUGGAAGACUUAACCGCCCUAAGCAAUCCAACCUUGCCCGAAUCAUGGUAAAGGCAAAAACCCAUGAAGAAGCAUGAUGAAAGUAUCUGCCAUCACUGUGGCAUGGCUGGACAUUAGUCUCGUACUUGUCGUACGCCAAAGCACUUUGCUGAUUUACACUGGGCAUCAUUGACGGAUAAGGACAAGCAUGUUGAGACUCAAGCCAUUGAGAAUUCUAUUGAUAUGACUAACAUUGAAGCCAACAAUGCCUUCGUUAAGAUGACUCCCCUUACUUCUAUAGAAGUAAUAACAUCCUUGGAAAUCUCUAAUUUCUUUUAGGACCUUGAUAGCCAGGAUAAGGCAUCAAAAUAAUGGACGACAGCCCAGACUUAGGAUUUGAGGAUUUUAAUGUUUUCCUUUUUUUUUCUUUUCUGAAUGUAUUACCUUGGGUUGAUCGUUUCCAACGAAGAACAAUAUGGUCAUUUAAUAAAAUUAUUAUGAAAUUGAUUCCAUAUUUAUUAUUUGAAAAAUUUUAAUUCCAUGACUAAUUUGAAAAUUUUUAUGAUACAUGGCAGCUCAAGUUGUCAAUACAAGUGCAAAUGGGAACUACUAAGAAAAAUGAAGAUGUUUGUUUGCUUGAUAGUGCAAUGACACAUACCAUACUUUAUGGCAAAUAUUUUUUUUUUAGUGUGACAUUGCGUAAGGAAAAUGUCCAUACAAUAUCAGGUCCCCAUUGAGAUUAUUGAUGGCUUCAAAAAUGUCACAGUUGUUCUACCAAAUGGCACUACCUUGCAUAUCAAGGAUGCAUUGCUAAGCAGUAGAUCAAAAAAGAAUCUAUUUAGCUUCAAACAUGUAUGCCAUAAUGGGUACCAUCUUGAGACAAUUUAUGAGCAAAAUGAGGAAUGUAUCUGCAUCACCUCUUAUAAGAUAGGCUAAAAGACCAUCUAUGAGAAGUUAGAAGCUUCAAUUAUAGGAUUGUAUUGUGUCAUUAUUAGAGCUAUUGAAUCUUACUAUACCAUGUCUUGGGGAUUGGUAAAUCCUGAUGAGUUUGGACUUUGACAUGAUCACCUAGGUUACUCGAGAGCUAUGAUGAUGCGUAGGAUAAUCAAAAAUAAUAAAGGACACCUUUUAAAGGAUAAAAAGAUUUUGUUGUCCAAGGAUACCUAUAUACAAGGAAAGCUCAUUACUAAACCUUCAAUGACAAAGGCUGAUCUUGAAUCCCCUUCAUUCUUACCAAGAAUUCAAGGUGAUAUUUGAGGACCAAUACAACCGACAAAUGGACUAUUCCGAUAUUUUAUGGUAUUAGUGGACGCUUCCUGCAAAUGGUCCCAUGUUCGCUUGUUAUACACGUAAUGUCACCUCUGCACGUUUACUUGCGUAGAUUAUAAAGCUCCAAGUACACUUCCAUGAUUAUCCAAUCAAAAGCAUAAGGAUAGGUAAUGCUAGUGAAUUUACAUAAGAGAGCUUUAAUACGUAUUGUGCUUCACUAGGAAUUGAGGUUGAGCAUACGAUUUCACAUAUUCAUACUUAGAAUGGAUUGAUAGAAUCCUUGAUUAAACUCAUCCAAUUUAUCACUCGUACUCUUUUAUUGAGGACAAAGCUUAACUUUUCAGCAUGGGGUCAUGUUGUUUUGCAUGCGGUGGCACUAAUUAGAUUGCACUCCACUACUAGCCUCUUGUAAUUUCUUAUGCAAUUGGUUCUAGGCUAUGAACUAGACAUUUCACAUUUAUUCACUUUUGGUUGUCCUAUGCAAGUGCUUGUAGCACCACAAAAAAAAACUAAAAUAGGUCCCCAAUGUCGUUUGGGCUUCUAUGUUGGUUUUGAUUCUCCAUCCAUUAUUAGGUUUUUGGAACCAAUGAUGGGUGAUCUUUUUACUGUCAAAUUCGUGGAUUAUCAUUUUGAUAAGACAGUGUUUCCAUAAAUUGGGAUGCCUAAGGCUUCCAUGGUUGAAAAGUAGAAACCAACUGAGAAUUUCUCCUAGAAUGAGAAAAAUCUAUUCUAUUUAGACCCAAUAACUUAUGAAUGUGCAAACGAUGUGCAACGUAUAAUCCAUUUACAGGCUAUUGCCAAUAGACUUUCUGAAAUGCCCCCAACUUUGAUAUGGUGAUAAAUAAAGUUGAUCGAAUGCGAAUUGAGGCAUAAUAAGGAACUUUGGGAACCAAAGAGACAAGAUAAAAAUUUUAAAAUAAAAUAAUAUUUUAUUAAAGAAAUAAUAUUAAAAUAUUAAUAUUUAGCCGGAUGUCGAAAUCAGUCAUGAAGAAGGAUCAUAUGGUUGAUCCAAGUGGGGGAGAAGAUGUCAAGCCUGACUCUGUAAAAUAUUUGUCAUAACAUACAUGUGAUGGAUAGCAUGUUUGCAUGCUAGGAGAGUCCCGAAAAAUUUACAAAAAGUCGGUAUUGUACCUAGAGGUACAAUAAAGUUGAUUUAAGCCUCGAACUAGAUCAAAUAGAGAAUUUAAGAUGAAAUUAAGAAUUUUAAAGUCCCAGAAUAGUUUAAUAUGGUGAUUUGGAAUUUGAGGAUCAAUUUGGAGUCAAACUAGAAAUUUCACUAUCUAGAGGUAAAAUGAUAAUUUUGCCACUUGAGGACAAAAUGGGAAUUUUGUUUUAAAGAUUUUGAUCAUAUUUGACUUAUUGGAGUAUGAUUUGAGGUUGAGAAGUGAAAAAUGGUGAUCUCGGUAUUUUUCAAAACAUAGGGGUAAAAUGGUAAUUUUGCCACCUUAAGGGCAAAAUUGUAAUUUUUUACCACCAGAACACUUGUCCAGCACAUGGAUUUUACCCAAUUUUAUCAUGGAUAAUUGAAGGAAUUUAUAUGGUAGAGAGAGAAACCUUAAUAGUUAAGAAAUAAAAAUGGAUCAAUGAAAUGGUGACACAUGGCAUAUUUAUAACCAUUAAAUAUUUAACUUUAAAAUUAACAUAAAAUCAGCCCAUUUCUCAUUCAUAUGGCCAGCCAAAGAAGAACAAGGAGGAAAGGAAAAAAACGAGAACCCUAGAUGAGAAAAUUGAAGAAAAAGUGUGAGAUUUCUAGGGAUUAAGCUAAUAAAGGUAAAAUUUCUUGAUUUUGACUUGUGAUUUACACUACCCAUGCUUUCUUUUUCAUUUUUCAUGGUUAGAUUUCAUGUUUUCAUGGUGAAUUCAUGGCUGGUCAAAAUGGGUAUGGAGAGAGAAAGAUGUUAGAUUGAUUUGAUUUUAAGUUAUGUUAGUGUUUUUAGUUAGUUUAGUAUAUUUAGAAAUAAAACAAUAAGAAAAGAAUUCAUUUUCUCCAUCAACCAUCAAUGGCCAAAUUUUCUAGGGAGGAUAUUGUGGCUGAAAUUGAUGAUAUUUUAUGAUAUUUUGGUGAUAUUUGAUGUUUGGUGAGGCUAGAAAUUAAAUAGAAAAUUUUGGUGUGAAAAUCUGAAUUUUUACCUAAUGUAUAGACAUAUGUGAUUAUUGACCUAAGACUGAUAAAUUGAAUCUCAUUCGUAGUCACUGAGCUAAUUUAGGUAUAAUUGGAGUGUAGAAAGUGAAAGAAAUUGAUUUGGAGUUAAAUUGGAGGUUUUAGCUAAUUACACCGAGAAUAGUGCAAAUUAGGUCGAAUAUGGUAUUUAAACGGCUAUUCGGACAUUUUGCAUCACAUUUCGUGCAUUCAUAUAGAUUUAUAGAGCCUAAAAUAGUUUAUGAUAAAUUGACACAAUUUAUUGAAAUUCGUGUCAUGUAUGAUGUAUAGGUGGUGAGCCCUUUAACAAGGGUAACGAGAUUGUGCCCGAAGAUCGAGAAUAGGAGUAUAUCGAACUCCUAGUACUAUGAGUGACCUUAUUAUCAUUUUAACUGUCUAAAGUAUGUUUUAAUUUGGUUUUGGUGAAAUUUUAUGAAAAUGAGUUAAAUAGCAAAUUUUAGGUUUUAUAAAAAAAAAUGAGUUUAAAUAAAAAGAUUUUAUAAAUUGUUUUGGAAACUGAAUGAUGAUUUUGAAAAUAGAGUAAUUGGAGACCACUAAUAUGUUGUAAAUUUAAGAUUGAAUUGAUGGCUUAUGUUAUUGUGUUGGCAUGACUGGCUGCGCUGUGUUUUAUGAAUAGUAUGAAUUGUUUUAUUUUACCCUUGCAGGCUGGGUAGUAAUAUAUUAGCCCUGUCAUGCUGUCAAAAUUUUAUUGUAUGGUGGGUUUAACUUACUGCAGUAGGCGGGUUUCCGUGGACUAGCCUAUUAGAGGGGCACGAUAAACCCCGUUAUAUUUUACCUCGGUUGGAGAGGCGAGUAGGGUAACUCCUGAGGUAUGAUUUUAGAGUUCAUUUCACGCCAAACCACCACGUGAAGGCGAGCUUAGCCAACGCCAAGGAAUGGCUAUAUUUUCAAAAUGAAAACAUGUUUUAUGCGUACAUGACUUUCUAAUAGCCUUGGCGAACUCAGUUGGGAUAGCCCUCGGCCAAGGUAUCCUAGAUAACUGAGCAUGAUAAUAAUUUUUGGCAUGAGCCAAGCUUUUUAAGAAAUUCAUAAGCCAUAUUGAUUACUUGAUUUAAAUAAAUUGAUUUCAUUUGGUUGAAAUAAGUUGAAAAAUGAUAAAUUACAGUUUGAUGAAAUGUUUUAAUAGUCUCCUUUUACUCGCCUUUAGAUAUUUUAAAUGAUAUUUGUUUACUCACUGAAAUUUUAUAAUCUCACCACCCUCCUUUCCAUCCAUUUCAAGCAUCAGGAUAGUCGGUAGAUAGUUCAUUUCAUUAAGGAUUACAAUUGGACUGGCAUUCUCAAAAUAUGUAGGUUUAUCUCUUUAAAUACCUUUGGUCGUUCGUGGGCCCACGUGUCACUGUAAAUAUAAUUUUAUACUUUGGUUAUCUGUAUUACAAUAUAUAUGAAUUUAUUUUACUUUUUCGCUGUAAAAAUUAAUAAUGCAGUGUUCUAAAAAUAUUGUUUUAUGAGAAAAUUGAAUAUUUUAUUCUAUAUCUUUAUUAUAUUCAAAUAGUUAUAAUUUUAUUUUAAAUGAAAGUUUUAGAUGUUUAAAUUUAUUUUUGAUUAUGAAUUAUGUGUUUUAUACUUGCAUACUACAUUUGUAAUUGGUUUCAAAACUUUUGAGAAAAAAUUACCAAAAUGCCCAUGUGAGACAUAAAUAAUUUUUUUAUUGAUUUCAGUUGGAAAUAGCUUAAAUUCUUUUAGAACAUGAUAUUUGGUAACCGUUGCUCAUCAGGGAAAAAAGAAACUAAUAUUAAAGCCUUGCAAGGUUUUGGUUGACAAUCUGGGUAAUGAGUGUCGAUAGGGACAACGUGGCGGUUGUCACAAGCUAGAUAGGAGUUCUGGGUCGUGACACUUUCUAACGCAUUUAAUGAUACUACGAAGGUCACGAAGUCUCAUAUUCUAGUUGUGAAUGCUCCAAAUAGGAUUGUUGUUCUUGAAGGACAAGCUUAAUUAGAUCAAAAUGGCCCACACUUGAAGCGUGAAAGACCGAUAGAAAUAAAAGACAUUAUCCCUUGAAACGAAAGGGGAGGAAUUAAAAAUCCACUCCAAAAGAGCCUAGCAUUGAUCUUGCUCUAGAAGAGCCUAUUGGCCUUGAAGAUCACAAACCUAUGAAAAGAUCAUCAACCGAAGAAUACUAAGAUCUCUAUUACAUAUUGUAAUGAGAUUUGGGAUCGGAAUGAGAUGAUCAUCGAUGAUGUUUUUGCACUCUCAAAUGCUCAUGAGAUUAUGAACGAUGAUUAUGAACUAUGAUCUAUUAUCGAAUGUCGUCAAAGGCAAGAUUAGCCCAAGUGGGAGGCAGCAAUCCAGGCUGAAUUGGCUUCUCUAGCUAAACGAGAGGUUUUAUGACUUAUAGCUCGAACCUUCGAUAAUGUAAAGCUUGUUGGAUACAAGUGGGUCUUUGUUUGGAAAUGAAAUGAAAAAAAUGAGGUUGUGAGGUAUAAAGCUUGACUUGUAGCCCAAGGCUUCUCUAAGAGACUUAGGAUUGAUUAUGAUAAGAUGUACUCACCUGUGAUGGAUACGAUUACCUUUUGUAUCCUUAUUAGCCUAGCUAUUUCUGAAAAAUUGAAAUGCAUCUUAUGGACGUAUUGAUGGCAUAUCUAUAUGGUUCAUUAAACUCUGAUAUUUAUACGAAAAGUCCUGAGGAUUCAAAAUGCCUGAAGCAUACACUCUGCACAACUUAUUCUUAAUAAAGUUGCAAAGAUCUUUAUACAGGUUAAAGUAAUUCAGUCGCAUGUGGUAUCAAUGCUUAAGCGAGUACCUAAUUAAGGAAUGGUGCAAAAAUGAUCUUAUUUACCGAUGUGUGUUUAUUAAGAAAUUGGAAACCGGAUUUGCUAUGGUAGUAGUUUAUGUCGAUGAUAUGAAUUUGAUUGGAACUCUAGAAGAAUUAUCUAAAAUUGUCAAACAUUUGAAAAAGGAGUUUAAAGUGAAAGAUUUGGGUAAAACCAAACUUUGUCUUGGUCUAGAGCUUGAGAACAAAGCAACUAGAAUACUUGUCCAUCAGUCAACAUACACUGAGAGAUUGCUUAAACAUUUUAACAUGGACAAGGCUUACCCAUUGAGCACUUCUAUGGUUGUGAGGUCUUUUGAUUCCCAAAAGAACCCGUUUCGUCCUAAAGAACCCGAUGAGGAUAUACUUGGUCAUAAAGUACCAUAUCUCAAUGCAAUUGAGAUUUUGAUGAAUUUAGCACAAUGUAUGAGACUAGAUAUUGCUUUUGCGAUAAAUUUGUUAGCACAUUUUAGUUCUGAGCCAACUUGGAGACAUUGGAAUGGGAUAAAACAUAUCUUCCAUUUUCUCCAAAAAACCAUAAUAUUAUUCCAAGGAUUUCACUAACUCUAGUUUAGUUGGAUACGCUAAUGCGGGAUAUAAAUCUGAUUCGCAUAAGGCUUGCUUUCAAAUCGGUUAUUUAUUUUGCUAUAAUGGGACCGCCAUUUCUUGGCGCUCUACUAAGUAAAUACUAGUAGCUACAUCCUCCAACCACUCUAAGAUUAUAGCUUUAUAUGAAACUGGAAGAAAAUGUGUUUGGUUGAGAUCCAUUAUAAUGCAUGUUCAUAAUUCUUGUUGCUUAACACCAGUUACAAAUUCUCCCACCAGAAUUUAUGAAGAUAAUGCUGCUUGUAUUGCACAAGUCAGGGGAAGAUAUAUUAAAGGUGAUAGGACCAAGCAUAUCUCGUUGAAAUUGUUCUAUUCUAACAAACUUUAGGAAAGUAGACAAGUUGAUUUUAAACAAAUUUGCUCCACCAAUAAUCUUGUAGAUCUUUUUAUCAAGUCAUUGCCAACGUCAACAUUUGAAAAAUUAGUAUUUGGCAUUAGGAUGUGUUGAAAGAUUGAUUUGCCCCUGAAAUGGCAAAGUAUCAAUUACCCUAGAAGUGCCAAGCCCUAAAGCGGUAGACCCUAAAAAUGGCAAUAUGGCUCCAUUGAAGGGGAGCAAUUGUGGACUUAGUGCAUUGUACUCUUUUUCCCUUUUGUCCGAUUUUUUGUCCCAUUAGGUUUUUUCGACUUAAGUUUUUUAACAAGGCAGUAAUAGCACGACCAACUAGGUCGUCAUAGUGGUGUUCCAUCUAAAGAGGAGUGUUGUGGAAUAUGGGCAUAUCUUAUCAUAUUAGACCAAUUCAAAUUAUAGUAAAUUUGAUAAAUGAUAAAUAUAUUAUCCACAUUCUAGUUAUUUCAAGAUUCAUCUACAUGUGAAAAUUAUCUAAGUGAUAAUGUGGGAUUUAUCAAGAAGAUAAUAUAAUUUAGAGAUAUAUCUUAUUAAGAGAUUCUGAUAGCCAUAAAUCUAUUAGGGACUUCAAUUAUAAAUAAGGGAUCACCCUGGCCUUAUUUAUAGAAUAGCUAUUUUUCAUUCCAAGCAUUGCUUCAGUAAUAUAUAAAGAACAUUCUCUCAAUAUCUUUCUAUUCUUCGUGUUUCUAUUAUUUCUUUUACAACAUUAAAAAAAAUAAUCAAAAGGAGAGAAAAAGGGAAUCAAGGAAAGAAAGAAAUGGGUAAGGAAGAGAGGGGUCGAUCAAUAGCAAUCCACGUAGAUCAACAUUGAUUUGGCUUGGGUGGACCAGACUGACAGCAGCUACCUUUCAUUAUCCGCCUUGCUUUCUCCUUGUCUUUUCUUUUCCUUCCCUUUCCUUGCUUCCUAAUCUUUCUCUCUCUUUUGUUUUUCUAUUUUUUUUGAAAUUUUUUAUAUUUAUUUUUGUUGAAAUUUUUUAAUUCAAAAUUAAUAAAAUUAAAAAAUUUUUAAAAUAAAAAAUGAAAGAUAAUGUGGCUAUUUUAGACAUAUGACAUGUUUUGGCUGGGUGUUUUUAGGCACGUCAUUGAUGGAGUUAGUAAGGAUGCAACUUUCUUAAUGGAAUAAAAAUUGAAGUACCCAAUUACAAAUAUAUUUCUUUAAGUACCAAAUCAAUAGUUUAAUUCUAGUUUGGGUACCAAAUGUAUAAUUAACCUAUUUCAAAUUGCCUAUUUUCUUUAUUUUAAAAAAUUAUCUUUUGUCUUUUAGUAUAGGUUAUAACUAAUAAAUUAACAAAAUUAUUUAAUGAACACAUGUCUAUUACGUAAAUAUACUUGUCAAAUUGAAAGACUCAAUGCUUGGAUAAUAUUUUUUAUUUUUAUAUAAUUUACUUAUAAUUAGUUACCUAGAAAAAGAAGAAAAGAAAAAAAAUAUAAAUCACUCUCUAAUUGUUUUUCGUAAGAAAAUAAGAAACAACAUUGGUAAUAAAGAGGAAUAGGAAAUGCAUUGAAGAUUGUCAGAAAGAAAGCAGCUAAAUAGAUCAUGGAUGAUCUGGAAACAUGCACAGAUGCCAUUUUAUCAAGCCUUAACUAGUUACAUAUGGUAAUGAGGUAGGUAGGCAAUCGUCUGUCCAGUAAUAGGGGUAACCAAUGAUUUAACUUUCUAAAAGGAAGAAAUGUUUGAGACAUAGGUAUGAUCUUAAUUGUGUCAUUCAAAUAUGAGAUCCAAGUAUGAGAUUUGAGAACAAUAAGCAAUUGGGGAAAUUUUUUUUUAGCCCUUAAAAAUAACAUGUUUUUGUAAAUAAGCCUGUAGAUAAUUUUAACUGUUUUUAGUCAUGAGAAUAGAUUUUGGGACAAAAAUGCCCUUAAUGAGCCAUUUUCGUUGACGUGCACUCUCAAACAAGGGAAAAAUGAGAAAAUAAAUAUGCAAAGAAUUUGCGAACAUUUAAUUUUGUGCAAAACAUCUUUUUUUUUUUUUUUGCGAAGCUUGUGCAAAACAAAAUAAUGUUGCAUGAGAUGGUUUUUCAGAGAUUUGGGACAUGGCAUUCAGAUAAUAAGAGAAAAGUGAUAUUAAACCGAACGAGGAACCGGUCAUGAUGAAUCGAAAGCUUAGAGAAUGAUGUGAAACUAGAAAUCCCUGAUAUGGUGGUGAAUCGAAAGGAGAAAGAUGUGAAUCCAAAGCACGAAAUGGUCGUGCUACAACAGGCCAUAUGUGAGACGGCUGUGGUAGGGUAGGGUUUAGAGUUUGUGAAACGGCAUGUUGGGAAUGUGUGACACGACAUGGUGGGAAUGUGUGAUAUGGCUGUGACACAACAGGGUUUAGAGUUGUGACACGACAUGGUUGGAAUGUGUGACACGGCUGUGACAUGACAGGGUUUAGAGUUUGUGACACACCUAGUGGGAAUGUGUGACACGGCUAUGACACGCUAGCUUUUAGAGUUUGUGACACGCCAUGGAGGGAAUCCGUGACACGUCAAAGUUCAGAGUUGGUGACAUGCCAUGGAAGGAAUCUAUGACACGCCAGCGUUCAGAGUUCAUGACACACCAUGGAAGGAAUCUGUGACACACCAAUGUUCAAAGUUCGUGACACACCAUGAAGGGAAUCUGUGACACGCCAGUGUUCAGAGUUCGUGACACACCAUGGAGGGACUCUGUGACACGCUAGAGUUCAGAGUUCGUGACACGCCAUGGAAGGAAUCUGUGACACGCCAACAUUCAGAGUUUAUGACACGCCGUGGAGGGAGUCUGUGACACGACAGGGUUCAGAGUUUGUCAGACUUCAUGGAGAUUUGUGACAUGGCAGGGUUUAGAGUGUGUGACACGGCAUGGCAAUUGAUGGGUGACAUGACAUGGUUUGAAAAAGGAAAAAAAAUGGGUAAAUAACAAGGAAACUGAUUGGACUUAAACUGAAUGAAUUCAAUAAAUGAAUAUUUAUAGAGGAAAUUGUGAGGCCAUUUCAUUUUAAUUAAAUAUUUUCUAGAUAUUGUAAAUGUAUGUGCGAAGAGGUUCAUUCCUCAUUCCUCAUUCUUAAAGAUAACAGAGUGUUCGACUUUCUUCUUUGCAAGCUUGAUGACACCACAACAACAAUGUCGGUUAUCAGUGAAAAGGUUAGUCAGUCUGAAAAUAAAACUUUUAAAACUUUCUUUUAUUCGUUGAUUUUUUGCUGGGUUUGUGUGAUAUGUUCGUGUUUUUUCAAUCUUUUCCAAUUGUUAUGUUUAAAACUGUUUUUUUCCUGGUUUUAUGGUCGUAUGAAAGUUUUGAACUACAACAGAUAUGGCGUGUAGUGAGUAAACUGCUUUUUUGGGGUUUUUAACGUGUCACGACAUUGGUUAUUUUAGAGUAGUUCGUGUAACGAGUCAGUAAUUACACUGAUUAGCGUGUCACACACCACGAAUAUUUUGGGCUAGCUCGUGUAAGGACACAAUAAUUAUAGUGAUUAGUGUGUCAGCGUGGCGUGUUAUAACAUUUGACUUGAUGCGCAUGACGUAUUACAACAUUUUACGUUAUAUGCAUGGCGUGUUAAAACAUUUUACGUUAUAUGCAUGGCGUGUUACCAUAUUUUAUAUUAUAUGCAUGGUGUGUUACAACAUUUUACGUUAUAUGCAUGGCGUGUUACCACAUUUUACGUUAUAUGCAUGGGGUGCUACAACAUUUUACGUUAUAUGCAUGGCAUGUUACCACAUUUUACGUUAUAUGCAUGGUGUGUUACAACAUUUUACGUUGCAUGCAUGGUGUGUUACCACAUUUUACGUUAUAUGCAUGGCGUGUUACCACAUUAUGGGUUAACUCAUUCGUGCAUGUGUGCCAUGUUUUGCAGAUGCAGUCCAGACAAUAUGAGGAUCUUGAUAGUUUGCUUAUUGUGCCGAGGGAGAAGUGGGUUUUCAAUGUCGCUAUUAACACCCAUUGUAAGUGAUCGCUACUACAUUACAUCAAUAAAACCCUCCAAGAGAAAGAGGAGUAUGAUGCAGUGAAGCGUACGUGCUUCGGAAUGCUGCUAGACGUAUAUCCAUAAGGCUACUUCUCUGCUGGUCUCCUGCAUAACAUCAUGAUCUGUCGAAUCAUUGUGACAGAUUCAAUGGAGCAUGAGUUAUGGUUUGCCAUUGGGAAAACCAAGGAGCGCAUAUCAAAGUAGAAGUUCUUCCUUAUCACCGAACUAAAGUUUGGUCAAAUGUCAUAUGUGUUCACACGACCGUACGAGGUUGUUACUGACGAAAUUCAUGGGCGAUACUAGAAUGGGCAGCAGAGCGUUAAGCUGCAGGCCUUGCUUCAUACGUUCUGCGAAGGAAACUUUGAGUGACCGGGAGACACGACCAAUAUGGCACUCAUCUUGAUCACAAAUAACAUUUUAUUUGGUCAAGAUCACCAUAGACGAGUGAUGCCUUGGCUUUUGUUGUUGGUGGAGGACAUCGACGCUUAGAAUGUCUUCCCAUGGGGUCACUACGUUUGGAGGUUGACCUUAGAUUACCUUUUGAAGGGGUUCGAAGUGCCUUCCUCGAAUGUACAGAAGGAUCGUUUUUGGUACAACAUUUACGGAUUUGAGUGGGUGAUACAGGUACUGUCACGUAACUUUUUUCAUUUUCUUUUUGACAUAAUAAUUUAUGGUUGCAAUUGUUUAUCAUUUAUGGUCUGAUAAUGGUUACAUUUGACUUGCAGUUCUGGGCAAUGGAGGUAAUUCCGACCUUGCGAAAAAUAGUUGCCCCAUCUGCUUCGAAGGACAUCUACCCAUGCAUGUGCAGAUGGCAAUGCAACUAGAAGCCAAAAGACUUCUACAAGGCAGUUGAGAUGUUGGAGUCAUCUCAGCGGGUGAGUGAACAGUUACUAAUUUCUGCUGUGAAUUUGUAUAAUAAUUUUCCCUAAAAUUUAAUCAUAAUCGCUAUUUUGCAGUUAUGGGUAGUGGAGACCUUGGAGCUUACCCCGAAUGAGGCUAGUCGAGAUUAUUUUGUGGACAUUAAUGUGUCAUUAUUUGAGGGCCACCAAUACGUGCCAAUAGGGCACAUGGAGGAUCGAGAGGAUUGGGGCUUAGGUGCGAGGAAAAAGAGGAGAAACUUAAAGCACAAAAGAGCCACUGGUUCUGUGAAGUGGAGGUGCACAAUCGCUGCUAUCGUCGAUGAGCUGUCAAUCCCCGAGUUGAUGGAGGAAGGUGACAACCAUGGCAAUGGCAGUGAAAAGCCAAUAAGGACGAUUUUAAAGGUUUGUGUUCAACAAUUCAAUAUGUGAUUAUCGAAUAACAAAUCUGUGUUUGUAGUUGGACCAUGUGACGAUAGCUUCACAACCACCGAUAGGUCCUCUUUAGACUCACAGUGCUAACGAGGAGCCAAUAAGGAUGGUUAUAAUGGUUUGUUUUCAACAACUUCAUAUGUGAUUAUCGAAUAACAUAUCUGUGUCUGCAGUUGGACCAUACGAUGACAACUCCUCAACCACUGAGAGGUCAUCUUCAAACGCACAGUGCUAACGACCUGUCAAUAAGAUCGAUUCGAACAGUUUGUAUUCAACAUUUUCACAUAUGUUUAUCGAGUAACACAUUAAUUUCUAUUAUUGCAGUUAAGGGAGGCGACCACAGUUCCUCAACCACUAAUCGAUCCUGCUUAACCGCAAAAUGGUAACGAGCCACCAAUAAGAAUAUUAAAGUUCUAACGAGUAAUGUUCAACAAUUCCUUAUAUGAUUAUUGAAUAACACAAUAAUAUAGUUUAUUGCAGUUAACCCAUUUGACAAGAGUCAAUGAUAGAAUAGUCACGAAGCGUCAGCUGCGACGAAUCAUGCACCGGUAUAAAAAAGACAUGUCGGAGCUGAAGGUUUCAAUUCAGUCGUUGACUCUAGCAAUGCAAACGUUUGAGUACCAUGUCGUUGCUCGGAUUCUAAACGGCUUGAAAUUACAGAUACGUUAUUUUAUCUUCACUCAUAUAUUGGUCGUUUACAUUUAGUAAGUGUAGUUCUAUUUUUUGUUCUCAGUUUAUGGUUUGUGGUAUUAUAUGAGCUAACGAAUUUUCUCAUUUGUCUCAUUCUGUAGGGCGUUCCUUAAUCUCACGAUGCUGGUGAGGACCACGAUGAUGUUGAUAUUGGCACCAUGAUGAACUUGGUGUGCACAUUCACGAUGACGUCACUGGUGUUGACAAAGACCCUGUUUCUAAGGCCGAUCUAGUUAUCGAUGCAUCUGCGGGAGGGGAAAGGGACCUUCACUCAGUCGUGGGUAAAGGAAAGCAUCUUCCUCAUGCCAAUGCAUUAGUGGAGGUAGUAGUAGGAGGGGACCAUCUUCCUUAGAGCACUCCUGAAGCCAACAGCUUACGGUUGUCAUCAUCAAAGUCAUCUAAUGUCCAUCAUCGUGUAGCACAAAUUUCAGACCCAACUGAGCGGGCAAGGGUGAAAAUGGAGAGCAAAUACAGGGCAAGCCCACACGUCGACCCCUUAGUGAGCCGUCGGGAUGUAAAGAGCACAACGGUUGAAGCGUACGAAACUUUCAAAAAAGACGAGUGCACGAGGUAAGCUCAUAAAUAAUAUUGCAAAUAUUGUUUUUUAAUGAAGCAUUAAUCCACCAAGGCUUUUCAAACUCAUUAUGUUACAUAUGCAGGUGUAACGUUGGGAUCUUAGGGGAUCAAAGGGAUGACUUUUUCACAACAUUAGAGGAUCCCAAAAAAGAAAUGACUAGUGAACAUAUAGACGCAUUUCUCAGCAUACUUUGUAAGCAAAUGACAAGGUGAAGUCGAAGCUGUACACUACCCGUGCAUGCGUGGUUGACACGAUAUUCUUCGUAAGUAUAUUUGAAAAUUUUUCAAUUUUGAAAAUACUAAGUUUUUUAUUGCAUUAAGUGUAAGCUAAUGUAUACAUGCUUCACAAGACACUAUCCAUAUGCUACAUACCUCAUUUCCAACUAAAGAUGCUCGGUCGACUAUGGAAAUUCUAGAUGAGUUAUGGGCGUACGUGGAGGGUGAGAAGCUGACAUACGACAAAUAAUGGAAAGAUGUUGAUUUCAUCCUCGCACCUUGCAAUGUGGGUGGGCAUUGAGUGGUAGUGAAGAUCGACUUGGUGAGGUGGACUAUCAAAGUGGUGGACUCCGUAAGAACUUCGGAUGCUAAGGAUAACAGAGUGCAAGCAGCUUAAAUGACACCCCUUACGACAAUUAUGCCAAUUAUUUGCCACCAAGUUGGCUAUUUCAACAAAACACAGUGGAAGACACGGGAUUUGAUGCCGAUGCCAUUGGAAAUUCAUUUGCCAAAAGUUAAAGUGCAUCGACAGAUUGAUAGUGUCAGCUGCGGUAUGUUCAUGAUAGGGUACAUUAACGAUCUUUUGCAAUCGGAAUUGAUUAGAGAGUUAAGCAAAUAUGAUUGUAAAUAUGCGUCGCCAAUACUCUCAAAAAAAUUUUUCCAACAGUUGUGAGAGCAAACCCUGAACAUAUCGGCCCUUGUCUAUACAUUUUUUGAAUAUACAAUUAAUUUUAUUAAUUUUAAUAUUUGUACAUUUUAUACAUUAUUUUUUCUUUCUCAAUUCAAACACAGUGCCUUUAAAUUAUUUAAUAAUGCAACCACGUGGCGUGUUACAUAAUUGGGGCAUGACGUGUCACCCCUGAAAACUAAAACAAGUCAGCAUGUCACGCCAAGUAUCUAGUUCCAGUUAGCAUGUCACCACAUUUGGGGGGUGCCAUGUCACCCCAUAAUACAGCAAGAAGUCAGCGUGUCACCAUAGAAAUCUACAUGCACUCAAUGUGUCACGCUAACUAUCUGCUUCCACUCAGCGUGUCACCCCACAAUAUUGCAAGAAGUCAGCGUGUCACCACAGAAAUUUGUAUGCACUCAGCAUGUCACACCAACUAUCUGCUUCCACUCAACGUGUCACCACAAGAUGGGGUGUGCCGUGUCACCCCACAAUACUGUAAGAAGUCAGUGUGUCACCAUAGAAAUCUGUAUGCACUCAACGUGUCACAUCAACUAUCUGCUUCCACUCAGCUUGUCACCACAAGAUGGGCUGUGCCGUGUCACCCCACAAUAAUGCAAGAAGUCAACGUGUCACCAAAGAAAUCUGCAUGCACUCAACGUGUCAACUUAGGAUAAUAUAUUUUUUAAGAAUUUUCGUCCUUAUAUUUUAAUUUUAUUUUUAAAAUAUUUUAAUUUAAUAACAAUUAAUUAUGAUGAUUCAUAGAUGAAAUUUGAUUGGAUGAUCCAUAAUUUUUUAAAUUUUUUGGUCAAGCAUGUGUUUUAAUCUUAAAUUUCAUAUCAUAUGUUUUUAAUUAGUCCAAAAUUUUCUCUUUCUAGACUUGUAUCCUUUGAAGUAAACUUUUUUGUACAAUAUUAUUAUUAUUAUUUUGUUAAGUGAUUGGCUUAAAGUUUUAUAUGAAGGUAUUAAUAAGAUAAAAUAAACGUUGUAAUUAAAAAAUUACAAAAACAAAUUGAAUAUGAGGAUUUAGAAAGCUACUAAAGUUAGAUGAAUUAAUUUUAUAUCUCUUAAGAGAUUUGAUUGUAAGAAUAUAAAAGGUUAAAUCAAAUGAAAUAGAAAGGAGUUAAAUUAAAUCAUUAAUUGUUUAAUACAAGUCAUAAUAAAAUGUGAGAAAGGGGGUAACAGUAUAGGGACUUCGCAAGUCUAUUCAGUGUUCAAAACUACAGACAAAAUGAAAUGAAUAAUCAAAUAAUAUAUCUACAAAAUUAAUAAAAAAAAUAAAGACUCAUCUACAAGAGAAAACUAAGAAACACAAAAUCCAAAUAUGAAUGAAUGUAAGAUACUGCAAGAGAAAAUUGUGACAAAGGUAUUGCACAUGGGUUACACAUUUAGUUAGAUGACAAGCUGUCUUUAUCCACAAAACACCCUACAUUUUCAGACAUUGUCCUUCGUAUUGGACAGUUGUUGCGUGUGUGACCGGUUUGUCUACAACUUGAACAUGCUUUCGGUCGGCGCACUCGUGGAGGCACUGAUUGACUUGGAGAUGGUGCUGGAUUUGUGGAUGGAACUGCAAAUGGUGAUGGGCAAUUCUGUCUGUUAUGGCUGUACCUCUUAUAUUGCAAACAUCUCCAUGCUCAACUGCCUUCACUGGCCGAUGGACUCCUUUUCCUCUUAAGUCUUCCCGCUUGGCCUCGCUAAGGUGGUGGCAAGAUGACAAUUUGUUUCACAUGAGGGGGAUGUCCCACUCACUAGGAUGCCCUACCGGGCGAAUGGAUCCCGCAUAAGCCUCCACCAAAACGGUUGUCUUGUAGUAGUCAAUGUAGAAUUCAAUGGCUUCACAUUUGCAUUUAUUGAAAAAUACAAUGAACUCAAUGUUCAAGCAUAAUGCAAAUAUUAUGUCAAUUAGGGUUCAAAUAAGAAAUAAAGAUAUUCUGACCUUAUUGCUACAAUGGCAUGGCUGCGUGGCAGUAAAUCUGUUUGGAACUCACAAUAUGAACACAUCUUCGUGGAUAAGUUUACAAGUCAAUCCAUCUUCCUGUCUUUAACUUUGAACUCCACUCGAUUGAUAGGUUUAACCACAAAGCAAUGUGCAUCAUUGAAGCGUUUGCUCAACUGCCCAACAACCCAAGGGUUGAGGGGUGUGGUCACCUUGACAGCCUCUUCAUACCAGUCAUGGAACCAACACUAGAACAUGUCUUUGAUGAACUCAAUCAAAGCAAUGAUUGGCAUUUGCCUUGUAUGCUUCAAGCAUGAGUUAACAUAUUUUGCAAUGUUGGAUGUUAUCAUUUGGUAUCACCUUGCUGGUGAAUAGGCAAGUGCCCAUCUCUCAAGGCCUAUUCUCAUAAGGUCAGUGUGGGCUUCCGCGUGAAUCUGCUUGAGCUGGUUCAUAUGUCUAUUGAAAUCGAAAACCUUAUAGCAAUCUCAAGCAAGGGUGAAAAUCAUAGAAACGUGAUCGUGCUUGAACUUGUUUUUAAAAUUUUUCUUCAAGUGGUACUCGCAUAAACCGUGGUGCACUUUUGGGUAUGCAUUUUGGAUUGCUUUCUUAAUGCUGAGAUGCUGAUCAGAAAUGAACACAGUGUUUUCAAGACAACCAACCGUAUCACACAGCUUGUUAAGAAACCAUAUCCACGAGUCUUUGUCCUUAACAUGGCCGAUGCCAAACGUAAUUUGAUAUACGCACUCAUUCGCAUCUUUGCAUACAGCGACAAACAGAACACCCUUGAACUUGCCUUUCAGAUGUGUCGCAUCAAUUGCAACCGUAGGACGCAUUACAUCCCUAAACCCCCGAAUACAAGCCUCAUAUGCCCAGAAACAAUAUUUGAAUCUUUCUACCUCAUCAGUAGCCACUGUAGUGAUUAUGCUGGGAUUUUCUUGUUCCAACAUAUAAAAAUACGAGGGUAGUAGUUGAAAUGACUCCUUUGAGGGAUCGAAAACAAGCCUCUCCGCAUACUUUUUUGCGUGCCAGGCUUUACCAUAUAGGCAUUUCAAUCCCCACUAAACCCUCAUCUCACCAAUUAUGUCCCUAGGUCUCAAUGCUUCUCUAUUAGUCUGAAGCUUGUGUGACAUAAGUUCACCAAUUAUCUUCGCACUCGCGGUUGCAAAUCGCCUUUGCAAACCAUCGAUAGUACACAUGUGUACUUUGUGGAAUGUUCGAACUUGCCAAUAUUUUCCUCCUUUAGGUAACUUCGUUGCACGCACACUGAACUUGCAUGCCUUGUCCUUGCAACCAACCUCAUAACGAGCUUUACAUGACUAUUUUAUUCUUAUCCCAAAUUGCUCUUUUAGAGCUAACGUGCUCAAAGCUCGUUUCAACUCGAUUUUCAAGGAAAAUAUUCUUCCUUUGUAUAAGCGAUCAUUGGCACAUGUCAACUCCUCAGUUGUAAUUAUUUAUAAGGAGAGCCUUUCUGCACCCGAAAUUACCCAUGUACGAGAUAUCCCUGCAUUUUCUCUUUCUAGAUAACUGUCAUGGAGCAAUAUACCAGGGGAACGAAUCCCAUUCUCAUCAGCGAUGGGGCUAUUGUCUAUGGGGUCAUCACACUAAACAUUUCCUACAUCAACACCUCCAACAAGUUCCGUUUUGCCUUCAACAUUAUUACAAAUUAGAAUGUCACUGUCAUAAAGCUAGUCCUCAUCUGAACUCUAAUCAUGCCAUUCAUCAAGGCCAUUAUCUAAAUUGUCAUUAAAUCUAUCUUCACUGGCAGGGAACAAAUUCUCAUUUCUCUCAUCAGAUGCAGUAUUAUCCUCGAUCGUUUUAGUGUCACCCUCCAACAUCGCAGUGUUGUCCUCAAGUGUCGCAUUCUCAUUUGAAAAUGCCAUUACACUUUGUACAGUUUCACCCGAUCGUUGUAUUUGUUAGACACAAGUAACUAAUUGGUUCGAUGCACAUCUUGAUCGAAAUUGUAUAGCCAACUGUUCUGUGAAUGUCGUGAGUCUACCGGGUUGCAUAAACUCUUGUGCAUAUGUCAAUUGCCAUUGUUGUGGGUUACAGACUGAAUGUUGUUGUCACGAGCCCGAUGGGACGAUCCGAAACUCCCAUCGGGCCCGUGAUUGUUGUGGUAUAUGUGAAGCAUUGUAUAUCUCAUUUUGAUUAAGCUGAUUACCAUGUUGUUCAGCUUCUUCAUGUGACAUAACAUUUAUUUGGCGUUCCUUAAUGCUGACAUACACAGCCGGAAAAUUUCUCUGUUUGAGCAGAAUCAAUGCAACAUCCUCAUCGUCCUUGAUAAUUGGCCGCGAUAGCUUUCCGGGUGUACUGAUCAAUGCAUGUAACUCAAUCUUGUCAAUUUCUGAGUUUACCCUAAUAACAUCUUCAACCAGCUUCAUCAAUCCCACAAACGACAAAUCACUCCUAACCCCUCGCAUUCGUGACUCACCACCCUUGUAAAUGCCAUCCACCCUCUGACCACUGUGUCUUAUCACAAGUCGUACAAUUGAAACCCCACAGAAAUUUUGAAAACAAUAAUAAUUUGUCAAUCAUUUAACACAUUACAUGACAUGCCAUGUUCUAGAAUUUUUCAGUCAUGUUGUAACACGCCAUGCAUAUAACAUAAAAUGUUAUAACACGCCAUGAAUAUACCGUUAAAUUUUGUAACAUGUCAUGCAGAUAACGUAAAAUGUUGAUACACGCCAUGCAUAUAACGUAAAAUGUUGUAACAUGCCAAUGUUGACAUGCCAAUGACUACAAUUACUAUGUCCUUACAUGAACUGGCCUAAUAUACCCAUGGCAUGUGACACGUCAAUCAGUGUAAUUAUUGACUCGUAACACGAACUGCCCUAAAAUAACCAAUGUCAUGACACGUUAAAAUAAUGCUAACACAUGUUAUAGAUGCAUGGCGUGUAACAAUUUUGGGCAAUGUUUCUAAUCCAUGUUCUAAUUUACACCAAAUGUUUCAAAAAUUUAAGUGUUGCAGCAAUAACCCAAUAACAUACCUUGAUGUCAUCUUUGCUAUAGGGUUUGUUAAUCUACGACAAUAUGGCCAGAUGCCGAGAGAUAGACCACAACUCGAUGACGAUGGUGCUCAAUAGAGAGUUGACAGAGUUGAGACAGUUCAAAGAGUUGAGAGAGAAAGAUAAGCGAGCUCAAACAGCUGAGCAUUUAUUAUUUAUUUCUAUUUUCUCUCUAGCGGGAGAAAGAUAUCGGGACACUAAUUUGAAAUGAUGUUUUAAGGGCAUUUUGAUCUACUCAUGCUUUUUUUUGUUAGAAACAGAUAACUUUAUAUGGGUGGUUAUUUCUGAAAUCACUUUAUUAGGAGGUCCAUUUCUCACAAUUUCCUCUAACUAAGCAAUUUAUAAAGAUAUUUAAGAAAUAAGGCAUUUGCAAAAUGUGUGUAACUAAGGUUCAUGAAAAAUGAACCACACAAAGUUAGGGUAAGUUGUAGGGGCAAUUCUUCAUGGGGUUGUUUGUGUAGGGUAGGUAUUAAACAUAUUACCAUGAGCAAAAGUGUAUAAGAAAAAACAAGAAUAAGUUGUUGUCUGCAUACAUUUAUGAACAUUUCAGGGAUGAUAUAUUAUUGCAGCCAAGUUUGAAGAUUAGAGUUUUAAAAGAGUUAUGUAGAGAAAAGUUAGGAGCAUAUGUCACAAUGAGCACGUGUUAGAAGAAAAGAAAGAUUGUGAGCCGUGAGAAGAUAAAGUUGCAUAAGGGAUUAUGCUAGGUUGUGGGAUGAUGAAUAGAGUUAAAUUCAAGUGGAUAGAGAGAAUGAUGAAAGGAAGAAUAGUGUCUUUGAGGUUAUAUGUAUGUUUUAAAGCUUGUAUAAAAGGGUGGAUUGAAGGGUGUAAGCCUAUUCUAAGAGUGGAUGACUGCUUUAAAUGUAUUUGUAAUAGAGACAUAAUGGUGGCUAUAGGGAGGGAUAGAAAUAAUCAAAUGUUUUCAUUUGCUUAGGCAAAAGUGGAGGUGGAAUACAAGACCUAUGGAAUUGGUUACUUGAAAUUUGGAUGGAUGAUGUUAGGCAUAUAGAUUCUAAAGUAUUAAUGGUAGUCUCAAACAUGCAAAGGGUAUGUAAGAUUGCUAUAUGUUUAGGAUUUUAUUUACUGUAUUUAUAUUUGUUAGCUUUAAAUUCAUUCUUAUUUGAGAAGACAAAAGAAAAUGCUCAAAAUUUAUACAAUAAGUUUAUUCUAAAGUCCUGAUUCACUGUAAGCUUAAGAAACAUUCAAUAACCUUAAAAUAUUUAAUGAAAUUCAAUCAUGUAUUUUUUUUAAGUAUUUGAGAUCACAUUAAAAUGGGAAAAAUGGUUUUUAAAAAAAGAAGGCUCAAAGUAAGAAAUGUUUUAAUACAACAACUAAAAAGAUUAGUCGUAAGGGUUAGCAGAUUGAUCCCUUUGAGACAAAAGCAAGAGGAACAUCAACCAAGGCUAUAUGGAUUGUUCUCAAGGAUUAAAAGAUCAACCUUAAUUACUUAAAUGUGAGAUCCUUGACUUUAGCACAAAGGUAAAAUUGUAAACUUCCUUGAUGAGCUUGUAUAUUACUCAUUUGAAUGUUAAUGUUUCAAAGAGUUUCCUUGUAAACUCAUAAUUCAAAGGUUUUUAACUUUAUUUGGAAAUAAUAAGAGAAAGAUGAUUUAAAAAGGAUGAGUUCUUGGCAAGAAAAAUUUGUUUUAUUGCAAAAGUAUCAAUACCCAAGGGAAAGGAAUCAAUACUUAGUGGUUACAAUACCUUGGCAAGCAUUUUGUGAAAAAGGUACCGAUACCUUAAAAAGAGACGUAUUAAUACUUAAUGGUUAUGAUGCCUUGGAAAAGCAUUCUGUGUAGUAAGUGUCAAUACUUGCAUAAUAAUUAUGAAUACUUGUGGCGUGAAUUCCAAUAAAUAUAAAGGAAAAUAGAAAAAAAGGGUAGGUCGACCAUUUCACUUUCUCUCCCAAGGUUUUCCUUCCCCCUUCCUUCUCUUAACUUCCACGCUACAAAUCUCAUUAAUUUAACUUCGAUUCUAACUCCAAACUCAACUAAGGUAAGAGUCUAAGCCUUCAAGCCUUGCAAUGCUUAGAUUUUUCAAUUUGAAUUUUCUCUCUAAAGGAAUUUCACUUUUCCAACAUGUUAAGUUUUUCCCCAAUUGAAUUUUUGGAGUAAAGCUCAUCAAGGUAAGUAUAAAUUGGAAAGACAAGUGAAUUAUGUGAUGAAUUAUUAAUUUGAAGGAGAAUUUAGGUAAGAAAUUGGUUUGGGAGAAGUUAGUUAAGGAAUGUGAGGGUAGUUGAUUAAGUUAAGAAAUUUGUGUUGCGUUGAUUUUGUAAUUUGAUUGUUUUAAGUCCCAUUAAAGCUCCAAGGUCUAAUAGCUAAAGAAGCUUGGCCAAGUGUUGUUAGUUUAGGAGGUGGUAUCAAAUUGGUGAAUGGACUUGCAUUUAAAUUGUUUUGAUAAAAAUGCAUAAAGUAUUUGAAUGCAAUGUUUUGAGUAUGUUUGUUCUUGACCAUUUUAAAAUAUGAAUGGGAAUAAGCUUUUGAAAUUAUUGUCUAAUUGUUGUGAAUGAAAUGUGUUGAGUAUGAAAGAUUAGAUAUUAACAAAUUGUUAGCUUUAUUAGCUUUAAAAUGAUUAUAGUUUUGAAAUGACAAAAAUGAUCAAAAUUGCUUGAAUGAACUUGUUUAAAUGAUUUUUGAAGUUGGUUGAAUCAGUUUUUGAACUUAAUUUAUUAAUGUUACAAACUCUCACACACUUGUUUAAAUGUUUCCAUGUGAAAAGUUUCAAAAUUGUUUCAAAGAGUUUUGAAUUUUAAAUAAGUUUUAAACCUUCAUUGCAUUUGCUUUUGAAAUGUCUAAAUAUUUGGCAUCAAAUUAGGUUAAAAAAAGAAACAUUUUCUAUAUUUUAAGCUACAAAUAUUGAUACCAUGGUAUUGGGUAUUGUUACAUUUUACACAAAGUGCUUCUAGAUGCAAGGUAUGGAUACUUAUCUCAAAGGUAUGGAUACCUAUUUUAUAAGUAUCGUUACGUUGUGAAACGAUACCUUGACCAAAUGUAUCGAUAUCUAGUGAAAACUAUGGAGUGAAAAGUAUCUAUGCUUGAGGUCCAGAACUAGCUGUUAGACACGAAAUUCAAAAGAAAAACGACUAAUUUCUUUACUAAAUCAUCUCCAACGGCUCCAAAGUUUCUCCAACUAUAAAAAGGACUUCUCAAACACAUUUACAAGGUUAGAAGAUUGUAAAAAUACAAAAAAUAGUCAAGCAUCAAAUCUUAUGAAGAAAAAAAAAAAGACAAAGAAAGAAAAACCAAGUUAGAGCAAGCUAUUCACGUGUUUCCACUUAGCUUUUAAGUUAUCUUUGUGUUACAAAUUCUUUGUACUUUCAUUCCUAUCAUUUGUACACAUCUUUGUAUCAUUCAAACACUUCAAACCUUAUACUUACUUAGCAAAACCCACCUUAUAAAGGUAUAUUUGCUUAAAUCUCGUAAAAGAGAAAAAGGUUAUACCUUACUGUUCAAAAGGUAAUAUUUAGAGGCUAUACUUGAUCCUUGAAAGGCAUAGAGGUUAUACUUUAGCCUUCAAAAGGUAAUGUUUAAAGGUUGUGCUUGAAACUUGAAAAGGCAAUGAUUAUGCUUAAUCUUUGAAAAGCCAUGGUUAUGCUUGAACCUUUAAAAGGCAUUGUAUUGAAUUUUUUCAAUAAUGGAUUUAAACUCCUUAGCUUUCUAAGGGAGAGGAGAUAGGCACCUAUAGAGAAGGUCGAACCUUUAUAAAUUCUGUAUAUUUUCUCUCUACCUUUUACUCAUUAAACUUGUGCAUUUUAUUUUAAGAAGUUUGAAAAUUGUUUACAAUUUGUUUAUUCAUUAUUUUGUUUAUCAAAUUACUUUUGGCAUGUUUUAGAAUGAAAACAAAUUCAAGAAAAUUGAUUUUAACUUGUUUUCAUUGAAAAAGUUUUAGAUUCCCUUCAUUAGAAAUUUAAUUUAAGGACAAGAAUUUUUAGAAAUCAAAUUCACCCCUCUUAGAUAGUUUCACAUUAUUAUUGAGCUAGCAUUCCUAACAAUUGGCAUAAAUGUUUGGAUUAAAUUUUGUAGGUUUAAAAGCUUUUGAAUGAUCCUUGUUAGCUCCAAGACAUAGCCAUGAACUUUAUUGUAACAAUUCUUGGUGAAAGGCAAUCAAUUGAGGAACCUCUUCUAUUUAAUGGCGUCAACAAUUGUUAACGGUACAACUCAAUGCUAAAGUCAUGCACAUUCUCCUUUGUGCACUUGGAGAUAAAGAAUACAAUAGAGUUUUCAAGUGUGAAAGUGCCAAAGAUUUGCGGGAAAAAUUAGAAGAGUUGUAUAAGAAAAGAAAGAAGAAAGAGGAGUUGGAAGAGAAGCCUUGUGAAAGUGAAUGCUCAACAAGUGACAAGGCAAUUAGAGAUAAGAAAUCAAGUGAAAUUCAAUUCUCAAUCCAAUUCAAAUCAUGCCUCAUGGCUCUUGAAGAGCUUAUAGUAAACCCCUUACUUUGUGAACCCAUUUCAUGUUCAUUUGGUGAAUUGCAAGAUACCUUUGAAGAAUUAGCUUGUGAAUUUGAAAAAAAUGAAUUUUAAACACAAGAAAAUGAUUUCAAAACUUAUUGUUGAAAAUGAAUUUUUACUAAAGGCAAAAAUCAAAUUGGAAAAAGCGAAUGAAAAUUUGAAAACUGAUUUUGAUGCAUGAAAAAAGAAAAUUGAUACUUUGGAAAAAGAGAACUUAGAUGUAAAAAUGAAGUUUAAAGAUUUACUAAAUGGAAGACAAAAGGUUUUCAUAAAUUCCUCAUUUUCUAGAAUGACUAAAUGUCCUCAUUGCACAUUUCAUGGUCAUAAUUCAUUCACUUAUCCUAUUAAAAAAUAGGAUUAGACAAGUGUGGGUUCCACAAGGAAUUUUGUGUAAUGACACUAACUCUCGAGGAUCCGAAGCAAUGUCGAUACCAAAAUUCAAGUGAAAAGUGUCUAUUGUAGGUGUGCUAGAGCAAAAAGGAACAAAAGUUUAGAAGAUUGAAUGCUCUCUAGACACACAAUGAAAAAUGGAUCAUGUUUAUACCAAAAGUCAUUUAUUUGUUUAAUUGAGAAUUUUGGUUGUUUGUUCUUAUUUUCUUGGAUUGCGUUGAUUUACCUUGGUUUCUCAAGUUAGUUGCUUUUUUUAAUUGAGAAUUUGGUUGUCUAUUCUUACUUAAAUAUUAAGUGCAUAAUUCUUUAUCUAUUUUCCUAUAAGUUUUACUGAUAAAUCUUAAUUAUGCAAAAUUGAUUUAAUAUGGUACAUGUUAUAAAUUGCAUAAUCUUGAAGGAAGUAUGAGCCUAUGAGCCUAAAGAUUGAUUAUGUGCUUAUGUUUGAUUUUGAAUACUUAAUAAGUUUAAUGUAAAUAUAUUCUUUUGUUUUUUGAAAAUGAUUUCAUAUUAUCCUUUUUAGAAAAAUGAUUUUUGAGAAUGAUCUUGAACAUAAAUAGGUUUGAUGUUGAUGAUAUGAUGGUAAUAUGAGCUUACUUGUUUGAUUUGCACUCUUAUCUUUGAGUUCAAUAGAACAAGAAAAAUAAUGAGAAUAUUUAAUAGUACUUAUGAGAAUAAUAUCUUUGAUAAAAUUAUAAGAUGGUCUUAUAUUGAAAAACGUAUAAAGCCCAGUGGGUCAAUGGGCCCAAUUUCGUUACUUGUACGUUACAAAUUAGCCCAACUGACUUGCCUUGUUGACAAUGUACAUUUCAUGUUUUUAGAACAUUUAGUAUUCAAAGCCUAAUUGGUCAGUUAGCCCAAUAUGUCACAGUCUGCACUUUGCAUAUUUUUUGUCUUUAUAAAAUUCAAACACUACUUGAUAAACUAAAAUAUGUAAAAAAAUUAUGAUAAUAUAUAAAAGUUAUACACUAUUAGUGCACCGGAACACAUCACAUCAUUAACAAGUAAAAACAAAAGCUUAUUACGUCUUAAAAAUAAAUUUAAAAAAAUUUUAAUAAUUAAAUAAAAGAAUAAAAUAUGUUCAAAAUCUCACUGAAAUUUCUCUUCCACGCUCCUCUCCCUCCACCGGGAUAGCUAGAGUAUUGCCCUUUUAUCAAAAAUUUGCUUUAAUUAAAUUAUUUUUAUUAUUGUAUAAGCAUUGGAAAUGAAGGCAAGACUUAGGUUAUACUCCUUAGAUCAAGUUUGUGAAGUUUCUUAUGAAAAAUAAUCAAAUAAAAAUUAAAUUUGAAAUUUUAAACCAAUAUAGGAAAAGACCUUUUACAUAUAGGUCAAGUAUACAAAAUUUGAAAUAAUUUAAAACACGUUUUAGUAUCUUAUGUAAAUUGGCAUUUUUUUAAAAAAAUUCUGAUAAUUUUUACUAUUCAACAAAUAUUGACUAAAUUUCGUAUAAUAAUACUACUUUUAAUUAAUUUCUUACACAUUACUUUUUUAUUGCAUUCUAUUAAUUUAUUGAUUUGAGUUUUAUUUAAUUAUUUUGAAUGAAAAUUUUCACAAAUUUAAUGUAAGAAACUUUAUCUAAGUUAUCUCUUUAAAACGAAUAUAUGGAAUUGAAAUAGUAGAUAGAGAGAAUUUCUUUUUACCACAAAAUUAAUGUUUCUGCUAAAGAAAGAUGUCAAACAAGAAAAUGCUAGAAUAAAGUAAUGAUCUCUUAUGCUUCCUUGUACAUAAAAUUGGCCUUGUCAAUAUCCAACGUAACUAGGCGAGCAGCGGUUGAUUUUGAUCGGCUUUGGUUAUGGAGGGUAAACAAUCGACCUGCAUGAACCACUGAGGGAGGAAGUGAGAUACCAGAAAUUGACCAUACUCGGUCAGAUGAUCGAUUGGGGCUUUAAAAUUACAAUUCACCUUCACCAAAUUUUAAAUAAUGGGAGAAAGUCAGAGAGGGGGAGAUGAGCUCUAAAGGAGAAUUAAUGCUUUAGAAUACUUUACUUGAUUGCUACUCUUCUUAACAGCUAUUGGAUUUUCUUCAUACGAAUUGUUCUAUACAUGUCUGUCUAUAUGAACCGUGUGCAAACGACUAUCUUUCGUGUGUGGCCCAUAUCAUAAACUAAUUCUUCUUUAAGCUUGAUAGAUAAGAGACGGUAACUUCAAACAACACAAAAAAAGCUUGGAAACUCCAAGCGGAGUGGCACGACAGAUGAGCUCGAUGACAAUAGUAGAAAGAGAAAAUGGCCAAAUGGGGGAGCUUCAGCUUAGGGUUUCACAAGGGUAAGUAGGUAAUGACUUAGGGAGUUAGGGGGGGGGGGGGAGUUAAUGAGAAUAAAUAUGUAAUUUUCCCUAUAUAUAUAUAAUAAAAUAAAGCCAAAAGAAUUGAUUUUUCAUUCAGUGUUGGUAGGUAAGUUUCCGUACAGAUGAUCAAGUUGAUCUUUCGCUAAAAUUUGUAGAAAUAAAUAGAUCAACUAACCAAUGCUGAUCAAUCCAGCCGUUGUCAACGAAACAUGUCAGCAUCAGUCGAUUGGUCGGUUACCACUUAUCGCUGCUCACCCCGAAAUGGAACAAUCAUUUCAACUUGUGCAUAGCGGUCAUGAUAUUGAAUUGCUAUUGACAAAGAUGUCUAUUGUAUUUAUUAUCUUUUUGGGGUGUUGUUUGAUAAAGUUUUUGAAAAUUUUUUAAAAAUUUGUUUUAAUUUGUAACGUAUUUGAUUACUAAGUAUGAAAACCACUAAAAUGAAUAAUUUGUAAGGUAUCAUACCCAAGACUCGACCCAAUUCGAACCGGGCUUAAGGACCUGAUGGGUAGCUCGACUUGAAGAUAAUCAUAUAUCUAAUAUUUAUUUAAAAAUUAUAAAAAAUAUAGUUAAUAUUUAACUUUUAGUAACAUAUCAAAGAGUUUUUAUUACAGUACAAAUUCAAUACACAACAGAUUUAGCAAUAAAAAUUCAACACCUAUUUUUGUCAAUUAACUUGUCUAACAACCACUUGAAACAUAUUAAAAAUUUUCCAUUAGGCCAUUUUCAAGUUCCAAGUUUAAAAUGUUUUGAGUUAAGAACUCAUUUAUUUUCAAACCGGCUCAAAUUUGGGGUAGAUAAAUGUUCAGAAACAGUAAAUUCUCUUGCCAGUUGUACAUCUGAGGUCAUUGAUAAUUUAUUUAUUUUUCUUGUUACUAUAUAACUUAUCCAACAAAUAGAUUCUCUUUUCCCCUAAUUUAUUUAUUUUUUCCCUAAACACAAACGGAUCCCCUAAGAACAAUGCAAUCAGGAUUUAAGAUUCUUGUCUGUUCCCUUCCUUAAAUUCUAACAAACCUGCUCAGGGCAAUGUCUCCUCCAUGUGAUCCUACUUGUUUCAAUUACUUUUUGUAAAUGAAACGAGAAUAUGUCGGUGCAAAGAUAAGCAUACAUAUAACCACGCAUCACUCCCAACCUUUGCAUGUGAUUUCCAGAAAUUAUCUCAUUUAUUUGAGUAACUCAAAAUUAUAUGCAUACAAAAACUAUAUGUUGUAAAAACAGUAAGUUAAAAAUGUUGCUUCUUUCCAACAUAAUGCAACCGCUUUGUACUUAGUAUCAAAUGGCAAAUGAAGAAUGAAAAAUUUGAUUGAUAUUGACAACAAUAAUUGAAGGACCAGCAGAAAAAAAUUAAUUAGGAGAUAUGAACGAACGUAAUAAUAAAAGAAGCACUACAACAACGUGGAAUGAGAAGAUAUUGUUAUUAAAAUGAGGGAUGGUAUUGGAUCCCGAGAAGAUAGGUUUUUGGUUUGGGCCCCAAGAAUAAAGAGAUUCCUCUCCCUCCUUAAUAUAAUCCAAAAUCUUUUUGCCAUGUUGUUGUUUUGAUUGGUUAAGAAGUCAUAUUCCGAAUCUGAUGCAAUGAAUGUGGGAACUGAAGUGGAUGCAACAGGUGUUUGGCUAUUUUUUAGAAUGCUGCCUUUUAGAAUCUUCUCCUCUCGUCGGGUGGCUACCUCUACCAUGAUUUCUGCCCUCCUUUAUACUUUUUUUUUUAUUAAUUGCUUGGUAAUUUGAUAGCUUGAUUAUUAGGACCUCAUCCUAUCAAAGCUACAAAACUAAUAGUUGAUGUGUUUGUCUUGAUUCCCAUGAGGUUGCUCUUUGUGUGGUUUAUAAUAAGGGAUGUCUCAACUAAGAACACAUUUGGAGCUGUGUUUGAUUGCCAACUUAAUGUCAAACUAAAUAAAUUUUGUGAUAAAAAUCCCGGUUGUUAAUAAAUUUUGCUACUCGAUCACAAAAUAUUUUCUGUUAAAAAUUCUUGGUUGUCAAAAUUAAUAGUUCACUCAAUACAUUUCAAGUUUUUUUGUUUUUGCAAACUAAUGCUUAAUAGUUUGACAAUUAACUAAUUAAAAGAAAAAGAAAUUGAUUUAAAUAAUAAGAUACGUGCAUUCCUACACUCACAAAUAUAUAUUUCAAUCAUCUUAAUUGAUAUUGGCUAUAAUUAGCGAGGUUAUGGAGAGUGCCCAAGAUUUUUUUUUAUUUAAAAUAAUUAUUGAUUUAAAUAUUUUAUAAUUGAUUUAAAAUUUCUAUUAUUCUAAACAAUAUAUGAAGAAUUCAAGCUUUCAAUCGAAUUGCCCACAAUUCAAUUAUUUUAUAGAUUCUAAAUUUAAUUUAAAUUAUAAAUACACAUGAACUUUUGACUCAAUAGUUAGAGAUAACCAAAUAUGCAAGCUGAUGAAGGAAUUACAAGAUCUUUAGUGUCUCAAUUUAUGUUAGAAUAUUUGCAUUUUGAUGAUCUAAACAUAUGUCCCAUCAAAGUAAAUGGGUUCACUUAUGCUCAACGCACUGAUUAAUGGGUGGCAAGAGACAGUUACCAACUUUAUCCUUUGAAAAAGUUUAUGCUCAAAUUAAGUUCUGAUAAGAUUAGUACAAAACUAACAACUAGUGCAUUAGUGGGCUUAAAUACUUUGGAGUCGAAAAGGAGUUAAGAGUUUGACUUGGAUGAUAUUUGAGGGCAGCACCAAUGAAUGGUAUAGCUAGCUAUACCCGUGUUGUGACCAAAUAGGAAUAAAUAAUCUUCAAAAAAGGAAGAAUCAAUACUAAAGUGGGUGAAUGGAUUAAUUACUAAAUUGGCUUAGGUGGAAAUCGUAAUCAAGUAGUGGGAAACUUUUACCCAUAAAAACAUGACAUGCUUAUCUGCAAAUAAGACACCGAGUCAAUUGCUUGUUUAAUCAGCAACCUACAAAGUGAAAUGAGCUUAUCUCCAUCGAAGUCAAAUCACAAAGUGAACACUAGAUUUUCUCCACUUGGAUAAACAGAACAGUUUUAAACGAGAGGGACCAAAACCAGUUUCCCUAUUCUCAAUUUUUUCAAAGUCCUUGCUUGGAAAAGAUUUUUAUGGAUGCAAAACCAUUAGACAUCAACAGCCAAAGCCCAGGGACUCAUUUUGAUGGAUACCAACAAGUUUUGAAUGUGACUCUUGUCUCUUAAUUUGUGUAUCAUUAGAAUUAGAUCAUGACAGCACUUGAUUAGGCUCAUUUUCAAGCAACCAACAGGAUGGGAACUAACGACAUUGGUGGGUUUUAUACUAUUGGAAGUAUUAAUUUGGAUUAUGGCAAAAGCAAAAUUGAAAACAACAAAAGUUUGACUUUAUUUUUUAUUAUUUAUUUUGACAGAAAUCCUAAGGUAGAGACAAAGUGCCCCAGUCCCAAGUUAACCUCGAUAAAAAGUCGCAAGUCAAAAUCACACAUUAUCAAACCAGCGAGGAACGACCAUCCCAAUCGAGCUAAUUUGGCAUGGUGGGAUACUAGAUGUUGGAACUUUGAUAAUAUCUAUCAAAGAGGCUUUGAUAUUGGUUGUGUACAGCUGGGGAAACGUUAGAAUAAAAGGGAAAUGGCAGAUAAGUGGGAUUCCAAUCAUGGCUUUAUUUAUUGGGGACGUAUCACUUGCAGCCAAUGUAACCAUUCAUUAUUGUUUUGUCCUACUACUUGUAAUUUUCCUCAUUCCGAAUGUAUGCAGGCAGAAGCCUUUUACGUUUAUAUAUAUGUUUCCUUUUAUCUUAUCCCCUGUCCUCGUCAACCAAUAGUUAUAACCUACAAAUAUCAAGUUCCAAGUUUAAAAUUUCUCUUCUAAAUUAUUGAUAUUUAAUAAAUACAGAAAGUUAGAACAUUUUGCCCAAUCCUUUUUUGUCAUUAGGCUAGAUCUAACAAUUUUGUGCAUGAUAAGAGAAGAUAUGAGAUUAAAUAGGUUUGGGUUUAACUUUAAUGUGCUUCGUGUCUAAUCGUGUCUGACAUGUUUAAGACACAAAAAUUUUCGUUAUCUUAACAUGUCAAACACAAGUAACACAUUUAAACACGUUUAAUUAAUCAUAUUAAUCGUGUUUAAACAUGUUUAUGUGACACGUUUAUCAAUUUAUUAAAAAUUAAUAAUCAAAGACUAUUUUAGCCUAUCUUAAAUAAUUUUAAACAAUUAUUUUAAUAAGUUUUUUUAAAUUUUAUAAAGAUAAUAAUGUAAUUAUAAAUAAUUGUUUUGUUAUAAUUUUUUUAUUUAAAUUUAAAAUCAAUAAUUAUAACAAAAAUUAUAAGAAAACAAUUAUUUAAAAUUACAUUAUUAUCCUUAUAAAAUUUAAAAGACUUAUUAAAAUAAUUGUUUAAAAUUAUUUAAGUAAGGCUAUAAUUUUAAUUAUAAUUUUGUUAUAAUUAUUGAUUUUAAAUUUAUAUAACAAAAUUAUAUUUAAUUAUAAAUAUUUUUAUUUAAUCAUGUUAAACGUGUAAAUCAUAUUAUUAAUCGUGUCGUGUGGUACAUUGACAUGUUUAAUAAAUAUGUUAAUCGUGUCGUGUUGUGUUACACGAUUAUUAAACGUAUAUGUGUAUGUAUUUCAGAUUUAAGAUAUAAAUAUUAUUCGUGUCAUGUUCGUGUUUAACCUUAACAUGUUUCGUAUCUAAUCGUGUUUGACACAUUUAAAACACGAAAAUACGAAUUACCAGGUCUACAUUAGGCAGUGAAGGUGAGUUCAAAUAAAAAGAAAAUAAACAUUUUCUUUUCUUUUUGACUAAAUACCCAAAUAAGUCUUUGAACUAUCUUUAUGAAGUCAAUCAAAUCUCUAUCUUUUGAUUGUGUUCAAAUAAGUAUUGAACUUUUAUUUUGACUCAAAUAAACCUCUCUAACUUUAUAUGUGGCACUUUUUAUGCCACAUGGUAGAUGACAUAGCAUAAAAUUGCUAAUUCAGAUUUUUUUUUUACCCAUCCAUGUGUCCAAAAAAUAAUGAUUAAGGAUUUGAAAAAAAAAAUUAAAAGAAAAAACUAAUUACUUUCUCUCCUAAUCUAGAACAAAGUUUUGAGUUUAAACAAAUUAAAUCAUCUAAGGGUUUAAACCAAAACUUACUAAGAGCCUAUUUGGUCUAGUUUUUUUUAGUUUAAAAGCUAUUAUGGAGCUCUUAAAAAAAAUAAUAGCUUUUAAAAUUAAACUAAAACUAUUUGAUAAGCGGUUGAAUAAAAUAAAUUAUAUAAGCUCUAAUUUUAGUUAAAAUUAUCAUAAAAGAUAUUCAUGCCAUCUUCAAUCACUUAAUAAAUCAUAGCGGAACAAGUUUGCUUCAAGUUUAUAUACGAUUUCAAAUGUUCAAAUUAAAAAAAUCAAUAAAGAAAUGGAAAAACUCUCAAACUUAUAUAGUAGUAAUACUAUUAGAUUUUUAUUUAUUUAGCAAGCAAUUGGAUCAUAAUGUUUCAAUUCCCAAAAAAGAAGAGAAAGAAAAAACAGUGUAUUUGACAUUAAAAUCUUUUUUGGUGAAGAAGAGAAAACCUUUAAAUAGCAUCUGAAUGCAGCUUUGAAUUUUGAGUUUUCUUUUCUCUUAAUCUUUGUAAGAACAAAAAAUUCUAAAUUUUGCUAUUAUGUUGUUGGGCCUUUUGUUUUUUUUUUUCAAAUAAUCUUUGUAGAGAGAGGUAGAGAAGAGAGAGAUUACGAUUUGCUUUGGAGAAUGAAAAUUCGCAAAGGGACGGAGAGGAAAGAGAGAUUGAUUGAAAGAAUGGUAUUUUCUGAAAGAAAAGAAGAGAAAACCCCUCCUUGGAGCUGUUCUUUAAGUUCUUUUUUUUUUUAAUUUUUGUUCUUUAAAAAAUACUAUUUUUUAAAAAACUUUUCAAAAAUCAUGUUUGGCACAUACUAAAUCAUCUGUGACUAUCCAAAGAAACAAAAUUCUAUUGGAAGAAGUAAGUUGCAACACCAGUUCAUGGAGAAGAAGUAAGUUCCUUUUUUAUAUUUUGCAAGAAUUAAAGGCAUUGUUCUAUAUAUGAGAUGUCAUGGAGAUUUAAUGGGCUGAUUAGGAUCUUUAGUUAAUUUGUUAAAAAAAGGUCUCUAAAGAAUUAGGAGUAAUGUUGUUUUGCUGAGAUUGAGAAAUUAAUUGUACGUCAAGUCCCAUAUUCUUAGUGGGAUGGUCAUUGGUGGAUUUGUUGAGAACCACUUUAUGCUUAUUAAAAGGCUCCCAUUAAUUUCCGGGUUAUGUUAAAUUGCAGUGAGAAUAAAAUUUGUUAAGAAAAAUUGUUUCCCUUAGGGAUUUUAAUGCUUUGUUGCUUUUCUUGAUGAUAUAUUUUUUUGGUCAUUUUUUGGGGUUUCCAGUGUAGCUCCUUUUAUUUGUUUUUUGGGUUUUUAUUGUUUCUUUGUUGCUGCUCUAGUUUGCUACAUCUUGUGUGAUUUUGAUUUUCCUUUUUUUUCUGCAGCUUUGUUUUGUCUUGAAGUGGAGUCUGUUCAACGGUGAUAUAGAAAUGGCUAUGUUGAUGGGAAGAAUUGGAAAUUCAAGAAUUUAUUGAAAAAAGGAAAAGAAAAAUUAGGAUGAAAAUUAAGUAAGCAAAAUUGAAAUUUGAAAAAAAAAAAAGGGCGAAGUACUUGAAAUUGGAAAGGGAUUGAGAGGGAGGAGAUGAAGUACCUAAUUGCCUUCUUUUUUUGGGGUUAAAAAACCUUAUUGAAUGUUAUAAACAACAGUAAUAAGGAUUCAUAUAAAGCAAUUAGUUUUUUUUUUUAAUUUUUUUGCAAAUCAUUAACCAAUAAUUUUUAAACAUGUGGACAGGUAAAAUAAGAAAAACACAAAUCCUAAUUUGCAAUUUUAUGCCAAGUCAUAUGCCAUGUGGUAGUGGCGUUAUCAAAAUGACAUAUCAACCUACCACGUGGUAGAUGAAGAGACAUAAAAAGUGCCACUUGUACCAUUGACUAACUAACUAAUAGAAGUUAGUCGAUGCUUAGUUAAAUGAGCUUAUUUGACCCAAAAUUAAAGUUUAAGGACUUAUUUGAAUGCAACAAAAGGAUAAAGGCUUGAUUGACCUUUUGGAGAUAGUUUAGGGGCUUAUUUGAGUAUUCAACCUUUCUUUUUCAUUUGGAAAAAUUUUAAUAUUUUGAUUAUAUUUUAUUGAAAUUUUAUAUAUUCUUUUUGAAGGAAUGAAAAAUUUGUAUUGUCUAAUCCAAUGAGGGAAACAAACACUAACUACAUUUUUAAUCAAUAGCUUCCUAGCAUUAUCAGGUGGACUAUUAUAAACUAAAAAGUUCUCAUCAAUAGAGAAACCUUCGUUGGCCAUGAAGUCAGCAACUCUAUUUCCUUCCCUAUAGAUAUGACAAACCUAGAUGCUCCAUUACUAUUGGAGAAGACUGUGGAUGGCUUGAAUUAGGUCUAAGUUGGAGCAUGGAUGACUUAAUUGGGAUGUAAUAGCUUGUACAACUAAUUUGCUAUCUACUUGAAGAUCUACCUAUCAAAAGCCUAACUCCCAAGCAUACUUUAGUCCUCGAAAUAUUCCCUAAAGUUUUACUCAAUAAGCAGUACAUUUUCUAAGCCUCAUUGCAUAUGCACCUUUCCCCUAGCUAGUUGGAUGCCUUAACACACCAUUGGCCACUGCUUGAUUAGAGGAUUUUCGAUAUGCUCCAUCAAAGUUUAAAACAGUCUAACCUAAAGGAAAACCAAUCCAACCUAUUAAUACUUUUUUCUGCUCAUUGAGUGUAGUUCUCUCGUUUCCGAAGUACAUUGAAUCAUCAUUAUGUAUCGCAACAGCCAAGCUGCAAAUUAAUGCCAAACACCCUUCAUUAGAUAUGAUUUUGUUUUCAAAUAUAUGGGAAUUCCUUCAUUUUUAAAGGAACUAACAUGUCACCCCAAAAAUGGUAGCCCAUGAUGCACUAGUAUUUGUUUUGUUAUGUCUACUUAAAUUAAAAGAUAGUCAGUCCAACGUGGAAAGAUCAUAAAAGAAAUUAUCUACAUUUGAUGGUAUAAGUCUUAACCAAACUGCUUUAGCAAGGGGAUUGCUAAGCACGUGGAGAAUGGUCUCAUCUUCUAUUUGGCAGUGUAUGCAUGUUGAGUUAAUAAAAAGAUGUAUACGAUAUCUUUCAUUGUUUGUAAGAAUGCAAUUGUGCAAACAUUGCAGCUAGAACAUGCAGAUCCUUUCUGAUCUCUUCCAUUUCCAAGCUAAAGCCAUUGAUUUGAACCAUCAUUUAAGUUUAGACUUUUUAGCUCUCUUAAAUAAUCGUAUGUCGAGGAUAUUGUAAAUUGUUUAGACAAAGAUAGAGCCCAACACGUGUUGCGAUUUAAUAGGUUUUAGCAGUAAACAAAUAAAGGUAGGAAGAGUAGAGAAUGAAGGAUCUGAAAAAACAAUUAGUGAGCUAAAAAACAGAGGAACUCUCACAUUCAUCUAUUCAUUUUCACCUUUAUAUAUUGAGUAAUUAACUAGAAAUGACCAACAAAUUAACAACCGUAUAGAAUCUCAAAGAAAAAGAAUAAAAUUGGUUGGUUGUCACUGAAAUCCAUGUAUUGGUUUCAGUGCCAGGCAACGGCUACAAACAGGAGAGAAAACACCUAGUUUAACAACCAGCAGACAUGAAAAAUGACACUCACAAGCUGUGUUUAACACAGUAAAACAAGAAACAACAUAUGCUAAAGUCGUAUUACAUAAACAGAAAGUAAACAUAAAUGAAAUGACACAAGGCUUGGCAUAUUUACUGCUAAAGUGAGAAAAAGACAUCGUACUACUCAUCCCUCUUCUUCCUCUUCUUUCUUCAGCCUUUGACUCUUCCCGCCAAGUCUGCUCCUUGAAUUUCCAGAAUUGUGAUCAUUUUCCAACAGACCCCUUUGAUCACAAAUUUGGUAAACACCCAAACAAGACCUCAAGAAUUCAAAUCUGUCUUUGCACAAACCUUUAGUCAGAAUAUUAGCAAAUUGUUGAUUAGUUGGACAGUAAUGAAUAUUAAUUUCAUUGUCUUUUACUGCCUCUCUAAGAGCAUGAUAUUUAACCUUUAUGUGCUUGGUUCGACCAUGUUGAACAGGGUUCUUUGCAAUACCUAUGGUUGAUUGUUGUUAACCUUAAGCACUGUGCCCUUAGUCUGAGGAAAUCUCAAGUCAACUAAUAUAUUCCUAAGCCACUGGAUAUGAUUUGCAGCAGCUGAAAUAGCAAUGUACUCAGCCUCAGCUAAGGAUUAAGCCACCAAUUCCUGCUUUUUUGAAUUCCAAGAAAACAUACAACUACCAAAUGAAAAACAAAAUCCCCUAGUGCUCUUUGAAUCAUUAAGUGACCCUGCCCAGUCAUUGUCUAUAUAUCCUUGAAGUUCACCAUUGUCAAACUUACUAUACUUAAUUCCAUAGUUCACCGUACCUUUGACAUAUCUCAACACCCUCUUAGCUACUUUGAAGUGUGUUUCAGAUGGUGACUGCAUGAACCUCGACAGCAAGCUAGUUGAAAACAUAAUGUCAGGCCUUGUAGCUGCUAGAUACAGUAGUGACCCUAUUAUACUUCUAUAGACUAGAUCAUUAGCCUCAUCUGCUCCAUCAUUCUUAAUCAGUUUAUCCCCUACAGCUAAUGGUGUAUAAACUGGUUUACAAGAUUCCAUCUUAAACUUCCUUAACAAAUCUCUGGCAUACUUAGCCUAGUGAAUCAUGAUCAACGCAUCAGUUUGAAUAAUUUCCAUACCAAGGAAGUAUCUCAUGAGCCUUAGAUCAGUCAUUUCAAAUUCAGUCAUAAUUUAAGCUUUGAAUUUCUCUAGGUAUACUGCAUCAGGCCCUGUUAACAAAAGAUCAUCCGCAUAAAUAGCUACUAUAUACAUCACUAAGUCAUCAGAUUUCUUCACAUAAAGAGUAGGUUCUGUCAUGCUUCUAAUUAAGCCUUGAGCUCUAAGAUAGUUAUCCAACCUUUUAUACUAGACUUUAGGUGCUUGUUUUAAACCAUAUAAAGCUUUAAUAAGCUUACAAACCUUUCCUUCAGCUCCUUGCGUCACAUAGCCUUCAGGUUGCUCUAUAUAAAUAUCUUUAUAUAACAUUCCAUUAAGAAAAGCAUAUUUCACAUACAGGUGAUUGAUCUUCCAUCCUUCUUUUACAGUUAGAGCAGCUAGCAAUCUUAUAGUGUCAUGGCGAGCCACAAGAGCAAAAGUUUCAAAGUAGUCUGUUCCAUAAGUCUGUGCAUAACCCUUUACCACAAAUCUGGCUUUAAAUUUGUUUACAAAAACAUCAGGAUUGAGUUUGGUUCUGUAAAUCCACUUAACUCCAAUAACUGGAUAAUCACUUGGUCUAUUAACUAGACACCAAGUUCCAUUCUUCUCGAUCAUGUUCAACUCAGCAUCCAUUGCUUCAUUCUAGUUUGCAUCUGCAGUUGCCUCUUUAUAGCUAAUAGGAUUUACAAUUACUACAUUGCAUCUGCUGUAUAUGUCCUGAAGGAUUCUGGUUCCUCUAACAGCUAAAGACUCAUCCUCAAUAUCUUCCUUAUCAUCAGACACACUUUGCACUAGACCAGUAGACAGAUUCAAGUUACCAAGACCUUCAAUUAUAGCUUUGUCCCAAUUCCAAGUUGAAUUUUCAUCACACUUUAUAUCUCUACUGAACAUCACCUUUUUACUCACCACAUUGUACAAUUUAUAUCCUUUGAUGACAUCACCGUACCCAAUCAGAAUAGUAACAACACUCUUCUCAUCUAGCUUGGAUCUUCUCUCAUCUGGCACUUUAGCAUAGCAAAUAGAACCAAAUACCUUCAAGUGUGAUACUGAGGGCUUUUUGUCAAACCAACAUUCAAAAGGGGUCUUCUGAUGCAAAGUUCUAGUCUGACUUCUGUUCAGAAUGUAAUUAGCUGUGUUAAUAGCUUCUGCCCAAAACAUCUUAGGCAAAUUCUUCUGAAACAGUAGACAUCUGCCCAUUUCCAUGAGAGUUCUAUUUUUCCUUUUAGCAAUUUCAUUCUGCUGAGGAGAAUAUGUAACUAUCAAUUGGUGCAUAACCUCUAGCUUGGACAGAAAACCUUCAAAUUUAGCUGAGGUAAAUUCUGUACCAUUAUCACUUCAUAGAGUUUUAAUGGUUGACUUAGCUUGAUUCUCAACAAUGUUUCUGAACCUCACAAAGUUGCUAAAGGCCUUCUGAUUUGAUUUUAAGGAAAUAAAUUCAGCAAAACCUAGUCCAAUCAUCAAUGAACAGAAGAUAAUACUUACUGCCCCCAAGUGAACUAGUCUUGAUAGGACCUCCAAUGUCUGUAUGAACCAGUUGAAGCUUCCUAGUUGCUUUUCUCUCAUUUGGAAAAGGCAAUCUGCACUGCUUACCAUAUUGACAGAUUCUACAAACCAUAUCAAGUCUUGUAAUUUCAGGCAGGCCUUCAACCAGCUUUUUAGUUGCCAUGUCUUGUAGGGAUUUGUAGUUGAUGUGCCCUAACCUUUUGUGCCACAGCUUAGAGUCAGGCACUACACUGAGGAAGGCCCUUUGAUCUGUAAGUUUCCAGUUAAUGGGAUAACAUUUAUUUCUCAUCUCCACUAUUAACAUUUCCUUACCCUUAGGAUCAAAGAUAGUGCAGAAUUUAUCUUUGAACAAGAGUGCAUAGUGAUUUUCAGUCAGCUGCCCUACACUCAAUAGAUUCUGACUUGCAUCAGAAACAAAAUAAACAUCAGGAAUAUACCUGUUGCCAUCUUGAGUCUCCAUAACAAUUAUUCCUAUGCCUAAGAUCUUCAUGAAUGAACCAUCACCAAUCUCAACUCUAGAUCUGUAGCUUCUGUUGAUAGUUGUUAAUUGUUUUAUAUCUUCUAUCAGAUGGUUAGAGCAAGCACUGUCUAUUAGCCACACAUUUUUCUUUGCUGAUCUCCCUACUUCCUGAACCAUGAAUAGUACUUCAUCUGAGCUUUCAUUGUUCUCAGCAACUGCAGCUUUUUCAUGCCCACGAGUCUCUUUGUUUUUACAUACUCUUUCCACGUGGCCAAGCUGAUUAUAGGACCUACAUUUUACAUAGGCCUGUACUAGCAAAACUUAGGUGAAUGAGUAGUCUUCUUAUAAUGAGAACAUGGUGGAUACUUAGUCUUCUGUUCUCCAGUCUUCUCUUCCACUGUUUUCUUCCUUUUUUCUUUCUUCUCAAAUUCAUCUUUUUCAAGCUAUUACCUCUAAUCUUCAAACUUUUGUUUUGGCAACCAAGGCACUAUUGAGAACAUUUUUCUACUUGAAUGCUUUUCUUUGUUCAAGAGCUUCUAAGGCGUUCACAAACUCUUUCAAAGUAAUCUUCUCCAUAUCCUUAGAAUCAAUUAAUGAGGAAAUUUUGGAUUCAUACUUCUUUGGAAGACUGACAAUCAUCUUUUGAACUAACCUGUCCUCAGUUAUAACUUUGCCUAAUAAUCUUAACUGAUUCACAAAUGUCAACAUUUUACCAAAAAACUCCCUAAUCGAUUCAUCCUCCUCCAUUGUUAGCAUUUCAAAUUGUCUAAACAGAUUCAAUGUUUGAAUCUGCCUAGUCCUAUCACUGCCAAAAAAUUCAUCUCUUAAGUGUUCCCAUACAUCCUUAGGAUUGUCUAAAUGCAUAAUCCUAGUGAAGAUUUCAUCAGACACAGUAGAAUGUAAAGAUGAUAAAGCUUUAUACCUCUUGGCUUUGUCUACUUCAAAUUGUCAAAUCUGAGCUAAGGUGGGAUUGACAUGCCUUUGAGUCGGCUUCUCUCUAGUCUCCACAACCUCCCAGAUACUCAAUGCCUUGAGGUACGCCUUCAUCUUCACUGACCAGAUUGCAUAGUUCUCACCAUUGAACAAAUGGGAGAGAAAAUGUAAUGCCCCGUAUCCUCGUAUAGUAGUCAAUGUAAUCGUAUCGGUAAGACAAAGGGCUAAUUGGUACGAAAUAAUUAUGUGCACGAUUGGUUAAUUGAAGUUAAAUAAAAUAAAUAAAUAAAUAAAUAAUGAAUGAAUGAAUAAAAAAAUAAUAAAAUAAAAGAAAGAAUAAAGGGAGAUAAGAUGAAUAAUGAGAAAGAAUAAAGAAAUGAGACAUGUAAGAAAUAAGUGGGUAGCGGCCCAUGUGCACAUGAAAGAACUAAAAUAUAUUGUUAGCUUUAAAGUAUGUGAAAACAUGUAGGGGGCCGACCUCACGAAGCCAUGAAGAGAGAAGAAAGAGCCAAAAAGUGGAUAAGGAUGGCUGGAAAGAAUAAGGAGAAAAAGGGAGAAAGAGUUGGACUUUGAGGAAAAAUAAAGAAAGAAAAAGAAAAGUCAAAGCAUUAAAUCAUGUGCACAACAAGUGGGGGGUCGACCACUUGAACAAGAAGAAAGAAAAGAGAGAGUGGGCUAGAACGAAAAAGGGAGAAAAGACAAGAAAGAAUGGAAAAAGAAAGAAAGGAAAAAGAGAAAGAGAGAGAGAAAGAAUAAAAAGAGUUGAAAGAAAGAGAAAUAAGAAAGAGCUGGUACCCUCGGUUGGCAAAGAAGGAAAGAAAAUCUUCCAAGCCGAGGAGAAAAGAAAGAGAAAUAAAAAAAGAAAAGAGAAGAAGAAAAAAAGAGAAAAAGGGGAAAAUCGCCGACCAAGGAAGGAAAGGAAGAAAGAAGAGAGAAAAGAGAGAAAGAAAGGUGAGGCUCAGUUGGAAAGAAAAAGAGAAGGAAAUUCGGCCAAGAGAAAUAAAAGAGGAAGAAAGAAGAAUAAUAGGAAAAAAAAAGAAAGAAAAAAGAAAAUAUAUGUAGAAGACGAGAGAGACAAGAGUUUAAUAUUUUUUUUAGUUUCGAUUUGGGUAUUUUCUAGAGGGAAAAGGUUUGAUCAUUUGGAGCUGGUAGAGAAAGAGAGAGCUUGGGUUCUUUAGGUAGUAGUGAGGGGAUCCAGUUUUGGCAAACAAAAAGAGAGAAAGCUGGGUUUUUGUGGUGACCGAUUUGUGAGUAAAGAAGAAAGAGUUAGUUGCUGCCGGUUUGUGAGUAAGGGAGAAAGAGCUGGUGCUGUCCAUUGGUGUUGGGAAGUUGCCAUACAAGGAUCCGAACAGUAUAUUCCCAAAACAAACCGUGGGUCUAAUGGAGACUUGGGCCAACCUAGCCCAAUUUGGUAAAAUUGGUUUACUCUGCUCCAUGGGUUUAUUGUAAAAUUAGACUGUUUAGGGGCUAGCCCAUCUUAUUUAACUAAACUUUGGUUAUUUGGUGAUAUGAAGUAAAUUUAAGUUGCUUAGAAAGGUUGAAGUAGGCACUUAAUAUCAUUAAUAAGUUGUCGGUGUUUGUAAUCUAAAGAAUUACGUGAGCAAAGGAUAUAAUUAAUUUUAGUAAAAAUGUAUUAAGAUGUGAGUUAGUUGAAUGUGGAUUUAUGAUAGAAUGAGAAAGAGAAGUAGAAUUGAUGCACUAAAUAUAUUGAGUUGGAUUAUUGCUAAGAAGUGCUAAAGUAAAGAUAGUGCACUAUAGUGGUGUGCCGGAAGAAGUAACGCGCAACUGACAAGUAGAAAUAGCGAUGUAGUAAUCCCGCUAUUGUGAGGUGAAUGGGUGCUGAAUUUCAAAAACUAUAUCUCGAUAAAUAUGUUAUAUAUGUUAUAUUUGAUGGUUGACGAAAUUGUGAAAAGCAUGAGUUGGUAGAAAAUCCUAGGUUGUUUGUGAUUACGAUCAAGGGUUUUAAAUUCAUUUUUUUAUACUAUACAUAAGUAUAUAUCUACAAGGUUUUAAUUACAGGAAAAUAAACCUUUCAAUGGCUUUCGCUUCAAAAUCAUACCUUGCAAGUUUGUGUGAUGUUUAGGCUAAUGGCCUUUUGUAUUGAUUCAUAGAAUUUGAUGAUAAAUUAUCUACUUCAUUUAGCAUGCUGAUUUGGUAAAUAUACCAUGCUUUGAGAUAAAAUAUGCACAACAUUGGUUUGUGAUUAUAUUGUGUACAAACUAUUAUGUUUUGCAAAUGCAUUAAAUUGCAAUGAUUUUCAUUUGAACGUGAUAGAGAUAUGCUGGGUAGGACCUGUUACCACACCAGGUCAAGUGUGGUCUUUGUGCAUAAAGUAGUAAUUGUUGAUUAUUGAUAUUUGAUUGUAAAAAAAGGGGGACCUGAAGCCCUGAUUUAUAUUAGGUGGCGUGGGUAGUUCCCACGAGUAGGUGAAGGGGGACCUGAAGCCCUGAUUUAUAUAUGGUGGCAUGGGUAGUUCCCACGAGUAGGUAAAAAGGGAGAUUUGAAGCCCCGAUUUAUAUAUAGUGGCGUGGGUAGUUCCCACAAGUAAGUAAAAAGGGAGACUUGAAUCCCUGAUUUAUAUAUGAUGGUGUGAGAAGUUCCCACGAGUAGGUGAUGAUAUCUGAGAGAGUAAGCCUAAGAGCUAUACUAAACCUACCCGAGGAUGAUGCUCACUUGUGGAUUUUUAUUAUGCAAUGCAUGGCAUUAACACUUGAAAUUUACUAUUGAAUGGCAAGUGAAAUUUACAUAUUCAUUGGUGAUCGGUUAUUUUGCAUUUUUAUGUUUGAGACUUUUCAUUUUACACUUGCCAUUUGAUUUAUUGUUGACUGGAUAUCAAAGUUGAAAGAUUUUCUAGUACCAUAAAUACAACCGUUUUAUAUUUUUUUAUUGGUGAUUUAUUUCUUUUAAGACUUGCAAGGUAUAAAAAAUAAAAAUCUCUCAGUUUAAUGGAGUGUGUUUCCUACGCCUACUCUUGGAUUUAUAAACAUUCCACCUUUAUGGUUGUUUCCCUUCCUUGCUUGCUCACGGGGUCGAUAAUGAUCAUUGAGUCUAUGAGACUCACACCCCUCUUAUUUCCCUUUUUGCAAAUAGGGAUUGGCAUAACGUGUAAUCAUCGAUACGUGCGAUCUACUGCAGAUAGGUAAAGGCACCAUAGCAUUUUAUCCCGAGUCAUUCUGCUGUUAGAGGUCGAGUUAUAGCUCUUUGUUCAUUAACUUGUAAAUGGAUAUUGGUGUUGAUAUAAGUAAAUAAUUGAAGAUUGUGGAUUUCAAAGUGUAAAUUUGUGAUUAAAUGAUUUAAAGCUUGAAUCGAUUAUUAUGUUUAUGGUUCAAGUUAUGAUAUAAAAGUAUUGUUUUAAGUAUUAAUAUGGAAUGGUGAUGGUAUGUAGUGAACUAAGGGGCAUUUUGAGAAAGGCUUGUUCGGGACUUGGCGGGUCUUUCCCAAAGGUCUCAAAUGCUGGUAGCGACCGAAGAGGUGUUGUUACAGAAAACACUUGGCUUAACAACCAGCAUACAUCCAAAACGACACUCACAAACUGUGUUUAACACAGUAAAACAAGAAACGACAUAUGCUAAAGUCGUAUUACAUAAACAGAAAGUAAACAUAAAUGAAACGACACAAGACUUGGCGUAUUGACUGCUGAAGUGAGAAAAUGACACCGUACUACUCAUCCAUCUUCUUCCUCUUGCUUCUUCAGCCUCUAACUCUUCCUGCCAAGUCUGCUCCUUGAAUUUCCAAAAUUGUGAUCAUUUUCCAACAACACGACAUGUCUAGUGAUGAAAAUAACUAUGGUGUAAUCGUUUUCGAUAAUAAAGUUAGCUCUUUAAUAGGAACAUAAUUACUUAAGCUAUUGAAGUCCCAUUCCCCAUUUGGCAUUACAAACUCCUUUACAGAGCUAUGAUAUUCAAAAAUUAUACCUCUCGAUUUGGUAGCUUCUACUAAAGGUUUUUCACUUACCUGUGUGUCCAUCUAAAAGCGAGUUUUAUGACCAUCACUUAUGGCCCAUCGAAAUUCUUCUUAAAACCAUCCCAUAGAGAACUAAUUAAUGACGAAAAAACAGAAGAACCCACUCUUUGUAUUUUAUUCGAACAUGUAUACUUCCCAAAGCUAUACUUUGCCCUAAGUGUAUGAACUUAAAGAGCUUGCAAUUUGGAUAUAAUGUGCUAACAUGCCUUAAGCAAAAAGGCCUUGUUUAUUAUCACAAUUGGUGGAUUCCCAGUUCUCCUUCGUCUUUCGAUUUACAUACUUCAUUCUAAUGCAUGAGGUGAAUUUUUCAAGAAAUUUUGUCUCCUCCCUAGAGAAAUUUAUAGUAAAAUGCUAUUAUUCUCUUACAUACCACCACAGGAAUAGCACCUGUCUACAUAGUAUAAUAAAGGAUUGUGGUUAAUACAGAUUUCACCAGAGUGAGUCUACUUACAAAGGAUAAAAAGGAGGCCUUCCAAAUAUUUUAUUUGUUGUAGACCUUUUCUUCUAAAUAUUGGUAAAGGUGGUUUCCUUUACGUCCAUGUGGUAAUGGUACCCCUAAAUAUUUGUCCAUAUUUUCUGAAUAUUUAAACCUAAAGUAUUCGACUAAAGCAUUUACAAGACUUGGAUACGUAUUUCUAGAGCAAAAAAAGAAGGAUUUUUCAACACUAACUGUCUCAAUUGAGCAAUUGUUGAAAUCAUCCAAGACUACCUUAAUAACUUCCAUUUGAGAAACAAAAGCCUCCGUAAAUAAAAUUAAAUCAUUUAUAAAGAAAAGGUGGGUAAGAGAAGAACCUCAUCUACUUAAUUUGAUAAGUUUCCACAAACCUUGAGCCACUGAAAUUUUAAUUCCAUGUGCCACCCACUGUAUACACAGCACAAAAAUAUAUGGUGACAAAAGAUCACCUUGCUACACCCCUCGGGAUGGGAUGAAACUAUUUGACAAAAUUCCAUUCCACAAAACUUGAGAGCUAAAGCUACCCCAAGUACAAUCAAUAAUAUUAAUUAUACACUUAAGUAGUUUGGCAUCUAUUAAAGUGUCAUGAAUAAAUUCCCAUCGUAGUCAAUCAUAUGCUUUUUCCAGAUCUAUCUUGAUCAUCAUCCAUCCCACUUUUCCUUAUUUUCUACAAAAAGAAUGCAUAACUUUUUUUUUUAUGAUGAUAUUAUUUGUAAUGUGUUUUCUUGGAAUGAAGCUAGCAUGGGUCUCAUCUAUUAGAUGGCACAUAUAUGGCGUCAAACACUUAGCAAUAACCUUCAUGAGAACUGUGAAAACUACCAGUAACAAACUGAUUGGUCUAAAUUAUGAAAUAAAUUAUAGAGAUUUAGUUUUCGGGGAUUAAAGUAAUGAUGGACUUACAUUGUUCGUUACUAAUCUCUACUCCAGCAAAAACAUUACGAAUAUAAUCAAUAACACCUUGUCCCACUUUGCUCUACUAUAAUUGAAAGAAAAGAGUUGAAAAGCCAUUUGCCCUUGAAGCUUUAAGUGAUUUCAUUUCAAACAGCACAUCUUGUUCUUUUUUUGUCUUCUACUGAUCUAGUUAUAAAUUUAAUAGCUACAUGAUCCAAUAUUAUGAAUAAAUCACGGAUUAAGUAAUAAGGGAUUGGCCUUUUCAUCUUUGGAAUAUAGCUUCUUGAAAAACUCCUUGGCUUGUUUUCAUAGAGUUGUCUGAUCGUCAUACCAUUGUUCAUCUACAACACGAAGAUGUAUUAGUUGAGCUUUGCAUCUCUUUCAUGUUGUUUUGAGAUUAAAGUAAUGAGUAUUACGAUCUCUAACCUCAACUAAUCAAUUUUAGAUUUUUGCAUAUAGAAGAUCUUUUCUUGAUGAAUCACUGUCUCAUGCUGAAGGCGUAAACAUAUUCCUAAUCCCUAAGUUACCAAAAUGGACAUGUUCAAGAGGUUUCUUAAUACCACAAAUCCAUACUAGUAAUCUUUUCUUUCUAUAAAAAAAUGUUACCUAAUAUGGUUUUAUUCCAUUGUUUAGCCUUUUAAGAAAAUUCAGCUAAUGCAUCUUGAAUACCCCUCGAGCCAUCUUAGAAAUGUUGAACAAACCUGCCAAAGUCUACAUGAGUUAACCAAGCUACUUGAAAGUGAAAAUUGUUAUUGCCAAGAAUAGUUCUUUUAUCUCCCAAUUUGAGUAGCAUGGGUCUAUGAUCUGAGCCAAAUUUCGGUAAAUUCUAAAUAGUAGCCUCUUGAAAAAAAAAACACCAACUAGUAUUGCUAAUAGCCCUGUCCAGCAUUUUCUAAACUAAGCCUCUUGUCUUGAACUACCUGAAUUACAUUUUCUGUUUUACCACCUAUUACUUCCAAACAACUACUCCCUUCCUCAAAUUGCCAAUCUAAUUGGCCUAGGACUUUUUGUAAGACAUUAUGUUUCUUGGAUAUCAUGAGAUGAUAAGGCAAUAUAGUGAAUCCUACUUUGAAUCCACAAGGAUUCUUGGCUUAAAUCCGUUGACUUACACUUAGAAUCAAGCUCACUCUGAUAAGUUACAAUUCCACCAACAACAGCAUUUCCUUUGGAAACAUAAUCUGCCUCAUCUUUUUCUUUUAGGAUUGAAAAUCGAUAGCCUUGUUAAACAUAUUUUCUAAUGGUUGGAUUUCGUAUUGUGCUUUGUUUCAUUGCUCCACUCCGUGACCUUUUACGUGAGACUCACAUCAAGGUCAAAAGGGAGAUGAAUUUCACUGAGGCUUCUCCAACUGACCUUCACUCUAUUUAGCUUCAUUUGGUUUAGUCAUUUUCUUAUUACAAUUUUCCUUUGUGUGACCAUGAAACCCAUAUUUGAAACAAACCCUAGGAAGCCCUUCGUAUUCAAUCUUCUAUGAUUUUCCAUUGAGGAAAAAACUAGGUAAUAGUGGCAUUGAAAGAUCAAGCUCAAUUGCUACUUGAGCAAAUUUCCAUUGUUUUUUGAUUAUGUGUUGUAAUAAAUCUUUAAUAGUUUCCUUAAUAAAGCUGCUAUUUAACAAAGCACUUAUUUGUGGAAUAGAUGAAAAGGCAUCAUUAGAAAUCUAACCCAAGUUGCAAUGGUAGAUAAAUCCUAUGACUUUCUAGAAAAGGUAGGAGUCAAUGGCCUCACCAUUAAGUAAUGACCUUGGAUUAUCCAAGGACCAUCCAACAGAGCCCUAAAGUAGUCUUUUUCCUCCAUCAACCUCACUAAAUAGUUUUCUUCAUCAAGGUCAACAAUUGUGAAUUUACCCUGGAAAACCAUAGAGAUACAACACUAUCACAAAGCAGUUUAUAGGAGAUAAGAUGCCUUAGAAGUCAUACUACAAUUGAUCUCUGCCAUCGUUUUGCCAACUCUGCUUGCUCCCUAUAAGAGAUCUUAAUAGAUGGAAUCUUAUGAAUUGUUUCAACCUAAAAGUCAUUUGCUUUAAGACUUUGGCUGCUGAAAGUUUCAAUUUCAUUGUCAUCCCCUUUCUCAUUUUCAUCCCUUAGGUCACAGUUCAACUCCAUAUUACCAUAAAAAAAUAACUCUUCUCCAUUUGAUGCCAAGAAGGCUUCUUUAAAAGAAGGAUUGUGGUGAAUCGCCAUCGGAUCCCCAUCAGAAACGUCUUCCCAUAUCCUUACCUUUUUGUGAAUGCUUGUUAGAUUUAAAAUAAUUAUGGUUUUGAUUCUGACAAAAUGAACAAAUUUGCUUGAACAUUAUUUGAGUAAUCCUUGACAAUUUCUUGAUAUGAUUUAACUCUCAUACAUUUGUUCUUACAUAGACACAAGCUUGACUCUUGAAGUUAUUGAGCUAUAUAUAUAAACUUGUAUGACUUAGGUGUAUGAGUGCUAUGAUUCUCAUUCAUUAAAGUUUGAUUUAAAGAUUAAAGGAAAAUCUUGAUGCACUCAUUAAGGGGGAGUUUUGAAUAUCUUGUUUAAUGAUGAAAAAGAAAAAAAAAGAGAAGGAAGACUAAGUUAGAUAGAGUUAAAUAGGUCUUCAUGUUUAAUUUAUGUGUAUGAUACUCAAUUUUGAUUUUGUUGAAUAUUAUGUAAAGAAAAGUAGAUGCAUUGACUAAGGGGGAGCGCCUCAUUAUGCAUAAAGAUUUGAAGUAUUCAUAUUGAAUAUAGACAUUGAAUUCUUAAUCUUGGAGUGUUUUGUGAUCAUCAAAAGUAAAAGAUAGAGAAUGUUGACUCUAUAUGUUUUUGAUGAUAGCAAAAUAUUCCCAUUCAUUGAUGUCUAAUUAUAUUAUUUAAGUGUGCAGGAGAAAGCUAAAAUCAUUAAUAUAUUUGUUAUUUGUAAGCAAGUCAAGAUGCUUGUUCAGUUGCAAGAUGGGUUAAUUGAUUAAACAAGCAAAGAAGAAAGAGCUACAAUUAAGUCAUAAAACAGAAGCCUUUUAGUCAGAUGAUGAUGAGAGUUAGUCAGCUAAAAUUUAAAAAUGAAGUUGGCUGGCUUAAGAGGAUUGAGAGAUAGAGAAGACUUAGUCGACCAAGAACUAAGUUAGUCGACUAAGAGCCUACUGCUGGAAAUUUGGACUUCAAGAUAGAAACAACUUAAUCGACUAAGAAGGAAGUUAGUCGACUAAGUGCUCACUGCCAGAAACUGGGAUCAGAAGACAAAAAUGACUUAGUUGACUAAGAGCGCAAUUAGUCAACUAAGAUCAUUCUAUCAGAAAAUUUAAAUUGAAUACUAGAAGACAAAAUAACGGCUAGUUUUUGUCUCCAACGGCCAGAAUUGAUUUUGGAAGUAUUUAAAGCCUCUCAAACAGUCAAAAACAAGAGAAAGAAGCCAUCCAUAGUGAUUUUGAGCUUAGAAGACCAAAAACCUUCUCUUUACACUUAUAUUUCACUCCCAUCCUUUGAAAAAGUGUUUGAGCUUAACUUUGUACAUCUUAGAUCAGUUAGGUGAUCAAUUGUACUUCAUCUUUUCUUCAUUUCUUGAUUACUUAGAGUGAGCAAGGCAAUCUAAGGGAUUUAUUCAAGCUUGGAUUGCUUGAUUGAGUGUAUAGGUUCUAACUUAGCCUUGAAAAGUUAGUUGUUGGGUUUUGGUUGAUCCCUUGAAAAACCAUUGUUGUAGGUUGUGGUUGAGCCUUUGAAAAACGACUUUGGGUUUUGGUUGAGCCCGUGAAAAACCAUUGUGAAAGGUUGUGGUUGAGCUUUGAAAAACCACUUUGGGUUUUGGUUGAUCCUGGUAAAAGCCAUUGUGAAAGAUUUUGACUAAGUCUGGUAAAAGCCAUUGUAAAGCUUGGUGAAAGCUUGUGAAUUUCAUCGUUUUUAGUAGAUUGAUUGGAAAAUCCUUGGUUGAACAAUCAAGGUAAUGGAUGUAGGUCUUUAACCGAACCACUAUAAAUCGUUGAGUAUUGUCUCCUUUGUUUUAUUUUUCAUUUUCAUUCUUUCUAAAAUUGUUUCUUCAUCUUGCAUCAAAUUUCCAAUCAUUGAUAUUCAAUUUGCUCCCAAUUCGAAAUCAAGUUUAGUAAGAGCCAAAAAGUGCUAUUCACCCCCCCUCUAACACAUUUAUUUGAAACCAACAAUGCUAUUGUCCAAAAUAGCUGGGGGUGAAUUUCUCGAGAAAAAACCCUUAGUUGCCAUUUCUCUUGAAAUUUUAUUUUAUUAAUUUAUAAAGUUUUCAAUAUUAUUAGAAUUAAAAAGUAAUGAAAAAUCAUUCCAUAUAUAUAAAUAGAAUUCUUAUUCACAAAUUAGAUAAUUUUAUUAAUAUUUAUAAUGAAAAUAAUAUUUUUAAUGAAAAUCAUUGCAAUUAGAAUUUUUAUAAAUUUUUUAAUAUUAAUAAUAAAAAUAUUGAAAAUAAUAAUUUUAAAAUAUAAUGAAUAAAUAUGACCAUUGUCGGGAAAAUUUUUCAAUAUCCACACUUAUAUGUAUUAUAAAUUAUUUCUAUCAUUGAUGCAAAUUGAAUUGAAAUGGAGAUUAAAUAUACACUUAAAUUUUUUGGUUUCAACUUUAAGUUUAAAUAGCUCAAUGAAAUUUAUUAAUAAAAAAAUAAGUGUGUGUAAUAAAUUGUCAAAAAUAUUUUAAAAAUCAAAUGAGUGUAUAGUACCAACAAAAAAAAGACGGAUUUAGAGAGUAUGAAAAAUUCACUAUAUCUUCCACAUAGGAAUAGUAUGAAAAAAGUUCUAAAUGAUAAAGAUAUAUAUUUGAUGCGCUUUCAAUUUAAAAUUUAAUACACUAUUAUUUAACCAUAGAUUGUCACUUCAUAAAUGUGCAAAGAUAAAAAUAUAAAAAUCUUUCAAAAUAAAUAUUUUAAAAAUUAUGAAUAUUUAUUUUUAAGAUUCUCAAUUCUUAAAUUUAUUUAUUAACAAAAAACGGUAUUUAAUUAAAUAGUAAUAUAUAAAAUUUAUUCACUAACAAUUUUUUAAAUAUAAAUGCAAAAAAUAAUUGACAAAGCAAUAAGCGGAUUAGGUCAAUGUUUUGAAUUAAAAUAUCAAAUAAUCUUAGCAAACAAGGAGUACAGAUAAAUUAGUUGCACAAAUCAAAUGGUAAAAUAAUCUCAUCAAAGUCUUCGCACCAUGCAACUUUUAUUUUUUUUCAAGAAAAGGCUUGUUACACCAAAGUUGUAGCAUUUAUUUCAUUUUGGACGUGGCAUUCAUAGCUGAUAAGAAAGGCUAAUUGAAUAAUAGAGUCCAUGUGAAAGAAGUUUUGUACUUUGUCACGUUUUGUUUUUAAUUUUAGCUUUUAUUUGCACAUGAAUCAUAAUUAAUGAUAAGGACAAAAGCUUUUAUUUAUUCCUUGCAAAUAAAUAAAUAAAAUCAAACAUAUAUAUUUUUAUAUAUAUAAAAGAUUUUGUAUGAAGGAUGGUUAAAGAGAAAUCAUACAUGGUUAUGGAUCGGGUCAAUGAUUCGAUUUGGAGUAAAAAAUUAGUCAGUUUUGAAAUAAAAUUAAAUUAUAACAUAAAAUUUCAUUAAUAAUUUAAAUAUAAAAAAAGGAGAAAAAAAGUUUUGGAUGUGGCAUUCAUAACUAAUAAGAAAGGCCAUUUGCAUAAUAGAGUCCAUGUGAAAGAAGUUUUGUACUUUGCCACGUCUUGUUUUCAAUUUUAGCUUUUAUUUGCACAAGAAUCACAGUUAAUGAUAAGGACAGAAACUUCUAUCUAUUCCUUGCAAAUAAAUAAAUAAAAUCACACACACACACACACACACAAGAUUUUGUAUGAGAGAUGGUUAAAAAGUAAUCAUACAAGCUCAUGGAUCGAGGUCAAUAAUUCAAUUCAAAGCAAAAAUUUAAUCAAUUUUGAAAUAAAAUUAAAUUAUAACAUAAAAUUUCAUUAACAAUUUAAAACAAAAAGAAAAAAAAGGGUUUAGUAUACGUAUAAAGGAGAAAAAAAAUUUAAGCCUAAAAGGAAUUAAACCUAAGCUUUUGAAGGUUAACUUAAGUUUCUUACCACUACUUCAAACGAACUCCUUCAACUCAAAAUUUGAGCCUAGAAGGAAUUACACUCAUUUGAUUUAUGCAAGCAUUUGAUUUGUUUGGAAAUAAAAAACAAUUUUGAAGGGUGGCGACUGCCACCUCUCUCCUUCCGCCCUUAUAUAUAUAUGUGUGUGUGUGUGUGUGUGAUUAUAAACCAUCAUUAACAUUGUCAAAAACCAUAUUGAUUUGUUCGGUUCAAAAGAUACUUGAGAAUGAGUUGUUGCAAUAAAUUAAAGCUCUCUAUCUCUAAACAUAUUAAGAACCAUUAAAAUUAGACAUGUGUAUUUUUAGAAAAGACAAAAUAUCCAAAUUCAAUAAGUUUCGACUCACCUAAAUUCAUUAGGGACUGAUUUUUUUUUAUAGUAUUAUGAGUAGAGAAAUUAUAUAUUUAGAAUUAUGUGUGUAUAGGGAGAUUAUAUUAUAGAAGGGAUUCUAAAUUAUCUAAGAGAGAAUCAAGUUAAUAAUAUUUUAAUCGUAUUGUAAUUUAACAAAAUUAAACUAAUUUAGCUUAUAAAUUAUACACUUACUAUAAUUAUGUUAACAUCCAUCAAACUUAAGGUGGUACGGUAGAUGCCAAUUUGUGUUUGGGAACUAACUUUUGAAAUUGACUAAGAAGAUGACUCUUGGUAAAGACAUAAACAAGACUAGGAAGAUGACUUUUGGUUAAGACAUAAACAGUGUGAUUUGAAAAAGACACAAAAGUGAGAUAAAGAGUCCCUUGAAUCACAUGAUGAUGCAUAAAAUGACAAUCAAUCUUAAUAUGCUUGGUGUGCUUAUGAAACAUACCAUUGUGAGCAAUCUAAAUAACACUACGAUUAUCACAGUGAAGGAUAGUGGUAUAAGAUUGGACAAUGAAGCCAAAGUAAUUUUGAAGUAGCAUUUGCAAAAACAUGAUAUUAAGACUCCAUGUUGAAUAGAUAGUUAUAACUAUUUCUUGCUUCACUAAGAAAUGAGUGAAUAGCUCAAAAAGAAACAAUAAUUAGUGGUUGAACAACAAUAUGUAGGAUCACUUGCCUAGUCAGCGUUAGAAUAUCCAAAUAAAAUUAGAAGAAAAGUGUGUAGAGAAAUAUAGUUUGUAAAAGAGUGUGCCUUUAAUAUAGCAGAGUAAUGAGAUGUAAAGAAACAUCCAUAAAUUGGUUAACUAAAUAAGCAACACAAGCUAUAUUACGUUGAGCCAUUGUGAGAUACACUAGACUCCCAACCAAUUGGUGAUAUAAAGUAGGGUCAGUAAAAGGAGUAUCGUCUAUCAGAGUAAAUUUAGCAUUACAUUCCAAAAGAGUAGAGACAAUUUUGGUACCAAUAAUACUAGCUCCAAAAAGCAUGUCAAAGGAAUAUUUAACUUAAGAGAGACAGUUACCAUCAGAGUUGAAGGAAACUUCAUGUCACAACCUAAAUCCAGUCCAUGAUCGACGUAAGGCCUUAAUAGGCGAGGCCCACCAGAUCUAAGCAAGCCUUAUAAACAAACCAAUAUAAAUAUAUCACAUAUAAUUUUAAUAUUGUUGGUCCCAAUUAUGGUGAAUAGCACAAAUCGGCUCUAAACAAGAUGAGAAACUAAUUUUCAAAAUAAAGAAAAUAAAAUAUAGUAGACAAUGCGUAGGCAUUUAGAGUGGCUCGGUCUAAGACCUACAUCCACUACAUUGAUUAUCCAACCAAGGAUUUUUCAAACAUAUCCACUAAGAACCAGUGAAAUUCACAAGCUUUCACCAAGUUUUACAAUGGCUUUUACCAGACUCAGUCAAAACCUUUUACACUAGUUUUUCCUAGGCUCAACUAUAACCCAACACCUAACUUUUCAAGGCUAAGUUAGAACCUUAACACAUUCAAGCAAACCUAGCUUGAAACAACCACUUAGAGUGACUCCUUCACUCUAAGAAUACAAGAAGAGAAGUAAAAGAAAGUACCUAUGAUUACAGGUUGAUCUAAAUGGUACGAGGUUAAGUGCAGAAUACAAAUACAAAAGAGCGUUUAAGUGCAGAAAGGUGUAGAGAAGAUUUUCUGGUUUUUCAGCUCUUAAUGACUCAAAUCUCUUCCAAAACUUCCAAAAACUAAUUUUUAACCAUUGGAAGACCCUUUUAUACUUGAAGAAACAACUCUGAUGGCAGUUUGGCAAUUUAUGGCCAUUGAAAACAGUUGAGAGUAGGUUCUAGCAGUUAAUUUAUCUUCUAGUGCUCUAGUUCAAAAUGCAGACAAAGAGCUCUUAGUCGACUAACUUUCUUCUUGUUCGACUAAGUUGGUUCUGUCUUCUGGUCGCAGAUUCUGGUAGAGAGCAUUUAGUCGACUAACUCAUUUCUUGGUCGACUAAGUUGGUUUUAUCUUGAAGUCCAGAUUUUGGCAGUGGCUUCUUAGUCGACUAACUCUCAUCUUGGUCUACUAAGUCGGUUCUGUUUCUCAAAAUUCUUCAGCCCGCCAUUUCUCCAAUUUGAAUUUUAGCCAACUAACAUUCUUCAUUAUUCAACUAAGGAGCUUCCUUCUUGUUGAUCAAUCAUGUCCCCUUAUUCUCAUGAUUUUUGACAUAUACUUUUGAAGAAUAGAUUUAUUAUUUUUAUACAUUAUCUGUCCUGCACACUUAGGUAAAGAUGUUAGACAGAAAUGAAAUGAGAAUGUUUUAUUAUCAUCAAAAACUAAUGGAGCCAACAAUCUCUCCCUUUUUGAUAAUGACAAAACAUUCCUUGAUUAACAACACAGUGUCCUUUAAUUCUUUUUAAUUUCUAUAAAAAAUGAAGAUUUCUCCCCCUAAGUGAGUACUCCCCCUUAGUGUGUGCAUAUUUUGCUCAUUCAUUCCAGCAAAUAUUAUUCAUGUUGUGUAGAAAUUGACACUAUACGUUCAGAAUAUAUAUGUGCAAAAAUAUAAGGUGAUUUACAGCAAAUGAAUGCUGACAGAUUAUCAUCAAAAUUUUACAAUGUCUGUCAGCAGCAUAUUGUUAUCAGAUUUUGUCUAUAUCAUUCAUCAUUCAAUUGAUAUAUUAUACACAGCAUCCAUAUCCAUUCACAAACAUAAUUUAUAGUAAAAAUCAGUAUACAAUCCCAACAUCAGUGCAGUAUCAGACUUUUAUCAACAGUAGUCAAAAUACCAUUAACAGCAAAAUAUCAACAAAUAUUAAAUUAUCAACAUCAAAAUGCCAUAAACAUAUCAGCAUCUAUUUUUCACACAAACAUAUAAGUAACAAAAUUAAAUUCAAGUGUUCAGAUGCCAUCAUGGCACAAACAGCAAGAAAACAAAAAGUAACAGCUGAUAUUCCUAAAUUACCCCUAGUACAUUUCUGCUUUUUUUCUUUCCUAAAUUCCUAGUACCUCCAUCCUAACACAAUUUUUUCUAUUAAUUUUUUGGUUCCUUCUCCCUCUAAGGUUCUGCAUUGUUUCUCCCCCUUUUUGUCAUCAUCAACUCCUAAGCAUUUUUUGAAAAGGAUGAGGGAGAUGGCUCAUUAGUGCCGUAUUGGAAGUCUAAGGGUUGAGGAAAGGAUAUUGAAGGUAAUUCUUAGGAAAGGGGAUCAGGUAAAGGUGUGUCAGACACUUCUAAUGGUUCUUGAGGAGAAGAAACAGGUGCUAGCUUGGUCUUUUCUGCCAAUUUGGAGGACUUUCUUCUUUUGAAGAAUGCUAUUUUUGUUGCCAUUGUUUUCUUCCCUUUGGUAGGUGGUUUUGUCUUUGUUUGUGGUGCUAUAGUGACUUUUUGUUUCCCUUUUCCAUAUUUUGCUUUCAUUCUAGGGGCUAGUGCAAAUGUAUCUUGCUAAGCUUCUACAUUGGCAGCUUUCUUUUCAGCCUAUUCUUCCUUAACCAUUUGGUGGAAGAUAUCCAUAAUGGAUACCUCUUCUGAAUUUGGAGGAGAGGGCUAUUGUUUCUCAAGUUCUGAAGGAGCAUUUUCAUCUGGUGAACCUAGCAAUUCUAUUCCUUGUUCUGAUUUAUCUUUGCUUUGGUGUUCAAGUGAGAGGACCUUAGCUGGUUGAUCAACACCAGGGUGAGAGUUCUCUAUCUGAAGAACAGGGUCUGCAGUUCUGUAAGUGGAUCCUUCAACUUGAACACCACGACUUGCACCAUGAGGAGCAGACCCUUUUGCUUGCAAAGCUGAACCCUCAACACCUUGUUGUGCUGGUGCAAUACUUUCUGUUUCAGAGGAAUCUGCAACAGUAGGUUCUGAUGGCAUUUUUUCUUUUCCUUUUAGUUCAUUUUUCAAUUCAGUAAUUUUUUCUUCAAUUUUCUAUAAUCCAGCUACUUGGUCAAUGAGCUUUCCAUCAAUUCUCAUAAGGGGAUUGAAGAUUACCUCAUACGAGAACUGGGAUGGUACUCCCUCUGGUUGAGUAGGUAGGGUGGAUUCUUUUCCUAGACCAGCCUUGGGGGUUUUAAUGAAUCUUUCUCCAUCAAGUUUAUACCCCAUUUUGGACAAACUACCAAAGUAAAUGGCUUAGUCUUUGGUCUUUACCAUGUCCAGUUCAUAUCUAUUGGCCCAGACUCCAUUUUUCUGCACUGAGGAUGUGAUAAUAUUUCCAUAAGGCGGAUUAAUUUUCUCAAGCUUGCAUGCUCCUCUCAUCUUUUCAAUCAUGAAUCUACCUAGGUUCAGAACAACCCGAUUAAAAGCAUGUACCAUCAGCCAAAGAUCUUGAAGGCUGAUGUAGCUUAAACUCCCACUUCUCCCAUGGAUAUUUGCUGCAACAAAGUAGUGUAGAAUUCUUAUCUGGGGACUGGUUAUCAAACCAGCAUUGCUUUUUGAUGAGUAUUUCUCCUUUCUCCUAGUAAUGAUUUCCCACAAAAAGGAUGGGUCAUAUUUUUUUGGGAAUUCAAACUCUCCCUCCUCACAUUCAACUUUCAGCAAAUUACCAAGAUCAUCAACAAUAACCACAAAUUCUUUACCAUUCAAAAUAACAUUUAGUUCAUUUUCAAUGAAGUCAUUAGAAUCAUCUAAUUCUUCUUCUCCUAAUGCUAUACUAGCAUAAAAUUCUUUCACCAGGCUGGCAUUGUAGGAUCUAUUCUUAAAUGUGCUAUACUCUUUUAGUUUCAAUUCAUCAAAAUAAUCUGAUAAACUAGUUUGAAUUUUUGGAUUUUCACCAAAACUUUCCUAAUCAAUGAACUUCCCGCAAGUAAUAGAAGUAUUCUCUAUUUUUCUAAACCUUUCUUCAUGCAUUUUAUUCCUAAAUUUGGAAGACAAGGUAGUACCUUUCUUGGGCGUUGCACCCUUGUCCUUCUUCUUCUUUUCUGAUUUCUGUUUCUUUUCUUUCUGUAAUCUUCCUGAUUUUUUAGCCAUUGAAGUAGACCCAAGUUUCUAUUUCUUCUUCUGCAAUUCUGCUUCUGACAUUUCUUCCACUGGCCUUUUUCCUUUCUUCUUUUCAAUAAUUUGUUUGCUUUGAGAUGUUUUUGCCAUUUCGAUUUAAGAGAUUUUUUAUAAGGGUUUUGAGGUUUUAAGUGGCAAGGGCUUCAGUUAUAUAAAAGUCAGUUUCAGAGGAGAAAAUGUAGAAGAGAUGGGUUUCAGUUUUCAGAUGAUCGAUUUUCAGGGGAGAGAGAAAUUGUCGACAGUUUUAAUUUCCUCUUAGAAAACUAUACGCCUCCCCCUUAAAUAUAGCCUCAUUUCAUUUGCUUAAAAUUCAAAAAUUCCCUUUAAAUUAAUUUUUGGCUUGAGCGGCAUUUCUUCUUUAUUUUUGUUUCUCGGUGGGCAGUUUCUUCCAAUUAUUUUAUUCCUCUUGCCCUCAUUUUAACUGAGUCUUAUUAUUUAAUGCUACCACAACACUCUUAAUUUACUAAGAUUCACCUUAGUCGACUAAAUGCAUUCUGUUUUGUGUGGAUGAACCAAAAAUUUUCUCACAACUCCUGCAGACUAAUCAUUCCUAAAUUCCUUCUAAUUUCACAGAAUCUAUCUUCAUUUAGAGGUUUGGUAACAAUAUAUGCUAAUUGAUGCAAAGUAUUCACAAAUUCAAUCUUAAUAUUACCUUUCACUACAUGGUCUCUAACAAAAUGGUGCCUAAUCUCAAUAUGCUUGGUCCUAGAAUGCUGCACAAGAUUUUUAGAUAUAUUGAUUGCACUUGUGUUAUCACAAAAGAUUGAUACAUUAUGAACUUUAAUUCUGAAAUCUCUUAAUUGUUGUUUGAUCCACAAAAUCUGAGCACAACAACUACCUAGAGAAAUAUACUCUGCUUCAGCUAUUGAAAGUGCUACAGAGUUUGGUUUCUUACUUGACCAGGAUACUAGCAAACUUCCUAGAAAUUGGCAUGUUCCACUAGUAAUUUUUCUAUCAGUUUUGCUUCCUGCAAAGUCUGCAUCCGAAUAGCCUACAAGAUCAAAUGAUGAUUCUCUAAAAUACCACAAUUCUAAGGUUUGUGUUUCUAAGAGGUAUCUAAAAAUUCUCUUAACAGUUGUUAAGUGUGAUUCUUUAGGCUGUGAUUGAAAUCUAGCACACAAACACAUAUUAAACUAAAUAUCUGGUCUGUUUGCUGUCAAGUAGAGUAGUGAACCAAUCAUACCUCUAUAGAGCUUUUGAUCUAUAUUAUUUCCUUUUUCAUCUUGAUCAAGCCUGGUGGAUGGACUCAUUGGUGUGUAGAUUGCUUUCAGCUUCAGCAUAUCAAACUUUUUGAGCAUAUCUUGAGUGUAUCUUUCUUGGUUGAUAAAGAUUUCUUGUAAAACUCGACCCUAUAAACACAUUUCAUGACAUACAUGCACUGAGUAGCAUGUUAUUACGCUAGGAAAGUCCUAAGAAUAGAUGAAACAUAGUAUUGUACCUAACGGUACAUUUGAGUUGAUUUAACCUCGAACUAGUUCAAAUAGGAAUCGUAGGAUGAAAUUUAAUAUUUUACAGUUCAAGAAUGACUAAAAAUGAUUGUUCGGAGUUCGAGGGUUCAUUUGGGAUAAAAUUAAAAAUUUUGAUGUUCAGGGGUAAAAUCGUAAUUUUACCACUUGCGGACAAAAUUUGAGAUUUUGAGAGAAUUUAGAUCAAAUUUGACAAAUUGGGGAAUGGUAUGAGUAUAAGGGAUGAAAAAUAUGUCUAUGGGCAAUUUUUCAGUUUUUUGGGUAAAAAUGUAAUUUUUUACUUUUAUGGGGGCAAAAGUGUAAAUUUCAAAAAUUACUCCACCAAGACUUUGGAUAAGUCUGAGAAUUUUAUCUAAGCUAUGGAUAUGUGGGACAAGUGUAUGGUGAAAAUUUGGAAACAAAUGGAUGAAAUUUUAAAAACGGACCAAUGGGAAAGUGACACAUGGCAUUUUUUNNNNNNNNNNNNNNNNNNNNNNNNNNNNNNNNNNNNNNNNNNNNNNNNNNNNNNNNNNNNNNNNNNNNNNNNNNNNNNNNNNNNNNNNNNNNNNNNNNNNNNNNNNNNNNNNNNNNNNNNNNNNNNNNNNNNNNNNNNNNNNNNNNNNNNNNNNNNNNNNNNNNNNNNNNNNNNNNNNNNNNNNNNNNNNNNNNNNNNNNNNNNNNNNNNNNNNNNNNNNNNNNNNNNNNNNNNNNNNNNNNNNNNNNNNNNNNNNNNNNNNNNNNNNNNNNNNNNNNNNNNNNNNNNNNNNNNNNNNNNNNNNNNNNNNNNNNNNNNNNNNNNNNNNNNNNNNNNNNNNNNNNNNNNNNNNNNNNNNNNNNNNNNNNNNNNNNNNNNNNNNNNNNNNNNNNNNNNNNNNNNNNNNNNNNNNNNNNNNNNNNNNNNNNNNNNNNNNNNNNNNNNNNNNNNNNNNNNNNNNNNNNNNNNNNNNNNNNNNNNNNNNNNNNNNNNNNNNNNNNNNNNNNNNNNNNNNNNNNNNNNNNNNNNNNNNNNNNNNNNNNNNNNNNNNNNNNNNNNNNNNNNNNNNNNNNNNNNNNNNNNNNNNNNNNNNNNNNNNNNNNNNNNNNNNNNNNNNNNNNNNNNNNNNNNNNNNNNNNNNNNNNNNNNNNNNNNNNAUUAGCAAUUUAACGGGUAAAGUGCCAAAAAUAGGUUAAUACCGCGUUUAAGCCGUUUUAGGCUAUUGCAUUUCAUACCAUGCAUUAGUAUAGGAUUUAAGUCAAUUAUAUAGAGAUUUAACAUCAAUGUGAUGAAUUGGGUAAAUUUUACAAUGUGUUUAGGAGGAGAGCCUUCCGAUAAAGGGAAGGAAGUCGUACCCGACGAACAAUGAUCGCGGCACCUAAAAAUCAGUUAAUUUGUACAAACGGUGAGUAAACCUAUUAUUAUUGUAAAUUAUCUAAAGUUUAUUUUUAAAUGCUCUUCAUGGAUUUUAUGAAAUGAAAAUGAGAUUAAAAUGGGAUUUUUUAUGUUUUAGAAAUAAAUGUGACAAAUAAAAAUAUAUUGUGUUGAUUAUGAAAUUGAGUAAUUGGAGGCUGCCAAUUAUUUUGAAAUAUAUAUUUUCCUAUGAAUGGCUUAUGAUAUACGAGUAUAUGUGGCUAUAUGUUAUAAUUGUAUUGGGAAUUUAUGUAAGCUGUCUUUUACUAUGCAGACUGGGUAAAUAAAUAAAAGCCACGUUAUACUAUCGAAAUUUUAUUAAAAUUGGUGGGUUUAGUCACUGUAGUGACGGGUUUUCGUGGACUACCUAUUAGAGGGGCACGGUAAACCCGGUUAUAUAGUUACUCCGGUAGUAGAGGCGAGGAGGGUAACUCCCGGGGUAGUGUUAGAGCUCACUUCACGUCGAGCCCCCAUGUGAAUAUGUAACUCGACCAACGCCAUGGAACGGCUUGUUUUAAAAAUAAAAAUGUGUUUCAUAUGUAAAUAUCAUAACUACCUUGGCGGACUCGGUUAGAUGCCUCGGCUAAGGUAUCCCCGAGGAUUAGUUUUGGCUUGAGCCUUGUUUUAAUAAAAGUCAUAAGCCUUAACAACUAUUUUGGUAAAUUACAACUAUUUUAGGGUUUAAGGAAUAAAUUGAAAACCUUAUGAAAUGGUUUGUAAUUUGUGUUUAAACUUGCCUCCAUGUUACUUGCCUUUAGAUAUUUAUGAUAAUGUCUGUUUACUCAUUGGGAUUGCAAAAUCUCACCCACCUCAUUUCCAAACAUUUCAGGUCUGUGAUAGCUUGUAGAUAUCCUAUUUUGUCGAGGAUUCCAGUUGACAUCUCUACCUCACAGACAGUAGGUUACUAUCACCAAUACUUGGUGUAUUCAUGGGCCACUUGUCAUUAUAAUUAUUAUUAUACAUUAUAACUUUGUAAAUUAUUGCAUGUAUGAAUUUAUUUUACUUACACGUGUUUCUAUAAAUAUUGUUUUAUAUAAAAAUGCUAUAUUUUUGUCUUUUGAUUUACUUGAGCCGAAAACGACUGGUAAUUGUUUAAAACAGAAUGUUUAAAAAUGAUUGCUCACAGAAAAGGCAAGAAACUGAUAUGUAAGCCUUGUGGGGUUCCGAUUGGCAUUCCGGGCAAUGAGUGUCAAUCGGGACAUCACGACGGUUGUCAUGUGCCCGAGGGAGGUUCCGGGUCGUGACAUUUCUUCCUCAUUUUGCUUAAUUUGAAGACCAAGAAAGUACUUUAACUCUCCCAUCAUGCUCAUCUCAAAAUCACCCUGCAUUUCUUUAGCAAAGUUCUUGCAUAAAGCCUCAUUAGUUGCACCAAAUACAAUGUCAUCCACAUAUAUUUGUACAACAAUUAAAUCAUUUAAGUAUAUUUUAAUGAAUAAUGUAGUAUCAAUGCUGCCUUUAACAUAACCUUUUUCAACUAAAAAAUUUGAAAGCCUCUCAUACCAAGCUUUAGGAGCUUGUUUUAAUCCAUACAAGACUUUAUGAAGUUUGAAAACAUGAUCAGGUUUUUCAAAAUCUUCAAAACUGGGUGGUUGUUCAAAUUAUACUUCCUUUUGAAUGAAUCCAUUUAAAAAUGCACUUUUUACAUCCAUUUGGUACAAUUUGAAAUUCAUGAAGCAUGCAAAAGCUAACAACAAUCUUAUGGCUUCAAUUCUAGCAAUCGGUGCAAAGGUUUCAUCAUAGUCUAUUCCUUCCUCUUGGUUAUAUCCUUGGGCUACUAACCUAGCUUUAUUUCCAACUAUAUUUCCUUGCUCAUCUACCUUAUUUCUAAACACCCAUUUUGUGCCAACAAUAGGGUGAUUUGAAGGUCUAGGUACUUGUGACCAUACAUGAUUUCUUUUGAAUUUGUAAAGUUCUUCUUGCAUGGCCAUUAUCCAACUUUCCUCAUUUUUAGCUUUUUUAAAGUUUUUAGGUUCAAUUUGAGAUAUGAAAGCUGAAAACUCACAAGUCUCUCUUGUUUCUCUCCUAGUUCUAACUCCUUGAGAAAUGUCACAUAUGAUUUGAUCUUAUGGAUGGUCUCUUACAAGUCUUCAACUCUUUGAAAGGUCAUUAUGCUGAUUUUCUGUUCUUUGUAAAUUUUCUAGAGGUGGAGUUUCAUUUUCUCUUCUAGGUGAGCUUUCUUCAUUAUUCUUAUUAUUCUCUAAGCUCAUUUCUUCCAUUUAUUUUUCUAGGAUUUCUACAUCAUUAUCAUCAACAUGAAUUUCCUUUUGUAAAGCAUUGGACUCAUCAAAAACUACAUGGAUCGAUUCUUCAACAUUUAGAGUCCUUUUGUUAAAAACUCUAUAAGCCUUGGAGUUUAAUGCAUAUCCUAAAAAUAUUGCUUCAUUACUCUUUGCAUCAAACUUUUCUAAGGGCUGUUUUUCAUUGUUCAAUACAAAACGUUUACAACCAAAACUCAUAAGGUGAGAAAUAUUUGGUUUCCUAUCCUUGCAGAGUUCAUAUGGUGUCUUAGAUAUCAUGGGUUUUAUUGAGACUCUAUUAAGUAUAUAAGCUGUUGUGUUCACUGCCUCAGCCCAAAAAUAUUUUGGUAGGUUAUUCUCACAUAGCAUAGCCCUAGCCAUUUCCUUAAAGGUUUGAUUUUUCCUCUGUACAACUCCAUUUUGCUAGGGUGUUCUAAGUGCAGAGAAAUUGUGAUCCAACCCCUUUUGAUUGCAAAAUUUCUCAAAUUCAUCACUUUCAAAUUCUCCUCCAUGAUCACUCCUUAUGCUAACUAUGGCUAGUCCUUUUUCAUUCUUUACUUUCCUACAAUGACUUAUAAAAGUUGAUAGAGCAUCAUUCUUAUGAGCAAGAAAAUAAACCCAAGUGUACCUAGAGUAGUCAUCAACUAUUACAAAGCCAUAAGAUUUUUCUCCUAAACUAGUUGUGCUUAUUGGACCAAAUAGAUCAAUGUGUAAUAAUUCUUAGUCUUGAAGGAUGUUCUAACUUGCUUUCCUAGUUGGCAAGCAUCACAUAUUUUGUCACUUUCAAAUUUUAUGUCUGACAGUCCAACAACUAGAUUUUUCUUGAUUAGUUUUGACAUAGUAUGCAUGCUUACAUGUCUUAAUCUCCUAUGCCAUAACCAGCUAUCAUUUUCAGCAUUUGCAACAAGACAUAUUUCACUAUUUAUUUCAAGAUCCUCAAGAAAAACAACAUACAUAAAUAUUUUUCCUAUAAAUGACACAUUGUUUGUACAUAUGUCUAUUACUUCACACUUAUUUGAAUCAAAACAUACUUUAAAUCCUUUGUCACAUAAUUGACUAAUACUCAAUAAAUUAUGCUUCAAACCCUUAACCAAUAACACAUGACUAAUUUGAGUUUGGGAGUUCUUACCAACCGUACCUAUCCCAUGAAUUCUACCUUUUGAGUCAUCACCAAAAGAUACGGUACCUCCCUUCCUCUUAUCUAGCUGAGCAAACAUCAUUUCAUCUCCUAUCAUAUGCCGUAAGCAGUCACUGUCCAUAUACCAAGUGUCACGACUCGAAACCACCUUCGAGUCCGUGACAACCGCCACGAUGUCCCGAUAGACACUCAUCUUUCGAGUACCCUAUCAAAACCUCGCAAGGCUCUUGUAUCAGUUCCUCACCUACCUUGUGAUUUACUGUUACAAAAAUCAUGUUUUAAAGCAAUACAGAUCAUUUUUUUUCCGUCCAAAAACAAUAAAAUUUUAAUUUCUGCCUCACAGGGGCGUUUUUGUCAUUUUCGUUAAAAAUUUCGAGACAGGUUAAAAUGUAAUAAUUAGGUGAAAAACGCAUAUUUCAUACUUAGAAAUAAGUUUUGAUAUCUACAACGUUCAUUUAAAAGCAAAUUGUUGACAAUUAGUACUAUUCAAAAAUAAUAAAUAAAAUAUUCUAUUUUCUCAUAAAAUAAAUUUCUAUAGAAAUAUUCAUAAAUAAUUUUUUCGCACAUGAAAGUAAAGUAAAAAUUGUAUGAAUAGAAAUACAUAUAACCAAAAUAUAAGAUUUGAUCUGCAAUGACACGUGGGCCCCAAUUGACCAAGAAGAUGUAAGACUGUGAACUGUUACUUUCUAUAAUGCAGUUUCAAGCUUAGUUCUUGUCCUACUCGAGUAUCUACAAACUGUCUUGAGCCUGAAAAAUGUAUAGGAAGAAGGGGUAAGAUUUUGUAAUCCCAGUGAGUAAACAGUACCAUCUAAAGUAUCUAAAGCCGAGUAAAUGGAGAUAAUAAAAUAUCCCAUCCCAAUAUGCAUUUCAUAACUUAGAAAUUUAUUCCAUCCCAUGAAAACAAUUAUAAUUCAAUUAAAAUGAUUUUCAAGGCUUAUGUUUCUCAUAAAAUUUGGCUCAUGCCAAAACUCCUCAUCGGGGAUACUUGAUCGUCAUCAAAGCAUCCACUCGAGUCCGCCAAGGUUGUUAAAAUAACUUAUUCAUAUAAAACAGUCGUCCCUUGGCGUUGGCUGAAUCUCACUUUCACGUGGUGGUAAAGCGUGAAGUGGACUCAAACCCCUCCACAAGAGUUACCCUACGCGCCUCUCUCACAGAGGUAAAAUAAAUUAGCAGAGUUUACCGUGCCCUUCUAAUAGGAUGGUCCACGGAAACCCGCCACUGCAGUGUAGGUCAGCCCCACCAUAAUCAUAAAAUAGUUUAACAACAUAACAAGGUAAUUUUUUUAUAACAACUAAUUUGCACGGCAAACCACAAUUCAUGUAAUUUCAAUACAAUAAACCAACCAAGCAUGCUCACACUAUCAUAAGCCAUUUGAAUUAAAAAUACAAUUCAUACUUAACAACCACAGUCUCCAUGUACUCUAUUUAAAAAAAAUAACAUUCAUCAUUAAUUUCAAACAAUUUAUAAAACCAUUUUAUAAAAACACAUUUAUUUAUAAAACACGAAAUUUAUCCUUUUUAAAUCCAUUUUUCAUAAAAUUUAUAAAAUUUCAUAAAAACNNNNNNNNNNNNNNNNNNNNNNNNNNNNNNNNNNNNNNNNNNNNNNNNNNNNNNNNNNNNNNNNNNNNNNNNNNNNNNNNNNNNNNNNNNNNNNNNNNNNNNNNNNNNNNNNNNNNNNNNNNNNNNNNNNNNNNNNNNNNNNNNNNNNNNNNNNNNNNNNNNNNNNNNNNNNNNNNNNNNNNNNNNNNNNNNNNNNNNNNNNNNNNNNNNNNNNNNNNNNNNNNNNNNNNNNNNNNNNNNNNNNNNNNNNNNNNNNNNNNNNNNNNNNNNNNNNNNNNNNNNNNNNNNNNNNNNNNNNNNNNNNNNNNNNNNNNNNNNNNNNNNNNNNNNNNNNNNNNNNNNNNNNNNNNNNNNNNNNNNNNNNNNNNNNNNNNNNNNNNNNNNNNNNNNNNNNNNNNNNNNNNNNNNNNNNNNNNNNNNNNNNNNNNNNNNNNNNNNNNNNNNNNNNNNNNNNNNNNNNNNNNNNNNNNNNNNNNNNNNNNNNNNNNNNNNNNNNNNNNNNNNNNNNNNNNNNNNNNNNNNNNNNNNNNNNNNNNNNNNNNNNNNNNNNNNNNNNNNNNNNNNNNNNNNNNNNNNNNNNNNNNNNNNNNNNNNNNNNNNNNNNNNNNNNNNNNNNNNNNNNNNNNNNNNNNNCAGAAUUGAAAUCAUCCUCAAAUCACAUGAUUCAACCAUGGAAAAUGAUGGGAAAUGCAUGGGAAAGGUAAAGCACAAGACAAAUUUAAGAAAUGUUACCUUUUUUCACUUGAUUUUUGAAUUUCCACCUAUUUUCCCUUUAAAUUUCUUGGCUAGGGUUUUAUUUUCUCCUUUCUCUCUCUUGUUUCUUGCUUGGCCAAAUGUUGAAGAAGAAGAAUGGGUUAUGGGCUUAUUUUUUUUAUGCCUUUUUGUUAGUUUAAUGAAAUAAUAUUAUUUUAUUUAUAUUUUGAAUAUUUUAUUAAUUCAUUUUUUUUCUAGCCAUCCACUUGUCCUACUUUUUCCACCAUGCAUUCCCUUUGACUUAUCCAAAUCUUAAGUGAAAUUUUCAGAUUUUUCCAAAGUUUUGGUGGAGUAAAUUUUUCAAAAUUACACUUUUGCCCUAAAAAUUGAAAAUUUGCCAUAGUGCAUAAUUUUCACUCCUCAUACUCAUUUCACACUCCAAAUAAUUAAAUUUGAUCAAAAUCCUUUCAAAAAUUAAAUUUUUGAUUAUGGGUGGUAAAAUUAUCAUUUUGCCCAUAUACUCUAAAAAUACCGAAAACUCAUAUUUUUCAUUGCUAAAUCUUCAAAUUGUACUUCAAUACUCAUGUCAUACUCAAACAUGUCAAAUGGGGCUAAGAAAAUCUUUUCUAAAAAUUCCCAUUUUGAGUCAUCCUUGGACUGUGAAAUUCUCAAUUUCAUCUUUAAGAUCUCGAUUUUAUCUUGUUCGAUGUUUAAUCGACUUAACUGUACUUCUAGGGGCAAUAUCGUCUUUUGUCAAUUUUUUGGCUUUCUCAACAUACAAAUAUUCUAUCGAGUAUGUGAAUGACACCGUAAUUACUUUAUAGAGCAGGGUUUGACACCAAGGCUGUUUUUUCUUGAGUUAAGCUCUUGAACAUGUCUCCUGUAAGUGCAGCUCAACCUACAAAAUAAAAUUUUAGUUUUUCUUUAUAAGUACCCAUACUUUAAUGGGUCCUUGAGUGUUAGUUGCAAUAUAGGAUCCUUUAGGGACCCAAAUUUUUCUAACUUUCUACAAGUUACUUUUCUUAAAGCAGUCAUAUGAAAUAUGCCCAUAUUUUCCACAACUAUAACAUUUAGGUGCAGCACUAUGGGAAUUUUUUCUAAAAUAUGUGUUCCAACUUUAUGUUUCUCUUUUUGAACAUUUGAGAGUUGUGUUUUCAUCAAGUGUUUUUGGUAAAGCUUCUGAUUUAUUUUCCAACUCUAGCUUUAAAACUUUAAAAUCUGUUUUAAGUGUUCUAACUCAACUUGCAGGAAAUUUAUUUACUCAAAAACAGAAUUGAACUCUUAACUCACCUUUUCCAAAUCAUUUUCAAGAGAUGUAGCCUUUUUUUUUAGAUUCUUAUAUUUUGAAAAAAGUUGUUCAAAUUCAUCAUAGAAGCUGUCAUACUCAUCUUGUAAAUCAUCAAUGGAAAUAUCACAAGGGGAUGAAGAUACCUCGGUAUCAUCAUCUUGUGCCAUCAGAUAGAGGUUUACUCUUUCUUCAGAUUUUUCAUCUUUAACUUCAGAGCUUGAUGUGUCACUGUCCGACCAUGCAACUGCCACCAUUGUUUUCUUGGAUUUUUUGUUUUUCUUUGGAGUCUCAUCUUUCAACAAUGGACACUUGGACUUGAAGUGGCUAGGUUUCUUGCACUUGUAGCAGAUCAGCUCCUCAUUUUUGUUAGAGUCACUUUUGUUUUUGAUUUUUCAUGAAGCACCUUGAUCUUUUCUAAAUCCUCUUCCAGCUAGUCUCAGGUUUCUUCUGCCCAUAAGCUUUCUGAAUUUUCUUGCAACUAGAGCUAACUCUUCAUCAUCAUCACAAGUCUCAAGGAUGCUGACUUUAAGUACAAUGCUUUUUUUUUUCCUUUAUUUCCUUCCUAUCUUCUUCCUCUUCCUCUUUAAGCUCCAGCUCAUGAGUAAGGAGAGAACCACAAAUCUCAUCUAAGGUAAUGACAUUUAGGUCCUUGGCCUAUUGGAUUGUAGUCACUUUAGGCUUUUAAUUUUUUGGUAGGCUUCUAAGAAGUCUUUUAACUAUUUCAUGCUCGGGUAUUGGUUUGCCUAGCUGACUCAAUUUAUUUGUAAUAUUUGUGAAUCUAUCUAGCAUGCUGGUGAUGUCUUCACCAGGCUCCAUUUUGAACAUUUCAUAGUUAUGUGUCAAGGAGGCUAUUUUGGACUCCUUGACUUGAGAAGUCCCUUCAUGGAUUAUUCUAAGUUUAUCCCAGACUUGUUUAGUUGUUGUACAGCUUGAGACUUUGUUGAAUUCAGUGGGCGUCAAGGCAUAAUGCAAUGUAUUGAUGGCCUUAAAAUUUGUUUGGACUUUCUUAGUUUCAGCGUUGGUCCAUUCAAACCUUGGCUUAGGCAUCAAUUCAUUAGUUACAACAUUCAAAGUAAAGGGAAUAAAGGGUCCAUCAGUUAUGUCAUUCCACAUUUCAUAAUCUAUAGCUCUAAUGUAAAUUGACAUCUUAGUGCUCCAAUAAGGAUAGUUAGAGCCAUCAAACAGAGGUGGUCUGUUUGUUGAUUGUCCUUCAGCAACUAUGAAUUUUUAGAGAGUCAUUUGGGUCCUCCCAAAGGGUGUUAGACCUUAAGAACAGGGAACUAGCUUUGAUACCACUUGUUGUCCCAAUUAUAUGUGCUAGACGGGGGGUGACUAGCACAAAUCGGCUCUUGACAAAAUGAGGAACUACUUUUCAGAACAAAGAAAAUAAAAACAGAGUAGACAAUGCGCAUGAAUUUAGAGUGGUUCGGUCCAAGACCUGCAUCCACUACCUUGAUUAUCCAACAAAAGAUUUUCCAAACAAUUCCACUAAGAACCGGUGAAAUUCACAAGCUUUCACCAAGCUUUAUAAUGGCUUUUACUAGGCUCAACCAAAACCUUUUACAUUAGUUUUUCUUGGGCUCAACUAUAACCCAACACCUAACUUUUCAAGGCUAAGUUAAAACUUUAACACAUUCAAGCAAACCUAGCUUGAAACAACCGCUUGGAGUGACUUUCUCACUCUAAGAAUACAAGAAGAAAAGUAAAUGAAAGUACCUAUGAUCACAGGUUGAUCUAAAUGGUACAAGGUUGAAUGCAGAAUACAAAUACAAAAGAUAGGCAUUUAAGUGCAGAAAGGUGCAGAGAAGAUUUUCUGGUUUUUUACCUCUUAAUGACUCAAAUCUUUUCCAAAACUUUCAAAAACUAAUUUCUAACCGUUGGAAGACCCUUUUAUACUUGAAGAAAUAGCUUUGAUGGCAAUUUGGCAGUUUAUGGCCGUUGAAAAUAGUUAAGAGUAGGUUCUAGUCGUUAAUCUGUCUUCUAGUGCUCUGGUUCAAAUUGCAGACAAAGAGCUCUUAGUCGAUUAACUUUCUUUUUAGUCGACUAAGUUGGUUUUAUCUUCUGGUCUUAGAUUCUGGCAAAGAGCAUUUAGUCGACUAACUCAUUUCUUGGUCGACUAAGUUGGUUCUGUCUUGAAGUCCAGAUUUUGGUAGUAGCUUCUUAGUCGACUACCUCUCAUCUUGGUCGACUAGGUCAAUUCUAUUUCUCAAAAUUCUUCAGCCUGCCAUUUCUUCAAUUUGAAUUUUAGCCAACCAACAUUCUUCAUUAUUCAACUAAAGAGCUUCCUUCUUGUUGAUCAAUCAUGUCUCCUUAUUCUCAUGAUUUUUGACAUAUACUUUUGAAGAAUAGAUUUAUUAUUUUUAUACAUUAUCUGUCCUGCACACUUAGGUAAAGAUGUUAGACACAAAUGAAAUGGGAAUGUUUUAUUAUCAUCAAAAACUAAUGGAGCCAACAAAUAUGAUAAAUCAUUCAACAUAUUCAUAUAUGUAACCAUAUAAAUAUAUAUAUAAGUCAUACCAUAGACAAACAUUUUCAUAAUACUCCAUUAUCAAUUAAAAAUGUCCAACAUUGACAUUCCAAUGCACAUCUCUUGUGUUCAACAUAUCCAUAUUAACAUAUUCAAUUACAAUGUUCAUGACUAGGUGUAUGCCGACAUCGUUAAUACAAAAUAAUUACUCGAUCUGGAUAGUGGAAUGGACUCAAGGAUAGCUAAUGGCAUUUACCGAAUACCUUUAGUAAAACCUACCAAGGUGUAGUUGGAGAGCCUUCCAAUAAUGAAGAGGCGAUCACUCUAUUAAUUUGAAAACACAACAUAAAUUUGAAAGGGUGAGUAUAAAACUCAGUGAGUAGAUACGAGGAGGGGAGACAAGCUAAUGUACAAGUGUUUAAUAUAAAAACUAUUACAACUAAAUCAUGUAAGUUUGUAUCAUGAAAGUGUCAUUUAAACAAGUUGCAAUGAAUGUAAAUACUCUUAGAUUUAGCAUUUGGAAUGGCAAAAUGUUUGUAUGUGAAAUAUAGUUUAAACAAAUUUUUUUCAAAAGAGAAAUUUGGAAUAAUUUAAUUUUCAUGCAAUGAAAUUUAUUAAUGUGUUCUAAUUAUAUUGUAGUACUUUUUUUGAGACUGGAGUGAUCCCAACUAUUACUAGAAUAAUCAAGAGUCAUUUUAGUGGUCCUUGGUUUACAUGGAAGGUUGUUUCGAUCGAUAUGAAAAACUGGAUGUGGUGAAAAUUCGAUGUACCAUUUUGUCUUUUCACUAAAAUAUAACUUGUUAUUGAUAAUUUAUAUAUAGUUCAUUUCAACCCUACUAUAUUAGUAUUUUUUUUUGUAAGAGUCCUUUACCUAGGCUUUAUAGAUGCUUUAAUAGUUCGGAAGAUAUAAGAGAAAAUUUGCAAAGAUAGCUUAAAAGGUCCAGUAGGGGACGAGCAUAUUAAUGGAAAUAAUAAGGUCAAGGUUUUAGACAUCAUCCAAACCAAAGGGAUGUCCCAUGCUUGGAUCAUUACAAAAGUCUACGAUGCCCUCAUCAAUAAUGUAUGGGGCACUAAUAAAUGCAACAUCGAUCAUACAAGGCCAAAAGGAAUCAUCUAACAAAUAAAGAAGGCAACAUAAUGAAACACACAAGCGGUUCCUUACCUUUUUAUAUACAUGCAAAGAAAAUAGUACGUGUUCUUAGUUCGCAUUAAUAUAUUUGCAUAUGAAUUGUUAUGAUUUGGAUGUUGUUGUCAUUGUGUUGUUGAAGAAUGUGAAUACAAAAGUUGUGAUUUCAAGUAAGUAAACAUGUUGUAGUGUUGUGAAUAUUAUAUAUAUAUGAUGUGUUUGUUGUUCUUAUGAUUGUGUUGUCAUUGUUGUGUGAUUGUUGGGAUAUAUUGUUCAGUUGUUGUGUUGGUAUAUAUAAAAUAUUGUUGUUGUGAUUGUAUGUUGAUGAUUAUGUUCUCUGUUGCGAUGCAGAGACCGGUUGUUGUUGUCAUUAUGUUGUGAAUGUUAGAAUUUAUUAUUCGAUUGUUGUGUUAGUAUAUAUAAAAGGUUGUUGUGAUGAUUGUUGUGUUUUGAUUUUUGUCUUGUUGUGAUUACAUUUAGAGGUGAUGCAGAGAUCGAUUACAUUCUUCGAGCUAUUCAACAGCACCCAUAAGCGAAUGAAGAAUAGUAGAGAGUUUGUGGGCAAUAAGUCUAAGACUGUUAUUGUAAAUAAUAAAAAUGAAGCGUUUUAUUUCAUUUUAUAAUUUUAUGUCUUAAAAAAAAUCAUCAUUGUCCACUAUGUUAUUUAAAAAUUAAAUUACUAAUUCCAUUAAUUUUAUUUUUAUAGGAAAUAUAUGUUUUUGUAUUAUUGUAAAAGUAUAGUCAAGAGUCAUCGUUUCAGUCAGAGUUCAAUCUGCAAACAUGGUCAAACUCUAUUGGAGGGGAGAAUAACACCCGAACCCACAUCUACGGGUUUGUCACCAAGGUGACGGCUGUAUUACAACUUGAUGCAGCUUAAUAUCUGAGUCUGCUUGUGGUCCAACCCCUAUUGGCAAUGUUGCGACCAUUACCCCUCCCCUUCCUAUACAGGAUCUUGAUGACUAUGAUGAAUUGAAAGAAGAUGUCUUCAGUACAAAGAACAGCUUUUUAAAAACGAAGUCGAACAUCACAUGGAUCUUCCUUUAUGUGAUGUCGACAACCCAUUUCAAGUCUUAAUCACAAUAGCCGAGCCCUUCUAAUAUUUAAAAGAGGCAACUAAAGGACGAUGGCAUUGAAUAGCUUGUAUGUUUUUGUGGUUUGCUUAUAAUACAAAUAAUACAAUUUUUAAUUUUUUUAAUUUUAAUAUAUAUUCAUUNNNNNNNNNNNCUUUUUUUUUAAAUAUUUGAAAUUUUUUUUAUUAAUAUUUAUUUUUAUUUUUGUUUUUCAUUUGAAAUGACAAUAGGGAAUCAAUUUAUUUCAAUUUUCAUAAAUUUUUUUUAUAUUUCACACCAAUAUUGACAAAAUUAUUGACAAAUCUUAUACAUUAUUAAUAGAUUUGGGCUCAAUUUUACCAAUGAAAUAAUUGUAAUAUCUACAGAAUAAAGGACAACACCUAACAAAACCUACCAAAAUUUGUAUUGCUCAACUCUGUUGGUGAAUCAUUGGUAAUUUUGUUAGAAAAUUACCAAUGAAAUUUGUGGAUGGAUUCUACCAAACACCAAUAAGGCCUAUUACCGACGAAGUUACCUAUACUGAUCAAGGUAUUUUCCACUAAAUAUUAGGCUAUUUAACUUACCAGUAGAGUUUUAGCCUUUACAGAUGAAAUUUUCUAUUGGUAAAGUUCAUAUAUUUUGUAAUGAAUUUUGAUCAUGGUAGCAUAUUUAAUGUAAAUUUAAGGCUCAUAUUUUUGUUUCAUAAAAUAGAUCCAAAUAAAAUGAAUUAUCAAUAAAAUUAACAAAAUAUUUGAUAACCAUUGACAAAUGAAAUGGAGAAAUAUCCUAAUGUUAGAGUGAACUAGCCUAAAAGGGGAAUAAAAAGUGAAAAUACUAUUACUAAGUGAAAAAGUUGAUUUUUUAGCAAGUUAAUAAUGCAAACAAUGAAAAUAUUCAAAUUUUAUAGAUCUUAACAAUCCACGAGAAACUAAAAGACGAAGUUUACUAGCUGAAGAUUUCACUAAUACAAGGAUGAAAUAGAUGUAGUGGCAACUAAUAUAUGUUUUACAAAAAUAUGGAGGGAGAUGAGUUGAAAUAUUCUUCCCACCUUACAGCCCAUCUCAAGAAUAUUCCAUGUUUACUAAUCCUGUACUUGACAACCAGAGGAAAAGAAAAGAACAAUGAAGCUUAAAUAACAUAACUGACCUACAAAAAUAAGAUUAAUGCUAAAGUAGGAACAUAAUAGGUAUCAGGAAGACUGAGAUAGAAUAAAAAAAACAUAUCUAAUAUGAGUGAUAUUUAUUUUUGUAACAUUAACAGUAUAGAUAGGAAGAAGAGACGAAUUAGAUAUUUUAGUAGAUAAGAUAUAAGUAUUAUGAGUCAUAUGAUUAUAACAAGUAGACUCAAAGAGCCAAAAUUAAUUACCCGAAGUAAUAGAGAAGGUAGUGUGAGAAGAAUAAUUGAAAGAGACAACCUUGUUUAGUAGAGCCUCAAUAUCACUUAUAGUGGGAGUAGUAUUUUCCUCAAAUGCAACAGUGACAAGUGAUGAAGAUCUACAUGUUGAGAAAUCUCCCUUAGAUUUAUAAGUUAGGUCUUGAUGUGUGCAUAGGAUAGUUUUAAAUAAUAUGCCUAAUCUUAUGACAAUUCUUGCAUUCAAUCAAAGGACAAUUAAAAAAUUGUGACCUCUUUGUCGAUAAUUCUUACAAAACUUAACUCCAUCUUUCUGAUUUGAUGACUUGGGAUAACAUAACAGCAAGACCAAUAUUAGUUUAUGGAGAUUUAUCCAAGCCAAGACGUGUCUUCUCAAAACUAAUUUUUCAAUAGCAAUAUCUAUUGUAUGAAGUGGAUUUCGGUGUAGCAAUGAAAACUUGGCAACUUCAUAUUUUGAAUAAAGCAUAAGAAUCAAAAUAAGAUAAGGAUGAUCCUUAAUGUUUCUAACCUGAGUCAAGUGAUUCUUAAUAGGUUGAACUUAGGCCAAAAAACCAUUCACUAAUUGGUCAGAUUGUCAUUUUAGACUGUAAAGAGUAGUUCAUAAUUGAUAAUAGUGAGCAAGCCUAAAAAUUUUAGACCUGAUGGCAAGAAAAUAUAAAAUCUCCUUUGCUGUCUUAAAAUCAACAAACUAAACAUGAAUAUUUAAAGCAAAUGUGUUAUAAAACCAAGUUAUGGUAUAAUGAUUUUGCCAUUUCAAUCUUUAAUUCAUUCUGCAAGCUUGGUAACAGUUUCUUCAACUAGUAGGUUGAACAAUGUCUCCAGUGACAAUGCAUCAAAGUUUGCAUCCAAUUAGAAAACAGCUUAUACCUUGGACUCAUAAAUUGUAAUUAUUUCCUACCAAAACAGUUUCAAUUAACCUAAAAACUUCAAAAUUUUCCAUCUAACAGUCAAUAUUAGCAUAAACAAAGGUCAAAAUUGAAAUUAAGAUGUCAAAAUUAGCAAAAAUAGCAUCCUCACAAAAAUGUUGACGUGUUAGAUGAUGCACAUGGUAAUUGAUGUGGUAGAUGAUGUAGUAAGACACGUGGCAAACAUGUUAACGGGGAAAACACGUGGUAGAUAAAUGAUGACAAAACACGCGGUAGAUGACAUGGUAAGGCACAUGUUAAAUAGAUGACAUGGUAGAAGAUUAGUGGAUGAGUUGGCAAGGCACAUAGCAAACAGAAAGCAUGGAGAAACAUUACUAGAUGACGUGUCAAGACAAGUGGUAGGUUGUGUGCUAUCGUAAAUGGAUGAGAUGGACUAAUGACGUCAAGGUAGGGUAAUUGGCCUAUGGCGUGUAAGGAAAGAGCUUUUGAUGUGGAGGGCACAUGUUGAUGCAUGGGAGCAUGUGCAAAUUCUGAGAACCAGACCCUUCAUUAAGACAUGUUAGCAUGCCAUGUCAAAAGCUAUGUGGACAAAAAAUGUUAGUUAUCGUUGGAAUUAACAUCAGUUAUAUUUUCGUUAAUCUCAAGGACUUAAUUGAUUCAAAAUAAAAAAAUUAAAAAUACAUUUAGAUGCAAUAAAAGGUUAGGAGCUUUUUUGAAUAGUCACAUAUAGUUCAUGGACUUUUUUUUUAAGUGUUUAGCCUGUUUUAAAUUUUAAUUUUUUGUACCACAUUCUUGUUUUAAAUUUAUUAAUUAACCAAUUGUGUUAAUUUGAUAUUGAUUACAAAAAAAAGUGAAAUUAUUUAUUACAUUUGAAUUUACAAAAAGUAUUUAUAAUUUAUAUAACUUGAAUCUACUUGAAUUGGAAAAAAUAAAACCCAAAACGAUAUAAAUUGAAAAUGACCUGAAUUCAAAAUAAUCUAAAAUUCAAGAUGAGUUAAAUUUGAAACAAAUCAAAUUCAAAAUGGUGCGGUGAUCCAAAUCUAAAAUAAAAUUAAAUCCUAAAUAACUCGAAUCCUCUGGACCCACAAGAACUGCCCAAUUACCAUCUCCAAUUUUAGUUGGACUUGCUAACAAUAAGAUGGAAAAUGUUUGAAUGACUUGUGUGGGAAUGGUAUAAAACUUUGUGAUGAUGAUUGAUGGUGAGAGUGUGGCGAAACAGGGAAGGGGUGUGAAGAAAUGGGGCCCACAAUCUUGCGGCUUGUGCCUCUCAAAGGCUACAACGCGUGCUCAUCCUCAAUCAAACCGUCAACCAUGCGAUUCAGAACUUACUUGAAGCUGCCGUCACUUCUUUGGGUCCCUUUUCUCCACCAAUUCGUAAUUUUCUACUUUCUUAGAUUGUUUAUUAGUUGUUAGUAUCAAAUUAAGAGAAGAGCAUCAAUACAUUGGCAUUGAUCAUGUGUCCUUUCCUCCCUCUUUCGUGGGAUUCACAAAUUCCUUUCUGCUUCUCCUAACUACACCGGCCCCUUAGCUCUUUCUAUCUUCACAUUUUUAAUAUUAUUCGAUUCUCAUAAUUCAUCAUGCCGCCAUAGUCUCUCUUUAUCCCCUUUGCUUUAUCUAAACUUUGUCUUUGCACUUGUGAUAAUAAUGGAUCCUAAUUAUCAUUCAAUAUCCAAAUUAAUUUGGGUUUGAAAGCGAUUUAAGUUGGAGUUGCUUAAUUUGUUUUUGUGAUCGCUAAUGCAAUUGAUUUUGUUGAUGUUGAAAUCUUUUGAUUGGUCAACAUUAAUCAAGUUGCAUCAAAUUUUGUAACUUUUAAUUUGAUUUGAUUGAUUUAAAAAUGGGAAUAAUGUAAAAGAAACUGAAUUGGAGUCAUAGGCAAAUAAAAAUGGCAGGUUCCAAUGUCAAUAUGACCUCUAUCACCCCUUAGGUUUGACAUGUUGAUGCAAAAUAAUGAGUAAAUCAGAUUCUGCAUAGUAGCAUGUAACCAUAAAUGCCCAAUGAUCUUUCUACAAGUAGAGUCAAAGUCUACCAUUAUUUUUAUUUAAAUGAGCUCAUAUGCAUUGAAACACGGGAAUCAUAAGUGCCCAAUGAUCUUUGAAGGAGUAGGCAACUACUGAAGAGGGCUUCAUGGUACAGCGAGAACUGUGCACGAGUCAAGCUUUCCAAUGUGCUCCUUAUCGUAUCUGAAAACCUACCAAUCAAUCAGUGAAGCAAACAGUACUAGUGAGACAUUUUACUAUGUGGAAAGAGUUUCAAAAACAGACGUGAAAGGGACUAGAUUCUCAAGGAAAAUUUGUCCAGAGAACAGCGUUUUCCAUGAGAAGCCCACCUCAGGAAGGGAAAAAAAAAAUCUCAUAGGAAAUGACACCAUCUUCCAAGAAAGAGGGAGGGACGGGGAAUUCUCCUUCUCUCCAUAUCCUUAUUUUGUUUGAGAGCACUGCCAUUUAUCCAGGCUUCAAAAUCUUUAUUAAAUUUGUCUAAUUAAUGACAAUAUAUAUAUAUAUAUAUAUAUACACGUGGUACAUCGAAGUGAGAUGAGUAGGUUUAGGAUGAAUAUGUCUCAUUAGCCUUGCAUGUGGCCAACUCACAUGGCUAAACCACCCAUGUUUGAUUGACCUCUUAAUUUGAUUAAUAGUUUCAGUUUUAAUUUGCCUUUCCCCUCUUAAAUUUAUAAAACACAUCUAUUUAUCAUAGUCUCCUAGGAUCACCAUUCAUUAAUUAAAUUGACAAUCCCAUCAUGAGAUCUUCGAAGUAAGAGUAUUUAUCACGGUUAUCUGAAUCUUGGUUUCCUUUUUAUUCCUUUUACGAUGUCUUCCCACUCUCCAUGUGACAGGUUAAUUUAAUGAUUAAUUAAUGGUGAUUUGGUCAAUCAAUAACUGAUGAUUUAACCCUAAAUCUAAGUUAAAAGUCUAAGUUCAUGAGAGCCUUUUUAAAGCUUUAUUUAGUUGAUAUUUUUGUUGGUUUUUUUUAAAAUUUUUUUUGACUAAACAAAAAUAAUAAAAUAUCAAUCAAAAGAGACUUUAACCGAUAGGUUACAAUAAAAUGUAGACACUAAUUUACUUUAUCCUUCCAAAUCCCAACUGACCUAGUUCUAGGCUACAACGAGCUGUUGGAACUGGAAAUCAAACAUUUCCCACCUACAACAGAACUGUCAUCAACAGUCUCAUUGCGGCACUAGAGUUGAAUUACCUUGUCAAAGAUGAGGAGGUUCAAAGCGUAGCCAAGGCUCCUGAACAAGUACGCCAAACUUGCCAAAAUUCUGAAAGCAUCAUCUCUCAGGGGAAAACUCAAAAGGGAUAAGACCUUGAAGAAGCACCAAGUAGCUGCUUUUGUGGACCCAGCGUGCUGGGCAGCUUCAUUCAGCUACCACUUUUACCAGAACUGCAAGUGUGCUAAAAAUUGGCAAUAAGUUAGGUAAGUGGUCCCUUUGAAAUAGUUAAAAGAUGUUGAACACAAAAACAUUUGUCAGCUAUCUUCCCUUUUGAGACCUAUCCCGAUUCAAUUCACCUCCUUUUACUAAACUACGUACUAAGAUUAACUGGGUUUUCACAAAAUUAUACAAAUCCCAUUUUAUAGCCAUAUACAAGAAAUUUAAGAAAGAUAAAAGAUUCGAAUUUGAAAUGUUUAAUAUACAUAUAGAUGAACACUUUGUCGAGGUCACGCAAUUUUACGCGCCAGCAGAUUGGGUGGUAUGGACUGGCUCAUGUGUAUGCAUAAAAAUGCGUGCGAGUCAUAUUAUAGAUUUAUCAGCAAUGGAGGAAGAGAGCAAAAAGGCAUGUUACCGUAGGAUUUUUAGUGGAGAAACAAACAAGUAGAAGACAAGGUGAGGCAUGCUCAAGAAUAUAGAAAAAUGUAAAAGCAAUCAUGUAAUAUAAUAACCUGAAAGCAUGUGGAUGUGUGUGGUUGUGAUUUCUCAGGAUCAGAAUUUGAGAGUUUGAAGGAUUUGGGAGAUAUAUAUAUAUUUAAUUUACAUAGGGACAGGUAAGUUUUUGAACCUUCAGCUUUUGGAAGAAAGAGAAGUAUGGGAAGUUUCCCUUUUCCCCAUCUCAAAUCUCUAUGUGCUUGAUUUUUGUUUAAAUGAUCUAUCAUCAAUCCCUCGAACAUUUUAUCUAGUACAUCUUAAUCAUGAUUGUGUAGUGUGAGUUUUCAAAGAACUUUUUGGUGUCUGUUCUUACAAGGAGGAAUUCAGACAUAACAAGAGGGUAAUGAUAAGGCUUAAUUGGAUUUUCGAGGACAUGUGCCUAACUUAUCAUUGUUACUUACCGUUAAGGGACAUACAUAAGCGUUUAAGCAUCCAAUUUAUUUUUAUUAGGAGAAAGAGGAGUCAAAUUCGACUUUUUAAAAGAAAAAUACAUUUAAUUGUCCUUAAACCUAUCUUUCUUCAAGUGUAGUACAUCCAAUUACAUAAGAAGAGAUUUUCUUAAUUUUGAGAAAAAUGGCAUACAUAUUUAGAAUUUAAGUCCCUCAUAAUUGUAAUUUAGAGGAAAGGCAAUGGUCUGCAAUGGAAGGACAUGUACAAUAGUAAUUGUAAACUUUUGACCAUUUUUGUGUCACUGCUAUAUUUCUGCCAUGGAAGGACAUGUGCAAUAGUAAUUUAAAGCUGCAACGGCCAAGAGAACGUACAAGUAUGUAAAUGGAAUCCUAAUAUCUGAGUUUGAACUCAGAUAAAAUCUCAAUCACAACAGGGGAUUAGAUAUGGUUGAUCAGAGCGCACACACACACACUAUAUAUAUAUAUAUAUAUAUAUAUAUAGAAUAAUGAAAUGGGAANACACACACACACUAUAUAUAUAUAUAUAUAUAUAUAUAUAGAAUAAUGAAAUGGGAAUCAUUGAAUUUCCAUAAAUAAGAAUAAAAGGAAACCAAGAAAAAAGCAUGAUAAAAAGGAUAAAUAUUAACUUGGUACUGUUCAAAGAAAGAAAGAAGCAUCCGCUUUACAUAUCAUUCAUGCAUAUCUUGAUUUCCUGCAAAGACUUGUCUGGAAUAUCUUGUUCACAGGCAUACAUUUGCUUAUAUUUGGGAGUGUCAUUUGUUUCUAUUAUAAUAAUACUGUGGCCCCAUUCUUUGAUCUUCCUUCACAAUACAGUUUGCAACUCAAAUAUACAAUACAAUACAAUAGAAUACCAUAUGUUCAAUACAAUCAUAUAUAAUAUUAUAUUCAGCCUUCUCCCUCUCUCUUUCUCUCUCUCUCUCUCUCUCUGAAAAUAAUAUUACAACACACAAACACAUUGCUAGUCCAGCUUUUUUCUUGCCUCCUUCUUUCACAGCCUGUCAAGCUUGAAUUAUUAACACCAUGAUUAUAUUUUUUUAGUAAGAGCGCUCCUAGUUGUUUCUUUAAGGAAAGUGAACACCUGGUCCAUGGCAUAACAAGAGAUAAUUUUGCUGGUGCCUGCUCAGUUGUUUUCCGAUUUCGCCACAGUUAUACUACUUAGAUAGCUCCGUCCAUUUUCACCAAAAAAAUUAGUCAUGGUUGUUGCCCUUUGAGGUGAUUAGUUCCUUUUCUUCGGUAUUCCUGACUUUUGCUUAUCGACAAUAUUGACUUAUGGAUGAAAAGAGAUGCUUGAGUGAGAAAUAUGUUCAAUGAACCUCUUUGUAGAGAACCACAAUCCGGCAACUUUUUCUUGCAGGUAAAAUUAGCCUGGAACAUAACGCUCUUCUUCCAAUAUGCCUUUUGAUUGAAGGAGAGUUUUGCUGUUAGUGUUCUUGUGUAAAUCUUUAUUGGGUUAGCUGAUGCCAAUUAUGGUUGUCUUUGUUUCAGUUUUUGAGUAUUGUAUAAAAAUUUUUCUAUGCAUAUGCGUAGUGAUUCUCUCAUAUGCUUAAAAGUGAAAGAGAAGGUCUUUUUCUUUAUAAUAAUUUGCAGUUGAAACACUACAGAAGCUUGUAUCCUCAUUGUUCUUCAACUGCAAAUUACUGUAUAAACUGAAUCUCUCUUUCAUACCUGUUUACUGUUGAAUUAUGUAAUAAUUGUUAUUGCCUUUUAGGUCUUUGUGCUAAGUUUGAACACAUAUUAACCUCAUCUCUAGUGAGAUUUCAUCAUGUAUGCAAAUCAAACCAAAAAAAAGAAAGAAAAAGAAGUGGACAUUUUUUGAGAACAACUUCUUGAAGAUGAAGACCACUGUUAGGGCUAGUGAUGGAAGCACCAGAGAGAGAGACCCACAAUCCAUUUUUGGUCGCUUUAUUGCCCACAUCCCAUUUCCUUUUUCUUCCUUCUUCAUUGUCUGAGUACUGUUCAGGAACACUUUGAGAGCUCCCCAAUGCAAGUCUGAACAAUUUCCAGCGUACCCCCUUCUCUCAUUGCUGGCAAAAAGAAAAAAAAAAAAGAAGAAAAAAAAUUAAAGCAACUUUUUUCAUGUGCGGGAGCCAGCCUUCCUACAUAUGGCCUGCAUUUGGUACCCCAAAAGGGAACCACAAAAGUUUCGGUCCAUACAUACUUAGGAUAUAGUAUAUGCAGGACCAACUGUAGUGAAUUUUGAAGAACGAGUUCCCCGUCCCCCACCCCCGCUUUCUAGAUGCAAGGAUUUGUUCGUUGCAACUGGCAAGGUUGGAGAUGACUCAAGAUUUAUCAGAUCUUUCCACUAUUUAGUCUUUGGUGCUCAGAUGUCACUUUGGACUCGUAGACUUGGGGUCAACUAGACUCUGUCUCCACCUCCGUGUAGUGGCUUUUCAUGAAUCACACACCCACCCCAUUUAAAAGAGGAUAUAAAGAAGAGACAAGGAAAAAAGUCGUAAGAAAAAGCAAAGAAAAAAAGGUUCCUAGGAACAUUGUUGUCUCGUAUGAUUUUUUGCUACUUCUGGUGGCAGCUUUGCGCACUGUAUUUCCAAAGGGGUUAUUUCUGUGUGUUUUCUCGUAAUUGGAUAAUAGGUUUGUAUUUACUGCCUAAAAUAAGUUUAAUGUUUAAACCAAAUUUCAGGCAUGGGAACCAAACUUGAGUGUGCGGUAAAUCCGUUAGCAACUUCACAAAACAGCAACAGCUGCAGCUUUACUGUGCAUUUCGUGGAUGACUAUUUCCGAACAAGAACGCUGAAGGAGAAUUGUCAAAAGAUUGGAUUGGAAAGGUCUGGCAGCUGCAUGGACAGGAUGCUGGAAAGGCACAACAUGGAGUCCAUCAGAAAGACGAUGGAGAUGCAUGAAGAUACCUUCAAACACCAGGUAUGGGGAGACAUUAACUUCUGUUCCGAACUCUAAUUAAUAUUUGCAUUGGCAUUUUCUGAAAUUAAAGAAUUUCUCUCUUUUCUUAAAUAAAUGUAAAGAUGACCAUUCUGCAGAGGUUAUGAUUACCAAUGUGUCAGAGAAAAUGCAAAUAUUUGACACUGCUAGCAAUUCCGAUUCUUCAAUAAUUGAAUAAUUUGACAUCAAGAUCCCCAUAUGUACCAAAUAUUAGUUUCCAGCUAAAUUGCAGACACAGUGUUUCUUUCCAUCAUUCAAGAUGUUUCCAUACAUUAUCUCUCCAUAAUUUGCAGAUGCAUGAUAAUUUAAGAACCAUUCUGCUCACCCUUCAGCAAACCUAUCUCUCAAAAGUGAACAUCACAAACAGUCAAGGAAGUUUAUCACUUGAACGUGAUGGUCCAAAAUAAGAAAAUAACAAAAAACUGGGAAUUGCAGGUACGAGAACUUCACCGGCUGUAUAGUGUCCAAAAGAUGCUGAUGGAUGAGGUGAAGAAAGAAAUCAAGCAAAAUAGAUUUUGGACUACUCCUAUGACUAGCUUUGAUGUUAACCAAUCUCACUUCAUUAACCAGCAGCAGUUGACAGCGCAAACGACUUGUGGGUACAAUUUCCAUGUUCAAGGUGAUCCAAGCUCAAGGGAGAGGAGCGGCAGUUGCUCUGGUGACACCAUGAAAGUUGCAAGGGGCUUUGAUCUCGAGAGGCCAGCUGAGGAAGACAUCUCGGCUGAAGUCAGCGCCGUUGAUCAUGAAGACCAAGUAGGGCGUAGCUCCCUCAUGCACUCCAGAAUCAACCAGAUGAGAAUCGAAGGCUCCGAUGAAGAUAGUGAAGUUGAACUGACACUAAGCAUUGGAGGCAGCUCAAGCAAGAAGACACCAACGAACUCCAAGCCUCAUAGCCAAGAAUUAGGAUGUAAUAAUUCUCAGUCAAUUCAUAAGGAAACUAGGGAGCUUCAUUCUUCGGCUUCGUUUAAAUCAGAGAGGCGAGAGGAUUGCAGUGGCCCCAACACUCCAAUGAGCAGUUCUAGCGCAACAUUCGAUCAGGACAGGAAACGACCACAUUGGCUUUUCCAAGGUUUAAGCAUAAACAGGACUUGAAACCGUUGAACAAACAAAUUUUUUUUUUAACUUAAUUUGUAUGUGUGUAUCCUUUCCAACUCCGCAUGGACCCUUGAUCAAAUUUACGUGGUUCAUGACUUGAGAUCAUUCCUAAUUUUUACUUUUUCCGACUUUAACCUAAUAAUAAAUACAAUUCGAGGCACCCAUGUUUGGGGUGUAAAUUGCUAGUUGUAAAUAGGCCAUCCACAGCAUUUCUUGAACAACUUGCCAAUUCAUUGGCUUGUUAUUGUGUUUUUGUUCGAUUUGGCAUUUACUGAGAGUGGGUAAGAAUCUGCUCAAAUUUCCACGCAUGUCUCUGCUUCACAACUAUGCAAAUAGUUCAUUUGGCUGUACCGUCCAAGGUUUUCGGGCAACCAAGGCUGCUGGAAUGUUCUUCUGCCUAUUCGUGUCGCUAUCCUCUCUAUGAGUCUACUAAUAAAUUUACUCCUCACAUAAAUUAGACCACCGAGUAAAAGAUUAUUAAUUUCAAACAAAGUUCUAACAGUAGAAUUGAAAUGAUUAGCAACAUUGAUCACAUAUAACAGUUCAAGUCCAAGGGGAGGGUUACUGAUCUUUGUAUUGUCUAAAAGGAAAAAAAAAUGAAAAAACGAAAGAAAAAACUGUCGGUCUAACAACUCUGUGUGUGUUUGUACUAUUUACCUUUAAAAUUCAAUAAAUCUGUACAACUGUAUGGUCCCGAAUAUCUUAUGGGGUUUGCACAAAGGAAAUCUGAUUCUGUUGCGAAAGAACGUAACAUCAUGGGAAACAAAAUCUUGGUACAAAAUUUGGUUAUUUGAGUUUGUAUCGACAUGCCAGUUUCAAGAUGGUAAUCAGUGGUCUUAGUUGUCAAGCAUUGGAUCUUCGUUAACGGCAGGUAGGCAAAUGAUCUAUAUUCAUUUCAUCUGGCAUGUUCAAGCAGAAUAAGCGUGAAUGACUCACCGCCCAUCUUAUCGGGCAAUGAUUUAUCAUGGGUUAAAUUAAAAACAAAUAAGAGAAAACUUGAACUAAAACUUAUUAAAAUGAUUAUUAAAGUAAUGACAAGAAAUAACUAAACAGUUAUAAUAUUCUAUCAAAAAAUUUUGGCAUUGAGGAUAUGUUUGUCAUUAUAGGUUCAUGUUAAUAUUGCCAUUGUACUUCAAUUAUUUUGUUCAUGCACUGAUCCCAAAGCCGAUUUACAUAGCCAAUCCCUACACAACAAUAAAGGAGAGUAACUAGGAAAUUUUCUCAGUACAAUACAAUUUAAGCAAUGUAUAAACAAAUCAUUAGCAUAAUGUAAUCAUAGACCUUGCUGUCAAACAAGCCUAAGAAUGCUCCUAAGCAUCAAAUCAAAAUAAAAUCUCAAAGCAUACAUUUCUAUGCAAAAAUAAAAAAUAAACCCUCAAACAUGCAUUCUAAGCAACAAACUAUAAAUAAUUUAUAAAUAACAUGCAUUAGGAUAAUAAUAUCCAUAAUGAAUCAUAAAAAUCAGAAUAAGGAAAGAAAUAUAAAAUCCUUAAAAAUUAAGAAAAGUCCAAAAAUUAGCAAGAUUAGCUUAUAAAACAUAUUUCACCAAUUUUUUAUCAAAUAAAACAUAAAAUAUCAAAAUAAAAUCACAAGGCAUGCGAAUCUAAUCAAGUAAUGAUAAAACCAGAAUUCAAAUAAUGUUUUAAACAUCAAUAAUUAAAAUUUCAGAACUAAAAUCAAUUAUAAAAAUAAAAAAAUAGUUUUAAUGUUAGAAUAUUCUAUUAAGUGGGCUUCAAUUAAUCGAUGACUUUAUGCUUUAUUAAAACAAGUUGACAAUUUAGUCUAAUAUAAAACAUGUGUAGACACCCCAUUUUAUCUGUUGGUUUUAAUAGUAUUCCUUCUAUUUCAUUUGUUUUUAUUGAGAGAUGGGUCUACUUUUUGUUGAAUUUUUCUCUCUUUGACCAAAAAGCUUGGUUUACAAAUUCUUCUCCAUGUUUCAAAUGUGUAUACAACAGCUACACAAUGACUUCUCUGUUCUCGUUAUUAUGGAGCGGCUACUAGAGUCCUCCAUGAUUAAUUUUAUGUUCCAAAAUCCUUAGGCCUUUUUAAUGGUGCCUCAAGAAGUGUGUUUUUUUUUUUUUGUAGUUUUCUGACUUACUGAAAAACUGAUGUUUCUUUCUCUCUAGAAAAAUUUCAAUACGUUUAUUCAUUAUAUAAAGAUAAAUAUAUCUCUAUUUUAUUGGGAUAGAAAGAUAAAAUAUCUUUGUAUCUUAACUGACUUGGGAACUUUAUCCCUGUGGAUAAUUACAUGAUAAUCCAUAUUUAAAUUUAAACAAAUUAAAUUCAAAUUUAUAUUCUAUCCCAAUUAUCUGAUAAACGUUUUUCCAAUUAUUUAAUUAAGAAAUAUCAGAGCAAUAUCUAAUAUUAAUUAAUUAUUUAUUUAUUAAUUGUCAUAAAUAAUUAACAUAGUUGUAAGCCAUAUGGACGCACCACAUUUAAAUGCAACAUCUCCCACUUGUACACAUUGGCAUCAACGUGUGCAACUCUCAAUCUAAUUCCUCCUGCAUCCACUAUCAUACAAGGAAAAUGGAACGUGCGACCAACAAGAAAAAGGUACUGGUGAGACGUGAGAUAUUAGGUUACCAUUUUACUAACAUAACACCGCUUGAGUUCUUGACAUACCCCAAAUCAUCCUAAUCACACAAGAUUUUGCAUCUUUGAUCCCUCAUACACAUAAGAGUUAUGCAGAAUCUCUUUAUGUGUCUAAACUCAUGAUUUUAUCUAACAACCAAUGUUUUACAACCACUCGGCAAUGAGUUAUAUACCAUGUAUGUUAGGUGUUUAAUAACUUUUACUUGGAUACUCAUGCCAAUCCAUUAAGAUUUGAGUACUUUUUUAGUCAUGUUUCACUAGAUCACAUCAUUCUUGAACCUUGAAUAUCAUGCUAAAGUAGCAACCCAAAAUCUCAAUUUUAUAUUAUAGAUCCAAGUUCCUUAGGGCUUACACAGUGAUGAAACAAGAAUCUAUUUAAUCACUCCCUUCGAUCCGUCGACUAAUAGCUCAUACAAUAUGAAAUGUAUGCUAUGGUGGAUUUUCCACUUAGAGUUUGUCACGUCAAAACAAUCAUAUAGAUCUCGGUCCAAUCCCUACAAAAAGGAUUGAAUUGAAUCUCCUAAGAUUUAAUUCAGUUAUGACUGGCUUCAUAGAGUGUGGGUAAUGUCCAUGUUCGACUUUUACCAGCCUUAUCGUGACUCUAAGUCAAGGUGACACUGCUAACAUCUUUGCUUACAUCUCAUGUGACAAGGAGAUCACAAAACACUUGGUACCUUGUGAUUAUUUAAGUCUCAUCCCACAUGCUACUACAGCGUUGGGGUGAUUACCUCAUGUGAAAAGAAUAAUCUAGAAAGCCAAGUGACAAGAAUUAUCUGUUUGUGUAGAAGUCUUAGUAAGCAAUAUACCAAGAGGGGGGAUGAAUUGGUAUUUAAAAUUUCUUUUAAAAACUAAAUAUAAAAAUCAAAACUUUGGAGACCAAAAAUUUCUUCUUGUAUCAAAAACAAAGUGUAUGAUUUUCAUAAACAAGUUUUCAAUAAUGAAUUGAAAAGAACAAGUAACAAAUCAAGAUAAAAUUUUUCUUCAGUUAAAUUCAACCAAGGCAUAAAUAAUGAAUUAAGGUAAAAUAUUUUUCUAAGCUAAAUGCAAGCAAUAAAUCACAAUGUGGAAAGAUUAAAAGCAAGACACAAGAUUUUUAUAGUAGUUCAACUUUCUCUAGUGCCUACAUCUACUAUCUUAAAACACCAAGGAAUUUCAAAUCCAUUAAGGGAAUUGAGCUUUUUAUGGGAUCAAGUGGAACCCUCACAAUAGCUUUUUAUGGGAUCAAGCGAAACCCUUGAUAAUUCUACUUAAUAGAGUUAUUUUGUCACAUUUUGAGUACUAAAUUGGCUAAUUUCUUGUGAUAUAGGUUCAGAAUUAGGUGUUUUUAGUUGUUUUUUUUAGUUUAGUUUAAAUCACGUCGGUUUGUUUUAAUUUAAGUUGUUUUAUUUAGUUUUAUAUUAAAUUGCUUUUAGUUUAGUUAGUAUUGAAUUAGUUUUAUGUGUUUGUAGGUGUACAAAUGAAAAGGCUUAAAUUGAUGAAGAAGAGUGCAAGAAUGGCCGAUGCUUCUCUCGUACAUGUGUUAUUAUUUUGAGCAUAAUUUUCAUUCUAGAGGUUCAAUUGAUGUGAUUCUUGAGUCAUUAGAAAGCUAAGAGAUAGGGCUACAAAUUUCAUGUUUACCAUUUUGCCUAGUUUAGCGUUUGAUUGCCAUGAUGAGAAAGUGAUAUGAAAUUUGCUCCCUAGUCUUCCUCGUUUUGUUAUAUUAAAAAGAAAAUUAAGCAACAAAAGAAGAUCGGAUUGGAUUGAAAAGCCGAGUGUAAGGUAAAAGUAGACCAGUGAAAAAUGACAAACCUUCAUCCUAUUAUAGCAUCAUACACAACUAGAGAACUAAGUGCAGAAUAUAAAGACAGGGAAUAAAACAUAACUAGUGGAAAAAGUAGAACUAAUAACUCAACAAAAUAGAAAAAUAACCAUUAAAAAAGGCAUAAACAAGAGAACAUUAAUGUAAACAAGUUGCGAAUUAACAUAAUUAGCUGUUCACAAGAAUAAAAUAGUGUAAAGUACAAGACAAUCCAAAAUUGGUCGCUAGUGACAAGUUAACAUCAUUACGUAAAAUCCGAAAGAGACAAUGCAAGACAAUGUCAAUGAUUGAUAAUGAUGAAAAUGGCAUGACAAUGUGGCCAUCGAAUCCAAGCAAAGUAGAAGGAUCUGAGAGUAGGUAAUGUCCCAUGUGAGAAGCUGAAGAGGGUGGUGGAAAGUGAGCUUGGAAUUGCUCCUUAAGUAGUUGCUAGUAAUAAAGUAACUCUCAGUUUUGAGCCUCCAAGGCAUCCAACCUGUUAACCACACGAGCAUCCAUAGAUUCCAUAAAAGAUAAUAUGCGAAAAUAGGCUUGCUUAUUGUCAAAGGCAGUGGACAUAGGUGGAAAGCUAGGGCCAACACUAAGGAUUAUGAACUUGCACUAAGCUCAGCAAAUGUGUCCUCAUUUCCUUCAUUCUUAACAAUAUUAGGUUCGUAGAUGGUUGUUUUUCAAACCCAAGGGUGGUUGACAUACACAAAUCCAAGUUUGUUGAUGGCAUGCUCAUUGAUUUUCGUGUGCACCACAUGAUGUUUUGGUGGGUCACACUUAGUGUUGAUGCCCAUGGAGUCAAUGACGGCACUAAUAGCCAGGCCAUAGAGAAGUGUCUUUCUAGACUUAUUUAUAGUUUUUAACAUAUCAUCAAGUAUGAACUUGACUAGGUUGACACGGUGCUUGGAUUUAAUACGAAUCCUCACUCUUGACGAUGGAGUAAUUUGUGUCAUGAGGAAGAAAAGUAUGAGACAUUAUAAGGUGAAAAAUAUGAUCAUAAAAGGAGAGACUCUUGAUACUAGUCAUAUUAUUGUCAUUAGUGGGAGGGUAGGUGUACACAGUGGACAAAAUCUUAUUGGAUAGGACCCCCUCGACAUAGCCUAGAUCCCUUUGACGGAUAUCAUAGUUUAAGACAAAAUUUAGGGUGUGUUAGGCGACCACGAUUUUCUUUCCCAUGACAUAGAUGUAGAAGCUAUCAGUGUGUUUUAUGGGUUCGCUAUCCUCGUAGUCUUGAAAUUUUGUGAUUGCAUUAAAGUAAAACACCCUAACUAAAUCGACAUAGUAAAUUCAGUUCAUUGACAGGUAAUUGAGCCAUCCUAGUUCUCGAAAAUUACCAAGAUAUGGAAAAUUAAUAUUUUUGAGAUAGUUAAAGUUGAUUACCUAUCUCGGCUUGACAUCUCACUUGGUGUAAUCUUUGUCGAAUUUGCUCUUUAGGGAAGGGAAAAAAGUUCUGCUUGAAAGAACUGAUGUCGUUGCGUGGUGUUGGUGGUGGUUGGAAAGAGGUGAAAGCAUCUGGGAUUGAGACUUGGUGGCAGGAGGUGGUGGAUUUAGUGUGUUUGGGUCUAGAGGCCAUUAGAGUGUUGAUUUUGUGAAAAAAAGAACUGGUAGAAAUAGUCAAAAAUGGCGAGGAGGACUUGUACUAGGACCAAUUUUGCCAAAAAAUCAAGGAAUUUUCAAAUAUUCAAGAAAAGAGAACCUAGGGUUUCAAAAUGGGAAUUUUGGGAUUUUGGGUCAAAUGUAGUGUUUUGGGGGAAAAAAUGGUGUUUUGAUCAAUAAAAAGUGGUUAGAAAUGAUUUAAUCAGACCAGAUAUGAAAAAGAACAAAAAAGGCUUGAGGUGUUGAGAGAAUUUGGAAGAAUGAGAGUCGGAAAAUGGGGAGAGAAUGAGUUGACAGACUCAUGAAACCCUAGAAUGUAUUGAUACAUGUACUCGUGUAUUACCACAUUCGUGGCAGAAUGUUUUGCUUUUAGUUACUGGAUGAAAUGUCUCGAUACAUUGUAUGAUGUAUCGACACAUGUUCUUGCAUGUAUUGAUGCAUAUGCCCAUGUAUCGAUACAUGUAACAUAGGAUUUUAAUUUUGACUACUGGACGAAUUGUAUCGAUACAAGGACAAAUGUAUCAGUACAUGUUCUUGAAUGUAUUGAUACAUGGGUUAACGUAUCAAUACAUUUACUUCUAUAGCCUUGAACAAAUUGAUUUUGGAUUAAAAAAAAUCAUGAUUUGGUCCAGACACUUGGUAUAACCAAAAUGAUGUGAGUUGUUGAUUUGAAAACAAAGUUUGGAACCAAUGCAAGUGAAAUUUGGACAUUAAAUCAGGAUUUUGGAAAUAAGAUUUGACUCCCUCAGCACUCUCCUGCAAACCUUGAGAAUUAGAUGGUUAUGGCAUGAAUGCAGAGGAAUGGAUAUGGAUGUGUUUACAUAUUUAACUGAAUAACAAUCAUACAUAAGAGUGUCAUAGACAUGCAGGUUUGAAUAGACACAAAGAAGAUUCAAGUUUCAUGCAUGAAGUCAUUUCAAACAUCAUCCGUAACUAGGAGCAAGAGAAACACUAUGCAUGUUAAUGGCAAUAUAGGUGCAAAAUAUGGAUGUAUACAUGCUUGUCAUAUCUAACAGUAGGCAAAAAUAGUAAUCAAAGGUAGCCACCAACUAGAGUUUUUUUUUAUAUGUAAUGGAUUUAUAAGACCUAAUUCACUUCUAAUUUGGUAGAAUCGUUCCCUAUCAAGUGCUUUUGUGAAAAUGUCAGCCAAUUGAUCAUUUGUACCUACAAAUUCAAGGACAAUAUCUUUUCUUUGAACAUGAUCUCUAAUAAAGUGAUGCCUUAUUUGCAUAUGUUUAGUCUUAGAGUGAUGAUGGGAUUUUUUGUGAGGUUUAUGGCACUAGUAUUGUCACAUUUUUUGGGAAUUCUUUCCAUAGCUAGUCCAUAGUCUUUUAAUUAUUGUUUCAUCCAUAUCACUCGAGCACAACAACUUUCGAUAGCCACAUAUUCAACUUCGGUAGUGGAUUGGGCUACACUAUUUUGUUUCUUUAAAAACCAUGAGAUCAACAUACUACCUAAAAAUUGACAUGUACUUGAUGUGUUCUUUCUAUCUAUUGUACAGCCACCAAAAUCAACAUUCGAGUAUGAGUGGAGAUCAAAAGUGGAAUUCUUUGGAUACCAUAUUUCUAGGUUAGAUGUGUCUUUCAAAUAUCUAAGAAUUCUUUUGACAACACUUAACUGUGGUUCUCUAGGAGAUGAUUGAAACCUAGCGCAUAGACUAAUGCUAAAGCUUAUGUUCAGUCUACUAGUAGUGGGAUAAAGCAAGGAACUAAUCAUAGAUCUAUAGAGUUUUUGGUCAACGAGCAUACCUUUUUCAUCCUUAUCAAGCAUUAUUGAAGUACUCAUAGGUGUGUGAUAUGUUCUUGUGCUAUCCAUACCAAACUUUUUGAGCAUAUCUUUUAUAUACUUGGCUUAACUUAUGAAUCUACCAUCUUCUUUUUGUUUAAUUUGUAAUCCAAGAAAAUAAUUUAGCUCACCCAUCAUGCUCAUCUCAAAUUUUUCUUGCAUAUUCUUAGCAAACUCUUGUCAAAGAACCUCAUUAGUAGCAUAAAAAAUAAUAUUAUCAACAUAAACUUGCAUAAUUAAAAUGUCAUUACCUUUGCUUUUGAUAAAAAUAGUUUUAUCAAUCUUCCCUCUAUUAAAAUCAUUUUUGAUUAAGAAUUUGAUAAUGUUUCAUACCAACCUCUGAGAGCUUGUUUUAAACCAUACAAGGCUUUUCUUGAUCUAAAGACAUGAUUUGGAAAGGUUGGACUUUCAAAGUUAAGAGGUUAUUCAACAUAUACUUCCUCAUUAAUUAAUUCAUUUAGAAAAGUACUCCUAACAUCGAUAUAUCUUAAAGUUCAUAUAGCACACAAAGACUAAUAACAUUCUAAUUACCUCUAGUCUAGUUACUGGAGCAUAAGUUCAAUCAUACUCUAUUCCUUCUUCUUGACUAUAUCCUUUGGCAACUAACCUAGCAUUGUCUCUAGUUAUAGUUCCAUUUUUAUCCAUUUUAUUUCUAAAGACCCAUUUCGUCCCUACAAUUGGGUAGUCACUUGGCCUAGGAACUAAUUCCCAUACUUGACAUCUUUCAAAUUGAUUUAAUUCUUCUUGCAUGGCUACUAUCCAAUAGUCAUCAUUUAAAGCUUCAUCAAUGUUCUUAGGUUUAAUUUGUGAGAUAAAAGUAACAUAUUCACAAAUAUUUUGAACUUUAGCUUUAGUUCUUACCCCUUGAUUUGGAUCACCAAUGAUUUUUCUUUCAUUAACCUUUUUUCUUACCAUUGGAUAUCUAGGCUCACAUUCUUUAAUCAUUGGUUUAAUGUUUUGCUCUUCCUUUUGUGGUGCCUCUUCACUUGUUUUUGGAUCUUUCAAUGUUUAGUUCAAGUUCUUUAAUUUGUUCUUGAAAGAUACCUACAUCAUCAACACAAUUUUCCUUUAUAGAAGAGGGGUUAGAAUUAUCAAAUAAUACAUGAAUAGAUUUUUCAACAACUAAUGUCCUCCUAUUGAGUACUUUAUAAGCUUUGAAAGUCAAAGAAUAUCCUAGAAAAUUUUCUUCAUCACUUUUAGCAUCAAAUUUACCAAGGUUAUCUUUUCCAUUGUUUAAUACAUAACAUUUACAACCAAACGAAUGAAAGUAAACAAUGUUGGGUUUCUUUCCUUUAUAAAGUUCAUAGGGAGUUUUCUUCAAAGUUGGCCUAACCAUUACUUUAUUUAUGAUAUAAAAUGAAGUAUUAAUGGCUUUGGCUAAAAGUAUCUAGGUAAAUUAUUUUUGCAUAGCAUGGUUCUAGCCAUUUCUUCUAGAGUCUUAUUUUUUCUUUCCACUACUCCAUUUUAUUGUGGAGUCCUAAGAGCUAAAAAAUUAUGGAUAUACCCAUUUUCUUCGCAAAGUUACUCAAAACUUAGGUUCUUUGUUAUUUUGUACCCUUGCUCAUUUUCAACUAUUUUGUAAAAGGAAGUGAAGAUUUUUAAAGCUUCAUCCUUGUGAGCAAGAAAGAAAACCCAAAAGAAUCUAGUAUAGUCAUCCACAAUUACUAAUCCAUAAUUUUUUCAACCUAAGCUAGUGGUCUCAGUUGGUCCAAAAAGAUCUAUGUGAAGCAAUUGUAAGGCGCUAAUAGUGGUUACAUCCUUUUUGGAUUUAAAUGAGCUUUUCUUAUGUUUGCCUUUAGCAUAAGCAUCACAAAGUUGAUCAUUUUCAAAGUUUUGCUUAGGAAGCCUUAUCACAAGAUCUAGAGAUAGUAGUUUUGAAAUUGUGUUCAUGCUAGCAUGUCUUAGUUUCCUAUGCCAUAGCCAACUAUCCUCAUUUUUUUUAGCCAUAAAACAUAUAUUGUUAGAAGAUAAGUCAUCCAAGAAAACAACAUAUGUAUUACCUUAUCUAUGUCCAACAAAUAAAGUUUCAUUUAUUUUAACAUCAACAACAUGACAAAUUAAUGAUUCAAAUAUAACUCUAAAACCUUAUUCACAAAGUUGACUCACACUUAACAAAUUAUGUUUAAGACCACUUACAAAUAAGGUAUUUCGAUUUGAGAGGAGGAAUUUUGAUCAAUGGUACCAAUACCUUCAAUGUGACUUUUUGAGUUGUCACCAAAGUUUACAUUUACUCCUUUCUUUGGUCUUAAUUAUUUGAAGAAUUCCUUAGUUUUGGUCAUGUGUCUAGAGCAUCCACUAUUAAGAUACCAUUUUCCUUUUUCUUGUGUUCUUGACUUUAAGCAAGUGCGCUCUUCUUACAAAGAACAAAUUCAAACAUUUGACUUUGGUACCCAAAUUUUCUUAGGUCCAUAUGAGUUAGUGUCUUCGGUUCCUUUUGGAACCCACUCCAAUUUUACCACCUUACCAUGUGGAGGUUUGGUUCUUUUUGGAACCCAUACACUUUUGAUUUUCUUACCUCUAAAAGUGGUAGUUCUCAAAGGAUAAGAAUGUGUUGAAUGUCAUACUUUAUGACAAUAAAUGCAUUAGGUGAAUAAGCCAAGUUUUUCACUUUCUUUAACAAAGAAAUUUUUAAAAUGAGUUUCUUUUUUAGUACCAUCAUAGCCUAUUCCUUUUUUGUCAAAGAAAGCUCUUUGUGUUUCUAACAUGUCUUUUAAUUUUUGUUAACUCAUGUUGAAUUUUGAAAAAGUAGCUGUUGUUGAUUUCUCACACAAGUGCACAUAUCGUUAACAAGUAAUAUAGUAAUGAAGCAGAGUGUCGUUCCCACAAAGAUUUGUUUAAUUCUUACUGUUAACUAUUAAAAUUAUAACACCCUAAUUUUAUCCAAACAAUUAAAAUAAAAAAGAAAACUUAAAACUAAUAAACUAAAACUAAAAUUAAAUAGUAAAUAAAACUCACUUAACUACCAGACCUAAGAUUAUGAUAUCCCUUAAUACUUCAUCUGAUUAUUGUCUCUCUCUCUCUUUUAACUCAGUUUAAUGGAUUAAGUUGCUAACCUAGAGUCUUAAAUUAUUUACAAGUCUUUGUCAAGUAUCUCAUAAAAAUACCUCUCCCAAUUAAUUUACUAUAUAUCUAUGCAAAUUAAAUUGAAGAAAAACUCAUUAAGUUCAUGCUUUAAUCCUGGCUACAUAUGGCUUAUAAGUGUGUGUCUACCCUAUAUGCAAAUCAAACCACCUAAUCAACUAAGUGUAUUCGAUCAUAUGUUAUUAUAUUCAAGGUCUACCUAAGUCUCCUUCGUCAAGGUUUAACCUAGGUUUCUAAUUCAAAGCAUUAAGAAUAAAAUAAAAAAAACAACUUAAAUCUAUCAAACAUAAGUAAAAGAGAGAUAAAUAAUUUAGACUACAUAUUGAGUUCAAUCAUAAUCUUAGAUUAACAAUUUAGCUCCCCAUCAAGUCAUACGUCAUUAUCAAAUAAAGUUUAAAAAAUAAAAACAAACUAAGAAAAUAAAAGAAUAAUAAAAAAGAUAAAACUCAAGAAUUAUAAUCUUGAUCUUCCAAGUCUUCUUGAAUCCUUCACAUUCUUCUUAGCUUCAAUGACUAUGUGGCUUGAUUCUUAACUAUCAAUCUGGUGUUUCGUUCUCUUCUUUUUUUAAAGUUUUUCGAAAGGUUGUUUUUAUAGUCUUUUGAAGUUAGGCCAAGUUGGUGAAGAAAAAAGUCAAUUCCAAUAAGGAUUUCCUCAUCAGACUAUGCGGGUCAUGACUUUAAACAAUUAAUUAAUAGAAAUCAUAACUGUUCUUGUCGCGACCCGAAACCUCAUUCGGGCCCAUGACAACCGCUGCGACGUCUCGAUUUAUACUUAUUACCCAAAAUGCCAAUCGGAACCCCGCAAGGCUUACGUAUUAGUUUCUUUCCUUUCUUGUGAGUAAUCAUUGUUAAACAUUCCGUUUUAAACAAUUACCAGUCGUUUUCGGCUCAAGUAAAUCAAAAACAAAAUUAUUUUAAAAAGAUUUAUAAACAAAUAUUACUAUUCAAAAUAUUGAUUAAAAUAUAGCAUUUUUAUAUAAAACAAUAUUUAUAAAAACACGUGUAAGUAAAAUAAAUUCAUACAUACAAUAAUUUACAAAGUUAUAAUGUACAAAAAUAAUUACAAUGACAAGUGACCCAUAAAUACACCAAGUGUUGGUGAUAGUAACCUACUGUCUAUAAAAUAGAGGGGUCAACUGGAAUCCUCGGCAAAAUUGAGUAUCUACAAGCUACCACAGUCCUGAAAUAUUUGGAAAGGAGGUGGGUGAGAUUUUGCAAUCCCAAUUAGUAAAUAGACAUUAUUAUAAAUAUCUAAAGGCGAGUAAAAUGGAGGCUAGUUUAAACAACAAAUCACAAACCAUUUCAUAAGGUUUUUAAUUUAUUUCUUAAACCAUAAAAUAUUUGUAAUUUACCAAAACAGUUGUUAAGGAUCAUGACUUUUAUUAUAAACAGGGCUCAAGCCAAAAACUAGUCCUCGGGGAUACCUUAGCCGAGGCAUCUAACCGAGUCCACCAAGGUUGUUAAGAUAUUUACAUGUUAAACACAUGUUAGUUUUGAAAACAAGCCGUUCCUUGGAGUUGGCCAAGUUACACAUUCACGUGGGGGUUCGACGUGAAGUGAGCUCUAACACUACCUUGGGAGUUACCCUCCUCGCCUCUACAACCGGAGUAACUAUAUAAUCGAGUUCAUCGUGCCCCUCUAAUAGGCAGUCCACGGAAACCCGUCACUGCAGUGACUAAACCCAUCAACUUUAAUAAAAUUUCGAUAGUAUAACGUGGCUUUUAUUUAUUUACCCAGCUUGCGUAGUAAAAGACAGCUUACAUAUUUCCAAUGCAAUUAUAAAAUAUAGCCACACAUACUCAUAUAUCAUAAGCCAUUCAUAGGAAAAUAUAUUUUUCAAAACAAUUGGCAGCCUCCAAUUACUCAAUUUCAUGAUAAAAGGUUUCUUAUUUCAGAUAAUCAACACAAUAUAUUUAUUUGUCACAUUUAUUUCUAAAACAUCAAAAGUCCCAUUUUAAUCUCAUUUUUGUUUCAUAAAAUACAUAAAGAGCAUUUAAAAAUAAACUCUAGAUAAUUUACAAUAAUAAUAGGUUUACUCACAGUUUUUGAAAACUAAAUUCGGGUACUCCAACUAUUACUCCUCGGGUGCGAUUUCUUUGCCCUUGCCAAAGGAUUUGCCACCUUGACAAAUUGCACAAUUAAGAGGUUUACUACCUUGGUACUAAACCAAAAUAAACUAAUUUAUACUACUAAUGCAUGAUAUGAAGUGCAAAAUGUCUAAAUUUUGCCUAAACGCGGUAUUAGCCUAUUUCGGUAUUUUACCCGAUAAAUCGAUAUACGCGUCCGUUUAAACUCCAAAUUAAUUUUUUUCAGUUUCUAUACCUCAAUUGCACCCAAAUUGACUUAAUGUCUCUCAGUGUGGUGCAAAUUAUCAGUCUCGAUAGGAAAUUACAAAAAUACCCCUAGUGGGUAAAAAUUCGUAUUUUUGCUCCGAAAAUUCACAUUAUUUUUCUAGGCUCAUAAUUCAUCAUUAUUCAUCAUAAUUCCUCAAAUAAACAUCAAGAUCAGCAGCCAAUAUUUCCCUAGAAUAUUUGGCAUAAUGGGUUUCAAUGGGAGAAAAUUAUUUCUCUAGCUUAUUUUUGCUAUAUUUCAAUAUAACCUAACUAAAAUCACUUAAUUCAAUUAAAAUCAACCAAAACUCAAGCUCAAAACUCAUCCAUGGAGGUUUGGCCAGCAUGGGUGUCCAUACCCACUUUCUAAUUUUGCAUGGAAAUGAGAAAAAAAUGCAUGGGUAGUGAAAAUCACAAGGAAAAUCAAUGAAAUUUACCUUUUUAAUGCUUGAUUUCUUGAUUUCUCUUGAUUUUCCCCAAAUUUUUCAGCUAGGGUUCUUAUUUCUUUUCCCCCUUUUCUCUCCUGGUUUGGACAGCUUGAAGAAGAUGAGAAUUCUGGAAUUUUGACCUUUUUAAAGGCUAAAAUAAUAUAAUAUUAUUUUAUUCAUUUUUUUAAUGUUUUAUUAAUUCCUUAGAUUCUAGUCAUCCAUUUGUUUCCAAAUUUUCACCAUACACUUGUCCCACAUAUCCAUAGCUUAGAUAAAAUUCUUAGACUUAUCCAAAGUCUUGGUGGAGUAAUUUUUUUUGAAAUUUACACUUUUGCCCCUGUAAAAGUCAAAAAUUACAUUUUUGCCCCAAAAACUGAAAAAAUUACCCAUAAACAUAUUUUUCAUCCCUUAUACUCAUACCAUUCUCCAAUUUGUCAAAUUUGAUUUAAAUUCUCUCAAAAUCUCAAAUUUUGUCCACAUGUGGUAAAAUUAUGAUUUUACCCCUACACUCCAUAAAUCACCGGAAUUAAACUUUUUCACUUCCUAUCAUUAAAUUAUACUCCAAAUAGUUAAUCUUGGUAAAAAAUUUCACUCCAUGAUCAAAUUAUUAUCUUAGGUGGGAAAAUGACGAUUUUGUCCCUAAACAUCAAAAUUUUCAAUUUUUUCCCAAAUGAACCCUCGAACUUCGAACAAUCAUUUUUAGUCAUUCCUGGACUGUAAAAUAUUAAAUUUCAUCUUACGAUUCCUAUUUGAACUAGUUCGAGGUUAAAUCAACUCAAGUGUACUGUUAGGUAUAAUACCAGAUUUUGUCUAUUCUUAGGGACUUUUCUAGCGUAAUAACAUGAUACUCAGUGCAUGUAUGUCAUGACAUGUGUUUAUAGGGUCGGGUUUUACAGUUCUAGGACUGUUGCAGUGUAUCAACUUCGACAAGAGUUUUAAUUACAUUCCAAACUAAACUGGCAAAGUGGUAAACAUCAAAGUUGUAUAUUAUUCUCUUAUCUUUCCAAUGAUUUAAGAAUCAUCUCAUUUGGAGUUCUGUAGGGAGAGUUAUGGUCAAAAUACCAAAAUAUAUGGAGUGCAAGUUUGCACUUUGAAAUUACUUUCCUUCUUCCAUUAAAAUUAUUCUUUCAUCAAACACCUACAAAAGCACAAAUAAAUCAAUAACAACCUAUCUUAACCACAUUAACACCAAAUUAAGCAUAAAAUUAACUAAGAUUAGAUUGACUCACUUAAAUUAACUAAUUUAAAAUAAUUAAAUAAAACCUACUAAUCUCUAUACAUUGCUACAAGAAUUAAGCUAAAUUACUAUUAAAAUUAAGCUCAAAUAACUGUAUAUUAGAGAGUUAUCAGUAGCAUGCAAAUUCUCAUUCUUCUUUUCAGCUCAUUUCUCUCAAUUUCUUAGUCUUUGACUAUAUUUUUUAGUUUCAUUUUUGUCUUGACUAAGAACUCAUUUUUUACUUUAAGCUUGGAUAUGAUGCUCUUGUAUUUCAAUGUCUUUUCUUCAAAUAAAAAAAAAGUCAUCAUAUGCAUUUUGUAGUUCAUCAAAUGAGUAUGAGUCUUGAUCUAAAGUGCAUGAACUAGAAUCAUGAGAGGUAGAGCAUACCUUGGAGUCUUCAAGUGCCAUGAAGCAAAGGUUGGCAACUUUUUCUUCUUCAUCUUGAGAGUCAUCACUAUCACUCCAAGUGGCAACUGUGGCUUUUUUCUUGAAGUUCUUUAGGGCACUCUUCUUGUUUGGACAUUCAUAUUUAAUGUGUCCCGAUUUUUUGCAUUCAUAACAUAUCUAGUGGUAUUUGCUAUAUUUUCUUUUGGCAUAUCUCUUUUAGAAAGUCUCCAACCUCUAUAGUUUCUUCUCAUGAAUUUACUAAACCUUUUGGCUAACAUGGCUAUAUCCUUAUCUUCAUCACUCUUAUCUUUUGUGUUCUUCUCAUUUUCUUCAAUUGUGGAUUUUAAGGCUAUCCUAUUCUUCUUAAUGUCUUAUUUCUUUUCAUCAUCUAGAGCACUUUCAUGUUUUAAGGUCAUCUCAUAGGUGAGUAGGGAUCUUAUAAGUUCUUCUAGUUUAAAAUCAUUUAGGUUUCUUGCUUCCUCUAUAGCUAUCACUUUCAGUCUCUAUGAUUUGGGAAGACUAUAAAGUAUCUUUUUGACUAAUUGAGCAUUUGGGAAGUCUUUACCUAAGGCCUUUAAUCCUCUAACUAUGUUUGUGAAUCUUUCAUACAUUUGAUUUAUUAUCUCACUUUCUUUCAUCUUCAAUAGCUCAUAAUCAUGCGAGAUAAGUCCUAUUUUAGAUUCCUUCACUUGAUUUGUUCCCUCAUAAGUUGUUUCUAGGGUAUCCCAAAUUUGUUUAGCAGUCUUACUUAUGGAUACUUUAUUCAAUUCAUUAGCACUUAGAGAACAAAGAAGUGUAUUGAAGGCCUUGCAAUUUUUUUUGUAUUAACUUUUUUUCUUUGUCAUCCCAUUCUGUCCUAGUUCUUACAAUUUUCUCUCCACUUACUUCUUUAGUGGGAACAUAAGGAUCAUCUAAAAUGACAUUCCAAACAUCAAGAUCUACUGAUUGAAUAAAAAUCUCCAUUUGUUUCUUCUAAUAAGGAUAGUUUGUACCUGAGAAGAAUGGAAGUCUUUGAGUUGAAUGUCUUUCACCAAAAACAGCUGAGGUGGAUUCUAUCUUGAUGUGUUGAGCUUUGCUUUCAGAUCACUCAAGGUUGUUAGACCUACAAAAUUAAACACUAGCUUUGAUAAUAAUUGUUAGUGCAUUAAGCUUAAUGUGAUUUAAUCAAAGAAAAGGGUGAAUUGGAUUAUUUUUGUAAUUCUUUAAAUCUUUUUUUUUUAUUUUUGAGAAAAUGAGGUUCUACUAGACCAAAUUUCCACUUUGAAGAUGAUCAAGACAAAUGAUUUCUUGUAAGUUAAGAGAGUUUGAAAAGCACAAAUGAAAUUAAAGAGAUAAGAAGGAAGGAAAAUCAACAUAACAAUUUUAUAGAGGUUCGACCUCCUUGCCUACGUCCUCUCCCUUAAGUUUAUUAAGGAUUUUAAAACCACCAUUGAAUCAAGUUUGAUACAAUGCCUUUUGUGGAUUAAGCACAACCUUACAGUGCCUUUUAUGGUUAAAGCAAACCACUUUACCUUUUCAAUUAGUUAAGGUAUAACACUCAAAUCAAUAAAGAAACAAAUAAAAAUGCAGUUGAGAUGUCUCUGAAAAACUAAAUAGCAAAUUAAGUACAAUUUUUGGUGAGAAAUGAAAUGAGCAAUAAAGGUACUUUUGAUGGUACAACUUGAAGACUUAAAUGCAAGAAGAGUAUAAAGAGUUGUUAAAUUUUAGUUGAAAUCUUCUUUUGAAGUUGUGUUUUAAAAUCUUUCAACCUUCGUAAAUGCUGAAGGAGCUUGUAUUUAUACUUGUUGAGGCUUCAAAGGUAGCUGGGAGUGCAUUUAAUGUGAAAAUAACAGUUUUUCUCUUCAUUCAAAGCUCCAAUGGUCAUAUUGUCUCGAUACAUAUGUGAAUGUAUCAAUACAUUACCUUUUUUAUUUUUGAAUUCCUGCUAUGAUAUAUCGUCUAUCGAUACAUUUGCCAAUGUAUCAAUACAUUUGAACUUGCUUGCAAUGGUUUUGACAUUUUGUAUAAAAUGUAUCGAUACAUUUGCCAAUGUAUCGAUACAUUUGAGACAGUAAGUAUUCCGUUGAAAGUGUAUCAAUACAUUUAACUAAUGUAUUGAUACUUUUGAGGCAAUGAGCAUUCUGUUGCAUUUCUAUCGAUACAUUUGAGAAUGUACCGAUAGAUUGAGUUUAACUUUUUGAAUUUUGACUUAUCUCAAAAGCAUGUAUUGAUUCAUGAAGAACAUGUAUCGAUAGAUUUAUGCCAGAAUGCAUUUUUGAAAGUGCUUUGUCCUUGUUUUUCUUGUCAAACUCAUUUGAAAGUGUUAAGGGAUGUCUAAACUUGAUAUUCCAAUAAUUAAAUGAAUUUUGAUCAUUUUCUUUUAUCAUUUCAAAAUACGGGGAUUGAUUUGAAAGCUAUAGAGUUAACACAAACCAUGUCCAAUAGGGUCUGGUUUCUCUUCACAAACACUUUAUUAUGUUGUGGAGUACUAGGUGGAGUCCAUUGUGACAGAAUCCUAUGUUUUGUCAGAUAAUCCAAAAACUCCUAGUUAAGAUAUUAUCUUCCUCAAUCUGAUUUAAGAGUGAAAAUACUUUUUCCAUUUUUUUCUCAACCUCAGCCUUAAACUCUUUAAACUUUUCAAGAGCUUCAGAAUUAUACUUUAUUAGGUACACAUAACCAAAUCUAGAAUGGUCAUUUAUAAAUAAAAUGAAAUAUGAAUAACCUCCUCUAGUUGGUGUGUUUAAAGGUCCACAUACAUUUGAAUCGAUUAGCCCUAGGAGUACACUUGCUCUUUCACCAUUUCUAGUAAAGGAAGUCUUAGUCAUCUUACAAAAGAGACAAUAUUCACAAGUUCCAUAUGAUUCAUAAUCAAAUGGAUUUAGAAACUCUUGUUUAAGCAAUUUGGCUAUCCUUGUCUCAUUGAUAUGACCAAGUCUACAAUGCCAAAUGUAAGUUUGACUUUGAUUAUCUUUUCUUACUUUCUUAACAUCUAUAUUGAGCAUUGGGCUAUCAAGAUCCAUAACAUAAAGUCCUAUAUGACAUGUUGCGGAUCCAUAAAAGAUAUCAUUAGAAUGACAAUGCAACGAUUGUCCUUCAUACUAAAUUUGAAAUCGUCAUUUUUAGCGACGUAUGAAACCGAAAUGAUGUUUCUAGUUAAUGUUAGUACAUAGUAGCAUUCUUUUAGCUCUAGUAUUAUGCCCAAAGGUAAAAAGAGAUCACAAAUCCCAACGGCAAUUUACCACAUCCCAUUUUUAGGACAUGACUGGCUCAUGGACCUAUAUGGGUAUGACCCACUAGGCCCAAGCAAGCUUUGACUAACAGUGCAUGGGCUUGUCAUCCAUCACAUUCAUUUACAUUUCAUUCACAAAUACAUUACCACAUCAUUACGGAACUUCUUGACUUAAUGUGUGGAAUCUCAUCCAUGCAUACAUAGAAUAUACAAGUAAAUCAACACUCUUACAUCAUUAUGGAACUUCUCAACUUAACGUGUGUUCUAUAUUUCAUGCAAAAUUCAAUAUUUACUAUUUUAUUAUUUGUGGUUUGGCACACAUCCCAUGCCCAUAUCGCUAUAGUCCUUUCGCCAUAGUCUCAACAUUCUCAUAUGCAUCCAUUUCCAAGGAAAAACACAAUAUUCACAAUGACUAACAAAUAAGAGUAUAUAAAUACUUAUUACAUAACUAAAUCCCAUUCAAGUAUUAACAUUUAAAAGACUUGACUCUACAAGUUGCACAAUAGUGACACUAGAGGGCUAGAAAAAAGGCUCUAUCACACUUACCAAGUAUGAGCUGGGAUACUACUCCUUAAGUUGCUUAGCCAAGCAAGCUACCAAUCUGUAAAACAAAAUAGGGAAAAAUAAUGUGUGAGUCACAAGGACUUUAUGAGUGGAUAUGGGGAAAGGGAUAAGCCAAGGGGGAAUAAUUUUGUAAUAAACCAUAAAUUUCUAAAUAACAUGAUAAACAUACAAAUCCUUUCAACAGUCAUGAAUGCAUUUGAUAACGUUAAAUGCAUAAAAAUAAUGUCCAUAUACAAGCUCAACUUUCAAACAUUUGAAGGAGAUAACAGAAGGUAAACCUUAACCCUUCAAACUUAACAACAAACAUUCAAAUCAGGAAUGUGUUAUUCAUUUAACAACUCAUCUCAUUAUUUCCAUCUAAACACAAUAAUUAUCAAUCAACAAACACAAGCGUCACAAUACUCAAUAUGCAAACAACACGUAAAUACAUGCCAUAGCAAAUUAUGGAAGAAUGGGAACUUUCGCGUAACUCAUCCUUGUGGUAUUCUCUCCCCCACAUCGAGAUUCAUAAAGAGGGGAAAAGUGGUACGGUGCCCAACGUAGCCCUGUGUUAUUCUUACCUCCACACUGGGACUAGUGUGAGACCUUGUCAAGCUCGAUUAAAAGAUGGUAUUGUACCGAGUGGUACAACUAAGUUAAAUCGAGCCUUGAACUAGUUCAAAUAGAAAUUCUAAGAGGAAUUUGAAAACUUUCAAACCCACAAAAUGGCUUAGAAUAGUGAUUCGGAGUUCAAGGUCCAGUUUAGAGUCCAUUAGGAAAAUUGACCGAUUAGGGAUAAAACGGUCAUUUUACCAUUUGAUGAUUAAAUGGAGAUUUCUAGCCAAGAUUUGAUCACAUUUGACCACGAAUAAUUAUAUGAAAUAUAAUUAUGAUUAUCUGAGUAUAAAAUGAUGUUUAGUAGUGAAAAUUUAUGAUUCUCGGUAUUUUUAGAGCACAAGGGCAAAAUGGUAAUUUUGCCACUAGAGGACUAAACGAGAAUUUUUAUAAAACAAUUUUUGCCCCAUUUGGUUAAUAUUGAUCAAUAUUAGUGUUAUUUGAGGUUGAAAAGUAGAAAUAAUGUGAUUCCGGUACAUUUCAAAGUAUAGGGGCAAAAUCGUAAUUUUUUCACCUCGGGGGCAAAUCGGUAAAUUUUUCACCCCAGCACUUGUCAAGACCAAGGGAUUUUAAUUGUGGUAGGAUUGGAUAAAUACCAGAAUAUUUGUGGUGGAAAAUUAAGAAGAAAAAGUCAAAAAGUUAAAAAUUGGGCCAAUAAGCAUGUGACACAUGGCAUGCUUGAUUAUUUUAUUAUUUUCUAUAGAAAUCAGCCCAUUAAAUCCCCAAUUCCCUCACCAUAUUCGGCCUAGGCAUCCAGCAACAAGAAAAAAGGAAGAACAAAAGGAAAAACAAGAAAACCUAGGUGGAAAUUCAAAGAAAAAGUGAAGAAAUCAAGGAAACAAGCUAGGUAAGUUAGAAUUUCUUUAAUUCUCCUUGAUACCUAGCUUACCCAUGCUUUUGUUCUUGAUUUCCAUGGUUGAAUAUUGAGUUAUCAUGAUGAAUUCAAUUCUGAAAAAUGGGUAUGGAAGAGGAAUUGUUGUUGGAAUAAUUUGAUUUUAGACUAUGUUAGUGUUUAGGGAUAGUUAAGCAUGGUUAUGAACAAAAACACAAAAGAAAUAUUCAAUUUCUCUAGGGUUCCUUGUUGGUCGAACCAUGAGGGCUGAAUAUCAAUGGGGGAUUGUUUUUAUUUCAAGGAAAAUGGCUUGGAAAAUGAUGAAUUAAGGUGAAACGGUUAUGUAGAAAAAUUUUUGGUGCUAGUGCACCAAAUGACCGAAUUUUUCUAUAAGGAACUGUGAGGGUUCUAAUGCUGAAUUUGGCUUUAUUUAAAUGGUAUGUGGUAAAUUAAGGUAUUAGAGGAGAAAUGGAUUAAUUUGGAGUGAAAUUGGAUGCAUUGGCCAAUUUAUCGGAUGAAAAAUCGACUUAGGCCAAUACCGGGUCUAGAUGGCUACCCGUGCAUUUUUCAUUUCAUAUCAUAUAUAUAUCGAGCCUGAAAUAGCUUAUGACUGUUAGACACAAUUUAAUUGGAAUAUGUGUCAUGGAUUAUGGCUAGGUGGUGAGCCAUUGGAUACGGGUAAAGGACUGUACCCGCGGACUGAAAAUAGGAGUAUUUCUACUCCUAAUACCGGUGAGUGGACUUGCAUUUCAAACUUGUUUUGGGGAAUAUGAAAGAUUCUAUCCAACUUGUCUUAGAAAAUGUACCUUGGGAACAAGCUUUUAGUAAAAUGAUUUUAUAUUGUGAAAAUGUGUUAUACAAUGGUUUAUGUGUUAUCACAAUAUGAUAAAAUGCAUGAUAUGCAUUAGACGCUUCUUUACAUGUUGAUUUGAACUCGGCUAUGUGCGAGUAGGAGUGCACAUAAGCCGUUGCUGACUCGACUAUGUGCGAGUAAGAGUGCACAUAAGCCGUUGCUGACCCGGCUAUGUGUGAGUGGGAGUGCACAUAAGCCAUCGUUGCCUCCGUAGCGAAGGGGGGGAUGCUCCGUGAUCUCCCACCCCUAGUGACAAACGUGGUAUCAGAGCAAAGGGAAAGAUAACCCUAUUCUUGGGAACUCUCGCAUAUGAUCUGUGGCGAAGUAUGACUCUCCGCCCAGGAGCUUGGGAGAGGAGGGAAGGGACUGCUCCGUUGCUUCGUGAUCCGGAGUGAAGUGCACCUCUUGUCGAGUGCUCUGAUAGGUACCAUGGGAACUCUCGCAUGUGAACAGGGGUGAACCAUGAAUCUCCACCCAAGGGCUUAUAGAGGAUGGGUGCUUCGUGAUCUCCCACCCUAUGAGUGCUUUGAUAGGUACUCGUUGUUGCCUCCGUAGCGAAGGAGGGGGAUGCUUCGUGAUCUCCCACCCCUUAGUGACAAUAGUAUAAGUCGUUGCAUAUGAGAUGAUGAUGAUGGGAUGGUGUGCAUGAUGAUGAUGAUGGGAUGGUAUGCAUGUUGAUGAUGGGUAUAUGGUUGUAAAUGCAAAUAUGUAAGCAUUUGUUUUGUUGAAAUUUGGAAGUUUACAUGUGUUACAUGUUGCUAUUGUUAUUUUAGCAAGAUGACUUGUUUUAAGGGAAAAAGGAGACUUUUUCCUUGAUGUUCUGGUUCUCACUGCAGCGAGAAUGAAGUUCGCUACAGUGAGAAACUUUCUGUCCAUUUUGCUAACUUGUGGGUUUUUGCCAUAUUUCCCAUUUCUUUGGUAGCAUCGUUGAGCAUGGAUUUUUGUAAAGUGAUUUACUUAUGUGGGGUUUACAUGAGGGGUUUAAAGGAGCUAAAACAAUUGCAUGGUUUUGAGAAAAUGAAUGCAUCAUGAUUUCGAUAAACAUUCCUUAUGGUAUGCUUGUUCCCUUCUUGUUCACUCACUGAGUAUUGUACUCACGUUUUAUAAAAAAAAAUUCAUGUUUUCAGAUCAGGUGACUGUUGGACCCUAGAUCGAGGAGUCCCUGUAGUGCAUCUCUUGGGUAUGUGUCUGGCAUUCGAUAGUAAUCCCUUUUAUUGUAAAUGUCUCCGCUGGAAGUCAUGGGUCCUUUUGUAUUGUGAAUAUAAACUAACAAUGUGAAUAUGUGUAUGCAAUGUAAAUUGCUAAAUACAUGACUGGUAUAGUGCAUGUAUAUUAUUAUCGAUAAUGCCAUUGUGUUUUGGCUAUGUUCACACCCGGGAAAAAGUGUGUGUAUGCAUGAUAUGAUAAAUUUGUUAAGCAAAGGUAAAUGGAUAGGCUUGCUUGGGCUUAGUGAGCUAUGCUCAUUGAGCUCAUGCGUCGGUCAUGGCCCGAAAAAUUGGGUUGUGACAACUAGAGCCAAUCACAACAAAAUCAUCGAAAGUAGACACCUACUCAAUCCACUUUACAACAAAACCAUGGGAAGUGGAGACCUACUCAAUCCACUUUACCAAAAAUCUUGGGAAGUGGAGACAUACUCAAUCCACAUUAGAACAAAAUCAUGGGAAUGUGGAGACUUUCUCAAUCCACAUUCAUAGCACUCAUAUGCAAGAACAAUUCAAUCAAUCACAAUCAUUAUCUCAACUAAUAUCUCGUACUUGAUAAUUCUAUUAUAUAGAGUUAUUUUGACACAUUUUGGGGGCUUAAGUUGCUAGAUCUUUGAGAUUUUAGAUUCGAUUGUAGCAUUUUAAGUGUUUUUCUAGUUUAAGUUUGAUUACAUGUAGUUAAUUUAAGUCAUUUUAGUUAUUUAUGUAUUUUGUUUUAAAUUACUUUAAGAGUAGUUAUUGCUGGUUUUUCUUAUUGCUUUUGUAGAAAAUUUGAUAAAAAAGGCUCAUUUGAUGAAAAUUCGUGCAAGUAUGGUGAUGGCUUUAUUUGUAUAUAUUUCGGUAUUUUGACCAUAUCAAUCUAUACAGAACUUCAAAUGAAGUGAUUCUUAGACCAAUACAACGUUAAGAGCAAGGGCUACAACUUUCAUGUUUUCAACGUUGCCCAGUUCGGAUCGCACCAUGGUCAAAAUGUUUGUCUAAGUUGGAGCACUGCAGUAGUAUGCAUGGACUGAACAUGAUGUGGUAUUGGUAGCAUAUCUUUCACUCCAGAAGUCCAAUUGAUGUGAUUCUUGAGCCAUUCGAAAGUUGAAAGAUAGGGAUAAAACUUUUAUGUUUAUUACUUUUCACAGUUUAGAUCCUAUCAAGGUGAAAAUCGAGUUUGACAAUGCUCGAUGGAUGCAGUUCUGCACAAGGCAGCGAGGUGACUAAGGUGGUGGUGUUGAGCUAUUCAUGGCCACGGUGCUGAAGGAACCACUGCUACAGCACAGGAAAUUUGUGGCUACGACACUGAGCUUGAGAGGGGCAUCAUACAAAAACUUGAGAGCAAGGUGUUGCGGCAUUGAAGAAGUAGUACCGUGGAACUAACAAAGUCUGUCACGGUGUCGCGGGGCUACCCCGAUUUUCUACAAAUAAAAAUUUGAUGGGAUUUUGGAAAUUAGGUUAUUUGGAGCUUGUUUAAGGGACCUUUUUCUAAGGUUUUAAGGGGGAGGCAGCAAGCAACUAUUUUGGAGAGAAGGGGCUAGGAACAAAGAAAGCAAACAAGAGAAUUUGAGAGAGAAUUGAGAUUGCAAAGUGUCAAUAAUUAGUUUAUUUCUCUCUUUUGUGUUAUUCUUAUUUUAUUAUUUUGAAUUCAUGGCUAAAUUUCUUUGGGCAUUAUUUUUAUUAGAUAUUAUGAGAUAAAUUAUCUUACUAGGAUUGUGGUGGAUUUCAACAUGUAAUCUGAAUAUUUGUUUCUCUUUUAUUUACUAUGAAUGGGUAUGGUUUUUAUUAUUCAAAUAUGUUCCUAAUACUUUUGAUUGCUUGGACAAUAGUUAAUUGAUUUGUGAAUCUAAUUGAGACUUGACAGAGAAAUUUUAGAUUGGACUACGGUUUGAAUAGUGUAUGUUCAUGUCGCUUAGGUGAUCUGAUUCAGGUAGAUACACGCCAAUUUCCAUUUAUAGCCAAAUUAGAACACUAGCUAAAUUAACCUUAUUCAAUUGAUUUCUAUAGACAUAUAGUGACCCAAUUAAGUUAGGUAUUUGUGGAAGCAUCUCGACGGAGACUUGUACAUAGCUUUGGAUUAUAGGUUAGUAAAACCAGUCAUGAAUGUAAAUAAUAAGAGAAGCUGAUAUCAGAUGAAGUGUUGAAUAAACCCAUAAUCCUUGGUUUUAAUAUAUUACCUUUCUCUAGUAAUUUUAAUUUUUGUUAGUUAAUUUAAUGCUUGUUUUAAUUUUGUUUUAAUUAAUUUUUUGAAAAUUUUAGUUACUUAAAUAAUAUUAAUUUGUCAUAAAUUUUAGUGCUUAGUAAAGAUUUAGUAAUAAAUCUCCAUGAGAAUGAUACUCUACUUCAUCACUAUAUUACUUGUUCAAUACGUAUACUUGUGUGUGCAAAAUUGACAACAAGUUUUUGGCACCAUUGCCGAGGAUUUUGUUUUCUUUGUUAUUUGCUAAUUUUAAAAUUUUUCAGAUUAUUCUUAAUUUAAGUUUUAUUUCUAUGUUUUGCAGUUGUGUUCAGCUGUUGUAUGAGAAGAGCAAACAACUUAGAGACUAUCCCCGUGUGAUCUAGAAAUUAAGUGAACAUUUUGCAGACUUUGAAGAGAGAAUCAACAAGGUGUUGCUAUAAUAAAUACAAUCGCUGAUUAAUAGGUGAACAGCAAAUCCAAAAGUGGGUAAUAGCUGACAAUCAUUGUUUAAGGGAUUAUGUUAUUCCUUUGGUACAAGCAAUUCCAUCAAGCAUCCGUAAGACAACUAUUCAAGCAAACAAUUUUGAGAUCAAGUCGACUAUUAUCACCAUGAUUCAAACCUUAGUUCAAUUUGGGGGCCUUCCAAAUGAUGAUCCUAAUGGCCAUCUAUCAAACUUCUUGGAGAUUUAUGAGACUUUCAAACAUAAUGGCAUCCUAGAUGAUGCAAUUCAUUUUAGGCUUUUUCCUUUCUCAUUGAGAAAUAAAACUAAAGCAUUGUUAAAUGUGCUCUCUAUUGGCUCAAUAACAACAUGGGAUGAUCUUGCUUGGAAGUUCCUUGCUAAGUUCUUUCCUCUGGCUAAGACAACGAAAAUGAGGAAUGAUAUCACAUCAUUCAUGUAGCAAGAUUCUGAAUCACUGUACGACGCAUGGGAAAGAUACAAAGAAUGACUUCGGCGUUGUCCUUAUCAUGGUCUUCCAAAAUGGCUUCAAGUGCAAACUUUCUACUAUGGUAUGAGUGGGUAGGUUCGAACCACCAUUGAUGUUGCUGCGAGAGGAGCAUUCAUGGCUAAAUCAAUUGAUGGGGCAUACGAUUUGUUGGAGGAUAUGGCCGCAAACAAAAACCAGUGGCCAACAGAGUGAGUAAUGCAUAAGAGAGUAGCUAGAAUUCAUGAUGUAAAUGCUUGUUCGGCAUUAUCCGCUCAAGUAGUUGUUUUAAAUAAAACUCUAGAAUCUUUUUGUACUAAUAGUGUGGAAAGUCCUUUUGUAGCUUGUGAGUAUUGUGGAGAUAAUUAUGCAAGUCAUCAAUGUCGAAGCUCAACAAAGACAGUGCUAUUUAUGGGUAAUAGACAACAGAAUAACCCUUACUUUAACACUUACAACCUAGGGUGGAGGAAUCAUCCCAAUUUCUCUUGGGCUAAUAAUCAAGGUUCAUCCUCAACUCCAAGGCCAAAUGCACCUCUAGGAUUUCACCAAUAAGCCGGCGCACCUAUUUAAGAAAAAAUCCAGUUGUGGAAAAUUUGCUAAAGCAGUACAUGACACAGAAUGAUAGCAUUAUACAAAGUUAAAUAGCUCUCAUUCAGUGUCAAGCAGCAUUAAUUCGAAACCUUGAGACUUAGGUUGGUCAACUUGCCAAUUUAUUAAACAACCGACCUUAAAGAACAUUGCCUAGUGAUAAAGAGGUGAAUUCAAGGGGAAAAGGUAAGGAACAAGUUAUGGCAAUCACCUUGAGGAGAAGAAAAGAGGUUGACAAUAGUUGUAGGCAAGUUAAUCUUCAAGAUAAGUUUAUUGAGAAUGAAAUGUUGAUUGAGGCAGUUUACAAGCAAAUUCAAGAGAAGGAAGCAAAGGCAACUUUACCACGACCACCUUUUCUUCAACGCCUUCAGAAACAAAAGCUUGAUAAGCAUUUAUAAAAAUUUCUUGAGGUAUUCAAAAAGCUUCGCAUUAACAUUCUUUUUGUAGAAGCUUUAGAGCAAAUGCCAUUAUAUGUGAAGUUUCUGAAAGACAUAUUGACAAAGAAGACGAAAUUGGAAGACUUUGAGACAAUUACACUCACUGAGGAGUGUAACGCAAUAAUCCAAAACAAGCUUCCACCAAAGCUUAAGGACCCAGGGAGUUUUUCCAUCCUUUACUCAAUUGGUAAUUUUAAUUUUUCAAAAGCUCUGUGUGAUUUAGGUGCUGGUGUCUUAAUUAUGCCUUUGUCUGUUGCUAGGAGAAUUGAACUGAGGAGAUUCAACCCACUACAAUCACCUUGCAACUAACUGACAGAGCGAUAAGGCACCCUUGUGGGGUGAUAGAGGAUGUCUUGCUUAAAGUUGGGAAGCUGUUCAUUCCAAUAGAUGUCAUAGAAUUUGAGAUGGAGGAGGAUCAAGAAGUUCUGAUCAUACUAGGACGUCCAUUCUUAGCCACUGUAAGUGCACUAAUAGAUGUAAAGGAAGACAGAAUAACUUUCAGAGUUGGAGAAAAGGUGGUUGCAUUUACUAUUUUCAAUGCAGCUAAAAGUCUUUCAACCAUAGCUCAUUGUUAAAGAGUGGACUUAGCUGAUAAAGGUAAAGGUAAUCCUACUCCACACCCUAUAAGUAAGCAUGCAUCAAUUCUAGAAUCAAAGCCACUACCACCACAGCUCAAAAUUAAAUAGUGUUUUGAUGAGCAUGAUUGAUAGCUCUAUGAUAUAGAGUUAUCUGGGCUUAAUUUUGAUAGUAAUUUAGCUUAGUUCUUGUAAUAAUGCAUAAAAAUUAAUAAGUUUCAUUUAAUUAUUUUAAAUUAGUUAUUUUAGGUGAGUCAAUCCAAUCUUAGUUAAUUUAUUGCUUAAGUUGGUGUUAAUAUGGUUAAGAUAGCUUGUUAUUGAUUUAUUUGUGCUUUUGUAGGUGUUUGAAAAAAGAAUUUUAGUAAAAAAAGGAGAGCAAUUUUGAGGUGCAAAUUUUUACUGUAUAUGUUUUGGUAUUUUAGCCAUAACGUUUUCUACAGAACUUCAAAUGAAGUGAUUCUUUGACCAUUGGAAAGGUAAGAGAAAAUGCUACAACUUUCAUGUUUUCCACUUCACCCAGAUCGGCCUGAAAGGUGGUAAAAAAUCUUAUCAAAUUUGGCAUACUGUAGUAGUCCUAGAGCAAUUACGAUUUCUGUCAAUUAAUUAGGCAAGGCUACGACUUACAUAGUCUGAUGAGGAAAUCCCAACUGAAAUUGACUUCUUUCUUCAACCAACUUAUCCUAACUUCAAAGCCUAUAAAAACAACCUUUCGGAGGACUUAAAGAAAGGGAGAAGGAAAAACACCAGAUUAACAGCUGAGAGUCAAGCCACAUAGUCAUUGAAGGUAAGAAGAAUUUGAAGGAUUCAAGGAGAUUUAGAGAUCAAGAAUACAAUUCUUGAGUUUUUCUAUAUUUUCUUUUAUUCUUUUAUUUUCUUGGUUUUGUUUUUAAUGUUUAGAUUUUAUUUGAUGAUAAUGUGUGACUUGAUGGGGAACUAAAUUAUUAAUCUAAGAUUAUGAUUGAACUUAAUAUGUAGUUUGAAUUAUUUAUCUCUCUUUUGCUUAUGUUUAAUGGAUUUAAGUAAUUUAUUUUAUUCUGUUCUUAAUGCUUUUAAUUACCUGAUCACCAAUUAGAUUGAAUUGGAAAAUUAGGUUAAACCUUGACAAAGGAGAUUUAGGUAGACCUUGCAUAAAAUAGAGUAUAAUCGAAUGCACUUAGUUGAUUAGGUGAUUUGAUUUGCAUAUAAGGUAGACAUACACUUAUAAACCAUACGUAGCCAGGAUUAGAGCACAAACUCAAUAAAUCUUUCUUUAAUUUAAUUAGCAUAAAUAUAUAGUAAAUUAAUUGAGAAAGGUAUUUUUAUGAGAAACUCGACAAAGACUAGUAAAUAAUUUAGGACUCUAGGUUAGCAACUUAAUCCAUUAAACUGAGUUAAGAGAGAGAGAAAAUAAUCAGAUGAAGUGUUGAGGGAUAUCAUAAUCUUAGGCUUGAUAGUUAAGUUAGGUUUAUUUACUAUUUAAUUUUAGUUUUAGUUAAUUAAAAACUUUUUGUUGAUUUCUCAGCAAGUGCAUGUAUCGUUAACAAGUAAUAUAGUAAUGAAUAGAGUAUCGUUCCCACGGAGAAUUGUUUUAAUUCUUACUAUUAACUACUAAAAUUAUAACACCCUAAUUUUAUCCAAACAAUUAAAAUAAAAAAAAUUAAAACUAAUAAACUGAAACUAAAAUUAAAUAGUAAAUAAAACUAACUUAACUACUAAACCUAAGAUUAUGAUAUCCCUCAACAUUCAUCUGAUUAUUGUCUCUCUCUUUCUUAACUCAGUUGAAUGGAUUAAGUUGCUAGCCUAGAGUCCUAAAUUAUUUACAAGUUGCUAUCGAGUUGCUCAUAAAAAUACCUUUUCCAAUUAAUUUACUAUAUGUCUAUGCAAAUUAAAUUGAAGAAAGAUUCAUUAAGUUUGUGCUCGAAUCCUGGCUACGUAUGGUUUAUAAGUGUAUGUCUGGCCUAUAUGCAAAUCAAAUCACCUAAUCAACUAAGUGCAUUUGAUCAUACGCUAUUCUAUUCAAAAUCUACCUAAAUUUCCUUCGUCAAGGUUUAACCUAGGUUUCUAAUUUAAUCUCAUUGGUGAUCGAGCAAUUAGAAGCAUUAAGAACAAAAUAAAAUAAACGACUUAAAUCCAUCAAACAUAAGCAAAAGAGAGAUAAAUAAUCCAGGCUACAUAUUGAGUUCAAUCAUAAUCUUAGAUUAACAAUUUAGUUUCCUAUCAAGUCACACAUUAUUAUCAAAUAAAAUCUAAAUAUUAAAAACAAAACCAAGAAAAUAAGAAAAUAAAAGAAAAUAUAGAAAAACUCAAGAAUUGUAUUCUUGAUCUCCAAAUCUCCUUGAAUCCUUCAAAUUCUUCUUAGCUUCAAUGACUCUGUGGCUUGACUCUCAGCUAUUAAUCUGAUGUUUUUCGUUAUCCCCUUCUUUAAGUCCUCCAAAAGGUUGUUUCUAUAGGCUUUGAUGUUAGGCUAAGUUGGGUGAAGAAAGAAGUCAAUUUCAGCUGGGAUUUCCUCAUAAGAUUAUGUAAAUCGCAGCCUUGCCCAAUUAAUUAACAUAAAUUGUAAUUGCUCUAGGAUUGCUACAGUGUGUCAACUUCGACAAGAUUUUUGACCACUUUCUAGGCCAAUCUAAGUGAAGUGGCAGACAUAAAAGUUGUAGCUUUUUCUCUUAUCUUUCCAAUGGUCAAGAAUCGCUUCAUUUGAAGCAAUUUGGAAAAAGUGAUGACCAAAAUACCUUAACAUAUACAGUAAAAGUCUGCACCUCAAAAUUACUCUCUUUUUUUUACUAAAAUUCUUCUUUCAAACACCUACAAAAGCACAAAUAAAUCAAUAACAACCUAUCUUAACCAUAUUACACCAAAUUAAGCAUAAAAUUAACUAAGAUUGGAUUGACUCACCUAAAAUAACUAAUUUAAAAUAAUUAAAUAAAACCUACUAACUUCUAUGCAUUACUAUAAGAACUAAGCUAAAUUACUAUCGAAAUUAAGCCCAAAUAAGUCUAUAUCAUAGAAUUAUCACACACCCAAACUUUAUAUUUUGCUAGUCCUCGAGCAAAACAUAGAAAAAAACCUAACUUACGAAAAUCAAAUUCAGUUAAUGAAAACUAAAAUAAAUAUGGUUACUACUACUACUAGUACUACUACUAUUACUAUUACUACAGCUACUAGAGAUAAAGUACACCAACUCAAUGAUUCCUUAUCAUUUCCUCAAAAGUGUGUUUAUCAAUCAUUAACCUAAGGAAAAAUAUAGGCCUAAUUCAAAUUCAUGUUUCAAUUCUAAUGCAAGCACAUUCUCGAAUCAAUUUUCAUAUAUGUGUGUGAAAUCUUUUACCAAGAAUAUCAUGACAUCUGGAUGAGUUUAUGCCAACACAAAUUUCAAAUCAGUACUAGAUUUCCAUAGGUUUACUUUUCAUCUCUCUCUCCACUAAUGUAGACCAAUACAAAGCUAGGGAUCAAUAGGACUUUAAUAGGCUUGUAAUGUAUGGCUAGGGUCUAGGUAGGAUAAAGGAUAUUAAUGUGGCUCAAAUCACCCUAAGCACAUAAUUAUUCUAGGAUCUAUCUAUAAAGCUCUAUUUUCCUUUUCCAAGUAGACAUUUUCUUCCACAUUUAAACCUUUUUUUUCAGCAUAUUUUUUUUUUCACAAUUUCACACCCCCAAACUUAUUUUCUUUGUAUUGUAGGUAGUGGGGUUAUCUUUCAUAUUUUGAAUUUUUUUCUCAUAUCAACAUCACCUUUCCACCUUUUCAACAUUUAGCUCAAUCUAUAUUUCCUAAAACAAUAUACAUGCUUAGGAGUGAAGGUCACAAAAUUGGAAAUUUAAUUUUAAGGCUAGGCUCAAUUAUUAUGUAGUUAAACAUAGAAAAGGGAAAUUAGGCUCAAAAGGGGUAUACUAGGUAUAAAGAUUUAACAAGGUUGGCUUUUUAGGCUCAAACGGUCCAAAAAUGGCCUAAAUCAUCUCCUUAACUAAGUAUUGCCUAAGUGUGAGACCUCAACCCUUAUAGGCUCAUAACUACGCAUAGACGCAAUAACACGAGUAAGGGAUAGUUUCGUCAUUUUCUCUAAAAAGCUCCGAAAAGAAGGUUUUAUGAUAUUUUAAGAUCUAAACAGGCAUAAAACCGAAUAAAUAAUGUGUAAUGAUGAAAACAUGAAGAAAACUAGAGGUGGUAAUAUUUUUCACAAUAGGGGCAAAAUGGUCAUUUUGCACCUCGAGUCAAAAUUUUAAGUUUUCGUAAACCCUAAUAGUUUAGAUCAUUGUGGACCUUGUCUCAGUGUCAAAAGAAUAAAAAGAUUGCACAAAGGAUUAGAGAAGAACAAGUUAACUUGCUAAAGGGCAUUUUCAUAAUUUUCAAAGGAAUUGGAUAACUUUGAGCUAUAAAUAUCUUCUCCUUCCAGCAGCUUUUUCAAUUUUCAGCAGCUUCUUCUUCUUCUUCCUUCCAUCUCACAUUUGUUUCCCCUUCCAUGAAAGCAUGGUAUGAAAACUUCAUAACUUUCUCUCUCUAGCUCUAAAUUUCAUGCCUUUGUGCACCUUUUCAUGGAACCCUUGUGCUUUUUCACUCUUUUACUUCAAAAACCUUGAAAAAAAUCCCACUUUCAUACUUUCUCUCACCAACUAGGUGUUUAGAGAGAGAAACAGAGAGAAAGCUCCCAUAAUAGCUUAGAAAAAUUUAUUGGAAAGAAUUUCAAAGUUACAAGCUACCAAGGUGAGUAGUGAAUUAGAAUUUAUUUUUAGUGUUGGGAAUGAUUAGUCAGUAGACUUGUGAAUGUUUAUAAUUGAGGUUAUCCACUCAUUUUAGAGUGAUUAGGCUAGUGAAAAUAGAUGGCCAUUUAAAUGGUAAUUGAAAGGUAGCUAAGAGAAAGCUUUAGAUUUUAUAAGUAUGUGAAUUAACAAAUAGGUGAUGCUAAUGUGAUGAAAGGUUCCAAUGAAGCCCCAUCAUCCCAUUUGGACAAUUAGGGAAGCUAGGAUCGGCUAAAGGCUCAAAUAAUACCGGUGAGUGAAUUGCACUUUAAAAUCAUUUUGGGAAUAUGACUGUUUUGUACGUAGCAUUUGAAUGAUUUUAUACAACUUUUCUUAAAAACGAGUGCUUUAGGAACAAGCCUUUGAUAAUUGACUUUAUGUUGUGACAUGUGGUUGUUAUGGAUUCGUGCACUAUUACAUUAUGUUGGUAUAUAUAUAUAUAUAUAUAUAUUGUGCAUGAUGGUUCAUAUUGUGUAAUGAUUAUAACCGUGUGUGUGCACUAUGUGGGGGGAUGCACAUGCCGGUGAUGGCAUGGUGAGGGAGGUGGGUGAUGAUAGUGCGCGUAUGCACAAUGUGGGGGGAUGCACAUGAUGACUUCGGUUAUGUGCACGAUGUGGGGGGAUGCACAUGAGCUGGGUGUGGUGAUGGUGAUAUUGGUGGUUAUCUAUGUAUUCAUGUAUAUCUAUGUUUAUGAAAUAAAAGCUUAUGAAUAUGGCAUAUGAUUUAAAUGCAUGUGAAACUUGACAUGUUGAACUUUGGGAAAUUAUAUGUGUUUUACGUUGUUUUUGUCAUUUUAGCAAGAUGGUCUUUUCUUGAGGAAAUGGGAAAUUUUUGCUAGUGCCCUGCUUAUCGCUGUAGCGAGAUUCAUUCUCGCUGCAGCGAGAAACUCUCAGGUUUCGAGGGUUUCACCAGACAUGGUUCUCGUUGCAGAGAAAAAGUUUGUGUUUUAUGGCUUGAAUCUCACUACAGCGAAAAACUUUCUGUUUCGCUUAGUAUCUUGAUCGAUUGCUGCGUUAUUUUCCACUUCUUUGGUACCAUAAUUGAGCAUGGACCCUUUACAUUAGGUGAUUUAAUCAAUUGGGGUUUUUCUGAGGGGUUAUGAUAAGCACUAAGUUAAAUUGCAUUGUUUUAAAAUAAGUGUAUCAUGAUUUUCAAAAUGUUCCUAUUGAUUGCUUGUUCCCUUCCUUAUUCACUCACUGGGUUUAUACUCACCGUGUUCAACGUCAUGUUUUCAAAUCAGGAGGCAGCCGGUAACUAGGAAAGGUGCCUUUGUAGACUCGACUCCUGGUAGGUGUCUCGACAUUCAGUAGCUAUACAUUUGUCGAGUUUCUCCGCUGGACAUCGAGUAUCCUUUUGACAUGUAUAGACAAAUCUGAUGUUAAUUAUUAGAAUACAUACUGUAGACAAUAUGUGUAUAUUUUAAUGAGUAAUGCCAGUAUGAGUUGGCAAUGGUUUUCAUCAUUUCGAAUUGAGAUUUUGAAUUAUGACUUUAGUAACUUGUGGGAUGAAAUGAUAACAAGGUAAUAUAAGUAGGCUUGCUUAGGCUUAGUGGACUACGUCCAUUGGGCCCAUGUGCUGGUCAUGGCCCAGAAUUUGGGUCAUGACAGACUUGGUAUCAGAGCCCUAGGUUGUCUAGGUCUUAAGACUUUUCUUUUGUUGGUCUAGCGGAGAGUCGGGUCUUUAUGUGGAAACUUUGGUGGUGAAGUGUGAACCGCGACACAUUUUACAACUAAAGGAUCGCAUAAAUUCCCCAUCUUAGAAACUACCUUUUUUCCUUAAGUACGAUUAUAAAAUAUGUUUAAUAACAGGUGUUUGCUCUUGUCUAGAUAAGAAUGCCACCUAAGACACGAGCCUCUUCACGAAGAAUGGAAGAGCAAAAUGCUCCUACUGAGAUGGUAGAUAGGCCACGGGCAUCCAGCCUGAAAGGCCGAGGUAGACAUGGCAGAGCCACUAGGCCGGUGAAGGUAGAUAUGUCCAUGAGUAGACGAGAGGAAGGACAGUCUACAGGUGAUGUAGAUAGACAACCAGUUGGGGGCAUUACCAUUAAGGAUUUGGCGACAGGCCUACAAGGAGUCAACGGUUCGUAGAGAUGAUGACGACCUAUAUGGAUGGUAUACAAAGGAUAGUAGAAGAGAGACCUACAACACAAGAAUCCCUUAGCUCCCAAGGACAGGCCGGUCUCCAACAUCAUGAGGUCGAGAGGGGUCAUCUAGAGAUUUCUCUUCCAGAUUUUCUCAAGCUUAAGCCUCCAUCAUUUUCAGGAUCUAAUGCCUCGAAAAAUCCCCAAAUCUUGUUAAAUAAGAUGGAGAAAAUUUGUAAAGCCUUGGGAUGUUCUAGUGCCCGAUCAGUUGAGUUAGCCACCUUUCGAUUAGAGGACGUGGCAUAAGAGUGGUAUAGCUCUUUGUGUAGAGGUAGACCAACGGAUACAGCGCCGUUGACUUGGAGUGAGUUCAGUACAACCUUUCUAGAUCGAUUCUUACCACUCAAUGUACGUAAUGCUAGAGCUAGGGAGUUUAAGACUUUGGUACAGACCUCGAGUAUGACGGUGUCAGAAUACGACAUCAAAUUCAUGUAACUAUCUCGGUAUGCUUCUUACCUCGUUUCUACUAAGGAGAUGAAAAUUCAAAGGUUUGUGGAUGGGUUAGUAGAGCCAUUGUUUAGGGCUGUGGCAUCUCGAUAUUUCAAUACCUACUCUAUAGUGGUAGAUUGUGCUUAGCGGAUCGAGAUGAGGACCAGUGAGAGUAAGGCUAUGAGAGAUAGAGCAAAAAGGGCCAAGACAGAAGGUUAUCAAGGUCGUAGAGAUUUCAGCAGUGGUGGUUCGUCUUCUAGCAGUCAAGGUCCACAACGGGACUCACGAUUACCCCAAAGGGGGAGUGACUCACCUAGUGCUAGUAUUGAGGCGGGACAAAGAACCUUUAGUGGAGGAAGGUAGCAAGAUUCUAGACAGGGAAGUCAAGCUAUCCACCCUUAUGAUACUUGUGGGAGACGACAUAGUGGAUGAUGCUUACGUAAUGAAAGAGUUUGUUAUUGGUGUGGUCAACUUGGACAUAUUAGGAGGAAUUGUCCGAUGGCUCAUCAAUCAUGAGAUUCUGCUCAUGGUUUCACCCAGCCAGCUUCAUCUGCUCCUUCAAUUGCCUUUUUAUCCGGUCGAGAGGCUAGUGGAUUAAAAGGUAGAGAUGUUGUUACUUCUUCUCAGGGCAGGCCAUCUGGGUUCGGACAUCAGAGUUUUGUUGGGAGAGGCCAAGCGAGGGUAUAUGCUUUAACACCCCAGGUGGCCCAAACAUUCAAUGCAGUGGUCUCAAGUACUCUUUUUGUUAGUAAUAUGAAUGCUCGGGUAUUGUUUGAUCCUGGUGCUACCCAUUCUUUUAUCUCUCCAUGUUUUGCAUCUCGUUUGGGUAAAGAUGGUGUUAGGAGAGAAAAACAAUUAGUAGUGUCUACUCCUUUAAAUAGGGUAUUUAUGGCUGAAUGGGAAUAUGAGUCCUGUGUAGUUCGAGUCAAGGAUAAGGACACAUCGUUGAAUCUAGUGGUGUUAAACACCUUAGACUUUGAUGUGAUCUUGGAAAUGGAUUGGCUAUCACCCUGCCAUGCAAGUGUGGAUUGUUAUCACAAAUUGGUGAGAUUUGAUUUUCCUGGUGAACCCUCAUUUAGUAUUCAGAGGGAUAAGAGUAAUGCUCUAACCAAUUUGAUAUCGGCCAUGGCUACUAGACAAUUAUUAAGACAGAGUUAUUUAGGUUACUUGGCUGUGGUAAGGGAUACUCAGGCGAAGGUUGGAGAUAUAAGCCAAGUGUCGGUGGUGAAUGAGUUCAUGGAUGUAUUUCGCGAGGAAUUACCAGGUUUGCCUCCUGAGCAGGAGAUUGAAUUUUGCAUAGAUAUGGUUCCCGACACUAGACCUAUAUCCAUACCCCCAUAUAGAAUGGCACUUGCAGAGCUUAAAGAGCUUAAGGAUCAGUUAGAAGAUUUGUUGGACAAAGGCUUUAUUCGUCCUAGUGUCUCACCAUGGGGAGCACCGGUGUUAUUUGUAAAGAAAAAAGAUGGGUCACUUAGGCUGUGCAUUAAUUACCGAUAACUUAAUAAAGUGAUGGUGAAGAAUAAGUAUCCUCUUCCAAGAAUAGAUGAUUUAUUUGAUUAACUACAAGGAGCACAAUGUUUCUCUGAGAUAGAUCUGCGAUCUAGGUACCAUCAGCUGAGGAUUCGAAAUGAAGACGUACCCAAAACUGCAUUUCGAACAAGAUAUGGGCACUAUGAGUUCUUGGUGAUGUCAUUUGGACUUACGAAUGCCCCUACGGCUUUUAUGGAUUUGAUGAACCGAGUGUUCAAGCCCUAUUUAGACAAGUUCGUGGUGGUGUUUAUUGAUGACAUCUUGAUCUACUGAAAGAGCCGAAAAGAGCAUGAGCAUCAUCUUAAGAUAAUGCUUCAAACUUUGAGAGAACAUCAAUUGUAUGCCAAGUUCUCCAAGUGUGAGUUUUGGCUUGAAAGCGUUGCAUUCUGGGGACAUGUGGCAUCUAAGGAUGGGGUACAAGUUGAUCCAAAGAAAGUUGAGGCAGUGGAAAAGUGGCCAAGGCCAACAUCAGUUACGGAGAUCAGAAGCUUUUUGGGUUUGGCUAACUAUUAUCGUCGUUUUGUGAAGGACUUCUCCAAAAUAGCUGCCCCUCUAACUAAGCUGACACGUAAAGAUACAAAAUUUGAGUGGUCCGAUGCUUGUGAGAAUAGCUUUGAGAAGCUUAAGACCUGUCUCACCAUAGCUCAAGUAUUAAGUCUAUCACAAGGCAUAGAGGGUUAUACGGUAUUCUGUGAUGCAUCGCGAGUUGGUUUAAGGUGUGUAUUAAUACAGCAAGGGAAGGUGAUUGCGUAUGCAUCAAGGCAACUUAAAAGGCAUGAGCAGAAUUACCCCGCACAUGAUUUGGAGAUGGCAACAAUCGUGUUUGCCUUAAAGAUUUGGAGAUAUUAUUUAUAUGGUUAGACUUGUGAGAUAUAUACGGACCACAAAAGUUUAAAGUAUAUAUUUCAGCAAAGGGAUCUUAACUUGCAGCAACGUAGGUGGAUGAAGUUAUAAAGGAUUAUGACUGUACUAUUCUUUACCAUCCCGAUAAGGCAAAUGUGGUGGCAGAUGCCUUGAGUCGAAAAUCGAUGGGAAACUUGGUAAAUAUCUCCACAGAUAGGAGAUUCCUGAUUAGAGAGAUCCAUAGCUUAGGAGAUAUGGGUGUGCAUUUAAAAGUUUCAAAGGCGAAUGCAUUGCUAGCACAUUUUAGAGUGAGGCCUAUUUUAAUGGAUCGGAUUAAAGAAACACAAAGCAAGGAUAAGUUCGUAGCUAAGGCCUUAGAGGACCCUCAAGGAAGGAAAGGAAAACUAUUUACUAAAGGCACAGAUGGAGUAUUGAGGUAUGGAACUAGACUUUAUGUGCCUGAUAGUGAUGGGUUGAGGAGAGAAAUAUUGGAAGAAGCUCACAUGGCAACCUAUGUAGUACAUCUAGGGGCUACAAAGAUGUAUCAAGAUUUAAAACAAGUAUAUUGGUGGGAAGGACUCAAGAAAGAUGUAGCUGAGUUCGUCUCUAAGUGCCUGGUUUGUCAGCAGGUUAAGGCCGAGCAUCAAAGGCCUGCAGGGCUACUACAGCCAUUACUAGUGCCCGAGUGGAAAUGGGAGCAUAUUGCAAUGGACUUUGGAAUGGGCUUGCCUCAAACUAGUGGAGGCUACAACUCAAUUUGGAUAGUAGUAGACCGGUUAACAAAAUCAGCUCAUUUUCUUCCAAUUAAGACUAUUUACAAUGCUGCCCAGUAUGCUCGAGUUUAUGUGGAUGAGAUAAUACGAUUGCAUGGUAUCCCUAUUUCUAUAGUGUCUGACAGAAGAGCACAGUUCACCAGUAGGUUCUGGGGAAAGUUGCAGGAAGUGUUGGGCACUAAGUUGGAUUUCAGCACAACUUUCCAUCAGCAAACCGAUGGCCAGUGUGAACAGACAAUUCAGACAUUGGGGUCAGGUGGGAUUGAUAUUUACCCUUAGUGGAGUUUGCCUACAACAACAGUUUCCAAACUAGCAUCCAAAUGGCACCAUUUGAAGCAUUAUAUGGAAGGAGGUGCAAGUCACCUAUUGAAUGGCUAGAAGUGGGAGAAAAAGAAACUCUUGUGGCCUGAGUUGGUGCAGGACGCCACCGAGAAAAUGCGCAUGAUUCAUCAAAGGAUGUUAACAGCACAAAGUAGACAAAAGUCCUAUGUUGAUAACAGACAGAGGGACUUGGAGUUUCAAGUGAGAGAUCAUGUCUUUUUGAAGGUCUCACCAAUGAAAGGGAUAAUGAGGUUUGGCAAGAAGGGAAAGUUGAACCCUUGAUAUAUAGGACCCUUUGAGAUCUUAGAAAGGGUUGGAGCAAUGGCUUAUCGUUUGGCAUUAUCACCAGACCUUUCGAAUAUUCACCUCGUGUUUCAUGUGUCAAUGCUUAGAAAGUAUAACCUGGAUCCAUCUCAUGUAAUACGAUAUGAAACCAUCCAGUUGCAAGCUGAUUUAACCUAUGAGGAGCAACUAGUAUCCUUGAUAGGCAAGUCAAAAAGCUUCGUUCAAAAGAUGUAGCCUCAGUAAAAGUAUUAUGGUAAAAUCAUACCAGUGAAGAGGUAACGUGGGAAGCCGAGGAGGAGAUGCGGACAAAGUAUCCCGACCUCUUUAAUGCUUAGAGGUACGCUACCUUAUAGUUGAAUUUAAAUUCAGGGACCGAAUUUCUUUAAGUGGGGGAGAAUGUGAGACCUCAACCCUUAUAGGCUCAUAACUAUGCAUAGACAUAAUAACACGAGCUAGGGGUAGUUUUGUCAUUUUCUCUAAAAAGCUCCCAGAAGAAUGUCUUAUGAUAUUUUAAGAUCUAAAUAGGCAUAAGACCGAAUAAAUAAUGUGUAAUGAUGAAAACACAAAGAAAACUAAAGGUGACAAUAUUUUUCACGAUAAGGGCAAAAUGGUCAUUUUGCACAUCGAGUCAAAAUUUUAAGUUUUCGUAAACCCAAGUAGGUUAGAUCAUUGUGGACCUUGUCCUAGUGUCAAAAGAAUAAAAAGAUUGCACAAAGGAUUGGAGAAGAACAAGUUAACUUGCUAAAGGGCAUUUUCAUAAUUUUUAAGGGAAUUGGAUAAGUUUAAGCUAUAAAUAUCUUCUCCUUCCAGCAGCUUCUUCAAUUUUCAGCAACUUCUUCUUCUUCCUCCUUCCAUCUCAUGUUUGUUUCCCCCUCCAUGGAAGCAUGGUAUGAAAACUUCAUAACUUUCUCUCUCUAGCUCUAAUUUUCAUUCAUUUGUGCACCUUUUCAUGGAACCCUUGUGCUCUUUCACUCUUUUACUUCAAAACCCUUGAAAAAAAUCUCACUUUCAUACUUUCUCUCACUAGCUAGGUGUUUAGAGAGAGAAAAAGAGAGAAAACUCUCAUAAUAGCUUGGAAAAAUUUAUUGGAAAGAAUUUCAAAGUUACAAGCUACCAAGGUGAGUAGUGAAUUAUAAAUUAUUUUUAGUGUUGUGAAUGAUUAGUAAGUGGACUUGUGAAUCUUUGUAGUUGAGGUUAUCCACUCAUUUUAGAGUGAUUAGGGUAGUGAAUGGCAAAAAGAAGCUAGCUAAGAGAAAGCUCUAAACUUUAUAAGUAUAUAAAUUGACAAAUUGGUGAUGCUAAUGUGAUGAUAGGUUCCAAGGAAGCCCCAUCAUCCCAUUUGGACAAUUAGGGAAGUUAGGAUUGACUAAAGGCUCAAAUAAUACUGGUGAGUGAAUUGCAUUUCAAAAUCGUUUUAGGACUGUGACUGUUUUGUACAAAGCAUUUGAAUGAUUUUAUACAACUUUUCUUAAAAACAAGUGCUUUGGGAACAAACCUUUGAUAAUUGACUUUAUGUUGUGACAUGUGGUUAUUAUUGAUUCGUGCACUACUACAUUAUGUUGGUAUAUAUAUAUAUAAAUAUAUAUGUUGUGCAUGAUGGUUCAUAUUGUGUGAUGAUUAUAACCGUGUGUGUGCACGAUGUGGGGGGAUGCACAUGCUGGUGAUGGCGUGGUGAGGGAGGUGGAUGAUGAUAGUGCCCGUAUGCAUGAUGUGGGGGGAUGUACACGAUGGCACUGACUGUGCACGAUGUGGGGGGAUGCACACGAUGACUCCGACUAUGUGCACAAUAUGGAGGGAUGCACAUGAGCUAGGUGUGAUGGUGGUGAUAUUGGUGGUUAUCUAUGUAUUCAUGUAUAUCUAUGUUUAUGAAAUAAAAGCUUAUGAAUAUGGCGUAUGAUUUAAAUGCAUGUGAAACUUGACAUGUUGAACUUUGGGAAAUUAUAUGUGUUUUAUGUUGUUUUUGUCAUUUCAGUAGGAUGGCCUUUUCUUGAGGAAAUGGGAAAUUUUUGCUGGUGCCCUGUUUAUCGCUGCAGCGAGAAACUCUCGGGUUUCGAGGGUUUCACCAAACAUGGUUCUCGCUGAGGCGAGAAAGUUUAUGUUUUAUGGCUUGAAUCUCGUUGUAGCGAAAAACUUUCUAUUUCGCUUAGUAUCUUGAUCGAUUGCUGCGCUAUUUUCCACUUCUUUAGUACCAUAGUUGAGCAUGGACCCUUUACAUUAAGUGAUUUAAUCAAUUGGGGUUUUCCUGAGGGGUUAUGAUAAGCACUAAGUUAAAUUGCAUUGUUUUAAAAUAAGUGCAUCAUGAAUUUCAAAAUUUUCCUAUUGAUUGCUUGUUCCCUUCCUUGUUCACUCACUGGGUUUAUUCUCACCAUUUUCAACUUCAUGUUUUCAGAUCAGGAGGCAGUCGGUAACUAGGUCGAGGUGCUUUUGUAGACUCGACUCUUGGUAGGUGUCUUGGCAUUCAGCAGCUAUACAUUUAUCGAGUUUCUCCGCUGGACAUCGAGUAUCCUUUUGACAUGUAUAGACAAAUCUGAUGUUAAUUAUUAGAAUACAUACUGUAGACAAUAUGUGUAUAUUUUAAUGAGUAAUGCCAAUACGAGUUGGCAAUGGUUUUCAUCAUUUCGAAUUGAGAUUUUGAAUUAUGACUUUAGUAACUUAUGGGAUGAAAUGAUAACCAAGUAAUAUAAGUAGGCUUGCUUGGGCUUAGUGGACUACGUCCAUUGGGCCCAUGCGCCAGUCAUGGCCUAGAAUUUGGGUUGUGACACUAAGAUUUUGCCUCGAGAGAAAAUCAAGCAAAUUCUAGAAUUCAUGACAUAAUCUAAAAUUCACAUCAAUAUAAACCUUCUCUAAAUAUUCAUAAUAAUUCAAAGUGACAGAUAUAGUGCUCAAAAUUGUGAAAAUCACAUCCUAACAAUGAUACUUAACAAAAGAUUUAUCAUGAAUCCAAACAAAAACCUUAUUCACCGAAAGUUAAGAAUUUAAGACAACUAGUUUUCAUCAUUGGAUAGAGGAAUCAUAGAAAAACUUGGCAUAACUUUACUCUAGAUUCCUAAAAUUCAAACAAGAAAUAAAUUCAUUUACCAACUAAUCCUAAAUUAUUUAUAAAAAUAAACACGCAUGCAAAUAAAAUUAGAUCUAAAACUUCCACAAAAUAUUCAUCACCAGAAAAAUAAAAUCACCCCCUCCCAAACUUAAACUAAACAUUGUCCUCAAUGUUAGAAAAAAUAAAGGAAAGGUAAAGAAUACUCCCUUGAUGAUUGGAUAAAUAUGGAAAAUCUUUAAUCCUCCUCCUUGUUCUUAUUAUCACCUUUCUCAUUUUUUUAUUUUGUUUUGUUUUUUUAACAUGUACCUGCAAAAUAAAAAAGAGUGUUAAUAAUUCAAUAAUUAAAUAAAUAAAGAUAAAUAAAAGAAAGUAAGUUAGAGUGCUUGGGUUGCCUCCCAAGAAACGCUUCUUCAUAGUCACUAGCUUGAUUUUGGUUAAGGUUUGAGUUUUCAUGGAAAAAGCUUGAGGUAUGAAAGUUACUUCCUCCUAAGAUGAGGUUGUAGUGCCUUUAACUCAAGAUUUGAUGCUUGCCUAGCCCAAUGUGGUGGAAUAGGUUGACUUUUAUCUAACUUUUCAAAUUGAGUUCUUCUUGAAUAAUGCACUUUUGCUAUAACCUCCUUAGGUAACUCACUAACUGUAUCUACAAAAAGAAUGGGAGGCACAUUUGGCUUGACUCGUGGUGAUGUAGAUAUUUCCUCUUUUUGCUUAAUUUCUUCAUCUUGAACUUGAUUGUUGGAAGUAUUUCCUUGAUCUACUUUAUCUCCAUCAUCUUGAAGUCUAUUAUUGAUGGCAUUAGCUAGUUGACCCACUUGUGUCUCAAGAUUUUAGAUUGAUUCUACUUGACUUUGAAUGAUGGCAUCAGUCCUUGUCAUGAAGUCAUCAGUCUUUGUCAUGAAGGCAUUAGUCUGUAUCAUGAAUUGCAUGAACAUAUCCUCUAUUGAAGGCUUUUUCUCUAGCAUAGGAGCUCUAACUUGUAACUGAAAACCAUUAUAGAAAAUAAGCUGUGAUGAAUAUGUAGGACCAUGAUCAUUACUCCAUGAAAAAUUUUCGCUAUUCCAUCCUGAGUUGUAAUUGUUAGAGUAUCAUUUAUUUUGUUGCCCAUCAAAGCUUUCAUCAAAUUGCAUUGAUUCGUAAUAGGAUGGACAACAAUCACUUGAAUGCCUAUCUCUACAAAACUCGCAUGUAACAAAAAAACUUUGAAAAACAUUAUCACCCCAACGUUAAUUUUUUGAGAAAAAACAUCUACUUAAGUGGCUAAAACACUGAUUGCAUCCAAUGCAUAAUCACUAGCAACCCUCAUAAGCACAAAUUGUUCAGAUGGCCACUGAUAGUUCAUCACCUCAAUCAAAAGUAUCUAAAAAUAAAAAGAAAGUUUGAAGUAAGAUUAGAAAUGCUUGGUAUUAAUAUUAACAAGAAAGAAUUAAAAAUCAAUUCCAUGGCAACGAUGCCAAAAAUUUGUUAACAAUAUGUGCACUAGCGUGAGAAAUCAACAACGAUGAUCCUCCAUCCUCAAUUAGUCUUGAUUUUAAGGUGGGACAACUAGUGUUAUUGACCAAAUCAGUUAAGCUCCUUCCAUGGAAACAAAAAUCAAAGUGGUCAGGUCCGUAUAAAGUGGUUAAGGUCUAUCAGUGUGGUGUAGUAGAUAUUUAUAGUGAAGUUACUAGAACAUUUAGAGUGAAUGGGUAGCUUCUCCAGCAGUACUUGGGAGGUGAAUUGGAUCGUCGAAUAUCCACAAGUACUUUCGUCGACAGCAAAAAAAAGGUAUCAUAGUCAAGCUAGUGACUAUAAAGAAGCGUUUCUUAGGAGGCAACCCAAGCUAUAUUUUUUAAAGUUUAGUUGUUAUUUUAGUUAGUUAUUAUUUUUUUUUUUAAAUAAGUAGCUAUAACCUCUCACAGUUUGCUUUGUUGAGUCUGCAGGUUUGGAAAGCAUGAAGGUAAGGAGGGUGAAAAUUAGAGCUUUCAAUGCAUUGUCACCAUUGAUAGGGGAGUUACUUUUUCUUAUUCUUUUUAGCUUUUCACAUUGAGGGCAAUGUGCAAUUUAAGUUUGGGGGAGGAUUUUAUUGUUAUUAGUUUUUGUGAUAUUUUUAGGUUAGCUUAUUUUCAUCAAUUUUUUUUAAUUUUAUGAAUGUUUUAAAAACUUGAACUAGAUUUAAUUGUGUCAAUUUCUUUUAAUUUACCUAUCCAAUGAUGAGAACCUCGUUAUAUUCUUAUCUUGAUUCUUUGAAACAUGUGAAUACUGUUUGAGUAUUAUGUAAAUUCUUAUGUUAAGCUUAUUGUUAAGAUGAAAUUUCUACAAUUUGAGUAUUAUAUCUUUUGCUUAGAUUCAUUGUACAAAUUUAGAGAAGGUUUGUGUGAAUAUGAAUUUUUGAAUUAUAUACCAAGUUCUAGAAUUUUUUUGAUUCUCUGUUGAGGUGAAAUUCUAAGCUAUACUUUGUUAAGGAGAUUAUUUAUGCCAUUUUUGAACCGAUUGAGCCUUUUGUAGCAUUCUUUGACAUAAUUUAUCCUUAGUUUUCCCCUUUGUGCCUAAUGACACAUUUUCAUUGUCUAAACAUUUAAUUUUUAACCUAAACCCUUGUAUAGAUAUUUCCAAAAAACUUUUUGCACCUUUCAUACCUAAGUGCAUAAGUCAAUUUAGGAAACGUUAUGAGCUAGAUAGUAAACAAGGUAGUAAAGAUGAAAAAUAUAGAAAAGUUUAAAAAUAUGAUUGUAUUGAUCUCACUACCCAAUAUAAGAAAUAAGCUUGGGGGUAUGAAGUUGAGAAAAGAAAAAAGGAAAGAAAGAAUGAAGUGUUGAACAAAAGAAAAAGGUUGAUGAAAGAAGGGUACAUUAGAUGAAGGAAAACAAAGCUUUGAAUAGGUCCUAGAUUGACUAUGUGCUUAGGGUGAUUUGAGCUAUUCAUUAUCCCAUAUCCCACCUUAACCCUAGCCAUACAUUAUAAGCUAAUUAAAGUCUUGUUGAUCUUUAAUUUAGUGUUAGUCUACAUUAGUGGAGAGAGAGAUGAAAAGCAAACUUAUGGAAUUUAAUUACUAAUUUAUAUUUUGCAUGAAUAUAAACUUAUCUGGAUUGUACAAUGUUCUAUGUGAAAAAAUUGUACACACACUAGAUUUCACUUAAUGAUAGGCUUGCAUUUAAGUUGAGACUUGAACUUGAAUAAUAUUGUGUGUUGCCUAGAGUUAUGAAUAUGGAUUAACUUUUGAGGACACUAAAGGUGAUUAAUCAAAUGGUGUAAUUGAAUUCAAGUUAAAUAUUUUCAUGUUUAAGUUAUUGCAUGUUGUUUUAUGUUUCAGUCGAGGACUAGAAAAAUCAUAAGUUUGGGGGUUUGAUAACUUUAUUAUAUCAAGUUAUUUUAACACAUUUUAAAGGCUUAAGUAGCUAGAUCUUUGAGAUUUUAGGUUCAAUUAUAGCAUUUAGGUGUUUUUCUAGUUUAAGUUUGAUUACAUGUUGAGUAGUUAAUUUAAGUUAUUUUAGUUAAAUUUUAUAUUAUUUUGUUUUAAAUUACUUUAAGAGUAGUUAUUUCUAGUUUCUCUUAUUGCUUUUGUAGAAAAUUUGAUGAAAAAUGCUCAUUUGAUGAAAAUCCGUGCAAGUAUGGUGAUGGCUUUAUUUGUAUAUGUUUUGGUAUUUUGACCAUAUCUCUCUAUACAGAAUUCCAAAUGAAGUGAUUCUUAGACCACUAGAACGCUAUGAGGAAUGGCUACAAUUUUUAUUUUACUACUUUGCCCAGUUCUAAUAAGAUUAAGGUCAAAAUAUUUGUCUAAGUUGGAGCACUGCAGUAGUAUGCAUGGACUGAACAUGAUGUGGUAUUGGGAGCAUAUCUUUAACUGAAAAAGUCUAAUUGACGUGAUUUUUAGGCCAUUGGAAAGCUAAAAGAUAGGGUGAAAACUUUCAUGUUUAUCACUUUCCCUAGUUUGAUCCUAUCAUGGUGAAAAUCAUGUUUGACGAUGCUCAAUAGAUGCAAUUCUACACAAGGUAGUAGGGCAACUGAGGCCAUGAUGCUAAGCUACUCAUGGCCACGAUGUUGAGCUUGAAAAGAGCAUCAUACAAAAACUCAAGAACAUGGUUCCGCAGCAUUGAAGAAGUAGCGCCGUGGCACUACCAAAGUCUGUCACUGUGCCAUGGCGCCAACAAAUUAUGGCCAUAGCACUACCCCGAUUUUCCAAAAAUAAAAAUUUAAUGGGAUUUUGGAAAUUAGGUUACUUGGAGCCUAUUUAAGGAAUCUUUUUCUAAGGUUUUGAGAUGGAGGCAACAAUCAACUAUUCUGGAGAAAAGGAGCCAAGAACAAAGCAAGAAAACAAGAGAAUUGAGAUUACAUAGCUUCAAUAAUUAGUUUGUUUCUCUCUUUUGUGUUAUUCUUGUUUUCUUGUUUUGAAUUCAUGGCUAAAUAUCUUUGAAUAUUGUUUUUACUGGAUAUUAUGAGCUAAAUUAUCUUUUUAGGACUGUGGUGAAUUUCAACAUGUAAUCUGAAUGUUUGUUUCUCUUUUAUUUACUAUGAAUGGGUAUAGUUUUGCUUAUUCCAAACUGUUAUUGAUGCUUUUGAUUGCCUGGCCAAUAAUUAAUUGAUAUAUGAAUCUAAUUGAGACUUGAUAGAGAGAUUUUAUAUUGGACAAUAGUUUGAAUAGUGUAUGUUCACGUCACUUAAGUGAUUUGAUUUGCGAUUCGGGUAGACAUACACCAAUUGCCAUACAUAGCCAAAUUAGACCACUAGCUUAAUGAACCUUAUUUAAGUGAUUCCUAUUGACAUAUAGUAACCCAAUUAAUUUAGGUAUUUUUGCAAACAUCUCGACGGAAACUUGUACAUAGUUUUGGACUUUAGGUCAAUAAAACUACCCAAGAAUGUAAAUAAUAAGAGAAACUGGUAUAAGAUGAAGUGAUGAAUGAACCCAUAAUCCUAGGUUUUAAUAUAUUAUAUUUCUCCAGGAAUUUUAAUUUCUGCUAGUUAAUUUAGUGCUUAUUUUAAUUUUGUUUUAAUUAAUUUUUUGAAAACUUUAGUUACUUAAAUAAGAUUAAUUUGUCAUAAAUUUUAGUACUUAGUAAAGAUUUAUGAACAAAUCUCUAUGGCAACAAUACUCUACUUCAUCGAUAUAUUACUUAUUAGAUACGUAUACUUAAGUGUGAAAAAUUGACAACAGUAUCCACACUAGCCGUCAAAGAACUUGAGGGAAUUGCUCAAAACAUUAAAAGCUCUUGUCCCCCCUUAUCGAAAACUACUACAUAGUAGGAUAUUGAAUUAUACAUAAUAGUUUUGAAAACCAUUUCAAAACAUUUUCUUGUCCACAACCAUAUUUUUCCUUAGUCAAAUAUUUAUGGCAACAAUGCUCAUAACAAAUCCAUUAAAUCACGCAAUCAUGCUUUCAACUUUACAUGCUCAAAUAGUUUUGAAAGUGGUACACCCAGUCACCUCAAAAGUUGAUUUCUACCAAGUACUCGAAAGUCUACUUCAAUGAAAUUUUUCAAGUUUCAAUAGUUCCUAUAUACCCAAAUAAAUAUUUUUCGUUAAUACUUAGUUUAGGAAAUGCAUAAUAAUCGUUCUAUGCUAUUUCAAACUAUUUGGGUUCACCUAAACUAAUUUUCUAGACUUAAUCUACAGCUCAUCAAAAUACCCAUUUGUACAAACCCAUAAAAUCAAUAUUCUGACUUUAGGUGAGCUAUAACAAGCGAGAAAAUCCACCCAAAUCCUCUAGUUCAUAGACAUCAAUAAUUCUACAACAAUAAACAAUAUUUUCAAAAUAAAAAAUCCAAGGUUUAAAGAUUCAAGAGUGGGAAAAAUCUCAUUUUUCAUUUAAAACCCAAAACCAAGCUCAAAUUUUUAAAAAAUGGUGAUUUUCAGAUAAAAUGGGUUGGAAAAGCUUAAGAGCUAGGGUUUUAUCCUUAAAAUACGGCUAAUGGUUGCCAACUCUCAGAAAAUGUGGUGUAUUUAUAAGCUAGGGUGUGAAAAUAUGUUUUCACCCUUUUUUUUUUAAAUCGAAUAAAUGUAUCUAUACAUUGGCUCAUGUACGAAUACAUUAUGAACAUGUAUCGAUACAUUUGAGACAAAAUGCAGUUUCUGAAAUAGAUUACCUUUAAAACUUGCCCAACUUAUUUAUAUUAAAUAUCUUAAGUAAAGAGAGAGUAAAAGGGAUAUUUACUUAAAUGGUAUUUAAUGUAAAUAAGCAAACAACCCCCCAUUUGAAUUCAAUAAAAAUAUCAAAAAAAUCAAAAUCUAAAUUUUGGUUUCAAAAACAAAAUCGAAUUGAAAUUAAAUUUGCAACUCUUGUUUACCAUAGCAAAUGUACACAAAAAAUUAUGAAAAAUUCAUUUUUGGUCAUCUAAAAAUUAAGGGAAUCAUUACUGUCAUUUUUUAUUUUCAAAAGAUUGCUCUAUAAAAAUCACAAAUUUUGACCCCUCCCAUACGUAGAAAAUUUUCUGCUUUAAAAGUGACAGAUAACAUAAAAUGUCAGUGAAUUCUUUUGAAGGGUAAAACUAAGUUUCAUAGUCAAAAUAUGCAAUCUAAAUGCUCACCUAAGGAUUUCCUAACUUAUCCUUUUACUUCAGGUUGGAUUUCACACAAUUGCUACAAUUAUUACCCACUCUUAGGACUACUUCAUUUUUAUCAAGCCUUCUACUAUCCCCUAAAGCCUUUAUGUUAGUGCAAAAAUGCAAUCCACAUCUAGAAUCUAUUAUUCAAAAUUUAGGAUUGGCAACAGAAAGGUUAAGCUCAAUCAUGUUUAAUUUUAUCUUUUUACUUGUCAAGAUUGCACCCUUCCAUUUAUUAAGAACUUUUCUCAAAGUGAUAUACCAGUCCAAAAGUUUUGGGUUGAUUACAUCAAGUGUGCUAAGCAAAGUAGAGAUUAUUAUUAUACCAAUCCUAACAGUCUAUAAAUAUAAAUAAAGUAAUUAUAUUAGUCUUUCAUGUUCUUAACCAAUUUAAGGCGAGGAAUUAAAUCAUGCAUUGGUUCUCCCACUAAUUUUUUUGCAAUAAUAGCCUUCCACUAUAACACAAAAACUCUACUAGGCAUUUCUAGUGAGCUAAAACCUUUUUUAACUUAUUGCAACCUUGACUGACGCAACAAAUCACAAUAAGCCUAAUUGGGUAGAUAACAUAACUUAUUGAUUGCAUUUCUAAGCAACUCUUAAAUUUAUUAGGUGACAACUCCUUGUCUAAAUGCAUCAUAUGCAUUUUGCCUAACUUUGCCUCUAAUACCAUGUAGUCAAGUGUGAGACUUUCGAACGACACAGUAUUAGUUGAGUAAGACCCAUGUAUAGCUCAAAUGUACUUGUCUAAAAGUUUGAGCUUGAGGGACUCAACAAACCUCCAAUUAAACGAGCAGCCUUGUUAUCUUGCUAUAUGGUGGAAGGCAACUUGAUCAUGUUGUGCAUGUGAUGCAAUAUUUUAAUGAGGGUUUUGUUGUUGUAAUUAAGGUCUCAUCAUACAUAGCAUGCAUAGCAUUUAUAUAUCACAUGCCAACUACAUAGGAUGAUUAUGGACUUUACCUAAUCUAGCUUCCUUGAGCCAUCAAUGGAAAUUAGUUUGGUCAAAUCCUAGGGGAUUACAUACAAAUAUCACCAUAUCUUGUAGUCUUGUAAUCUCUAUGUCUCCUUGAUGCCUUCGUCCUUCAUUCUUGGAAUUACAAAAUUUUCUUCCUAAUCUAAUUUUAUGAAUUCUAAUUACAUAUUUGUAAAGAAACCUUAAGUUACAUUUAAGGGGAGUAAGAUGAGGAGAGAAUUUUACAACUCUUGAAUAAAAUAGAGGAAUGGCAUGGAACACACUCCCUAUUUAUAAAAUAAAUACCAAAUGCAUUCAACCAUAACCAUCCAUAACACAUUAUAGUAGUGUAAGUCUAUAAUCAUCCUCAUACAUUCAUAUUCAUGUAAUGAACAUAUAAAACUUAUGUUUAGUUCAAAUUGAAGAUCUUAUAUGUCAUUUGGCAAUAAUAUCACUCAUCCUUUGAAAAUAUAAAUCCAAAUAAUUUGAUGUCUUAAUCCCAUAACAAGUCUUGUGCUAAUUUAGAAUUCCUAGUUCUACUAUGAGUUCAAUUGAGUAUAGACUUAGUAAUCCUAAACCUUUAAGGACUAUCAAUUUAAAUUUGACCCUUAUUCUCAAUAGGAGUCUUAAUCAUAUUAGAAAUUUAAUAUUCACAAGGAAUCAUAAUCCAAUUAGGCUUUCUAAUCUUAUUUGAAAAUUUAAUCCUUGUUGUCCUCAAUUUUACAAUACUAGUCCAAUUAGAAUUAGAUGUUUAUGGCCAAGAGUCCUAUUUCUUUGCCAAUUUGAUUUUAAAAUCUAAUUUAAGGCAAUCCUAAACUCUUUAGGAUAUAUUCCAUUACAAUUAGGAGUCUAAAUCCAAGUCAUAACCGAAUUAUUAUAACUCCUAAUUAUAGAGAAGAAAUCGCAUAAGCUAUUACAAUUUUAUUGAGUCUGCAUUACCUUUGCUGUCUCAAAUUCUUUGGAGCUCCAUCCUCAAUUGUUUGCUGCAAUUUUGGCAUCAAUUCAGAGGUAUCUCAUGCCCCAAACAUCAUGCUAGAAACCUCUCAAAACCUUAGCAAAUUUGGAGUACAAACAACCAUGAUUUUGCAAGAGUCCAUGUCACACAAGAAUAACAUUCCAGCAAUCUGUUUGUGCAGAAACAUCAUCAGGUCACCACCCAAACGAGGUGAUUAGAUGCUGUAAAUUUUCAAAGGUUGAGAUCAUUCUCUUGACCUUCUACCCUUAAAAAAUCACGCACAAACUCCUUUCCUAAGUCCCUCAAAAGAAUUUCCAAAGCAGAUCACAUUAUGCUGCAAGAUUUUUCAGAUUUAAAUUUUCUUAAAACAAACCUAUAAAAUCUUUAAGGACUUAUUAUAUCUAGGUUUUAAAUCCAUAAAUCAAGACUUUAAACGCCUUUUGAAACAUAAAUCAGAUUUUAAAAAUCCAUUCAGAAUUUUUCUAAAAAGUUUUUUCAAAUUUUGCAUCAAAUAGACAUAUAAACAAAAACAGUUUUUGUAAUCUUCAACAACUAAACAUAAAACUAGAUUAAAUCAAUUAAAUGAGGCUUUGAUACCACUGAAGGGGAUUCGAAUCAUGCUAAGAUGGAUCAUAUGUAGCAGAAUAUUAAAAUUUUAAUCCCCUAAGCCAUGGAUCAAUUUAAUUGAAACUAAUCUAGAAAAACCACAUAAGAAAGAUUUCGACAUAGUUGAUAGUUUGAUGUUUGCUUUCUUUGGUGGAGUCCUCUUUGGGUUUUUGGUUUUUGACUUUUGUACACCAACUAGGACUUAUCAAACCAUAAUUGUACAAUUGUCUUGCCUCUAAUGGUGAUCGAUAUAUUGAUUUGUCAAAAUCUCUUCAUUAGGGUGUGUGAAUCCCUAAGUCAAAGUUUAUGCUACUAAGAUCUCAACUUUAAGCACCUUUGUGUUUCUCUCUUUUUGGCUAUAAUCCUAUCUCAACAGAUAAGAAAAUAAUAUAGAACUAUUAUGUACAUUCAAGAGGCGGCUAAAGGAUUCUCUUAUAGAGUGAUAGAGUGAAUUGACCUAUUUCAUAUCCAACAAAGAUUAGAAGAUGUUUUGGGCUAGUUGGGCCUUUGUUUAAUACUCUAUAAAAUCAUAUUUGAUUUAGCCCAGUAAUUAAUCAAAUUAAGCCUUUAUAAAUCAAUUAGAUCACAUCCAAUUAAACUCAAAUUAAUUUUGAUAAUUCAGGUUAUGUGUGUGACCCAUUAAGAGUCCAAUAUGUUGGCAAUAAAUAUAAAUUAAUUCAAUUAAGAAUUUAUAUUUAUAUUUAUAUUUAUAGAUCAUGAGUGACAUCUAGCAAUACAUCAUGACCACCUAAAUGUCAAGAGAGUCAAUAUGAUUUGACUAACCUUUUGGUGUAUAGUAUUUCAAUGUAAUUUAAACCUUUGUCAUAUAUCCCAGAUAGAUAGAAAGUUUGGCUCGAUGUCGACCUUCUAACUUAUCCAUAUUAGUCUUGCAGCUUCCAUAUUGACCUAUUAAGAUUGCCUGGCCCAAGGACUUUUAGUCAAUAUAAGCCAAGAGUAAAUGAGAUAUGUCCCCUUUAAAUCACUUGAGGUGAUGAAUCAUUUCUGGACUAUUCAUUCAUCUUUGCAUGCUUCAUGUCAUACCCAAAAGCGCCCUAUUUAGGCAUCUGGUCGACUCUAGACCCGUAGUGGUGAAAUCAAAGCAUGACAAUUCACAUACAAAUGAUCUGGCAUCACAAGUCGAUGGGUUACUUACACUACUAACACAUGAAGGUAUUUCCAUAGACACUUGAGUGGAAUACCAAAUGGAACUCUUAUAGUAGUUCAUGUUCAAUGAACUUGUUCCUUAACAAGCACCCACAUACUAUCCCUAAGUAUUUCACAUACUUCAACCUAUGAGAUUAGUUGUUUACUUCCAAAGUAAGGAAGCUUAGCAUGUACCAAUCUUUGAGCAUUGUCAAUGUCCUUAUUCUUGACAAUAUAAUGACCAAGAACAUAUUUAGGGACAAGGCUUUGAUGCAUAAGAAUCUCAUAACUAUAACCUUUAAAAUUUCUUUGCAAGGCCAUUAUGUUUCAACGACUUUAUCUACACAAGUCUCUCAUAACUCUUUAUAAAUAUAUUAAUGGCUAAAGGAAUACCUCAUACAGUAUAUAAAAUAUCCAUAAUGUAUUUAACAUGAAAUAUGACUAAUUAAUGUAGUGUUUUACAAGCAUAAAUCGAUUAGCUUGUGGGGCUUACAUUGACCCAAAUCAUGGUAAAAAUCAUGUUGAAAGAUGUUAGACUACUGCAGUUGAGUAUGUUGAUAUGAUGGCAUAUGACUACAUAUGACGACAUUUGCUUUAAAGUUUUUGUGAAAAGAAUGUUGAUGUGAAGCUUUUUGAAUACCUCAAGAAACUUUUGGAAGUGCUUAUCAAGCUUUUGUUUUUUAAAGUGUUGGGGAAAAGGUCAUGGUGGUAAGGUUGCUUUUGCUUCCUUCUCUUGAAUUUUCUUGUCAAUUGUCUCAAUCAUUAUUUCAUUCUCAACAAGCUUAUCUUGAAGUUUAGCUUGCCUAAUACUACUUUUAACCUCUUUUUCGCUCCUCAGGGUGAUUGUCAUAACUUGUUCCUUACCUUCUCUCCUAGGAUUCAUUUUUGUAUCAUAGGGUAAGGUCCCUUGAGCUUUAUUGUUUAGUAAGUUGGCAAGUUAACCAUCUUAAAUCUCGAGGUUUUGUAGUGGUGUUGCUUGACUUUGGUUAAUGCUAUUAGUUUGUGUCAUGUAUUGACUUAGCAAAUCCUCCACAGCUGGCUUCUUUAUAAGAAUUAGGCACUCUUGCUUGCUGUUGGAAUCCCGAAGGUGCAUUCAGCUUUGAAGUUGAGGAUGAUCCUUCAUUAUUGGCCUAAAAAAAAUUUGGAUGGUUUCUUCACCCUAGAUUGUAAGUGUUAGAGUAAAGGUUAUUCUACUGUUUAUUCCCCACAAAUUGCAUUAUUUUUGUCAAACUUAGACACUGAUAACUUGCAUGAUCAUCUUCACAAUACUCACAAGCUACAAAUGGACUUUGAAUUGUCAAUACCAAAAGAUUCAAUUGUCUUAGUUAGAGUUGUUACUUGUGCAGAUAAUUUGAAAAGGCAUCCACACCAUAAACUCCACCUACUCUCUUAUGAAUGGAUCACUUUGAUGGCCACUGGUAGUUGUUUACAGCCAUAUCUUCUAAUAAAUCAUAUGCCUUAUCAAUUGAUUUAGCCAUUAAAGCUCAUUUUGUAGUGGCAUUAAUGGUAAUUUGAGCAUGACCACUUAAACCAUUAUAGAAUGUUUACACUUGCAGCCACUUUAGAAGACCAUGAUGAAGGUAACGCCGAAGUAAUUCUUUGUAUUUUCCCAAGCCUCAUACAACAAUUCAAAAUCUUGCUGCAUGAAUGAUGUGAUAUCAUUUCUCAUUUUCACUGUCUUAGCUUGAGGAAAGAACUUAGCAAGGAACUUUUGAGCAAGAUCAGCCCAUGUUGUUAUUGAUCUAAAAGUGUAGCGAAUUCAACUAUAUUGUAGCUUUAUCCCUCAAUGAUAAAAUAAAAAGCCUUAAAUGAGUUGCAUCAUUUGUGACAUCAUUAUGUUUCAAAGUAUCACAUAUCUCCAAGAAGUUUGAUAUAUGGCCAUUUAGAUCAUCAUUUGGUAAACCCCCAAACUAGACUGAAGUUUGAAUUAUGGUGAUGAUGGCCAGCUUGAUCUUUAAAUGGUUGGCUUGAAUAGCCAGCCCUCGAACGCUUGAUGGAAUCACUUGCAUUAAUGGGACAGCAUAAUUCCUUGAGCAAUGAUUUUCUACUACUACUCGCUCUUAGAUUUGUUGUUCAUCCUGUCGAUCAGCCAUUGUAUUUAUUUGAGCAAAACCUUGUUGAUUUUCUCGUCAAAGUCUGCAGAAUGUUCUUUUAAUUAUGGAUCACUAGGUACAAUUUCCAAGCUUUUGGCUUUUCUCAUACAACGACGAAAUGAACUUGUGAAACAAAGAAAUAAAACUUAAAUUAAGAGUAAUUUGUGGAAUUUUAAUAUUAGCAAAUAAUAAAAAAAUCCCCAGCAACAGCGACAAAAACUUGUUGUUGAAUGAUAAUUUUGCCACAUUUUGAUUAUAAAAAAUAUCUAAGUCCUUGUGUUUUAAAGUAAUUUUAGGUAGCCUUUAUGCUUUUCGUUAUUAAGUUUAAUACAUGUUGGAAUGGUUUAAUUUUAGUAAUUUUAGCUCAUAUUUAUGUUAAAAGUCCUAAUUUGAUCCAUCAUUGAUUUAGUCCUUGUUUUGAAGGUGUGCAAGUGCAUAAAAUUUCAUGAAGGUGAACCGAGCAAGGAUGAUUAAGUGUGGAAUUUCCUAAACAUGUUAUGGUAUUUUGACCAUAACUCUCUCCAAAGAACUCCAAAUGAGGUCAUUCUUAAAGCACUAGAAAGCUAAGAGGAAGAGCUACAACUUUAGUCUUUAUCAUUUUUUCAAGGUCUAAUUGGAUCAUGGUAAAACUCCCUAUCAACAUUAAAAUACUGUAGUAGUUUGCAUAGAUUAAAUAUGAUGUGGUAUUUUGACGAUUUCUUUCAAUUAAGAAGUCCAAAUGUUGUGAUUCUUAGACCAUUGGAAAUCUAAGAGACAGUAUUACAACUUUUAUGUUACACUUUGCCUAGUUCAACCUAAAAGAAGGUAAAAAUAACAUCAUAAGAUGAAACAGUGUAGGAAAGACAACAUAAGAGAGGAACGCCAUAGUGCCACCCAAAAGUAGGGCACUAUGGUGCCCAAGAGACAAGGCCGCGAUGCCUAACAAGUUACCAAAAUCUAUUUUUGAUAAGAAUUCGGAAACUAGAACAUUUGAAGCCUAUUCAAAAGGCUUUUUGCAGAGGUUUUGAAAAGAGGAGGUAGCAAGCAAUUUCUCUAGAGAAAAAGAGUCAAAAACAAAGCAAGAAAGCAAGAAAAUUUUAAAGAGAAUCAAGAUCACAAAGCUUCAACUAUUAGUUUUCUCUCUCUACUUUUGUGUUUUUCUUAUUUUUUUUGACUUGGAUUAAUGACUAAUUUUCUUUGGAUGAAAUUUUUAUUAGAUAUUAUGAGUUAAACUAUUUUUUUAGGAUUGUGUUGGAUAUCAACAUAUAAUCUGAAUAUUUGUUUCUCUUUUAUUUACUAUGAAUGGGUAUAGUUUUGCUUAUUCAAAUUUGUUCUUAAUGUUUUUUAUUGUCUAGCCAAUAAUUAAUUGAUUUGUGAAUCUAAUUGAGACACAACAAAGAGAUUUUAGAUUGGACUAAGAUUUGAAUAGUGUAUGUUCAUGUCACUUAGGUGAUCUAAUUUGCGUUUCGGGUAGACAUACGCCAAUUGGCAUACAUAGCCAAAUUAGAACACUAGCUUAAUGACCUUUUUUAAUUGAUUCCUAUAGACAUAUAGUGACUCAAUUAAGUUAGGUAUUUGUGCAAGUAUCUCGACUGAGACUUGUACGUAGCUUUGGAUUCUAGCUUUAUGCAAGUAUCAAACUUUUAGUUAUAGUAGCUACCUAUAUGGUUAAUACAGUGAUGGCAUCCACUUGAAGAACUCCAGCUACUCUACUAUGUGUAGAUUGCUCCAUUGGCCAUUAGUAGUUGUUCGAUGCCAUCUCUUCUAAUAGGUCAUAUGUGUCAUCAAUGGACUUCACCAUGAGAGCUCCUUCAGCAACAACAUCAAUAGUGGUUCCUACUUGACCACUCAAACCAUUGUAAAAUGUUUGGACUCAAAGCCAUUUUGGAAGGCCAUGAUAAGAACAUCGCCUAAGUAGGUCCUUGUGUCUCUCCUAGGCUUCAUAUAGCGAUUCACCAUCAAAUUGUGUAAACAAAGUAAUAUUAUUUCUCAUAUUUGUUGUCUUUGCCGAAAGAAAGAAUUUAGUAAGGAAUUUCUGAGCAAGGUCAUCCCAGGUUGUAAUUGAACCAAUAGGCAACAAGUUUAACCACACCUUUACUUUGUCUCGCAACAAGAAUGUGAAUAAUCUCAAUCGGAUGGCAUCAUCUGUGACCUUUUUGUGUUUAAAUGUGUAACAUAUCUCUAAGAAAUUAGAUAUGUGAGCAUUUGGGUCAUCAUUUGGUAGACCCCCAAACGAGAUUGAUGUUUGGAUCAUAGGGAUGAUGGUCAGCUUGAUCUCGAAAUUAUUUGCUUGAAUGGUUGGCCUUCUGAUGCUUGAUGGAAUACAUUGGACUAAAGGAACGGCACAGUCCUUCAACAAUUAAUUUUCUUCAACUACCGUCUCUUGGACUUGUCACUCACUUAAUUGUUCAGCCAUUGUAUUGAGGAAACAGAACCAUGUUGACUUUCUCAUCUCAAUCUUCAAAAUGUCCUUUUGAUCUCUAAGUUGCACGAGAUAAUUUCUAAGUUUCUUGCUAUAGGCAUAUAAUGUUGAAAUGCACCUGAAAAAAUCAAAGAAAAGAAAAUCUUGGUUUUAAAAAAAUUUGUUUAAUUUAAUAUCAGUAAAGAUAAAUAGGAAAACAAAUCCCUGACAACGACACCAAAAACUUGAUGUCGGUUCAAUACAUGCAAAAGCACAUGGUUGUACAAGUAAUAUAAAGGUAAGUUCAGUAUUGUUUCCCAUAGAGAUUUGCACCUAUACCUACUAAGUAUUAAAUUUAUAGAAAAGUUUAUUCUAUCCAAGCACUUGAUUAUGAAUUAUUGAUUAAGUUAAAAGUAAUUUGUAAAAUUAACUAAAUGAGGAAGAAUAAAAUUUCACUAAGAAAAAUAUUAAUUCAAAAGCCUAAGAUUAUGGUGUCUCUGAAUAUUUCAUUUGAAUCUAAUCAUUCUCCUUAACUUAGAUUAAUGGGGUACAAGUAGAGCUGUCAACAUAGGUUAGCCCAGCCUAGCCCAGCCCAAGCCCUUGUGGGUUAAGAAAAUAUAGGUUGGGCCAAGUCAACCCAUUUUUUAUAUAGGCCAUCAAAACCUUAACCCAGCCCACCCUUUGCUAGCCCAUGGGCUAGGUUGGGCCAGCCUAUUUCUUUUUUUUUUCAAAAAAAUUUUAUUUUUGUAAUUUUAUUUAAUAAAUUUUCUAUUAAUAAAAUUAUUCUAUGAUUUAAUUCAUAAAUUAAAAUUAUUAAUUUGAUAAGUAAAGAUUAAACACAUUAAAAUGUAUAAAAUAAGCAAUACUAUUGGUAACUAAAUUAUUAAUUUUAAAUAGUUAAAUAUAUAAAAUUAUUAAAUUAAUUAAAAUUAUUAAUUUUUUCUAGGGCCAUAGGGCUGGCUCGUCCCAGCCAACUGAUUUGAUGGGCUAGCUCAUUUAGGCCCAAUUCUAAUAUGGGCCUAAAUUUUCAAACCCAACCCACCCCAUAUUUAAUAAAAAAUGAGCCAAUCUAAUGGGCCAGGCCCAUUAUGACGAUAUAGGUACAAGGCUAUCCUAGAAUCCAUAUUCUAUACAAGUCUUUAUCAAGUUCAUGCGCACAUAGCUUCUCAUAGCUAAUUCCAUAUGUCUAUGUAAAUUAAUUAGAAAAGGUUCAUUCUGUUCGUGUUCUAAUUUGGUUGCCUAAGGUAUUUAGGUAUAUGUCUAUUCUAAAUACUAAACUAUCACCUAACUCCAAAGUGAAUUGAACAUAGGCUAUUCAAAACUAUGAUUUAUUCUAAACUCCCUCUGUCUAGUUACAUUUAGAGACCUAAUGCACUUCAAGUAAGGAUCAUGCAGUGAAAAGCAAUAAGCAUAGGAUUGAAUAAACCAUGCAACAUCCAUUGAUACUAAGCAAAGAGAAAUCAUAUAUUCAAACUACAUAAUGAAGUAAACCAUAAUCCUAGAAAACAAAUUUAGCUCAUUAUCAUUUCUGCAGCAAACAUAACCAUUUCAAAAGAAAAUAUCAUUUCCACAGCAAAAGAACAAGGAAGAAAUGAAGAACUAAAAAGCAUAACAAAGCCUUUUUCAAUUCUCGAUCUUUGGUUGUCUUCAAUUUCUUUCGUUUCUCUUGUUGGAGAGCUUUUUUCUUUUCUCUCAAAAACUAUCAUUUGUUCACUGUAAGUCCUCUCUUAAUCAGUUAUUGAAAAUCACAUAUUUUUAGCCUCCAAAAAACCUUCAAAAUUCAAUUCAUGAUUGGCUGAAAUCACUUAAUCCACAUUAGAGUGCAGCGGUGCUCCACCCUUAUUUCUUUUUAGUCUUCUUCAGUCGGGGACUGCAGCCCUCCUCUUUGGCCGCCCCAACACUAGCCUCUCGAGAGUUUGUAUGGAAAUAGUGAUGGUCCCUUAGGUGCUGCAGCCUUGAGUACUUCUUGGCCGUGGUACUGCUUUUUGUAGACCCUUGGCGUAGAAACUACUUCAGUAACUCAUCUUGAAAUGUGAUUUUCUCCUAUCUCGAGGUUGAUUUAGGAAGAGUGGUAAACAUGAACGUUGUAGGUCUACCUCUUAUCUUUUUUAUUGUCUAAGAAUCACAUUGAUUGAAUCUUUUUAUCUUGAGUUAUGUCCAAAUUACUGCAACAUAUUUAGCUAAAAUUUGAGUUUAGUCUUUAUUGCGUAAUUCAAUACCAUUUAGCUUUAUACACUUUUAUGCACUUGAACACCUACCAAAACAAGGACUAAAUCAAUAUUGGCUUAAGUUGAGAAAUUCAACAUUAAAAUGAAUUGAAAUUAAGUGAAUUUAACUACUUCAACAUAUCUUAAACUAAAUAACCAAAACACAUAAAAACUAACUCAAACUAACAGACGUUCAUAAGGACUUAGCUAAUUCAGCAUCCAAAAUGUGAUUAAAUAACUCUAUAUCAUAGGAUUAUCAAGUACACGAUCGCGGGGCUAAGGAAGUAGCACCAUGACUAUGCAAGAAAGGCCACAACACUACAGCAUCACAAAAAUGAUAAGCAUUAUACAAUUCCUAUGUACACGGCGCUGCGAUGCCAAAAAAGGCAACGCCACAACGCCAAAGAGGGCAAUGCUGCAACAUCACACAAUUUUCCAAAAUUAAAACUCUUGACGAGGAUUUUGAAAAACAGGUUCUUUUGAGCUUAUUUAAUGGACCUUUUUCAAAGGUUUUAAGGGAGGAUGGCAAGCAACUAUUCUAGAGAAAAUGACCCAAAAACAAAGCAAGAAAGCAAGAGAUAUAAAGAGAGAAUCAAGAUCAAAAGCUUCAAUCAUUAGUUUCUUUCUCUACUUUUGUGUUUCUCUUAUUUUCUUUGAUUUGGAUUAAUGCCUAAUUUUCUUUAGAUGAUUUUUUAUUUAGAUAUUAUGAACUAAUUUGUUUUUCUAGGAUUCUGGCAGAUUUUAACAUGUAAUCUGAAUAUUAGUGUCUCUUUUAUUUAUUAUGAAUGGGUAUAGUUUUGCUUAUUCAAAUUUGAUCUUAAUGCUUUUGAUGGUUUCGCCAACAAUUAACUAAUUUAUGAAUCUAAUUGACACUCGAUAGAAAGAUUUUAGAUUUGGCUAAGGUUUGAAUGGUGAAUGUUCACGUAACUUAGAUGAUCUGGUUCAGGAUAAGGGUAGACAUAUGCCAAUUGUCAUAUAUAGCUAAAUUAGAAUACUAACUUAAUAAACCUUAUUUAAUUGAUUGCUAUAGGCAUAUAGCGACCCAAUUAAGUUAGGUAUUUGUGCACGCAUCUAGACAAAGACUUGUGCAUAGCUUUGAAUUCUAGGUUAGCAAAACCAUCUAUGAAUAUAAAUAAUAAGAAAAGCUGAUAUUAGAUAAAGUGUUGAAUGAACCCAUUGUUCUAGGUUUUAGUCUAUUGCUUUUCUCAGGUGAAUUUUUAGUUUCUAUUAAUUCAUUUAGUGUAUAUUUAAUUUAGUUUUAAUUAGUUUUCUAAAAAUUCGAGUUAUUUGAAUAAGAUUAGUUUGUUAUAAUUUUGGUACUUAAUGAAGAUUUAGGAAAAAAUUCUUAUGGGAUACGAUUCAAGACUUACUGUUUAUAUUACUUGUUCGAUAUGUAUAGUUACGUGUGCAACAUCGACAACAAACACAUACUUGUAAGCUUUCAAACAAUGCAUAUUCAGCUAAGAAAAAAAAGAGUGAAAAUACCUUGAGAUGUUAUUUGAAUAUAGGAACAAGCAAGGAAGAAAUAGUUGAAGAGAAGCGCCAAAAAGCUAAGGGAACCUCAAGACACAAAUUAAGAGUCGAUCUUAGAGAAGCUCAAAUCAGUCCAAAGGUAUAAAGAGUGCAAAACUUGAAGAUUAUAAAGCCAUAGUCGACCCUGAAAUGUCUAUAGUCAACCUUGUUCCAAAAAGCUCAAGAAAAUCAAGUUUUGAAUAGACAUAGUUGACCUAGGCCCAAGUAUAGUCGACCCUGACAAGUCAAAAGCAUGAAAAAGUUGACUUUAUGUAGACAUAGUCGACUGUAAAGGAGGCAUAGUCGACAAUAGAAGCUUAGAUUUGCAAACAACACGCUCUCAAAAGAUAAAUCAAAUAGAGGAAGGUUAUACUCGACUAUGGAGCCCUAAUUUAAGAAAUCUGAAUAACAUAGUCAACCCUAGGAGCGUUGUAGUCAACCCUUAAGCUUCAGCAACAAUCAAAUUUGAUUCAAACUUGUGUCUAACAACUCUGAACUUCACCUCAGCUAUAAUAGCCGCAUUUAAGCUAUAUGGAAGCAAGAAAUGACCUGAACCAAAGCUUCAAACCCUAAAGAGACCUUUAAAAGCUUAUCUUCACUCUCUAGCAUCUUUUUAGUCUUCCACAAAGAUUUGAAGAGCCAUAUAUGUGCUUCAUUAAAGUUGAAAUUUCUUCUUUCACUACACACAAGCUUAGAGUCUUAGUAUUCAACUUUUGUAAAUGCAUUUUCUUGCUGAAAUUUGUCUCAAUUGUAAAGGUUCUAGCUUAGCCUUGAAAAGCUAUUUGUGAGGGUUUAUGGUUGAGCCUUUAAAAACCAUUGUUGGUGGGUUAUCGCUUGAUCCCAUUAAAAAGCAAGAAUCUCUCUAUGGAUUGUGCGAGGCUUAUCGCUUGAUCUUGUGAAAAAGCUAUUGUAAGGGUUAUUACUUGAUCCUAUUAAAAAGAAAAAAAUCCCCUUUGUGGAUUGUGUGAGGAUUAUCACUAUGUCUCGUUAAAAAGCAAGAAUCCUUGAUAGUGGAUUAAAAUUCCUUCAUUACAAAGAAAAUGAAUGUAGGCAUCGAAAAAGCCAAACCACUAUAAAUUCUUUGUGUUUUUUAUUAAUUUUCUGUAUUAUUAUUUAUUGCUCAUAUUUUUCUUAGAAAAAUAGUUUUUAAUAUUGAUUUAUUGUUCUACACUUAGGAAAAUAUUUUUCCCUUUACCUUUCAUAGUUAACAUUUAACUUAGGAAAAAUAUUUUAUUUUAGUAUAUUAAUUUUAUGUUUAGCAAAAAUUUUUUUGAAAACUUGUUUUUGAUACUAGAAAAUAUUUUUUGGUGAAAAAGGUUUUAUUUUAAUACUUAGAUUUUCAAAUAAACUUUCAUAUACCAAUUCACCCCCCUCUUAGUAUAUUCCCUUUGUUAGACUUCUACACUAAUAAUUUGUAUCAGAGCUUGGUCUCAAAUUUUGUAGGUCUAACUGCUUUUGAGAUAUCCUUUGUAGAAACUUAAAUCGACAAAAUAAAGGUGACAACAACUAUACUUGGUGAAGGGCAUUCAAUCCAAAGGCCACCCCUUUUUGUAAGUAAGUUCUACCCUUAUUAAAAGAAACUUAUGGAAAUGUUUAUUAAAUUUAUGGAGUUAGAUGUUUGGAAUGUCAUAUCAGAUGGUCCACAUGUUCCAAGUAAGGAGGUAGAUGGCAAAGUAGUCAUUAAGUCUAUGGAAGAAUGGGAUGAUAAAGAUAAGAAAUUAAUUCAAAUAAAUUGCAAAACUUGUAAUACUCUUCUUUGUGUCUUAGGAACUAGUGAGUUUAAUAAAGUGUCUAUGUGUGAAAAUGCAAAACAAAUUUGGGACACCUUAGAAACCACUUAUGAAGGCACCAUCCAAGUCAAGGAAUCCAAGAUUGGAUUACUUACACAUGAUUAUAAGCUUUUUAGGAUAAAAGAGGGUGCGUCAAUUAAUGACAUGCUUGAAAGAUUCAUUAAUAUUGUAGGAGGUUUAAAAAUCUUAGGAAAAGAUUUCCCAAGUGCACAACUUGUAAAGAAAAUCAUUUAUAGCUUACCAAAAUCUAUAAUGAAUUGGUAAGUAUAUUUGAAGACUUAAUUCUCACAUUUCAAGAUCUUAGCUUUAGCCAUAAAGAAGAAAUUUCUAAGCUCAAGAUAAAAAAUGAAUCAUUAAUGGAAGAAAACAUUCAAUUAAAAAUUGAUGUUGAGACACUUCAAAGAAAUUAGGAAAUUAAAGAAUAUUGUUAAAGGAAAAGAAAAAGUUAUUAAAAGUAAAAAGUCUCAUAAAUUUGUCAAUUUUUUAGUGCAUUCAUUAUUAAAAUCAUUCCCAUUGAUAUUCAUUUUAUGAACACAUUUUUUGAGAUUAACCCUGAAGGAUCCAAAGCAAAUUUGCAUACCAUAUUUUAAGUGAAAAUGAGUUUAGUACAUGUGAAACCCAAGGAAGAACAAACUCAAGAUUAAACACAAAAUAAAUAUGGGUAAUAUCUAUUUCCUUACUCUUUUUAAUUUUGAAGAAUGCUUGAUUGAUGAAAUUCUAUUGAUUAUGAAUUAGUUGUUGAGCAUUGAGUGUUGUUCAUGUUGCAUUUGCAUGAAAAUAUAUGAUUGAGUGUUGAUUGUGCAAAAUUGUUGAUUACAAGGAAUGUGAGCAUGGAAUUCAUUUACACUUAAACAUAAAUGAUUUGAUGAGGAUGAUAAGAUUAUGAUUUAAGUAUAACAAGAUUUCACUACUUAAAUUGAUUUCUGAUGAGUGCAUCAAAUAUAUAUAUUUAACGAGAGAUUAAAUACCUAAUUAGUCUAAGUUAGACUAGAUUUAGGAUCAGAUUUAGGUGUUUUUAUUUUUUAUAUUAAUUUAUUUUAAUUUAUGUUUAAAUGUUUAUUUUAAGUUAAUAAUGUUAGUUUUAUGUUAUUUAUAUUUAUUUUAAUGUUUUUGUAGGAGUAGAAUCAAAAAUAAUUUCAAUUGGUGAAGAAGGGUGCAUAAUGGACUAGUGCUCUGUAUGCAUAUGUUCUUGUUGUUCAAGCAUAUCUCCCACCACAGAAGUCCAAAUGACAUGAUUUUUAGACAAUUAGAAAGCUAAGAUGCAAGGCUACAACUUUGAUGUUUACCAUUUUGCCCAGUUCUAAUCGAAAAGUGGUCAAAAUCUUUGUCGAAGCGAAAGUACUACACCAAAUGAAGAAAAUUGAGUAGAACCUUUGAAAGCCAUGGUUCUGGAAAAUGAGAGCCGCAGCUCUCACCGUAUUUUCAAAAAAUAACAAGCUUAUGAAAUUUUGGAAGCAAGGGCUUUUGGAGGCUAUUUAAGGGGCCUUUUUCAGAGGUUUUUGGGAAAGAGGCAUCAAGCAAUUUCUCUAGAGAAAAAGAGACAAAAACAAAGCAAGAAAGCAAGAGAAUUGGAGGGAGAAUCAAGAUCACAAAGCUUCAACUAUUAGUCUUCUCUCUCUACUUUUGUGUUUUUCUUAUUUUCUUUGACUUGGAUUAAUGGCUAAUUUUCUUUGGAUGAAGUUUUUAUUAGAUAUUAUGAACUAAACUAUUUUUCUAGGAUUGCAAUUGAACUCACAUGUAAUCGAAAUUUUUAAUCUCUUUCUUGCUUAUCUUUAAUGGGAUUAGAAAUGUUUAUUCCAAUUUGUUCUUAAUACUUUUAAUUGCCUAGCCACCAAUUAAAUUGAUUUAGGAACAUAAACAAACUUGGGAAAGGGAGUCUAGUGUAAACUAAAAUUGGGAUAGCAUAUAAUCAUAUUAAUUGAUUUGCAUAUGGGAUAAGGAUAUACCUAUAGGCCAUAUGUAGUCAGAUUAAAGCUUGAACUUAAUGAGUAUGUUUUAAUUUCAAUUCACAUAGGAAUAUAGUGUUUUGGUUAAAAUAGAUAUUUUUAUGAGAUGAGUCGGGAGACCCUUAUAAAUAAUUUAGGACUCUAGGUUAGCAAUUCAACCCAUUGAAAUAAGUUAAGGAAGAGAGGUAAAACUUAGAUGAAGUGUGAGGGAUAUUGUAAUCCUAGGCUUGUUUGAUUUGAUAUUUACUCAAGUUAUUAUUAUUGUGAUUUUUCUUGUUGAUUUAAAUUUUAGUUAAUCAAUUAAUUUUGAGUGUUUAGAUAAGAUUAAUUUGUUUUAAUUUUAGUACUUAGUAAAAUUUUAGAUCAAUUCUCUGUGAGAUCGAUACUCUGCUUACUUAUUUACUAUCUAUUCGAUAUAUAUACUUACGUAGUAGAAUUUUAACUGACAAGUUUUUGGCGCCAUUGCUGGGGAAUUGUUUCUAGAAUUUUUACUAAUACUAAUACCAAGCAAAUUUAGUCUUGAUUUAAAUUUUUUUUAUUUUAUUUUCAAGUACUUUUGGUUGAGGUGAUGAAUUAUUGUAACUAUCAAUGGACAUCUAAACAAUUUGUGCCUAGGAGGGUUGCUAGUAAUUAUGAAUUGGCUAUUAGAGCUUUGGCAGCCGAAGUAGAUGCUUUGUCUCAAAAAAUUGACACUUGGGGUGUUAAUGUUUUUCAAUGUCCUUUUGUGGCAUGUGAGCUUUGUGGAGAUAGGCAUUCAAGUGAUUGUUGUCCAACUUAUUAUGAAUCAAUGCAAUUUAAUGGAAACUUCAAUGGGCAGCAAAACAAUUCAUACCCCAAUAAUUACAACUCAAGGUGGAAUCACCAAAACUUUUCUUGAAGAAAUGAUCAGGGUCUUACAUAUUCAUCACAACCUAUUUUCCAUAAUGGUUUUUGGUAGCAAGUUAGAGCUCUUGUCCCUAAAAGGAAGCCUACCUUAGAAGAUGUUCUCAUGCAAUUCAUGACAAAGAAUAAUGCCAUCAUUCAAAGUCAAGGAGAAUCAAUCCGAAAUCUUGAGACUCAAUUAGGCCAACUUGCUAAUUACAUCAACAAUAGGCCUCAAGAAAUUUUACCAAAGAACAUUGAGCCUAAUCCUAGAAGAGAAGAAUCUGGUAAGCAUCUUGAUGAGGUAAAUGGCAAGAAUGUGGUAAAUGAUGAAGAUAAAGUUGAUCAAGGAAAUACUUCUAGCAAUCAAGUUCAAGAUGAAAAAACUAACGAAGAGGAAGAAGUAUCUACACUACCAUAAGUCAAGCCAUAUGUGCCUCUCAUUCCUUUUCUAGAUACAGUUGAUAAGUCACCUAAAAAGGUUGUUGAUAUGGAAAGUCCAAAGAAACUCCUUGAAGUUUGUUUGGUUUAAGAUGCAACAACCAAGGACCAAAAUGAAGAACUUACAAAUGUUACAUAUGUUUUAAAGGCUGCACUAAAAGUGUUGGCUCCAUUAGUUUUUUAUGAUAAUAAAACAUUCUCACUCAUUUAUGUCUAACCAUACUACUUGAGUGUGCAGUAUGAAAAUGUAUGUCAACGAUAAAUUAAUCACUCAAAAGCAAAUAUCAAAACUCAUACAAAUAAGGAGCUACAAUUGAGCCACAAAACAAAAGCCUCUUUGUCAGAUAACUAAGGGAGUUAGUCAACUAAAAUUCAAAAAUGAAGUUAGAUGGGUUCAGAGACAAAAAUGACUUAAUCGACUAAGAAGCAUUGUUAGUCGACUAAGAGCUCACUACCAGAAACUAAGAUCAGAAAUAGAGACGACUUAAUCGACUAAGAAGCAUUGUUAGUUGACUAAGAACUCACUGCCAGAAACUGGAAUCAGAACACAGAGAUGACUUAAUCGACUAAGAAGUAUGUUAGUCGACUAAGAGCACUCUGUCAGAAAAUUUGAAUUUGAAUACUAGAAGACAAAUUAACGGCUAGAAUGACUCCAAACUAUUUUCCAAUGGUCAGAAACUAUCAAACAUCUAUCAGAGUUGAUUUUUCAAGUAUAUAAGGCACUCUCAACGGCUAAGAACAAGAUUAGAUGCUUCCAAGAUCAAAAAAAGCUCAAAAAUAGAAAAAACUCUCUGCAUACUAUCACAGCCCAAUUCUCAAGCCAUGACCGGUGCAAGGGCCCAAUGGGCUUAACCCACUAAGCCCAAGCAAGCCUAUUUAUAUAAUCUUAUACAUUAAUCCACGUUUCGUUAAAAUUCAAAAUUUGUAGUGUUCAAGUAUAGCUCCUUUGAAAACAAUUCAUAAAACCCAAUCAUGCAUUCAUAAUGGCAUCAUUAACCAUUAUAUACAUAUAUAGAUUAACAAAUGAAUCUUAAUAUUUCACAUCAAGUAUUCAUAUAUACAUAAUUAGACCUUGACCGUCAACGUAGUGACUCUGGGCACGGUUGCUAACAUCUAAUGUCAUGGUAAACCUACCGAGCAAUGGAUAGGGAGGAGCACCUCGUCUUAGGAUCUAAUCACCUUUAACUCAGGAAACCUAAAACAUGAAGUUUAAAAACGUGAGUACAAACUCAGUGAGUGAACAUAGGAAGGGAACGAGCAACGUUAAGGAAAGUUUAGAAAUCAUGAUGCACUUAGUUCAAAAAACAAUGCAAUUUAGUUUAACUCUUAUUAAAACCCCUCAUUUCUAACCCUUGGUUGUUCAAUCACUUGAUGAUGAAGGAUCCAUGAACCACAAAAAGUUAAAGAGUGAAAACUUUUGUAGAAUUCAAGCAAGUCAAGCAUAAUAGAUUGAUUCUCGCUGUAGUGAAAAGGCAUUCUCUCUGUAGCGAAAAGGCAUUCUCGCUGAAACGAAAUUCUGGCCAGAUAAAAUCUAAGGGGUUUUCACUACCACAAGGAAGAUCCAUUCAUGCCACAUUGUACAUUAAAUUGAAUACAUUGACAAUAAUCAAGUUUCUCAUUAUUCAUUUCAAUCACAUAUUAUAAUCAUAAACUUUCUAUCACAUAUACAUAUAUAAAAAUGUACACCACCCCACUUCAUUCAUCGUCAUGUGCACUCCCUACUCGCUCAUAGCUAGGUCAUCAUCGGUUUAUGCGCACUCCCUACUCGCACAUAGCCGGGUCAUCAUCGGCUUAUGCGCACUCCCUACUCGCACAUAGCUGGGUCAUCAUCAUCACACAAAGGAGCAUCCAAAGCAUAAUACACAUAUCAAUAUAAUGUGAUAACUCAUGAACUAUUCAUAUUGCACAUUUCACAAGAUAGAAACAUUUCAUCAAGGGCUUGUUCCCUAAGUAUAUUUUUGAAGCAAAAACAAAUAAAACUUUCAAAUGAUUUAUUUAAACAUGUGGACACUCUCCAAAACUUUUUUUUUGAAAUGCAAUUUCACUCACCCAGCAACAACGAGAUAUUAAGUCGCUAUUUGUUCGGAGGUGUCUCUAGCUAUUCCUACUUGCCGAUCGCUUGUUAUUUCCUCCGACGCCCCACUAUAGUGCACUACCUUUACUUUGACACUCCCUAGCAACAAUCCAACUCAACAUAUUUAAUUAUACACGCAUAUGGUAGCACUUAAAUCAAUUAGUCCUUAAUCUAAUUCACAUUUUUCAUCCUCAUCAUUCAUUUAUUAUUACUAUUACCAUUAUUAUUUUAAAACUAACUAAAUCUAUUAUUGAUUUUCUUAUUAUUGAUAUUUACCUUCAUACAUUGUACUUACACUAGUUUCAUAUUAAAUAUUAUUUAACAAUUCUAUAACAUUUAUACCAAAUAAUUCAACUUAUUCUAUAUCAUUCUAUCACACAUUCAAACCAAUGAAUUGGACUAAACCUAAACAACAUACUUCAUAAUGGAUCCAUAAAGAAAAGGCUUGAUUUUAAAUUUUACCUCACUUAGGCUUAGAUGCUAAUCCAAGUAAAAUAUUGUAGCCCACCAGACCUUCCUUGCCAAAUGUAUUGUUGGAGGCCCAAAGGAAUAAUUAUUAUUAUUUAUUUAUUAUUUUUUUCUUUUCUUACACUCACAAGCCAGCCACAAUUUUCUCCUCUCUCUCUCUCUCACUGUCGACAGUAAUUUUCUGCUCCUUUCAACCACAAAAAUCAGCAGCCAAAGCUACUUAUCUCAGCCUCAAAGAUCAGCAGCCAAAGUUGCUUAUUUCACCCUUAAAAUCGGCAACCAAAACCUCAAAAAUCAGCAACCAAAGUUGCUCCUUUCAGCCUUCAAAAUCAGCAGCCAAAGUUGCUCAUCUCACCCUCAAAAUCGACAACUCAAGCCUUUGUUUACUCCCUCACAAACCCACCAGAACCAGCCCUUGUUUUCUCUCUCAAAAUUUGUAGCAAAACUUUUUCUUUUCCCUCUCAAAAUUUGCAACAAAACUCUUUCUUUUUCCCUCUAAAAAAUUGUAGCACAAAGCCUCUCUCUUUCUCCCUUGGCCGGUGGCUUUCCCCUUUCUCUUUUUCUCUCUUUCUUCUUCGGCUUUCCCUUUGCUCUCUCACAACUGACUUCUCUCUUUCUUCUUUUCCUUUCUCCUUUCUUCCAACCAACCUUACUUAUUUUCUUUCUAAGGGCACGAUUUCCUUGCCAAAACAAAGCCAAUUUCCUUAUUAUUGGUGUGGCGGAUAAAAGGAAGGAAAAAAGCAAUGAGUGUGAUGAUGUUUCUAGAAAUAUUUUGGGAUAAGAACAAAAUAAAGUAAAAUAAAAAAGUUGGCUUCAAGUGGCCAGCCAUAUGAAUGAAAAAGAAGAAGUCAAAAAGUGAGGUAAAAGCUUGUUCAUUUAGUCAAGUAAUACAUAGUAAAUUUUUUUGUCUUUUCCUUUCUUUCUCUUUUUUUUUUUUGUACAUAAACCUUACAUUUCCAACAAUCUUACAUAGAUGGCCGGCCAUGAGAAACAAAAAGAAGAGUCAAAGCUUCCUUUGGAAGCUUUGACCAAGCUUUGUAAAAAUAUUACCCUUUUGCCUUUUAAGGUUCUCAUCCUUUUAAUUAAGUCCUCCCAAAAUCUUUAAAUCUCCAAUUUCCUUCUAUUAUCUUCUUUUACAUAUGCACAAACGAAAUAUAAAGUUUGUACCCCAACAUAGUGUCUCCAUAAUAUUUAAAAUAUUUAUUUACCCGCGCUAUCUUUCUUUAAUAAAAACAUGCGGGCCCCAUUAAUAUCAUUUUUCUCCUAAAUUUUCUUGUUCUUCUUCUCCCUCACUUAGAUUUACCAUAUACUCCUCUUUCAUGGAAAAUUUCGACACUGCAUAAAAUAUUAAUAUUUUAAUAUUAUUUUAUUUCAAAAAUUUUCCUCUCGCCUCCUUUUGUCUCCUUGGUACCCAAAAUACCUUAUUAUGCCUCAUUUUACUUCCGAAUCACUUGUUAUCUCACAAAUUAUUUCUCGAUAAAAAUAUUAUUAUUUUAUUAUUAUUUCCUCGCAUGCAGAAUAUUUUAUCCAAAACUAUUUCUUUCAUCUUUCAUCACUUUUAAACAUUAUAAUUAACCUCAAUUGGCAUCCGAUAAGUUUUAUUACUCACUAUAUCAAAGUACAAGAUAUUACACAUACUUUCUACACUUCACUCUAAUCCUUGUAAUAGAGUUAAGCACUUUAUCUUGUACCAUUCAGAUUAGGUUAGUGAUCAUAGGUACUCCUUUAUUUCUGUUCUCGUUGAUUACUUAAAGUGUGCAAGUCACUCUAAGUGGACUGAUCAAGCUUGGGUUAGCUUGAUUGGGUGUAUAGGUUCUAACUCAACCUAAAAAAAGUUAGUUUUAGGUUUUGGUUGAUCCUGGGAAAAACCAUUGUUAAAAGUUGUGGCUGAGCCUAUGAAAAGCCAUUGUAAAACCUCUGUGGAAGCUUGGGAAUUCCACCGUUUAUAGUGAUUUAGUAUGAAAAAUCCUUAGUUGGAAGAUCAAGGUAGUGGAUGUAGGUCUUUGACUAAACCACUAUAAAUCUUUGUGUAUUUUCUGCUCUGUUUUAUUUUUUAUUUUCAUUCUUUCUUAAAUCAUUCCUUCAUCUUGCAUCAAAUUUCUCAUCAUUGACCUUUAAUUUGCCCCAAAUUAGAAACCAAGUUUAGUGAGAGCCAAAAAGUGCUAUUCACCCCCCUCUGACAUAUUUAUUUAAGACCAACAAGUGGUAUUAGAGCCUAUCCCUCUUUCUCAAGGCUUAACAUCCUAAAGGAGAUCCUAAUGGCUCUUCAAAAUUAGUAGUUGUUAAGGAACAGUCCACAAACAGACUACCUCUGUUUAAUGGCUCAAAUUACCCCUAUUGGAGCACUAAAAUGUCAAUCUAUAUAAAGGUAAUAAAUUAUGAGAUGUGGGAUGUCAUCACGGAUGAACCCUUCAUUCCUUCAACCAUAAAUGUAUGACCAGUGAAAUGAUUCCUAAGCCAAAGUCUAAUUGGACUGAAGUUGAAACCAAAAAGGUCUAGACAAAUUUGAAGGCAAUAAACACUUUGCAUUGUGCUUUAACUCCUACUGAGUUUAAUAAAGUGUCAAGCUGUACCACUGCCAAACAAGUGUGGGACAAACUUAGAGUUAUCCAUGAAGGGACUUCACAAGUCAAGGAGUCCAAAAUAGCUCUUCUAACUCAUAAUUAUGAAAUGUUCAAAAUGGAACCUGGUGAGGACAUCACCAGCAUGCUUGAUAGGUUCACAAACAUUACCCAUAAACUUAGUCAGUUAGGCAAGCCGUUUCCUAAACAUGAACUAGUAAAAAGACUUCUUAGAAGCCUCCCUACAACUUGGAAGCCAAAAGUGACUGCCAUUAGAGAAGCUAAGGAUUUAAAUGUCAUCACACUUGAUGAAAUAUGCAAGUUUUUUCUUACUCAUGGGCUAGAGCUGAAAGAAGAAGAAAAAGAAAACAAAAGAAAAGCAAAAGAAAAUAAGACAAGCAUUGCCUUAAAAGCAAGUACUCUUGAAGAAGAAUUGGAUAACUUAUCAUGUGAAAAUGAUGAAGAAUUAGCUAUGGUAGCAAGAAGAUUCAGAAAACUUAUGGGACAAAGAGAUAGGAGGCUGGCUAAGAAAGGUUAUAGAAGAGAACAAAGUUCUUCAUGGAAAAAUAGAAGUAAAAAUGAAUCUAAUAAGAAGGAAGAUGUCAUUUGUUAUGAAUGCAAAAAGCCUGGACACUUCAGAUCAAAAUGCCUCAUGUUGAAGGAGGAAACUCCCAAGAAAAAUAGAAAAUCAAAGAAGGCUAUGGUGAUGGCAACUUGGUCGGAUAGUGAUGUUUCAAGUUCAGAUGUUGAAGAAGAGAAAGUAGAGGAAAAAGCAAACUUAUGUUUGAUGGCCAGAGAUGAUGAAUCUGAGGUAUCUUUUGCUCCUUGUGAUAUUUCAAUUGAUGAAAUUCAAGAAGAAUAUGAAUGCCUCUAUGAUGAAUUUGAAAAGCUGGCAUCAAAAUAUAAAGCUUUAACAAGAAAGACUACAUCUUUUUAAAAUUAUUUGGAAAAGAUAAGACAUGAGUUCAACUAUGUUUUUGAACAAAGAAAUUUUCUUCAAACUGAAUUAGAAUAUUCAAAAACAAAUUUUAAAGUUCUGAAAUUGGAAUUGGAUAACAGAACUGAAGUUUUACAAAAAGCAACUGAUGAAAAUACUGUUCUUAAGAGUUUGAAAAAGGAAACAUCAAGAAGAAACACAUACUUUAAGAAAAAUUAUGAUAGUUUCUCAUCUAGAUGUUAUGUUUGUGAUAAACUUGGUCAUCUAUCUUAUGACUGUUAUAGAAGAAAAAGCACGCAGAAAACAAUAAAGAUUUGGGUUCCAAAAGGAUCCUAUGUAGUAGCUAACCUUCAAGGACCCAUCAAGGCAUGGGUACCGGUUAAGAAAAACUGAAAAUUUGUCUUGUAGGUUGAGCCAAACCGAAAAGACAUAUGUUUAAGAGUUCAAUUGAAAGAGAAGCAACCAUGGUACAUGGAUAGUGGCUGUUCAAGACAUAUGACUGGAAACUAAAUGUUGUUUGCUCAGUUGGAUAAGAAAAAGGGAGGUACUGUAUCUUUUGGAGAUGAUUCAAAAGGCAGAAUUUAUGGUAUAGGAACUGUUGGUAAGAACUCUCAUGCUCAAAUUAAUCAUGUGCUAUUUGUUAAAGGAUUAAAGCACAAUCUCUUAAGCAAGAGUCAACUAUGUGACAAAGGGUUUAACGUAUGUUUUUAUUCACAUAAAUGUGAAGUCAUAGAUAUUAGUACUAACAAAAUUUCAUUCAUAGGAAAAAGAAUAAAAAACAUGUAUGUCAUAUUUCUUGAAGAUCUUGAAUUAAAUUGUGAAACAUGUAUUAUGGCAAAUGAUGGAAAUGAUAGCUAGUUAUGGCAUAAAAGACUUAGACAUGUAAGCAUGCAUACCAUCUCAAAAUUGAUGAGAAAAAAUCUAGUUAUAGGAUUGCUUGAACUUAAAUUUGACAAUGAUCAGAUUUAUGAUGCUUGUCAAUUAGGUAAACAAGUUAGAACUUCCUUCAAAACCAAGAAGAUUAUUUCAACCUUUAGACCUCUUAAAUUGCUGCACAUUGAUUUAUUUAGUCUAAUCAACAUAACUAGUCUAGGAGGCAAAUCAUAUGGUUUUGUGAUAGUUGAUGACUACUCUAGUUACACUUGGGUCUACUUCCUUGCUCAUAAAAAUGAUGCAUUACUUGCAUUUGCAAAUCAUUGUAAGAAGGUUCAAAAUGAAAAAGGAUUUGUCAUUGUUAGUAUUAGAAGUGAUCAUGGAGGUGAGUUUGAAGAAGAUGAUUUUGAAAAUUUUUGUAAUGAAAUGGGGUUAGAUCACAAAUUUUUUGCACCUAGAACACCUCAACAUAAUGGGGUUGUAGAAAGGAAGAUUCAAACUUUAAAAGAAAUGGCUCGAACCAUGCUGUGUGAAAACAAUCUAUCAAAAUAUUUUUGGGCAGAAGCUGUCAAUACAGUAGCCUACAUUCUUAAUAGAGUUUUUAUAAGGGCCAUGAUUUCUAAAACCCUUUAUGAAUUGUACAAAGGUACAAAACCAAACAUUUCUCAAUUUAGAAGUUUUGGCUGCAAAUGUUUUGUAUUGCAUAAUGGAAAAUAUUCUGUUGGAAAGUUUGAUGCUAAGAGUGAUGAGGUAAUAUUUUUAGGAUAAGCAUUAAACUCAAAAGCUUAUAGAGUUUUUAACAAAAGAACUUUAACCGUUGAAGAGUCUAUCCAUGUAGUUUUUUGUGAAUCUAAUGCCUUGCAAAAGGAAGUUCUUGCAGAUGAAAAUGAUGCAGAAGACUUUGAAAGAUAAAUGGAAAAAAUGAGUCUAGAAAACAAGAAAAACAGUGAAGAAAACUCCCUCGGAAGAGAAGCAAAACCUCCAUCCCUAGAAAAUCUGCAAAGGACUGAAAGUCAACAAAAUGAUCUUCUAAAGAGCUAUAAGUAUAUCAAAGAUCAUCCAUAAGAGCAGAUCAUUGGUGAUAUUUCACAAUGAGUCAAAACCAAGAGAGGAAUUAGAGAAACAUGUGAAUUCACAGCUUUUAUCUCACAAAUCGAGCCUAAAAGUUUUGAAAAGGCAGAAAAAGAGAAAAACUGGAUAGUGGCCAUGCAAGAAGAACUUGAACAAUUUGAAAGAAACCGUAUAUUGACACUGGUUUCUAGGCCACUCAAUCACCUAAUUGUUGGCACAAAAUGGGUGUUCAGAAAUAAGGUAGAUGAGCAAGGUAAUGUUAUCAGAAACAAAGCUAGUCUAAUGGCUCAAGGAUAUAACCAAGAAAAAGGCAUUGACUAUGAUGAAACAUUUGCUCCUGUUGCUAGAAUAGAAGCCAUAAGAUUAUGGCUUGCAUUUGCAAGUUUCAUGAACUUCAAAUUAUUUCAAAUGGAUGUGAAAAGUACAUUUUUAAAUGGUCUUAUUCAAGAAGAAGUCUAUGUCAAACAACCCUCUGGAUUUGAGGACUUUGAAAAACCUGAUUAUGUUUUUAAAUUACAUAAGGCCUUAUAUGGAUUAAAACAAGCUCUUAGAGCUUGGUAUGAAAGGUUUUCAAAGUUCUUAGUGAAAAAGGGUAUAUCGGAAGAAGCAUAGAUACAACACUAUUCAUUAAGCAAUAUUUGAAUGAUUUAAUUGUUGUUCAAAUUUAUGUGGAUGAUAUUGUAUUUGGUGCUACUAAUGAGGUUUUGUCCAAGAACUUUACUGAAGAAAUGCAGGGUGAGUUUGAAAUGAGCAUGAUGGGUGAACUGAAAUUCUUUCUUGGUCUUCAAAUCAAAUAAUGCAAGGAUGGUAUCUUUAUCAAUCAAGAAAGAUAUAUUCAAGACAUGCUGAAAAAGUUUGAUGUGAUGAAGCUGAAGCCAAUCAGCUUUCCAAUGAGUCCCUCUACCAGGCUUGAUAAAGAUGAAAAAGAAAAGAGUGUUGAUCAAAAGCUUUAUAGAGGAAGUAAAACAGAUAGAAAAAGUACUAGUGGCACUUGUCAGCUUUUAGGAAACAUGCUUGUAUCAUGGUUAAGUAAGAAACAGAACUCUAUUGCACUUUCAACUGCUGAAGCUGAAUACAUUUCCUUAGGUAGUUGUUAUGCUCAAAUUUUAUGGAUUAAACAACAAUUAAAAGACUUUGGAGUAACCAUGCAUAAUGUACCAAUAUUCUGUGAUAAUACAAAUGCCAUAAACAUCUCAAAGAAUCCAGUUCAGCAUUCUAGGACCAAACAUAUUGAAAUUAGACAUCACCAUAUUAAAGACCAUGUGAUUAAAGGAGACAUUAAGAUUGAGUUUGUUAACACUUUGCAACAAUUAGCUAAUAUAUUCACCAAGCCCCUGAAUGAGGAAAGAUUCUAUGAAAUUAGGAGAAAUCUAGGAAUGGUUAAUGUACAGGAGCUCUAAGAAAAUUUAUGAGCUUUCCAUCCAUAAAACAAUAGGUACUUAGUUGAUUAAGAGAAUCGCUUAACCAACGAAGAGCAUUCUGUUUCUUUUUGUUAAUAGACUUAGUUGAAUAAGAGCAAAACUUAGUUAGUUAAGAAACUAAAAUAAAAAUGAUAAAAUGUAAGGAAAAAGGAUAGGCAUACCGGGUGAAAGAAAAAAGGAAAAAUCGUUGACUAAAUAUAAAAAGAAAGGUAAAUUUUUUAAUUUUGAAAAUAGGGGUAACUGACAGCAUUUAAAAGGGGGAGUUUGAUGGUUUUUAAAGAAGAAAAAACCACUCUUAACUUCUCACCCUCUCCCCUCAUUCCCUCACAUCAGAAGCCACACCUCUCAAAACCAAAACCCUCUUCCUCUCAAACUCUCAAAACCCUAAGUCUAAAACUACUUAAAAUCGAUUACCAAAUCCACAUUACCCAGUAAUAUUUUGGAAAAUAAGAAAGGAAAACGACCCAUGAAGGAGAGUCCACCAUCCAAAAUUCAAAAGAAAAGGAAGAAGGAUGAGUUAGCUUCAAUGACAGAGAAAACUGGGAAGAAACAGAGAAAGAAAGAACAGAAAUCAGAGAAAAAAAAGGAAAAAGAAAAAUCCAUCAGAAAAGGUAAUCCUCCAUCCACCAAAUUUAGAAAUAAAACUCAUGAGGAUAGAUUUAGGAAGAUAAAGAAUGCACCCAAUUCAUGUGGGAAAUAUAUUGACUAAGACAGCUUUAAUAAGGUUCUAGAAAUUAAAGAGGGUUCAUCGGAUUAUUUUGAAGAGAUAAAAUUCAAGAAAUUGAGCAUUUCUAAUAACAGAACCUAUAGUGCUAGCCUUGUGAAGGAAUUCUAUGCUAGCAUUGCACUAGAUGAAAAUGAACUUAAAGAACUUGAGGAUUUUAUUAAUGAUGGCCUAAACGUGUUCCUGAAUGGAAAGGAGUUUGUGGUCACUACCACAGAUUUGGGAAGUCUGCUCAAAGUUGAGUAUGAAAAGAGAGAAUAUGAAAUCCCUAAAGAUUAUGAUCCCUCAUCUCUAUAGGAAAUAAUCACAAGGAAAAAGGAAAGAUAUUCAUCCAAAAGUUAUGCUAGUUUCAUUAAAAGCCCUCAAAUUAGGAUCCUACAUUAUUUCAUUGCUUCAACAAUUCAUGGAAGAAGCAAUAGCUUUAACUACGUAAGCCUUCAAGACAUGUGGCUGAUGGAGCAUGCCUUUAGUGCUACUCCCUUCAAUUUAGGUAGAUUCAUGAUAGAAAAAAUGAAAGGAACUUCUCAAGUUGACAAGGUGAAUAUGCUUUAUGGAAACAUAAUCACCUCUUUGGUGAAGAAAAAGGGGAUAUGGAGCUCCAGAUAUGAAAUGAACCAAGUUAAGAGCAGGGAUCAAGCAAUCUAUCUAGGAAGUUUGCCAAAGAUAGGGUACAAGCUAGAAAGAGAAAAGUUUGCCAAAACCCCCAAAGAUACUCCAAGGGAUAAGCAUGUCACCCUUGCUCAGACAGAGGCAACUCCCUUUCAGAUUUCAAAUGAAAUGAUUCUGAAUUUACUUAUGAGAAUUGAUGGGAAACUCACUGAUCAGUCUGAAAGAAUUCAAAAAAUUGAAGAUACGUUUUCAACACCAAGUCCAGCACCAGUAAGACAAGCUACUGAAAGUCCUACUUUCCAAGCUGAAGGUGAUGAACCAAAAUCUACUGCAGCAAGAAAAGCACCCACUCAUGAACCUGAAAUUGAAAAGGAAGGCAGUGAUAACAGAAAAGUGGUAAGAUCGUUUAAUGACAAUUCUCCACUGCAUGAUAAGGCACAAACAGAUAAACCAUCCCCCAUAAAUUCUGAAGAAAUUCUUAUCAUGGAUAUAUUUCACCCCAUGGUAAGGGAAGAAGAAGCUGAAAAAGAAGCAACCAAUAGUAGAGCAGAGAAACCAACAUCUACAAGAGCUUCCCCUGAAUCAGUCCACACCACAAAAAGUGGACCUACUGAUAAAGAAAAAAAAAAGCAGCUGAGUUUACCCAAGAUAAACCCAAACAUAUUGGCAAAGGCAAAAAGACUAUGGCAACAAAAACUAAGUUCCCUAAGAGGAGAAUGUCCUUCAAAUUAGCUAAAAAAGCUAAACCUUCAGUCAAGUCUUCUAUUUAGGAUCCACUCUAAGUUCCAGACACAUCUUCUCUUGAUUCCUCCCCAUAAAAAUCCUCACUUAUGCGAUCUUUUAAACCCCUCAAUGUCUACUUUGGCACUGAUGAGUCCACCCCCUUUGACUCUUCCUAAACUAGUAGACCACCCCUGUUUUGCUAAUGACAAAAAAGGGGAGAAAUAGAAAGCAAAGGGGGAGAUAAAAAGUAGAAGAAAUUUAAGUAAAAAAUAGAAGUAAUUUAAGGGUAAUUUAGGAAUCUAAAUCUUAUUUUGAUGAAACUGGGUUGUUUAUGACACUAUGUUAUUUUGGAUUGCUAAUUGUUAAGAAUUGGAUACUGAUAACGUAUUUCUGUUAUGCUUUUAUGAUUAUUUUUGUUGGAUUGUGAAUGGCAAAUGUUUUUAUAAUGAAUAUGGAUGCCGAUUAUGCUUUCAUGAUAUUUCUGUUGGAUUGUUAAUGGCAUUUGCUUUUGAAAUGGAUAUGAUUUGUUGAAAAUAUGCUGAUGACAAUUAGUCACCUAUUGCUAAUUGUUCUAUAAGCCUGUAUGAAGAUAUUCUGCCAAAUGUUUGAAUUUACACCUGUUCUUUUCUUUAAGAAAUUAAUAAAAACUUGCUCACUUGUUAAGUUGGAUAAUAAAUAACCUCAAAAGAUCAUGCAUACAUUAAGGGGGAGCCCACACUCAAGGGGAGAAAUCCUUAGCUGGUACAAAACAAAAAGAACUAAUAGACACUGUGCUUUUAAUCAAGGAAUGUUUUGUCAUCAUCAAAAAGGGGGAGAUUGUUGGCUCCAUUAGUUUUUGAUGAUAAUAAAACAUUCCCACUCAUUUAUGUCUAACCAUACUACUUGAGUGUUCAAGAUGAAAAUGUAUGUCAAUGAUAAAUUAAUCACUCAAAAGUAAAUAUCAAAACUCAUAAGAAUAAGGAGCUACAAUUAAGCUAAAAAACAAAAGCCUCUUAGUCGAAUAACUAAAGGAGUUAGUCAACUAAAAUUCAAAAAUGAAGUUGGUUGGGUUCAGAGACAAAGACGACUUAAUCGACUAAGAAGCAUUGUUAGUCGACUAAGAACUCGCUAUUAGAAACUAGGAUUGGAAACAAAGAUGACUUAAUCGACUAAGAAGCAUUGCUAGUCUACUAAGAGCUCACUGCCAGAAACUGGGAUCAGAAGACAGAGAAGGCUUAAUCGACUAAGAAGCAUGUUAGUCGACUAAGAGCACUCUGUUAGAAAAUUUGAAUUUGAAUGCUAGAAGACAGACUAACAGCUAGAACUGACUCCAAACUAUUUUUCAACGGUCAGAAACUGUCAAACAUCCAUCAGAGUUAGUUUUUCAAGUAUAUAAGGCACUCCCAAUGGCUAACAACAAGAUUAGAUGCAUCCAAGAUCAAAAAAAGCUCAAAAAUAGUAAAAACUCUCUAUGUACUUUCUACACUUCACUCCAAUCCUUGUAAUAGAGUUAAGCACUUCAUCUUGUACCAUUUAGAUCAAGUUAGUGAUCAUAGGUACUCUUUUAUUUCUGUUCUCUUUGAUUACUUAGAGUGAGCGAGUCACUCUAAGUGGAUUGAUCAAGCUUGGGUUAGCUUGAUUGGGUGUAUAGGUUCUAACUCAGCCUAAGAAAAGUUAGUUUUGGGCUUUAGUUGAUCCCUUGAAAAACCAUUGUUAAAGGUUGUGGCUGAGCUUGCGAAAAGCCAUUGUAAAAGCUUGGUGGAAGCUUGGGAAUUCCAUCGUUUAUAGUGUUUGGUUUAGAAAAUCCUUGGUUGAAAGAUCAAGGUAGUGGAUGUAAGUCUUUGACUGAACCACUAUAAAUCUUUGUGUAUUAUCUACUCCAUUUUAUUUUUCAUUUUCAUUCUUUCUUAAAUCAUUCCUUCAUCUUACAUCAAAUUUCUCAUCAUUAACCUCCAAUUUGCCCCCAAUUAGAAAUCAAGUUUAGUGAAAGCCAAAAAGUUCUAUUCACCCCCCCUCUAGCACAUUUAUUUGGGACCAGUAAAAAGUGCAUUAUCCAAGAAGAACUCAAUUUGAGAAGUUAAAAAAAAUAAAAAUAAAAAACUCAAUUUCAGAAGUUGGGUAAAAGUCAACCUAUUCCACCAUCUUGGGUUGAGCAAGCACCAAAUCUUGAGUUAAAGCCAUUACAACCUCAUCUUAGGAGGAGACUAGUUUCACACCUCAAUCUUUUUCCAUGCAAACUCUAACCUCCUUAAAGGGUGAAUGAAGACCUCAACCAAAGUCAAGCUGGUGACUAUAAAGAAGCGCUUCUUAGGAGGCAACCCAAGCUAUAUCUUUUUAGAUUUAGUUGUUAUUUUAGUUACUUUUUGUUUUCUAUGUAAAUAAGUAGUUAUAACCUCUUCCUAGCUUGUUUUGUUGUGUAUGUAGAUUUGGAAAGCAUGAAGAUGAAGAGAAAGAAAAUUAGAGCUUUCAAAGCACUGCCACCAUUGAUAAAGGAGUUUAAUUUCCUUUUAUCUUUUUUGUAGCUUUUCACAUUGAGGAGAAUGUGCAAUUUAAGUUUGGGGAAGGGUUUUAUUGUUAUUAGUUUUUGUGAUGUUUUAGGUUAGUUUAUUUUUGUAAUUUUUUUUUUUGUUUUCAGGAUUUAUUUUAGGAAUACUUGAGAUGAAAAUUGCCAAUGCCAUGAUAUUACCAAUCCUAGGAUGAUAUUUUGAUUAUCUUGCUAAUUUGAUUAUUGGUUUGAUAUAGACAUGAAUUGAGUGAUUGUGAUAUUCUUUUGUUAGUUUCAUUAUAGAAUGUGAUUUCCAAUAAUUUGUACACUAAAUCUUUUACUUAUAAUUAUCAUGUGAUUUAGAGAAAGUUUAUGUUGAUAAAAAGUAUAGUGAAGUCAAGGAUUCUAGAAUUUGUUUGAUUCUUUCUUGAGGCGAAAUUCUGGAUAACACUUAGGAUGGGACAUGAUUUAGGCCAUCUUUGGAUCGUUUGAUCCUCUCAAGCUAACCUUGUUAAACUUUUAUCCCUAGUAUACCCCUUUGAGCCUAAUUUCCCUUUUCUUUGUUUAACCACAUGAUAAUAACCUUAGCCUUAAAACAAAAUUCCAAUUUUGCAACCUUCACUCCUAAGCAUGUAUAUUGUUUUAUGGAAUAUAGAUUGAGUUAAAUGUUGAAAAAGGUAGAAAGGUGGAGUUACUAAAAAAAAUUCAAAAAUUAUUAGAAUUCAACCCACUACCUACAACAACAAAAAAAGAAAUAAGUUUAGGGGUGUGGAAUUGUGAUAACAAAAAAAAAGAGAAAAAGAAGAAGUGUUGAACAAAAAGAAAAAAGUUGAUGAAAAUGGUGUACUUGGUCAAGGAAAACAAAGUUCUAUAGGUCCUAAAAUAAUUAUAUGCUUAGGGUGAUAUUGAGUCACAUUAUAUCCUUUAUCAUACCUAGACCCUAACCUUACAUUAUGAGCUUAAUAAAAACCUAUUGAUAUUUGCAUAAGUGUUAAUCUACAUUAGUGGAGAGAGAGAUGAAAAGCAAACAUACAAAAUUCUAGCACUUAGCUAAAUUUUGCAUUGGCAUAAUCUUAUCUAGAUUGUAUGAUAUUCUUUGUAAAAAGAUCAUUCAAACACACAUAAAUAUUGUGAAAUCCAUUUGAGAAUGAACCUGCAGUUGAAUUGAGCAUGAAUUUAAUGAUUAUCUAUGUUUUACUUUGAGUUAAUAUUGUGGGAUAGUUUUUGAGAAAUAAAAAAAUUGGGGAAUUCAUGCUUUGGUGAAUUGCAUCUCUAGCUAGUUGUUUUGUUUUUAGCUCUUCCCUUUUGCUUGGAGUCAAACAAAGAUUCAAGUUUAGGGAUAUUUUAUGAGUGCAUCAAAUACAUAUAUUUAAUGGGAGAUUAAAUACCUAAUUAGUCUAAAUUAGACUAGAUUUAGGAUCAGAUUUAGUUGUUUUUAUUUAUUUUAUUAGUUUUGUUUAAUUUAUAUUUAAAUGUUUAUUUUAAGUUAAUUGUCACGACCCAAUUUUCUGGGCCAUGAUCGGCGCAUGAGCUCAAUGAGCAUAGCUCACUAAGCCCAAGCAAGCCUAUCCAUUUACCUUUGCUUAACAAAUUUAUCAUACCAUGCAUACACACACACCUUUCCCAGGUGUGAACAUAGCCAAAACACAAUGGAUUUAUCGAUAAUAAUAUACAUGCACUAUGCCAGUCAUGUAUUUAGCAAUUUACAUUGCAUACACAUAUUCACAUUGUUAGAUUGUAUUCACAAUACAAAAGGACCCAUGACUUCCAGCGGAGACAUUUACAAUAAAAGGGAUUACUAUCGAAUGUCAGACACAUACCCAGGAGAUGCACUACAGGGACUCCUCGAUCUAGGGUCCUACAGUCACCUGAUCUAAAAAUAUGAAUUUUUAUAAAACGUGAGUACAAUACUCAGUGAGUGAAUAUUAGAAGGGAACAAGCAAUCUCAACUAGGAAAUUUGACAAUCAUGAUGCACGGUUGAAAAUAAGGCCAUUUUCAUCUAACUACUAUUCCAAACCCUUUUUCCCUUAAAACAAGCCAUCCUGCUAAAACAACAAUAGCAACAUGUAACACAUGUAAACUUCCAAAUUCAACAAAACAAACGCUUACAUAUUUGCAUUUACAACCAUAUACCCAUCAUCAACAUGCACACCAUCCCAUCAUCAUCAUCUCAUAUGCAACGGCUUAUGCGCAUAUAGUCGGGUUAGCAACGGCUUAUGUGCACUCCCACUCACACAUAGCCGGGUCAGCAACGGCUUAUGUGCACUCCUACUCGCACAUAGCCAGGUCAGCAACGGCUUAUGUACACUCCUACUCGCACAUAGCCGGGUCCAAAUCAACAUGCAAAGAAGCAUCCAAUGCAUAUCAUGUAUUUUGUGAUAACACAUAAACCAUUGUAUAGCACAUUUUCACAAUAUAAAAUCAUUGUACUAAAAGCUUGUUCCCAAGGUACAUUUUCUAAGACAAGUUGAAUAGAAUCUUUCAUAUUCCCCAAAACAAGUUUGAAAUGUAAGUCCACUCACCGGUAUCGAAAAUUUGGAUUCCGGGUGCACUCGGAUUAAUAGCCCUCAGGUGCAAUUCCUUUGUCUUUUCCGGACAUCUCACUACCUUGACAAAUAACAAAGUUGAGGAAUUUACUAUAUUGUCCCUAAAUUGAUAUAAACUAAUUUAAAUUACUAAUACUUGAUACGUAAAUGCAAACAUACGUCCGAUUACCACUUAAUCGCGGUAUCGAUUAAAUUCGACCGAUCACUCGAUUAAUUAGCGAUUAUGUCCAAAUCACCUCCAAAUUAAUCCAUUUCUCCUAUAAUACCUUAGUUUACCACAUACCAUUUAAAUUAAGCCAAAUUCAGCAUUAGAACCCUCACAGUUCCUUAUAGAAAAAUUCGGUCAUUUGGUGCACUAGCUCCGAAAUUUUUCUACAUAACCGUUUCACCUUAAUUCAUCAUAUUUCCAAGCCAUUUUCCUUGAAAUAAAAACAAUCCCCCAUUGAUAUUCAGCCCUCAUGGUUCGACCAACAAGGAACCUUAGAGAAAUUAAAUAUUUCUUUUGUGUUUUUUAUUCAUAACCAUGCUUAAAUAUCCCUAAACACUAACAUUGACUAAAAUCAAAUUAUUCCAACAACUAUUCCUCUUCCAUACCCAUUUUUCAGAAUUGAAUUCAUCAUGAUAACUCAAUAUUCAACCAUGGAAAUCAAGAACAAAAGCAUGGGUAAGCUAGGUAUCAAGGAGAAUUCAAGAAAUUUUAACUUACCUAGCUUGUUUCCUUGAUUUCUUCACUUUUUCUUUGAAUUUCCACCUAGAUUUUCUUGUUUUUCCCUUUGUUCUUCCUUUUUUCUUGUUGCUGGUUGCCUAGGCCGAAUAUGGUGAGAGAGUUGGGGAUUUAAUGGGCUGAUUUCUAUAGAAAAUAAUAAAAUAAUCAAGCAUGGCACAUGUCACAUGCUUAUUGGCCCAAUUUUUAACUUUUUGACUUUUUCUUCUUAAUUUUCCAUCGUAAAUAUUCUGGUAUUUAUCCAAUCCUACCACAUUUAAAAUCCCUUGGUCUUGACAAGUGCUGGGGCCAAAAAUUUACCGAUUUGCCCUCGAGACGAAAAAAUUACGAUUUUACCCCUAUACUCUGAAAUGUACCGGAAUCACAUUAUUUCUACUUUUCAACCUCAAAUAACACUAAUAUUGAUCAAUAUUAACCAAAUGGGGCAAAAAUCAUUUUAUAAAAUUUUCGUUUAGUCCUCUAGUGGUAAAAUUACCAUUUUACCCUUGUGCUCCAAAAAUAUCGGGAAUCACAAUUUUUCACUGCUAAACAUCAUUUUAUACUCCAAUAAUCAUAAUUAUAUCUCAUAUAAUUAUUCUUGGUCAGAUGUGAUCAAAUCUUGACUAGAAAUCUCCAUUUAAUCAUCAUAUGGUAAAAUGACCGUUUUGUCCCUAAUAGGUCAAUUUUCCUGAUGGACUCCAAACUGGACCUUGAACUCCGAAUCAUUAUUCUAAGCCAUUCUGUGGGUUUCAAAAUUUUCAAUUUCCUCUUAAAAUUUUUAUUUGAACUAGUUCAAGGCUUGAUUUAACUUAGUUGUACCACUAGGUACAAUAUCAUCUUUUAAUCGAGCUUGAUAAAGUCUCACAUUAAUAAUGUUAGUUUUAUGUUAUUUAUAUUUAUUUUUAUGUUUUUGUAAGAGUAGGAUCAAAAAUAAUUUCAAUUGGUGAAGAAGGGUGCAUAAUGGACUAGUGGUCUGUUUGCAUAUGUUUUGGUUUUUCAAGUAUAUCUCCCACCACAGAAAUUCAAAUGACAUGAUUUUUAGACCAUUAAAAAGCUAAGAGCAGGGCUACAACUUUGAUGUUUACCACUUUACCCAGUUCUGAUCAGGAGGUGGUCAAUAUCUUUGUCGAAGUGAAAGUACUGCACCAGAAGAACAAAAUUGAGCAGAACCUUUGAGAGCCGUGGCUCUAGAAAAUGAGAGUUGCGGCGCUCACCGUAUUUUCCAAAACAACAAGCUUACGAAAUUUUGGAAGCUAGGGCUUUUAGAGGCUAUUUAAGGGGCCUUUUUCAGAGGUUUUUGGGGAGGAUACAGCAAGCAAUUUCUCUAGAGAAAAAGAGCCAAAAACAAAGCAAGAAAACAAGAGAAUUUGAGGGAGAAUCAAGAUCACAAAGCUUCAACUAUUAUUUUUCUCUCUUUACUUUUGUGUUUUUCUUAUUUUCUUAAGCUUGGAUUAAUGGCUAAUUUUCUUUGGAUGAAGUUUUUAUUAGAUAUUAUGAACUAAACUAUAUUUCUAAGAUUGCAAUUGAACUCACAUGUAAUCGAAAUUUUUAAUCUCUUUCUUGCUUAUCUUUCAUGGGAUUAGAAUUGUUUAUUCCAAUUUAUUCUUAAUGCUUUUAAUUGUGUGGCCACCAAUUAAAUUGAUUUAGGAACAUAAACAAACUUGGGAAAGGGAGUUUAGUGUAAACUAAAAUUGGGAUAGCAUAUGAUCAUAUUAAUUGAUUUACGUACAGCAUAGGGAUAUACCUAUAGGCCAUAUGUAGCCAAAUUAAAGCCUGAACUUAAUGAGUCUGUUUUAAUUUCAAUUCACAUAGGAAUAUAGUAUUUUGGUAAAAAUAGAUAUUUUUAUAAGAUGAGUUGGGAGACCCUUAUAAAUAAUUUAGGACUCUAGGUUAGUAAUUCAACCCAUUGAAAUAAAUUAAGGAAGAGAGGUAAGAUUUAGAUGAAGUGUGAGGGAUAUUAUAAUCCUAGGCUUAUUUGAUUUGAUAUUUACUCAUGUUAUUGUUAUUGUGAUUUUUCUUGUUGAUUUAAAUUUUAGUUAAUUAGUUUUAGUUAAUCAAUUAAUUUUGAGUGUUUGGAUAAGAUUAAUUUGUUCUAAUUUUAGUACUUAGAAAAAUUUUAGUUCAAUUCUCUGUGGGAUUGAUACUCUGCUUGCUUAUAUACUAUCUAUUCGAUACGUAUACUUGUGUAGUAGAAUUUUAACUUACAAUUUCAUUAAUAUGAGCUUAUAGGAGAAAAUCAUUUGCCAUGCUUGAGCUUAUAUUGAUAUAUAGCUUGAACAAGCUUGUCACAUGUUGAAAAUGCUAUUAUGACUUGUUCUUGAUGAAAAUGAAUGCAUGAGCAAAUGCUUGAAUUUAUUGAUUUUAUUGUUACUCAUGUGCUUGCAUAAAUAACAUUAUUUCUUGAGAAUAAAAUGUGCAUAUGGUCAUAUUGAUUAAAUCAUCUUGAGGAAUUGAAAUGUUAAAAUGCUAGGUCUAGAAUCAAUUUUUAGAAUAUACUUUGUUAUUGUACUUAAUUGAUUAUUUCAAAAUUGAUUUCUUGAUUUUGUAUAUGGAAUUGGUUAUGAUGAACACAUUGAACUUCAUGAAAAAUAUUUGUAGUUCAUCUAUCAUUUAGGUCAAGUUACAUGCUUACAUGAUAUCUUAUCUUGCUUGACCUUAAGAUUUGAGGUCUAUAACUUGAUUUGAUUAUGCUCUUGAAUGAGAAAUUAAAUUGUCAAGUUAAAUCAUGAUAUAUUAUGUUGAAAUAGUUGAAAAAUCUUUUGAAUGUGCUUUUAACUAUUAACUAUGUCCUUUAUGAGCUUACAUGAUUACAUGCUCCAAAGACUUGUGUUCAUCCAACAUUAGUUUAUAGGCUAUCAUAAAUCACUUGGUUUAAGAUGAAAAAUAGCCUACAGCUUGAGUUAGCAAUGAAUAUCCAAUGAGCUUUAAUUGGACGUUUAUUUCUUAAAUCUUAACAAUUGGUAUUCAUUGAUGUUUGGAUGCUUACAUUAGAUAUAUUCAUGAGUUGAAUGUUUUAUUUCCAAUAUAUCAUAACACUUGGUAGCACUUAUGAAUUAUGAAACAUUGAGAAAUAACAUGUAUCUUGAACUUUAUUGAUCAUCCUUUUGCAUAUGCCCAUGUUUUUUAUUGAAAUCAUGCAUGCAUUUCAUGGAACAAAUUGGAAUCAUGAUUAGUGAAGAUAGCCAAAACUCUUUCGUAAGCAUGCUUGUGCUUGCUUGAUCAUAAUAUUUUCUUAUAUAUGAUUACAAGGAAAAAUGCCUUGGCAAUGCUUUAUUGGUACUGAUAUUGUCUCGAUGAGAAAACUUCUCCUUAAUUUGAUAAUUUUAUACAUAAUUAAGAGAACUCUUAUUGAAAUCCUUGCUUGAAAAUAUUAUGGAAAAGAGAUUUCCAAAAAGGCUAAAUGAUGAUAUUUUUAUGAUAAUAUGACAUUAUUGAGGAAAUUCUCUUAAAUUGUCAUUCUUCUAUAAUUUAGAGAAUUUCGUUAAAAAUGUUUGAUUGAUAGUGCUUGUACGAUGCAUGAUGAAAAUUGAAAAAAGGUGCUUAACGCAAAAUGAUAUCUUGGACAUGCAUUGGAACUAAUGUGGAUAAACUUCUUGAAAUUAUAAGUUUUUAAAGCAUGUAUUUAAUAUUUAUUUAAAUACUCAUGCUUUACCAGUUCCUUGAAUAUACAAGUAUGAGAUUGACAUGUUGAAUAUCUAUUGUAAUGCUUAUCUAUCAUAUACUCAUGAUUUAUCCCCAUAUUUGUCUCAUGAUCCAUUUAAGGGAAGGUAAGAUUAUGCUUUAAUAUGAUUAACCAUUUAAUCCAUUCUCCUUGUUGGAAUUGAUUUAGUGAAUGCUUAAGGGGGAGAUGGCCAUUGAAAUUGUCAUAUGAUUCUUAAGCACUUGAAAUCUUUAACAAUGACCUUGGUAAAAUCUGUUCAUCUCUAUUGGUAAUGUCUCUUAAACACCAUCUUAAAUUUGUGCUAAAUGAUGACUUAUAUUUGUGCUUGAAUAAUGAUUGCUAUGUUUCUUACUAUACUAGUUUGCAUGUAAAUUUGUGAAUUAAUUUGCAUGAUUGGUUCUGUAUUCAAACUGUUUGUUAUUAGAUAAUUGCAUGAUUACUUCAUUAUUUAGUUGAAUAAAUAUGUAAAUACUAGCAUAUAAAGUCGUACACAUAUCACUAAAUCCUGUUCAGAUUAUAUGUAGACUUAUAAAUGCUUUAUAUUUUACUAUGCUUGUCUACAUAUAUACAUAUCCAACUUGAACUUAAUAGAUAAAAUGUCCACACCUGAUAGGUUUGGCUAUAGACAACAUGCUCAGAAUACGCAGCAGAAAGAAAAUUAUAACUCUAUGACUAAACAACCAAAACCUGCCUCCACCCAUAGAUCACUUUAAUGAUAUUUAACACAUAAAAGCACAAAAUAAAUUAUUAUUCAGAAAGUUACCUUGCCAAGUAAUUUUGUAAUCACAAUGGCACUUCUUGAGGCAAUCCUGCGAACACCACAAGGAGAAAAAACCCUAGCCAAUCAAGUGCUUGGCCUCUAACGGUAAUACACACGAUUGCACUUGAACCUUUAACGAAUGAGGGAGUUUUUAACUAUACUUUAUGCUAGCAAAGAGGACAAUAAUAGUCAUUUUCUUCUUUUUCAUAAUCUUAGCCAACCUUUCUCAAAAAUUGCUUCAUAAGCAAUUUUUUCUUUCACACAAAGGGAAUGGUGGCAAAAAAAGAAAACGUUUUUCUUUUUCUAACAAAAACUAAGUUUUCUUCAAUUGUGAAAAACUCUCAUAUGAAAAAUAGUUAAAAGGUGACUUAUAUAAUUAGGUUAAAAUAACUUCAAUUUUACAAUUAAGCCCUCAAUAUUAUAACACAUUAUAAUAUUAGGCCCAUUACUUAAUUAAACUAUUUUAAUUAAGUCCUGGGAAAUUAAAAUCAAAAUUAAUUUCCUUUAUAUUUUUCAAUCAAGGACUUAUAAUUAUAACUAUUUAUAAUUAUAUCUAAAACUUAAUUAAACUCUUUUAAUUAAGUUUAUAGAAGUUAAUUACCUAGCAUGUGAUUUAAAUCUAACUUAAAUCAUCACUCUCCCAAUUUAAUUCAAAUGCAAUUAUUGUGUGUGGCCCAUUAGGUUCCCAACAUGUUGGCAAUGGAAUUGAUUAAUGACUUAAUUGAUUAAUACAAAUUUCAAUCAAUUAAUUUAUGAUCAAUUCCAUAGACCAAGAUUGGCAUCUAGCAAUGCAUCAUGGCCACCCAAUUGUUAAGAGAGUCAAAGGGUUCUUUGACAACCUUUUAAUGUAUAGUCUAUCAGUGUAAUUCAUUCCUUCAUCAUAUAUAUCAAAGAUGAUAAGAGCUUAGUACAAUAUCUACUCUUAUUGACCUCCAUAUUUGUUCCUGCAAUUAUAGCAUUAGCUUUAUAGAAAGUUAUGAAACCUUUUCAUAAUCUCCAUGUCGCCUUGGCCAAGGAUUUCAAUAAGCUAAUGUUAACCAAGAAUUGAUAAGAUAUGUCCUCUAAAACACUUAAGGUGAUGAUUUCUAUCUUGACCACUCAUUUGCCUUCACAUGCUUCAUACUAUACCCAAAAGCAUCUUGUUUUGGCAUCCUUAGUUAGGCACCUAUAGAAAUGAAUACAAAGCAUAGCACUCCACAUAUAAAACAACCUGAUGUCUCAAGUCUAGGGAGUAUUUACACAACUGACACAUGAGAAGUGUUGGAUAAACACUGAAAUGUAUUACCAAAUGCACUUCUCAUAGCAGGUCAUGUUCAGUGAACUUGCUCUCCAAGGAAAGCACUUAUAUUCUAGUUUCAAGUAUCUUUAUACUUCAAUCUAUAAGAUUGAUUGCUUACUUCCAAAGUAAGGAACAUAGAAUAUACCAGUCUCUAAGCAUCAUUGAUGUCUAAUCUCUAUGAUACAUUGACUAGGAACAUUUUGAGAUUAUGCUUGGAUGCAUAAGGAUCUCAUAACUGCAACCCAUUUCAGUUCCUUUGUAUGGCAUAUUAAUCUCAUGGACUUCAUCCAAUUAGACUUAUAACUCAUUAUAAUUGAUGUCUUAUUGAUAAAGGAAAACCUCUAAUCAUUCAACAUGAAUAAUACUAUUGCAUGAUUAGAAUCAAGCUUUAACCAAUCCCAAUUGGCUACAGGGCUCAUCCUAACCACACCUUGCUUAUAAAUAUACAUCUAUAUGUGGCAUUCUUGGUUGAUUGAUUGAUGAUAUACUCCAUAUUAACUUCCUUGAAAUAUAUGAAAUGGAGAUAUAUCUUGAUUUGCUUAUCAUAUAUUUAUAUAUUCCAUAAUACCUUGAUUGAAUAUCUUACAUGGAAAUACCUCUUGGUUGAAAAUAUCUAUAUGUGCCUUGAUUGCAAUGGUUGAAUAUAUUUCUUGAUUUCUUUGACUGAAUAUUUUGCAUGGAAAUAUAUCUCAAUGUUUUGACCUUGAUGGUUAGAGAUCAUUAUUGAACUUAAUGCACAUUUAUACUUUAUGAUUAUCACUAACAAUUGUUUCUAGUGUUUAAGUGUUUUAAGCUCACACUUCUUAACCUUUUUGAUAUAAUAAAAAGGGGGAGAAGGUUUAUGAGCACAUUGAAAUGCUCUUAUGUUAGCUAAAUUAGUCUUGAAAACAUUUUUGAACUUCAUGCAUAAAUUAAGGUGGAGAAUUUUCAAAAUUCAUAAUCAUUUCUUAUACCCUUCUUAUUUGCACUUAAAUGUUUUCACCAAGGGUAUAAAGGCUAAUUAAGUUAGGGGGAGGUUUCAAGAAAUUUCAAAUGCAAUAUGCUUAUGUUUUUGUCUUGUCAAAAAAGGGGAGAUUGUUAGCCUUGAGUUAUAUCAUGUUUUGAUUUGACAAAAAUCACAUGUUUUCUUGAACUUAACUAAUGUCAAGUAUUUGAAAUUGUCUCAAUUACAUUUUUAAUAGCCUAAGGUUACAUAAUUGUUUGAAAAGCCAUGUGUCAAGGUCCACAUCAACCCUUGUGAGGUAUUAUCUGCUUUGGCCCGUUGGCCUCACGAUUUUGUCUCACAAAAGGUGCCUCAUAGGUUGAAGGGGGUGUGAACUCUUAUAUGCCCAGUAUCACUCUAAUACAUAGCCAACGUGGGAUUCAUGGCUCCCCUCUCUAAGACCAUGACAUCCUCUUUUACUCCCCGUUGAAAGUUUUUCUUCGAUAUGGGACUUUUUGGCUUUACCUGCUAGCAACAUUAUCUCAAUGAUGUGGGAUUCACAUCCAUGCAAGGAUCGUGACAUCCUUCCCCACUUCAACAAGGGUCCACUAUCCUCAGUGGCACAUCGCUAGUGCUCAGAGUCUGCUUUGAUACCAACUAUCAAAAUCCACACCAACCCCUAUGAGGUAUUAUUCGCUUUAUCCACUAGCCUCAGAGUUUUGUCCCACAAAAGGCGCCUCAUAGGUUAAAAGUGUGUGAACUCUUAUAUGUCCAGUAUCACUCUAGUACGUAGCCAAUGUGGGAUUCAUGGCUCCCCUCUCUAGGAUCAUGACAUCUUCCCUUAUUCUUCGCUGCAAGUUUCUCUUCAAUGUGGGACUUUGUGGCUCUACCCCCUGGGACCAUUAUCUCGACAAUGUGGGAUUUAUGGCCACAUGAGGACCGUGACACCAUGCAUCAUUAAAAAACAUCUUAUAAGAUUUCAAACAAUGCAUAUUCAACUAAGAAAACAAGAGAAAAAAUGUCUUAAGAUGUUAUUUGAAUUAAAAACAAGGCAAAUAAGAAAUAACUGAAAAGAAAUGCCAAAAAGCUAAGAAAACCUCAGGAGACAAGUCAAAAGUCGAUCCAAAGGCAAAAAGGGUGCAAAACUUGAAGAUUAUAAAGUCAUAGUCGACCCUGAAGUGCCUAUAGUCAACCCUAUUCGAAAAGCUCAAGAAAAUCAAGUUUUGAACAAACAUAGCCGACAGUGGUCCAACGAUAGUCAACCUUGACAAGUCAAAACCAUGAAAAAAUUGACUUUACAUAGACAUAGUUGACUAUAAAUGAGGCAUAGUCGAAUAUAGCAGUUCAUAUUUGCAAAAAAAAAAAAACACGCUCUCAGGAGAAGGAUCGAAUAAAAAAAGGUUAUACUCGACUAAGAACCCUAAUUUCAUAAAUUUAAAAAACAUUGUUGAACCUAGGAGCAUUAUAGUUGACCUUCAAUCUUUAGCAACAGUCAAAUUUGAUUCAAACUUGUGUCUAACAACUCUAAACGUUACCCCAACUAUAAAUAGUUGCAUUUAAGCUAUUUAAAAGCAAGAAAAGACCCUAACUAAAGCUUCAAACCCUAAAGAGAGCUCCAAAAGCUCAUUUUCACUCUCUAACAUCUUUUUAGUCCUCCACCAAGAUUUGAAAAGCCAAAUACUUGCUUCAUUGAAGCUCAAAUUUCUUCUUUCUCUACACACAAACUUAAAGUCUUAGCACCCAACCUUUGUAAAGGUCUUGUUUUACUAAAAUUUGUACUCGACUGUAAAGGUUCUAGCUUAACCUUGAAAAGCUAUUUGUGAUGGUUUAUAGUUGAGUCUUUAAAAACGAUUGUUAGUGGGUUAUCACUUGAUCCCAUUAAAAAACAAGAAUCCCUUUGUGGAUUGUGUGAGGGUCAUUGCUUGAUCUCGUAAAACGUUAUUGUAAAGGUUAUCACUUUAUCAGUUAAAAAGAAAUCCCUUUGUGGAUUAUGUGAGGGUUAUCACUUUGUUCCAUUAAAAAGCAAGAAUCCUUGAUAGUGGAUUGAAAUUCCUUGGUUAUCAAAUGAGUGGAUGUAGGCAUCAAAAAAGCUUAACCACUAUAAAUUCUCUAUGCCUUUUUUUAAAUUUUUCGCAUUAUUAUUUAUUGCUCAUAUUUGGCUUAGGAAAAUAGUUUUAUAUAUUGAUUUGUUGUUCUACACUUACGAAAAUAUUUUUUUCUUUACUUUUCAUACUUAGCAUUUAGCUUAGGAAAAGCAUUUUACUUUGGUAUAUUAUUUUUAUGUUUAGCAAUUUAUUAUUGAAAACUUGUUUAUGAUACUAGAAAAUAUUUUUGGGUGAAAAAAUUUUGAUUUUUAUAAUUGGAUUUUCAAAGAAACUUUAAUAUACCAAUUCAUCCCCUCUUGGCAUAUUCCCCUUAUAAGACUUCUACACUAACAUAAGGUUUUUCUUCAUGAAUUUAUUAAAUUUCCUAGCUAUCACGGCUAUGUCCUCAUUUUCACUCUCACUCUUUGUGUAUUUCUUUUCUUCCUCAACUAUUGAUUUUAGGGUUAUUCCUUUUUUCUCUAUGUCCUCUCUCUUAGACUCCUCUAACUUAUUCGCAUUUUUCAAUGUCAUUUCGUAUGUGACUAAGGAUCCUAUUAACUAUUUUAACUUAAAGUCAUUAAGGUUUCUAACUUCCUCUUUAGCCGUGACUUUAGAUUUCUAAAACUUAGGUAGGCUAUUCAAGAUUUUUCUCACAAGUUGGGCCCUUGGAAAGUCUUUUCCCAAAGCCUUUAAACCUCCAAUAAUGUUAAUAAACCUUUCAAACAUCUCAUUUAUAGACUCAUCUUCUUUCAUCCUAAAUAGUUCAUAGUCAUGAGUAAGCAAUCCAAUCUUGGAUUUUUUAACUUGGUUAGUUCCCUUGUAUGUGGUCUCAAAGGUAUCCCAUAUUUACUUAGCAUUUUCAUAAAUUCACACUUUAUUAAACUCACUAGCUCCUGAGGCACAAAGAAUGAUAUUAUAAGCUUUGUAAUUUACUUGAAUUAAUUUCUUAUCUUUAUCAUCCCAAUCUUUUCUAGACUUAAUGACUACUUUCUCGUCUAGCUCCUUACUUGGAAUAUGUGGACCAUCAAAUAUAACAUUCCACAUAUCUAAGUCCAUAGAUUGCAUAAAUAUUUUCAUACGUUUCUUCCAAUAAUGGUAGUUAUUACCUACAAAAAAAAGGUGAUCUUUGGAUUGAUUGCCUUUCAUCAAGUAUAGUUGUCAUUACCUCCAUUUCUAUCGAUUUGAGCUUCCACAAUGGAUCUCUCGAAGGUGAUUAGACCGACAGAAUUUAAGACCAAGCUUUAACACCAAUUGUUAAUGCAAAAUUCUCAAUAAACAAUAUACCAAUAGGGGUGAAUUGGUAUUUAAAAAUUCUUUUAAUAACUAAGUAUAAAUCAAAACUUUUGCAACCAAAAAUUUCUUCUUGUGUUAAAAACAAAGUGUAUGAUUUUCCUAAACAAGUUUUCAAUAAUGAAUUGAAAAGAACAAGUAAUAGAUCAAGGUAAAAUAUUUUUCCUAAGUUAAAUACAACCAAAGUAUAAAUAAUGAAUUUAGGCAAAAUAUUUUCCUAAGUUAAAUGCAAGCAAUAAAUCACAAUGCGGAAAGAAUAAAAGUAAGACACAAUAUUUUUGUAGUGAUUCAGCUUUCUUUAGUGCCUACAUCCACUCCCUUGAAGCACCAAGGAAUUUCAAAUCCACUAAGGAAAAUAAGCUUUUUAUGGGAUCAAGCGAAACCCUCACAAUAGCUUUUUAUGGUAUGAAGUGAAACCAUUAUAAUGCUUUUUACGGGAUUAAGCAAAACCCUUACAAUGCAUUUCAUGGGAUCAAGCGAAACCCUUACAAUGCUUUUUCAUGAGAUCAAGUGAAACCUUUCAACAAUGGUUUUUACAAGCUCAACCACAAACCCACAAAUUACUUUUCAAGGUUAAGUUGGAACAUUUACAAUGGAGUACAAAGUUUAGGAAGAAAAUGCCUCUACAGAAGUUGGGUGCUAGGAGCUUAAGCUUAAGUGUGUGAGGAGAAGAGAUAUCAGCUCAAAUGAAAAAAGUAUAGAACUUUUCAAAGCUUGGUGGAAGACUAAAAUGAAGCUAGAGAGUGAGAAUAAGCUUUUGGAUGUCUCUAUACGGUUUGAAACUUUAUCUUAGGUUUUCUCUUACUUCCAAAUAACUCAAAGACAGCUAUUUAUAGCUGGUGUGAAGUUUGGAGCCAUUAGACACAAUCUUAAAUCAAAUGUGAUCAUUGCUGAAGCUUGAGGGUCAACUACAAUGCUCCUAGGGGUUGACUAUGUUUUUAAAUUUCUUAAAUUAGGGCUCUAUAGUCAAGUAUAACAUUCCUCUACUUGAUCCAAUUCUCGAGAGCAUGAUUUUUGCGAGUCUGAGUUGUGGUAGUCAACUUCACCUUGGGCAAGGUCAACUACGAUUGUGUAAAGUCCUUUUUUCACCCUCUUGUCUUGUCAGGGUUGACUAUACUUAAGCCAAGGUCGACUACAUCAGUUCAAUUCUUCAUUUACUUGAGCUUUCUAGAAUUGGGUCGACUAUGGCUUUACAGUCUUCAAAUUUUGCACUCAUUUUACCACUGGAUCAACUUGAGGCUUUCUAAGGUUGACUCUUCAUUUGUGUCUUGAGGUUUCCUUAGCCUUUGGGCACCUCUCUUUAGUUAUUUCUUCCUUGCCUUGUUCUUACAAUUGAUAACUUUAUUAUAUAGAGUUGUUUUGACACAUUUUGAGGGCUUAAGUAGUUAGAUCUUUGAGAUUUUAGGUUUGGAUCGUAGCAUUUUAGGUGUUUUUCUAGUUUAAGUUUGAUUACAUGUCAAGUUGUUAAUUAAAGUUAUUUUAGCUAAAUUUUAUGUUAUUUUAUUUUAAAUUACUUUAAGAGUAGUUAUUGCUCAUUUCUCUUAUUGCUUUUGUAGGAAAUUUGAUGAAAAAGGCUCAUUUGAUGAAAAUUAGUGCAAUUAUGGUGAUGGUUUCAUUCAUAUAUGUUUUGGUAUUUUGGCUAUACAUCUGUCUACAAAACUCUAAAUGAGAUGAUUCUUGGACCACUAGAAUUAUAAAAGGAAGGGAUACAAAUUUUUUGUUUACUACUUUUCCUAGUUCUGAUCGGAUCAUGGUUAAAACAUUUGUCUAAACAGAGGAUUGCAGCAGUAUGCAUGGACUGAACAUAAUGCAGUAUUUGGAGCAUAUCUUUCAAUCUAGAAGUCCAAUUGACUUGAUUCUUGAUCCAUUGGAAAUUUAAGAGAUAGGAUGUUUACUACUUUGCCUAGUUUAGAGUAAAUCAAGGUGAAAAUAAUGUUCAAAGUUGAUAGACCGCCACAGCACUAAAGAACAAGGCUACAGUGGUAGUUAAAGGAAGCACACAACACAUUUUCCUGAGAACUCAACACUGCAGCACUAGAAGAUGAGCGCUGCAGCACUACUGUAGCAAGAACCAAGCACUGCAGUGCCAAGAAAUCAAGGUCGCGGCGCUGGGCAAUUUUCCAAAAGUAAAAAUUUGAAGAGAUUUUGGAAAUUAGGUUACUUAGAGCCUAUUUAAGGGACCAUUUUCAAAGGUUUUAAGGGAGAGGAAACAAACAACUAUUCUAGAGAUUUGGAGCCAAGAACAAAAGAAGAAAACAAAAGAAUUCGAGGGAGAAUCAAGAUCACAAAGCUCCAACAAUUAGUUUUCUCUCUUUACUUUUGUGUUUUUCUUAUUUUCUUUGACUUGAAUUAAUGGCUAAUUUUCUUUGGAUGAAGUUUCUUUUAGAAAUUAUGAGCUAAAAUUUUUUUUUUCUAGGAUUGCAAUUGAACUAACAUGUAAUCUAAAUUUUUAAUCUCUUUUUUUCUUAUCUUUAAUGGGAUUUGAAUUGUUUAUUCUAAUUUGUUCUUAAUGUUUUUAAUUGCUUGAUCAGCAAUUAAGUUGAUUUAGGAACCUAAGCAAACUUGAGAAAGAGAGUUUAGUGUAGAUUAAUAUGACAUAGCAUGUGAUCAUAUUAAUUCAUUUGCAUAUAGGAUAGGGAUAUACCUCUAAGCUAUAUGUAGCCAAAUUAGUGCCUGAACUUAAUGAGUCUAUUUUAAUUUCAAUUCACAUAGGGAUAUAGUAUUCUGGUUAAAAUAGAUAUUUUUAUAAGAUAAGUCGGGAGACCCUUAUUAAUAAUUGAGGACUCUAGUUUAACAAUUCAACUCAUUAAAAUAAGUUAAGGAAGAGAGUUAAGUUUUAGAUGAAGUGUGAGGGAUAUUGUAAUCUUAGGCUUGUUUGAUUUGAUUUUUACUCAAGUUAUUAUUAAUUUGAUUUUUCUUUUUAGUUUAAAUUUUGGUUAAUUAGUUUAGUUAAUCAAUUCAUUUUGAUUGUUUGAAUAAGAUUAAAUUGUUAUAAUUUUAGUACUUAGUAAAAUUUUAGAUCAACUCUCUGAGGGAUCGAUACUCUGCUUACUUAUAUACUAUCUAUUUGAUACGUAUACUUGCGUAGUAAAAUUUUAACUAAAAAGUUUUUAGCAUCAUUGCUAGGGAAUUAUUUCUACAAUUUUUACUAAUAUUAAUACCAAGCACUUUAGUCUUACUUCAAAUUUUAUUUUUCUUAUUUUAAUAUUAGUUUUUGUUUACUUACAAAUAUCUUUGGUCAUUGUAUGCAAAGGAGAAGCAACUUUGUUCCAUUUGAUCUUGAGAUAGAAAGAACAUUCAGAAGACAUUGAAAGGAGAAUUUGCAAGUUGCAACCUUAAAUCAAACAAUGGCUGAGGAUAACAACAACAAUGACAACAAUGCCAGUAAUUUGGUUCCUGAAGAAAAUAAAGCACUACGAAAUUAUGUUGUUCCUCUUUUGCAAAGUUUACACUAAAGCAUUAGAAGACCUUCCAUCAAUCCAAAUAAUUUUGUAAUUAAACCAGCUGACAUUCAGAUGAUUCAGUCUUCAAUCCAGUUUGAUGGGUUACCUAAUGAUGAUCCUAAUUCUCAUUUGGUGAAUUUCCUAAAAAUUUGUGAUACCUUCAAAUACAAUAGAGUAACUGAUGAUGCUAUCAAAUUGAGACUGUUUCCGUUUUCAUUAAGGGAUAAAGCAAAGAGUUGGCUUAAUUCACUACCUAAUGGGUCUAUUACUACAUGAGAGGAGUUGGCUCAAAAGUUUUUAGAAAAAUUCUUUCUACCUACCAAGACUGCAAAGAUAAGGAACUAUAUAACCUUAUUCACACAAUUUGAAGGUGAAUCCUUGUAUGAACCUUAAGAGAGAUUUAAAGAACUACUAAGAAGAUGUCCACAUCAUGGGAUUCCUGAUUGGUUGCAAGUUCAGACAUUCUACAAUGGGCCGAUUGGUUCGAUAAAAACCAUAAUUAAUGUUGUUGCUAGUGGGGCAUUAAUGGGUAAGAAUGCUACAGAUGCUUAUAAUCUGUUAGAAGAUAUAGCUUCAAAUAAUUAUCAAUGGCCUUCAGAAAGGUCUGGUCUUAGAAAAGUUGUUGGAGCCUAUGAGAUUGAUGCACUUAGCACCUUAACUGCUCAAGUAGCUGCACAAGUGGCUGCGUUAUCCAAGAAGUUUGACACACUUGGAGCUCAUGUGGUUCAAAAUUCAUUUAUAGUCUGAGAAAUGUGUGGAGAUAGCCAUUCAAGUGAUCAAUGUCCAUGCAAUUCUGAAUCAGUCUAAUUUGUGGGGAACUUCAACAAGCAGCAAAAUAAUCCAUACUCCAAUACAUAUAAUCCUGAUUGGAGAAACCACCCCAACUUUUCAGGGAACAACAAUGUAAGGUCUUCAAAUCCAAAACCCAUCAUGCCUCCUAGUUUUCAACAACAAGUUAGACCACCAAUUCCUGAAAAGAAGUCCUAAAUGGAAAAACUUCUCUUACAAUAUAUAUCAAAAAUUGAUGCUAUAAUUCAAACCAAGGAACCUACUUGAGAAAUCUUGAGACCCAAAUAGGACAGCUUACAAAUUCUAUCAACAGUAGACCCCAAGGUGCCUUACCAAGUGACACAUAUAAAUCAAUCCUAAAGGUAAGGAACAAUGCCAAGCAAUCACUUUAAGGAGUGGAAAAGAAAUUGAAGUGGUGAAUGAAAAAGCAGUUGCAUAUGAGAAUGGACAUGUUGAUAAGGAGGAAGGAAUGUGUGAGAAAGCAAUUAAAGUUCAAUAGAAAGAAAAUGAAAAGGCUAAAAAUCAAGGGACUUCUCAAGUCAUCCAUCCUUCACCACCUCUUCCCCAAAGGCUCCAAAAACAAAAGCUUGAAAAGCAAUUUCAGAAGUUCACCAAUGUCUUCAAGAAAUUGCACAUAAAUAUUCCUUUUGUUGAAGCUUUGGAAUAAAUGCCAAGCUAUGUCAAGUUUUUGAAAGACAUCCUCUCCAAAAAGAGAAAACUAGGUGAGUUUGAAACUGUCUCCCCGAUAGAGGAAUAUAGUGCAAUUCACCAAAAUAAACUGCCACCAAAACUCAAAGAUCCAAGUAGUUUCACCAUCCCUUGCACUAUUGGAAUUUUAUUUUUUGCAAAAGUUUAAGUGACUUAGGUGCAAGUAUCAAUUUAAUGCCUUGGUCAAUUUUUGAGAAACUUGGUUUGGGAGAAUGCAAACCCACUUCUGUUACUUUGCAACUGGCUAAUCGCUCUUAUGUCUAUCCAAGGGGAAUUAUUGAAGAUGUUCUUGUUUAGGUAGAUAAAUUUAUUUUUCCAGUUGAUUUUAUUAUUCUUGACAUGGAAAAAGAUAGGCAAAUUCUAAUCAUCCUUGGGAGGCCAUUCUUGGCAAUUACUAGAGCCUUGAUUAAUGUUGAAAAAGGUGAGCUCACAUUGUGAGUUCAAGACCAACAGUAACAUUUAAUAUUUCAAAGCUUUAAAAUUGCUUGUGACAUCUAAAGACUACUGUCACGACCUGGUACUCUCCUCAAGCCCGUGACAACCGCCGCGAUGUCCCGAUAAACAUUCAUUACCUUGAAUGCCAACCGAAACCUCGCAAAGCUUAAUAUUAGUUUUCGCACCUCCCUUGUGAGCAAUAAUUACUAAAUAUCAUAUUUUAAAAGAUUAUAAGCUAUUUUCAAAUCAAAACAAUAAUAAAAAAAUAUUUUCUGUCUCACAAGGACAUUUUGGUCAUUUUUCUCAAAAAUUUUGAAACCUGUUGAACAUAUAAUAUAUAGGGAAAACUACACAUUUCAUAACUAAAAACAAGUUUUAUGUCUAAAACAUUCAUUUAGGGUGAAAUUGUAGCUAAUAGAAUAAAAUAAAAAUAUUAAAUGAAAUAUUCCAUUUUCUUAUAAAAUAAUAUUUAUAGAACUCUGCGUAAAUAAUUUUUGUAGCAUAAAAGCAAAAUAAAUCCAUACAUAUAGUAACACAGAUAACCAGAGUAUGUAAUUUAAUUUACAAUGACGUGUGGGCCCCUGAAUGACCAAAGGUAACAAAAGCUAUGAACCUACAAUUUCUAAGGAAGCGAGUCCAAUAAUAACCCUCGACGUAAUCAGCUAUUUACGGACUGUCCUGAUCCUGGAAUGAGUAGAAAGGAGGGUGGUGAGUUUAUAUAAACUUAGUGAGUAAACAGACAUCAUCUAAAAUAUCUAAAGUCGAGUAAAUGGAGACAACUUAAAAUAGUUCAUUGUACUAUGAUUCAUAACGUUUCAAACUCAUUUCAACUAAAUAAAAUAAUUUCAUUUCACUCAAAUAAUCAACAUGGCUUAUGAAUUUCUUAAAAAUUUGGCUCGUGCCAAAACUCAUUCUUCGGGGAUACCUUGGCCGGGGCAUCCAACCGAGUCCGCCAAGGCUGUUGAAGAAAAGUUCAUAUACGCAUAAAACACAUUUUUAUGUUUAAAAGCAUAGACAUUCCUUGGCGUUGGCUGAGUUCACCCUCACGUGGUAAUUUAGCGUGUAGUGAAUUCUAAAGCUUUACCUCAAGAGAUACCUUCCGCGCCUCUCGUACUGAGGUAAAAUAUAAUCGGGUUUAUGGUGCCCCUCUUUAAUAAGCUGGUCCACGAAAACCCACCACUGCAGUGACUAAUCAAUAUCCCACCAAAUCAAUAAAAGUUUCGACAGCAUGACAUGGCAAUUAUAUUACUA